Molecule: long non-coding RNA, 289074 nt
Filed under: Citrus maxima (pomelo)
Lineage: Eukaryota; Viridiplantae; Streptophyta; Magnoliopsida; Sapindales; Rutaceae
Description: long non-coding RNA (CMAX_LNC001425)
Rfam family: Plant small nucleolar RNA R71 (bases 44451-44557)
Source: RNAcentral
UCAUUGAUCUUCCAAAACUCAAAAGAUUCUGCAACUUCACUGGGAAUAUAAUUGAACUGCCUAUGUUGUGGAGUCUGACUAUUGAGAAUUGCCCUGAUAUGGAAACAUUCAUAUCCAACUCUGUAGUGCACGUGACAACAGAUAACAAGGAACCUCAAAAAUUAACAUCAGAAGAGAACUUCUUGCUGGCUCAUCAAGUACAACCUCUCUUCGAUGAAAAGGUGAUUAUUAUUGUUAUUAUUAAUUUUUCCCUUCACUUUCGUUCGCAUAGAUGUAAUUUCAUUAGAAUCAAAUCAAAUUUAAUGACUCAUCCUUUUGCAUGUCGUCUUAAUUUAUAUCUAAUUUAACAAUAUAACCGCAGUUAUUAACUAACUUUAUAGUAUGAAUUAUAAAAAUGUCUCAAAUUAAUUAGAUGCCUAGUGACAGGAGGUGAUGAACUAUAUCGAUGCGUGUUACAUCUCUGUUUUCCUAGCUAAUUCAUAUUGGAUUUAGCAUCAGAUUUCAUUUAUGUGUUUCAAAGGGUAAUCGAUUUGAUACUUAUAUUUGGGAUCCUACUGCAAAGCAUACUAAUUUGGAAAUAAAAUAUAAAAUGCUGUGAUUAAUCUUGUCCAUAAAAUAUGCAGGGGAAGACUGCAGAGAUUGGAUACAUAUUUUAAUUUACAACUUAAUUUUGUUGAUUUUCAGGUUGCAUUCCCUAAAUUGAGAUGGUUAGAGCUGUCUAGAUUACCCAAUGUGUUGCAUCUCUGGAAGGAAAAUGCCGAAUCCAACAAAGUGUUUGCAAACUUGAAAAGUCUAGAAAUAUUUUAAUGUAGUAAGUUGCAGAAAUUAGUACCAGCUUCGUGGCAUUUGGAAAAUCUUGCGACUCUGGAAGUAUCGAAGUGUCAUGGGUUGAUAAAUUUAUUGACGCUCUCAACAUCUGAAAGUCUAGUGAAUCUUGAAAGAAUGAAGAUAACUGAUUGCAAAAUGAUGGAAGAAAUUAUACAGUCGCAGGUUGGAGAAGAAGCGGAAGAUUGCAUUGUUUUCAGGAAAUUGGAGUACUUGGGACUUGAUUGUUUGCCAAGCCUAACAAGCUUUUGUUUGGGUAAUUACGCUCUUGAGUUCCCGUCCUUGGAACAAGUAGUUGUGAGACAGUGUCCAAAAAUGAAGAUCUUCUCUCAAGGAGUCUUAGACACACCAAUGCUAAACAAAGUGAACGUCACCGAAGAAGAAAAAGAUGAUGAUGAAGGAUGUUGGGAAGGCAACCUCAAUGACACCAUAAAAAAAUUGUUCAAUGAAAUGGUGAGUAUCAAUUAAGUUUCGGUGCUAUUUAGCAAAUUAUUUUAUAGAAACUAAUGUGAUAUAAUAUGAUUGGUUGACUGAAAAUAUAUAAUAAUAAUAAUAAAUAAAUAAAUAAAUUAUGAGGGCCAUGUAAUGUCAAAAGCAGCCAUCCAUCUAGAUGGUCAACAUUCAAAGAAGAGAAAUUUUGCAGCAAGUUGGAAAGGAAAAGGAGCACACGGGCUUGGCAUUUAAAAGAAGAAGUUGGCAACUACUUUGAAAUAUAUACAUAUAUAUAUUAAUUUAAUAGCCAUUUUUUGGCUAUAAAAUGAAGAGCUUCCUCAUUCAUUUUCAUUCAAUUCCAUCGAGAGAAAUCUUUCUUUCUUUGAGUGUUGAGAGUUUUCAAGAGUUUAAUAAACUCUUGAGUGUCUAGUGAGUGAGAGAUUGGGUGUAUUGGGGUUUUGGGUAGUGAGCUAAAAUCUUACAAUACUUGUAAUCCUUAUUUCACUAGUAAAAUAUUUUCUUCUGUCUUCGCCCGUGGAUGUAGGCUAAAAGCCGAACCACGUAAUUUUUCGGUGUCCUCUAUUGUGCUUGUUCUUUAUUUUAUUUUCAAUUUUAUUUUAGCUGCGGUCCUGCUGCACCCACUAAAUUACUAACAGUGGUAUCAGAGCCAUUGGUUGUAUUUUUGGAGUCGGGAAUUGUUCACGUAUUCACGUAUACGGCGUACGGCACUAUUCACGUAUACGGUGUACGGCACUAUUCACGUAUACGGCAUACGGCACUAUUCACGUAUACGGCGUACGACACUAUUCACGUAUACGGUACUAUUCACGUGAAAACGGUGGAAGCGAUCCAAGAAUUUUGCGGUGCAAAGCAGGGAAUAGUGGUGUGAGUAAAGCAACUGUGUGGUUCUGUACAUGUCUAGGAAAGUUUUGUCACAAAGGCGAUAAGAGCCUAAGGAGUCUGGGUUUUAAGUGGGACCAUUGUGACCCCUCCAGUCUUUCCUGGGAACUUUCCUGGUGCGCAUUCUCACACAUACUCACAACUAUUCAAGGUGGUACACUAGCUUGUGUGCAGUAUUAUCAACAAAAUGGCGGCAAAGUAUGAAAUUGAGAAGUUUAACGGAAAUAAUUUUUCGUUGUGGAAAAUGAAGAUGAAAGCUGUAUUGAGGAAAAAUAAUUGUUUGGCAGCAAUUGGAGAAGGGCCUAUGGAGAUAACUGAUGACAAGUGGAACGAGGUAGACGGCAACGCUAUUUCUGAUCUACACUUGGCACUUGCGGAUGGAGUAUUAUCCAGUGUGGCAGAGAAAAAUACGGCGAAGGAAAUUUGGGAUACUCUCACAAAAUUGUACGAGGCCAAGUCACUACACAACAAAAUCUUCUUGAAGAGAAAACUCUAUACUCUUCGAAUGGCGGAAUCUACAAUGGUGACCGACCACAUCAACACAUUGAAGACUCUAUUUUCACAACUCACAACGUUGGGUCAUAAUAUAGAGGAAAAUGAACGUGCAGAGCUUCUACUUCAAAGUCUACCAGAUUCGUAUGAUCAACUCAUCAUCAACCUGACGAACAACAAUCCAGUGGAGGGUCUAGUUUUCGACGAUGUUGCAGCCUCCGUAUUAAAUGAGGAGAGCAGGCGGAAAAAUAAGGAAAACAGACAAGCAAGUUCGCAGCAAGCAGAAGCGCUAUCGGUGAUGAGAGGGAGAUCAACGAAACGUGGCCCCAGUGGGAGUCAAAAUCAGGGUAGAUCAAAAUCCAGAAGUAAGAAGAAUGUUAAAUGCUAUAAAUGUGGCAAGAAAGGGCACGUCAAGAAAGAAUGUUGGAGUAACCAGAAGAGAAAAGAGGGCAAAGAACCUGAGUCAUCAAAUGCUCAGGGUUGUGUAGCAAGUACCUCGGAUGAUGGCGAAAUUCUUUACAGCGAGGCAACAACUAUUUUAGAAGGCAGGAAACGACUUUCUGAUGUCUGGCUUAUAGACUCAGGAGCUACCUGGCACAUGACCUCUAGGAGAGAAUGGUUCCACACAUAUGAACCUAUCUCAGGAGGAUCUGUAUAUAUGGGAGAUGAUCAUGCCUUGGAGAUCGCUGGUAUUGGUACUAUCAAAAUAAAAAUGUUUGAUGGGACAAUUCGCACAAUUGGAGAGGUACGACAUGUCAACGGCCUGAAGAAAAAUCUAUUGUCUUUGGGACAAAUGGAUAGUCAUGGGUACAAAACUCAUGUGGAGAAUGGAAUUAUGAAGAUCGUUAAAGGCGCGCUUGUAUUGAUGAAGGCAGAAAAGAUCGGUGCUAAUCUAUUCAUGCUUAAAGGAGAAACACUACAGGAGGCUGAUGCGUGUGUCGCGUCAAAUGGAGAAGAGUCAACGAUGAUGUGGCAUCUCAAACUUGGCCACAUGUCAGAACAAGGCUUGAAGAUUCUCUCUGAGCGAAAAUUGCUUCCGAGGCUCAAAUCGGUAAGUUUACCAUUUUGCGAGCAUUGUGUUACAAGUAAGCAGCAUAGAUUAAAAUUCAGUAGAUCUAUUGCUAGAAGUAAAUGCAUUCUAGACUUGAUUCAUUCUGAUGUUUGGGAAUCACCGGAUAUAUCCAUGGGAGGUGCAAAGUACAUGGUGACUUUCAUUGAUGAUUAUUCCAGAAGAUGCUGGGUGUAUCCACUUAAGAAAAAGUCAGAUGUAUUUCUAGUGUUUAAAGAAUACAAAGCGCGGGUGGAACUUGAAUCUGGUAAAAAGAUCAAGUGCUUGAGGACAGAUAAUGGUGAAGAAUAUACAGACGGCGAGUUUCUUGCUUUAUGUAAGCAAGAAGGUAUUCAGAGGCAGUUCACAGUGGCAUACACUCCUCAACAAAACGGAGUAGCGGAGCGGAUGAACAGAACUCUUACAGAAAGAAUAAGAGCUAUGUUGAGGACUGCUGGUUUACCCAAUUCAUUCUGGGCAGAAGCAGCCAAAACCGCCUGUUAUAUAGUAAAUCGGUCGCCAUCUACAGCUAUUGGGUUGAAGACAGCGAUGGAGAUGUGGACUGGAAAGCCAGCUGAUUAUUCCUACCUACAUGCAUUUGGAUGUCCUGUGUACGUGAUGUAUAAUGCCCAAGAAAGAACAAAGCUGGAUGCAAAAUCUAGAAGAUGUAUCUUCUUGGGGUAUGCUGAUGGAGUAAAGGGGUAUCGUCUGUGGGACCCCACUGCCCACAAGAUCGUCAUCAGCAGAGAUGUUAUCUUUGUAGAAGAUCAACUAUAAAGAAAAGAUGGAGAUGAUGGCACUGUAAAAGAAAAGUCAGAGACUGUACCAGUAUAUGUCGAAAAUAAUCUAGAAGAUUCAGAUUCUUCUGAAGCAGCACCAGAGCACGAUGGACAAGAACCAGUCGAGUUCGAGGCUCCAGAAGUUCGUCGGUCAACUCGUGAGAGACGACCGCCGGCGUGGCACUCGGAGUAUGUCAUAGAGAUCAACGUUGCAUACUGUCUUCUAACAGAGGAUGGAGAGCCUUCAACUUUCCAUGAAGCUUUAAACAGUUUAGAUGUUGCUUUGUGGAUGACAGCAAUGCAGGAAGAAAUUGAAGCUCUACACAAGAACAAGACAUGGGAACUUGUACCACUACCACACGGAAGAAAAGCCAUUGGAAACAAAUGGGUCUACAAGAUCAAACGUGAUGGCAAUGACCAAGUGGAGCGGUAUCGUGCAAGAUUGGUGGUGAAAGGAUAUGCUCAGAAAGAAGGUAUUGACUUCAACGAGAUAUUUUCUCCAGUGGUUCGACUCACAACAGUCAGAAUAGUCUUGGCGAUGUGUGCUACAUUUGAUCUACAUCUUGAGCAGUUAGAUGUGAAAACUGCAUUUCUUCAUGGAGAACUUGAAGAAGAAAUAUAUAUGCUCCAACCAGAAGGUUUUGCAGAAACAGGAAAGGAGAACUUGGUUUGCAGGUUGAACAAAUCUCUAUACGGUCUCAAACAGGCGCCGAGGUGUUGGUAUAAGAGAUUUGAUUCCUUCAUAAUGAGCCUUGGAUACAACAGACUCAGUUCAGACCAUUUUGCAUAUUAUAAGAGGUUUGAAGAUAAUGAUUUCAUUAUUUUGCUGUUGUAUGUGGAUGACAUGUUGGUAGCAGGUCCCAACAAAGAUCGAAUCCAAGAAUUGAAGGCACAGUUGGCUAAGGAGUUUGAAAUGAAGGACUUGGGACCAGCAAACAAGAUUCUAGGGAUGCAAAUUCACCGAGACAGAAAUAACAGGAAGAUUUGGCUUUCACAGAAGAAUUACUUAAAGAAAAUCUUGCGACGCUUCAACAUGCAAGAUUGUAAGUCAAUUUCUACCCCACUUCCUAUUAAUUUCAAAUUAUCCUCAAGUAUGUGUCCUAGCAAUGAAGCAGAGAGAAAGGAGAUGUCUCGAGUUCCUUAUGCAUCAGCAGUGGGAAGUUUAAUGUUCGCUAUGAUAUGUACAAAACCGGACAUUGCACAAGCAGUGGGAGCAGUCAGUCGAUAUAUGGCGAAUCCUGGUGGAGAGCAUUGGAUAGCUGUGAAGAGGAUUCUGAGAUACAUCAGAGGAACCUCAGAUGUUGUAUUAUGUUAUGGAGGAUCAGAGUUUACUGUCAGGGGCUAUGUGGAUUCAGAUUUUGCAGGAGAUCUUGAUAAAAGGAAAUCCACUACUGGUUAUGUGUUUACACUUGCGGGAGCAGCUGUAAGCUGGGUUUCAAAACUGCAGACCGUUGUGGCUUUAUCUACAACAGAAGCAGAAUACAUGGCAGCUACACAAGCUUGCAAGGAAGCUAUUUGGAUACAAAGAUUAUUGGAGGAGCUCAGGCACAAACAACAGAAAAUUCCUGUGUUUUGUGACAGUCAAAGUGCCUUGCACAUUGCAAGGAAUCCAGCCUUUCAUUCCAGGACAAAGCACAUAGGAGUUCAGUAUCACUUUGUUCGUGAAGUAGUGGAAGAUGGAAGUGUGGAUUUACAGAAAAUCCAUACUAAAGAGAACCUAGCAGAUGUUUUGACCAAGCCGAUAAAUACUCAUAAGUUUAUCUGGAGUAGAUCCUCUUGUGGCCUAGCAGAAACGUAGGCAACAUGAUUAUGGCGAAGCAGAAAGGAUGGUGUGGAGAUUGAUUGAUUCUCCAUCAAAGCUCCAAGUGGGAGAAAUGUCAAAAGCAGCCAUCCAUCUAGAUGGUCAACAUUCAAAGAAGAGAAAUUUUGCAGCAAGUUGGAAAGGAAAAGGAGCACAUGGGCUUGGCAUUUAAAAGAAGAAGUUGGCAACUACUUUGAAAUAUAUACAUAUAUAUAUUAAUUUAAUAGCCAUUUUUUGGCUAUAAAAGGAAGAGCUUCCUCAUUCAUUUUCAUUCAAUUCCAUCGAGAGAAAUCUUUCUUUCUUUGAGUGUUGAGAGUUUUCAAGAGUUUAAUAAACUCUUGAGUGUCUAGUGAGUGAGAGAUUGGGUGUAUUGGGGUUUUGGGUAGUGAGCUAAAAUCUUACAAUACUUGUAAUCCUUAUUUCACUAGUAAAAUAUUUUCUUCUGUCUUCGCCCGUGGAUGUAGGCUAAAAGCCGAACCACGUAAUUUUUCGGUGUCCUCUAUUGUGCUUGUUCUUUAUUUUAUUUUCAAUUUUAUUUUAGUUGCGGUCCUGCUGCACCCACUAAAUUACUAACAUGUAAUUUUUUUAUUUAACCAAUCAUAUUAUGUCGCAUUAGUUUAUACAGUAUUGUUUGUGCACAAGAGGUGGUGGUCAUAUCAUUACUCUAGCUUUAUUAUUCUUAUGGUGGCAAUGUAUGCUGGCUUACACGAGUAAUUACAAAAUCUGCAGAAUUCUAAAGAAGAGAUUGAGCCAACCCUUCAGCUACAGUGAAGAAGCUAUCCCGAACCAGGCCAAUCUCCUAUACAUGAUUUAGCUUGCUCGUUCUUCUGUACUUGAAUAAUUUGGUUCUACAUAUUUACAAUUUUUUGCUCAUGCUACAAACUUGCAAGACACUUUGGAUUUUGUUUGAUGCAUUCUUUGUUUAAGAAAGGACUUGAAUUGAUGUUUCAUGUUUCAUACAAUAUUCGAUUAGAUUCUGCCUAAAUUUCUGUAUUAUUCGUUCAAUUGGUCUUUUAAGCAUUUGAUUUCUAACCUCUCCUGAUAGAAGAUCAUUAGCCGAAGAAAACAGCAUAACAUUUGUGGCAUUAUCAGAAUAAGAAUAUUUUUUAGUAUAGUAAAAUUAUCUCGACCACUGUUAAAAAGAAUUAAUCAGUCAAACUGACCUUCUCACACCAGCACGCUUUAAAUUAAAAGAAUUUCGUGAAAUCAAGACCAUGUUAUAGAUCUCGUGGAAAGAAGUAAACCCGUAAUUUUUUUCACAGCAUCAUAAGAAAAAUCAUUUUUUUAAAGUAUUUUUGUUAGCUGUUGAGUUUUAAUAGUAGUAGCUAUUAAAUAAUAACAAUUAGUGUAUAUUAAAAAGUUGGAAACUGGUUGAUACCACUCGGGAAUCGAGCAGUUCACUUGUUUGCGAGUAGAAACCAACUUUACUACUAAUUGCCUUGUGACAAAAUAAAAUACCAUACUAUAAUGUGUUGAACCAGGAACCUGCAGAUGCUUAGGUUACAACUAUACAACCUCCCAAUACAAUAAGUUUGAAACUUAAUACCUUCUGAAAUGAAACAAACUUACUUGAAGAUUAAAGAUCAGUGAGAAAAGCCCUUUUUCAGAAGCAACCUACAUUUUUUAGAAGAGGGUCAGUGUGUUAUAGAUUCAAUGAACCAUGAGAAGUUAUUUACAUUAUAGUAUCUCACAGGCAGUAUUUUCUCCUAAUGCAUCAAUGGUAAAGGAAAAAUAAAAAGAAAAGAAUAGUUACUUGUGCAGCACAGCCUUUACGCCUAGCUACAUGGUCCAUUCUCUGUCUUUGAACCAAUCAACAGCAACAAGUUCCAUUAAAUGUUUUCCUGCAGGUAUCUGCAGUUACAAAUUGCACAAAGCACAAGAAGAGCCAACCAAACUACAUCAUAACCUGUCUACCUAGCCUAUGCAGGAUAUAUAAAUACCAUAAAUAAGUACCAUAAAUAACAAAUAAACAACAUAUGGGGGAACCUUUGUUUUGUCAUAACAAAAAUGCUUGCUACGAACUCUAAAGUUAUUUCCAUCAGAAAGUUUCCAGCAGUCACGAGCAUUAUCAUGGUCAUCGUGUCGUAGAUUGCCCGAAAAACAAGACAAAUCAAUUUGAUCAGCCUGCUCUUCCUCUAGGGCUGCAACUAAUUGAAAAUUAAAAAAAAAAAAAAAAAGAUCAAUACCAUAAAAAUCCACUAAUGCGGACAUUAGCCAAAUAUACAAAAAUGAAUACUUAUCAUCCACCUGUCCUCUUGAAAUCAUUCUCAAUCUUUUUUUCAUUUGCCUGAAAUCCCAAGGAAAAAUAUGUAACGAAUACUUCCCAUUCAUGACUAUAGUCUGUUGUAUAAACAUGACAUAUUUAAUUGGAAUAAUAAAAUUAUUUAAUUAUUUUAAUUAAAUGUUAAUCCUACAAAUUAUUUUUGUUAAAUCUAGCAAGAAUAACUAAAAUUUCUUUAAGAUAUAUUUUGGUAGUAAAUUAAAAAAAUUUAAUUAUUUGGCAGGAAUUAUUGAAAUUGGAGCCAUUUUUUUUGUGGGAAUUGAAAUAUAUUCUUUAAAUUAUUAUAUAAAUAGCAAAAUGUACAUACACACACAUAUAUAUAAUUCAUAUAUAAAAAUUCUCUAAUUUGUUCACAAGUAUCAUAGAUUAUAAUUCAGUUAUGAAAUAAAAUAACUACAAUAAUUAUAGUUAAAUGAAUACUUCAUUAAUUCUUAAUUUGCUUCCUAACAUUAAAUGAACAACUUGAGUCAGCCACCUGAAUUAACCAGUAACAACGCCUGAGUCAACCAUCUGAAUAAACCAGCAACCCUAGCUGAUUCAAGCACCUGCAAUUAACAUCAGCACAACAGGAACAAUCUUAAAUCAACACCAAGAACAGACCAAACUGCCAUCAAAUGUCACAAAACCAAACAGUCUGCUACUGCCAUCAAAUGCAAGCAAACAUAUGCAACAAAACCAGAUGCAAGUGAAAUUCUGGAGAACAUCGGAUAAACCAAACCAAAUGCCACACUUCUAGUAAUUAGACUAGAUGCAUUGUUCAAUUAAACUAAAUGUAGUCUCAUAUUACAUUCAAAAUUUCUAAAAAAGGCAGUGUUCCAUCAGAGAAGCACCAAAACCAAACCAAUCUAAUCCAGCAUAAUUACCAGCUCAACCCAAAACAAUUACACAUUAUAUUGACAUAUCAAAAUUCGCUAUCAAAACAUAGCCAAAUAAAUGACAAUAAACUCAAAACAGACCCAAACCAACUGAUGUUGCAGCCCUAGUAGUCGUUGUCCGUUCCACUGCCAUGGGAGUGAGGGUAGGCUCCGUUGUUGAUGAGUGAGUAAGAUAAGGCUCCAAAUCAAUAGUUCCACCUCCUUUCUGCAAUUCAAAAAACAGAAAUUCAUAUAUGUAAAACUAUUAAAAAGUGUGAAACAACCUGUAAGUAUUCAACUUCUGUCAACUCAAUAGUACUUACUAAAGUUUUUAUACAGAAGAAAAAGGCAUUUUAAGUCCAAAAAAUUAGAAUUAUUGGUUGAACUCCAACUCCAUCAAUCCAUGCAACCAUCCAAUCUUUAACGAAAAAAUGAAGCAUAAUUAACAAGACAUCUGAAUCAGAAAGAUUGUGCUUUCGUUUGGCACGAGGUGUUGGAAACAACUUAACAAAUCUAGACACAAUCUAUAACCAUCAAGUCCAAACAAAAGUCAGGAUCUAAAAUACUUUGAAAAAUCAGAAAAACAGCAAAAUAUCAGUUUCAAUUUCUUUUUCAUCCAUUGUAAGCUCAAACUAAAGGUAGCCGCGCUACCUUUAAACAUCAUUUGGGCUUGUACAUGUGACAUUUGCUCAUGAACAACUAAAGUUGAAUAAGAUUUUUAUAUGAAACAGAAUAUAAAAAGUCAAAGUAGAAUAUGACAGGAGCUACAAUAUAUUAUUCAGCAUUAGCAUUAUGUAUAAAAUAAAUUUAGACGCAUUAUAUUGAUUCACAAUCUUGCAGAGGUAAUACCAGAUUAUGGCACGCAACUCUUAUAUAGCAGAUAAAGGAGGAGAUGCAGUGGGAAGGUAGUAUCUUGCUUGCAUGAGGAUUAGAAAGCAAUAGCCCAAGAUCAAUUAUAGAUCUCAUAAAACAAAAACAGUGAGGCAAACACAAUUAUUGUGAACAAUUAUUCAUAGAACCACAUACCAGCAACAAGAUCAGAGUCAUCUGUGUAUAUAUCGAUUCCCCAUAGCUGACUGCCUCUGACCUAAACAUAAUGAACUUACAUAACUAAGAAGUAGAGUCAUAAAAUAUGCAGCUGUAACAGCUAUCAAUAAAUUUCCAGACAAAUGGAAUUUGAUCUGUAAGGCUAUAACUAGCAACACUUCAAAAUAAUUUGAAGUAGCAUGAUCUUACUUUAAGGAUCAAUACUACAAUCUUUCAGAAAAAUUAAAGUCUAAGCAAAAUUAAAACCUUAAACAUACUAAAAUCUGGUAAAUAGACCUACAGGAAUUCCAAUGACCUCCAAAAUAUUUGAAAGAAAAAUUAAUUUACAGCAAAAAAUGUUAAAAGAUUUGUAAAAUGGAAGCCCAUACUACUAUUCAAAUUACAAAUGAGGAAAGGGAGCUGGCCAUUAAAUGAUAAAGGCAUGCAUAAAGAAAUACAAAUAAUAUGCCCAUAAAGACGUCCACUCAAGCGUUAUAAGCGGCUUUAUGCAAAGGAAAGCCAAUUAGUUAACAAUAAAUGAAUUUCAAGGUGCAAUAAUUAAACUCCCUGAUCAGCACAUAUAAGGUUCAUGCAUUUCUACAAAACAUGUAAAUCAUAAGAACUUUUUUGGUCCAAAUGCUAACCAAUAAUUAAGUAGAUUAUCAAAGUUGUCACAGAACAAGCACCACAUUGAUUGCUAUGCAAAAGAUGAAAGUAAAAGUUAAUACUUUAUUUUAUUUUACUUUUCGAGAGUUUUGAUCAUCAUGUGCAAAAUAGUAGUAUAACUUGCUCAGUGUUAUCUCAAAAAGCUUGCUUAAAAUACCUAUUAGCACCAGUCCAAGUAGUCAAAUAAAUCCUUAUCUAUCCAUUCAUCUCUGACCUUGCCAAAAAGAUUUAAAUGAGCAUCUAUAUUCUCACUCCAAUCUUUCACAAUCAUGGGCUUUAUCUUUAGACCAGUUCUUCAAUAUCCCUUCCACUGUGAGCCCCUCGAAAACCUUGUAAAUUGAAUCACAUUUGUCGUCAGUUUCAAAUCCAUGUGUCAAAAGGCUAAGCAAAUGAAUAUACAAUCAACACCAUUCUUCCAAACGAAUAUACAGUCAACACCAUUCUUCCAAACGAAUAUACAGUCAACACCAUUCUUCCAAACACAAACAAAGUUUGAACGUAUGACAGAUUUUUAGCCAUUUAAUAUUCCAUCAAAGAUAAUUAGAUAACACCUACCAAGGAUUUUUGAAAAGAAUGCAUUCUCAUCUUAAGCAGCAACCUCACCAGUAACACAUUUUCAUACCCUGUUUCCACCUCUGGUCGCACCACCAAAAAAAAAUCAGUACUAAUUAGCUUCAACAGAGUCUAUUUUUUUAUUUCUUUUUUUUUUCAAAAUAAACCUCCAUUCUUAUACAUAAAAUUAAAAUAUCAAUUAAAUAAAAAAAGUCUAUGCUUACUAGUAAAACACGUCCAUUUUCAGGUAGAGGCAGAUAAUAAAAGAAAAUUGAUACUGAGAUAAAAUAAGAAGAGCUUACUAUGUGCAUUUGAUCAACAAUCCAAUCCUUAAUGAUGGAAUCGAUGCUAUCAAAUAAACGUGACUUAAUCUUGAAACAUUAAACUGCACUAAGCAUAGCACCAAAGCCAGAGCGUGACUAUAAAGAAGAAAAAGAAGAAUUAAAUCAACAUGAAAUUGAACUUUUGUUUUAUCUUCCACAAGCAAGAAAUUCAACUGGAACAAUACAAAAUAUGAAAUUUUUAGCAAUCUUACUAGCAUUAUACACAAAUCUCAAUUCACGACAAAUAGGGGAAUGAAUCACUAACAUCACCCAAUUCAUAUAUUCAAAUAAUGUAUCCCCACUCCUAACAAGCAACGUGCUACCACAGUCGAUUAGUUGUUAGGGUUAAGGCUCACCAUAGAGAACUGGAUGGCGCUAACUAAAUGACACGUUGAAACGGCAUCUGCAAUCGUAUUGAAUGACAUUGAACUUUUUCAGCUUCGUCGGUUGCGAAUGUGAGACCUUGGCUUAGGGUUCUAUACAGUGUUGUUGAUGCUUAAAUCUGCUCGCCUUUUGACCGACCAGAUUCUUUCACCAACAUUUGUGUUGUCAACUGCUGCUCGGACCACUGGGGUUGGAAUUGCCCUCCUUCCUCUUACUAGACCUGCGUUCACCAAAAAUGGAUCAGAGACGCCGGUGGUUUUGCCGGCGUAAACCCUCCGAUGCCUAAGUUAGCACAAGGUAUUUACGGGAAAACGGUGUAAUUUGGAUUCAAGAAGGGCUUAUAACUUGUUUCGAAGUUUGUAAGGAAAAGGCAUGAUUGCAAUUUGGCAGCGUUUUCCCUCUCUUCAUUUUUUUUGUCCUUUUCUUCAUCGAUUUCUUCUCCUUUUAUAGCCGUUGUCCCAUGUUCCCGUUUGGCUUUCAUCCCUCUUUUUUCGGAUGGUGGCAGCCCCUCAACGGACUCUAACUGCUACAUCAUGGGCAAACGUGGGGUCUCGCAUUACUCGCAACGGUUCUGGGAGAAGCGUAACUACCAUGAUUCUGUGGGAUCGUGUUCCCGCUUUUUCGGGGGAUGGGUAUCGGCUCGGUAUAUACCUCUGGUCGGUAUACUCCCCUGGUUGUACUCGUCUCUGGUCGGACCAUACUUGUCCCUGUGUUCUGCUCGUACCAUUUGGUUAAGGUGAUCCAUGCCGGCAUGGAAAUAGAAGCAUGGCCGACCUGGUGCGUAGCAUGGCCGACCUGGUGCUUUUAUUUACUUAACACCAGUCCCCCAGUUUCUGGUCUUGCGAGUAAAAUGAGUUAAGAGUAGAAACUGAUGGUUGAAUCUUACCAGCCCGGGGCUUCUCAUCUGGUCUUCUGUCAUUCCGGGACGGACCUGAGGUACCAUUCUUGUUCUGGGGGGAUUCUGACCUGAGCAUGGGCCUUAAUAAGCAUGUCCAUUGCAUAUAUGGACUUGCAUCUAGCCUGGCCUCUUGUAACGGUUAGUGACGUGGCGCUUCUCGACUCUUCGUAUUUGAAAUUUGAAACGACGGGCUAUCCGUCCUCGAUAUAUGGGGGGUGAGCUGGCAUAUCCCAUCACUUAAACGCUUCCAUUUCCCCCUUUUCGUUUCAAAUCCCUAGACUGGAGUCAUCAUCAUCUUGUUAUUCGUUUCUCCGCCGUUAAUCAAAUUUUUCUCUGAACUUUGCUCACACUUCCAGCGUCCAGAGUAUCCAUUUGGUGGGUGUUUUCUCUGUCACGGCAGCGCUAUCAGUGUCAGUCUAUUCCAGGUAUAGCCUUUAACCUCUUCUUUGGCUGUUGUUGAUUGGGUUCUGUGUUGCCCCUUUUUGUAUUCGUGUACUUGGGUUUGUUUUGGUUUCCUUUUGGGAUUCCGGUAUGUCGAAUCGGAGAAGGCAGUUGAUUGUAGAUGAGGGUGACGAAGGAACAGAGGAUUCACGCCUUAAUGUUUCAAUACCCACUGAAUUUUUACAUCCCUCUAGUACUGUAGGCUUCUCCCAUGGGAGGGAUACCCUUGAGUACCCACGUCCCUUGUCCAUUUCAUCUUCCCCUGAGCUAGGGCUUGUAGGAAAUAGAGGGGGACCUGCGUCGGGCUCUGGUGAGAACCACAGUUCUGGUGGGGUUGGGGUCCUUGAAGAAGUGGGUAAUAGUGAGGGAAGCAGCUCCGAGCCGAGCCGACCUCCUAAGAAAAGAAACCUUGGGCAUAGGGUGGAGGCGAAUUCUUACCCUAUCGACCAUAUAGCCUGUGCCACCACCCAAACUGACCUGUUCAAGCUUAGGAACCUCUACAACAUUCCUAAGGAGGUUCUUCUUGUAGUUCCUAGGAAGGGUGAUGUUCCUAGUCGGCCUCUGCGGGGGUAUGUGACGAUGCACCUGGAGAGUUUCAAACUAGUAGCUCGGCUGCCCCUUCAGCGUUAUUAUGCCAAGAUAUUGGGGGCCAUGCACCUGGCCCCAGGUCAGCUACACCCAAACGGGUGGAGGGUCCUCUCGGCUAUGUUUGUGUUGUGGGAGAGAUGCGGGUCGGAGGAGCCUUCCCUUGUUGAAGUGAAGCAUUUGUAUCAGCUGCGGAGCAGCCCAAGGGAGGCAGGCUGGUACUACUUCAUGUCCAGUUCUGCGAAGAGAAAGCCCAUUACCGGUUUCCCCUCCUCGUGCAAAAAUUGGAAGAACAAAUUCUUAUUUGCUGGGGGAAAUUGAUGUUCAGCAGUCCGUUCGUUGGGUGGUGAUAUUUACCUUCCAACGCAAUUUGUCACCCCAGGUCGUUCAUUUUUUGCCUGUAUCCUUUCUCGAAUUGCCACUUAUUGGGUUCUUUAACCUUGUUUGUUUUUUCAGAAUCGUGGGGUUUGGUUAAGGAUCUCGAAGACCGGCCUUUGCUUCAGGUGGAAACUGCUCUGGUGAACGCGUCUACUUGUCAAGACCUCCUGUCACCAACAAGCUUGGUCGGUUCGGGCUUAGUAGAUAUUGCCGCAGGAAUGGAUAACAAGAUCCUUAACGCGAUGAGCAGAAAACGUGGUCGGGCUCCGAGUAGCUCCAGCAACCCUCCUCCUCCUCCAAAGAAACCCAGCGUCGGUCCUUCCAAGGCGCCUGUUCCUGCUCUGCCCCCUCCUCCACCUCGUAAGAGUGGUGGGGAGAAAACCUCCGACAAGAGUCCUGAGGUCAGCUUGCAGUCAGGGGACCGAUCUUCUCCUCUUCCAUCUCGGGAUCAAGGUGACUACCUGAGCCCUUAUCAGAAGGAUUAUAAAAAAUCGGUUGGGCCCAAGAUGGUGAAGGACAUCGAGAGCAUGAACCUCUCUGAGUUAGCUGCUUCUGUUCAAAGAGUCUCAUUCAGGCUGGCCACAAUGGUCUCGUGCUACAAGACCGGAUCCGCGCGCCAUGAGAAGAAGCUUCAAGCUGACAAUCAGGAGUUGAAGAAGAAAGAUGAAUCUGCUGACCGCUCCAAGGAGAAACUGGCCGAGUUGAACAAGCAGAUUACGGAGCUGGAGGAGAAAAUUGCAGUUGCUGAGUCCACUGCCUCCAAGUUUGAGGGUGAGCUGGGUGGCCUGAAGUCGGACCUUCAGGUAGCUCAAAGUGAAAGAGAUACUUUGAGGACCGCCCUUGAGGGAAAAAUCAAAUCCCUGAACGAGCAGCUGGCUGAGGGGAAAGGUAAAUCCGCCGAUGUGGACGAUCGGUUGGAUGCCGAGUAUGACUCGGGGGUUGCUUUCUCCUAUAAGUGCAUUAUGUCUGUGCUUCAGGGAGAAUAUCCCGAGCUGGACAUGAGCAAGUUGGAGGCUGGAGUGCAGCGAUAUAUGGCAGAGGUCGGUCAGGCGAACAAGGAGCAGGGUGAGCAGGAUCAGGUGGAGGCUCCUUUUGAUGGGAUGCAAGAGGGGGAAGCUGGGGGACGCACUUUCGAAGUGGGUCAAGGGUCCAUGCCUCCUCCUCCCGGUAUUGCUGAUCUCCCACCUCCUGAUGUUGCUGAUCCCUUACUUCCCGAGCUCGCUGAUCCUUCGGCUGCUGGAACCGUUGACUCUGCUAAGCUUUGAGCCUAUUUUUGUAUAAACUCUAGAUUUGCAUUUGUUUUGUAAACAAUUGAACAUUUAUAAAUUUUUAGAUGCUCUUUAUUUGCUUUCUUGCCCGGUUUUUGCUCAUAGAUUGUUUCUGAAAAACAAUUGGACAACUUAUCUGAUUUUGCCUGCUGGUUCUUUAGUGAGCCGAGCAGGAGUAGGCAUUUGUUUGCCUUAGUAAGAUUUCCAUAAAAUUGGUUACUAGUCUUUAUUGACCGAGCAGAAUUAGGCACUUACUUGCCUUAGUAGGAUUUUUGUAGGAUUAGCUGCUGGUCUUUCUUUGACCGAGCAGAGGUAGGCACUUAUUUGCCUUAGUAGAAUUUUCGUAGAUUAGCUGCUGGUCUUUCGUUGACCGAGCAGAUGCGGGCACUUACUUGCCUUGGUAAGAUUUUCGUAGGAUUAGCUACUGGUCUUUCUUUGACCGAGCAGAGGUAGGCACUUAUUUGCCUUAGUAAAAUUUUCGUAGAUUAGCUGCUGGUCUUUCGUUGACCGAGCAGAUGCGGACACUUACUUGCCUUGGUAAGAUUUUCGUAGGAUUAGCUGCUGGUCUUUCUUUGACCGAGCAGAGGUAGGCACUUAUUUGCCUUAGUAGAAUUUUCGUAGAUUAGCUGCUGGUCUUUCGUUGACCGAGCAGAUGCGGGCACUUACUUGCCUUGGUAAAAUCUUCGUAAAUUUAGCUGCUGGUUUUUCGUUGACCGAGCAGAAGUAGGCACUUGCCUUAGUAAAAUCUUCGUAAAUUUAGCUGCUGGUCUUUCGUUGACCGAGCAGAAGUAGGCACUUGCCUUAGUAAAAUCUUCUUAAAUUUAGCUGCUGGUUUUUCGUUGACCGAGCAGAAGUAGGCACUUACUUGUCUUAGUAGAUCUUUUUAAUGGACUUAUUGGCCAGGGGAUUUCAUGCUGAAUUCAUCUUUAUUGAACUUUGAAUGCGUUACAGAAAUACAGAAUAUAUGCAUAUGCAACAAGCCAUCAUGCGUUUGAAAGGAAUAACUUAUCAAAAUGAAAAUUAAUAGGGCACUUUGCUUACUGGAAGUACUUUUUCAAGUGCUCGGCGUUCCACGACCUCUUCACCUCUCGUCCGUCUGGAUACGCCAGCUUGUAGGCUCCCGGUCCAGUUGCUCGUAUCACCCUGUACGGGCCUUCCCAUUUCGGGCCAAGAGCUCCAUGGUUGGGAUCCCUGGUGUUUUGGUUCACCUUCCUAAGCACCCAAUCUUCUGUUCGGAACUGCCUCACGCGUACGUUUUUGUUGUAAUAACGCGUGACCCUUUGCUGACAUUGGACCACCUUCUGCGAAGCCCGUUCCCUUUUCUCCUCCAGCAGGUCCAGGCUCAAGCAGAUCUGCUCGCCAUUUAUUGCUUCGCCCAAUUCUGAUCCGACCUUAACCACUCUGCUAGGGUCACUCCUGCUUACAACAACUUCCUCCAGCUUCUCAACAGGUUCUUGGCGACCGUUUUUUGAAUCCCCUCGGUUAUCUAGAGAGGUAACUUGCAGUGUUUCCUUGGCCGCUGUAGCAUAGCAGCUCCUGGCCAUUCUCUGGUCGCCCUUUACUACACCCACAACUCCAUUUAUUCUGUAUUUCAGUGCCAGAUAAUGUGUGGACAUUACACAUUGGCUUAUUCUCAUGAACGGUCUCCCCAAUAUCAUCUGGUAAGGACUUCUUUCCUCUACCACGACAAAGUCUAGCAUCAUCGUUCUUUCAAAUGGCUUUGUCCCCACAGUAAUCGGGAGUUCAAUGACCCCCAUGGGAGUUAAUCGUCCCCCUCCAAACCCCUUCAAGGAUGUGUUCGUCCGCUCCAGCUUUAAGUCUGAAAUCCCCAUAUCAUCUAGGGCCGACUUAAACAGAAUAUCGACUGAGCUGCCCGUGUCCACCAGUAUUCGCCUUACUUCUGUACUAGCUACCAACGCUUUAAUCACCAGUGCAUCCUCAUAAGGAUACAAAAUGCCCUCUUCGUCAUCCUCCGUCCACAUAAUGGGCACUUGCCGCACUCUUGCCUUCUUGGCUGCUGGCAAAUUUAGAAGCACCUCUUUGCCAGUCAUGGCGUACCUCCCAUAGUUCUUCCGUGCUCUAUUUGAAUCCCCGACCAAUGUUGGCCCUCCUGCUAUCACACGGAUGGUCGGCUGUUCACGUUCCAGAUCCCUCUCAACUCCUUCAUCCCGUGUGUACUGUGAUUCCAUGGCAGGGGACAUUCCAUCUACAUACUCGUCCAAGUAUCGGUUCCUCACUAAAUCCUCCACCUGAAUCUUCAGGUCACGACAUUGGCUGAUAGUGUGACCAUGAGUGUCGUGGAACUUGCAGAAUCUGCUCUUAUCCCGUCGAUGAGUCGGUUUUGUUAUUGGGGCUGGAAGGUACAGCAGGCCUCGUCCUUCGAUCCUCUCAUACAAUUUCUCCAUGGAGAUCUUUAAUGGAGUGUACUGUCUAUAUGCCAAGCUCUGGUCUACUAGCUGAACUGCUCGGCUAUCAUGAACGUCUCCUCGGGUUGGUAUAGCCGGUAGCUGCUCUAGUCGUCCAGACCUGUAAUUAGUUGCACUUAAUCCUCUGGGAGUGCUGUGAUAAGGGUAGGCAGCCAUCUGCCUGAAUUCUCGCUGUCGCUCUGGGAUCGGGGGGCGCAGAGGUUGAGCCCGGCUGUGUUGGAACUGUUGUGAUCUCGGAGCUAUGGGAUAAGGGCGGGACCGAGCUGAUGUUCCGCCCCUUACUGAGGACUCCCCAGCUCGCUUUCCCGACCCGCUCCCACUUGGAGUUCUUCUUUCCUUUCGUCUCAGCUCCUCCAACUGUUCACUCUUUAUCCUUGCCGAUUUUUCUUCUUCGAUUUCGAUGUCUCUCUUUGCCUGCUCAUACCCUGCUGAAUAACUCUGCACUAGGGGGCUCCUCAGGUUAUUCCAUAGCCGGCCUAUCCUCACACCCUCCUUUAAUCCCCUCAAUGCCUGCGGGUGAUUGAAAGCUCCCAAAUCAAGUACGGCUUGGUGGUAUCGCUUUACAAAAUCCCGUAGGGAUUCAUGCUCCUCCUGUUUUAUCCCCAUCAGUUCCAUCAUGUCAUCCUCUGGGGCUGCUGCUCCUCGGAACUGCUCGGCCAACUCCUGGCACAUCUGCUCAUACCCCUUUAUACUUCCUCGGGAUAGCUUGCGGUACCAUUCUCGGGCUCGUCCCUCUAGUGUCAACGGGAACACCCGGCACCUCUGAGCUGGUGUCAGCCCCUGCACACCCGUCAUGUCGUUGAAACGCUCGAUGUGCACCAGCGGGUCACUUCGCCCGGAGUAUUUGAGGUCGGGGAAGCGGAAAUCUCUUGGGAUUAUGAUACCCAUGAUCUCAGUUGAUAACGGAGAUUCUUCAUCUAGCAUUAUCCUCCAGCUCGGGGGCUUUCUCUUGCCCUGUUUCCUCGACUCUACGCCUCCAGAGGUUGGAUUCUGCUCCAACUUCAUCUCUUCCCACGGGGGUUUCACAAUCCCUUCUCCGCUCAUCCCUCAGCUCAAACAAUAUGGCCGCGAGAGUCUCCAUUUGUUUCUCCAUCCGCUCCAGUCUAUCUUGCAUCAUCCUCUCUCGGGCUUCAUUUGCAAUUUCCCGAAGAGUGAUUGUCUCCCCAGCUUCGUUAUCCUCCCUCAAGGCGUCCUUCCUCGUCACAUCCAUGUCUAACCGUUCGUCGUUUCUCCGGUAACUCCUAAUUCGGUGGUAGCUUUUUAUCCAGCUCCCCACAGACGGCGCCAAAAUGUUGAUGCUUAAAUCUGCUCGCCUUUUGACCGACCAGAUUCUUUCACCAACGUUUGUGUUGUCAACUGCUGCUCGGACCACUGGGGUUGGAAUUGCCCUCCUUCCUCUUACUAGACCUGCGUUCACCAAAAAUGGAUCAGAGACGCCGGUGGUUUUGCCGGCGUAAACCCUCCCAUGCCUAAGUUAGCACAAGGUAUUUACGGAAAAACGGUGUAAUUUGGAUUCAAGAAGGGCUUAUAACUUGUUUCGAAGUUUGAAAGGAAAAGGCAUGAUUGCAAUUUGGCAGCGUUUUCCCUCUCUUCAUUUUUUUUGUCCUUUUCUUCAUCGAUUUCUUCUCCUUUUAUAGCCGUUGUCCCAUGUUCCCGUUUGGCUUUCAUCCCUCUUUUUUCGGAUGGUGGCAGCCCUUCAACGGACUCUAACUGCUACAUCAUGGGCAAACGUGGGGUCUCGCAUUACUCGCAACGGUUCUGGGAGAAGCGUAACUACCGUGAUUCUGUGGGAUCGUGUUCCCGCUUUUUCGGGGGAUGGGUAUCGGCUCGGUAUAUACCUCUGGUCGGUAUACUCCCCUGGUUGUACUCGUCUCUGGUCGGACCAUACUUGUCCCUGUGUUCUGCUCGUACCAUUUGGUUGAGGUGAUCCAUGCCGGCGUGGAAAUAGUAGCAUGGCCGACCUGGUGCGUAGCAUGGCCGACCUGGUGCUUUUAUUUACUUAACAAGUGUUAUAGAGAGAGGCUCAGAGUUGAUUCAUUUUAGGUUGCAGUGGCCAGUGGAGAGAGAGGGAUUUAUUCAACGCUUAGCCAAAAUUUGGCGGAAGUGUUGAUGUGUUUUAAGUUAUAUAAAACGGUGUCGUUAAUUUAAACGGCACUGUUUUACAAUCUUAUAAUUUCACAAAACUUAAGCAUGACUUAUAUGUAUCAUUUAUUUAGGACGGUUAAGUUACGUCAUGAAUAUGUCAUAUAUUCUGGACAUAUGAAUAUAUAUCAUGAAUCUAUCAUAUUUUUAUGAUACAUUCGUGACACAACGAUAUAUGUCAUAAAAUUUCUGUCAUUAUUUAAUACUUUUCUAGUAGUGUCAUAUCUUUAAAACCUUUCUAUUAAUAGCAAAAACUCUAAUCCUUUAGCAAAAGACUAAAAAUUUAAAAAAAAAAAUUCUGUUUAAAUAUCAGUUGGCUCAUGAUCAACACUUCAAUACUAUUUGUUGUAUUUUCUUUCUUUCUUUCUUUGUCAUUUUAUUAGAUUUGCUUAAGUAAUUGUUCAUUGUUUACGUCUGUGUUCUUACUAGCUUUUGAUAAUUUAUGGUUGGUUUUUUAUUCAAACCCUCGAAGUACCUUUCUGUUAACAGCAAAACCUUUGAUCCUUAAGAAAGAAAAAGAAAUUCUCUAUUUAGUUAUUAGUUGGUUCAAGAUCAAUAUCGCGAUAUUGUUUGCGGUCUUUUCAUUCUCUAUCUUUCCCUCUAGUUCAAUUUAAUUUAUUUGUAUUCCUUUCUUUGACCCUUGUAUUUAUAUAUAUAUAUUGUUAAGCAACAGGCAAUGGCUGCAGAAGGGUGCCUCCCUGCUUUUUCCAGCAUUGUAUCACAAGGUUCAAAAGCGUUAUUCGAACCGAUUAUGCGGCACAUAUAUUAUGUGUUCGAGUACCAGAGCUACAUAGAUGGGCUAAAAGAUCGAGUGAAGGAGCUGGAAUAUAUAAGAGAAAGGGUGCAAAUGCUGGUUAGAGAGGCUACUCUACAAGGAGAUGAGAUUUAUAAGGGUGUCAGAGACUGGCUAAAUAGAGUUGCUGAAUUCAGUGAAGGGGUUGCAAAAUCCAUCAUUGAUGAUAAAGAUAGAGCUAAGAUGUUCUGCUUCAAAGGGUUGUGCCCAAAUUUGAUUUCUCGUUACAAGCUUGGUAAACAAGCAGCAGAGGCGCAAACGAAGCUGACAAACUUGUGAAAAAAAGGCGAAUUUAACAUAUGUAAUCAUGUUUCCUACCGUCCUGCUCCAGAGAGUACAGAAUAUGUGCAAGUGAAAGAUUACGUAGCCUUUUAUUAUAAUAUCUUUUCACUCUAUUAACUUAAAAAAAGAUUGACUUCAAAUGUUAAAAAUGUAACAGCGUAUACAUUUUAUAAUAAUUUCAAUAUUUAAAAAAUAUUUGAAUACUUUACAAUCUUAUAUUAUAUUAAACUAAUUUUAUAAUAUAUAGAAACAUAAUAGUAAAAUAAAUAUAUAAAAUUUUAAGUUAGGCUUAAUAUUAUUUAAAAUAAUUUAAAUAUCAUUAAUACAUGAGAUAUAUUAUAUUAAUUAUAAAUUCUAUUUAAUCUAAAUAUUUAUUUAAAUUUUUUAUACUAAAAAUAGAUAUAUUAUUAAAAUAAAUAUAACAACUAACAUUUUAAAAAUUAAUACUGAAAUUAAAAUUAUAAAUUAUAUUAAUCUACUAAAAAGAUUAAUCUAUUUGACACUCGCAGCGGACAAUGAGGUCACGGCAUAGGACAACUUCUUUUGAAAAAAAAAAAAAUCAAAAUCAAAGUCAUUGAAGUGCGUUUGAUGAUUUGCUGUGUAGCUUCUCUCUCAAAUGCUUUUCGAGUGCCUCUGGUAUCUGCUUUUAUAUAAGCUUUUGUCUUUAAUCAUUCAUUCAAGCUUUCGCUAAGAGUGAUGCAGCACAGCACGUAAAUAUAGAAGCAUUGACAGCCGUAGUCAGGAGCUCUUCGGUAUUUGAAGCAAGAAUGGUUGUUUGGCUUUGUGCAUUGAAAGAGAAAAGAAAAUAGAAUGACUAAUUUCAAUAAUACAAUUUAAUUAAUUAAUUUAAAAUAAUAAGCAUAUAAUAAUGAUGAAAUUAAUUAAUAAAAAGAAGAAAAUGAAAAUUGCACGUGCUAUUAGCAUAAACCAAUUGCCGGAAUGAGGUCACUUUGUAGACAAAUGAUUCUGGAAUCAGAACUUGGGCCAGCUUUGGGUUAUGGAUCCAAAAUAAAAAUAAGGUGGGCCACAUGGUCUCUUAUGAUCAAUAAAAAUCGAUUGAAAAGGAUGGUAUGGUGAGUGGAAGAGAAAUGUCGAUGGCAGAUCAAGGGAUGAAGAUACGAGCUCACUUGCAACGUGGUAUAGUUCAUCAUGGCUUUCCUAUAAGUUCAGGUCCUUUGAAUACUUUCAAUGACCUUAUUAGUCAGGAAUUUAACAAUAAUUUUUAUUUUUUUACAUCCAGGAACGGUUUUAAGCAUAGGAAAAUUAGGCCUAUAAUAGCAAAUCUUCUUUUUUAGGCCUCUUUUUAGUUAGUAAUUAUCUUAUAAUUAAGAAUUUUUAUACACAUUCUAUAUUUGAUAACCUUAAUAUUAAAGAUCUCUAAUUGUUAAUUUAUUAUUAGUUUUUCCAAGAAAAAAAUUAAAUUCUUUAUCUAUUUAAAAAAGUUUAUUAUUUAACAUUAUAAAAUUUUUUGCGCCAUUCUCUAUAAAGAAAAUUAUUACAUUUAUUGGUUCACUUUUGAAUUAAAAAAAAGUUUAUUAAAUAAUAAUUCUAGAGGAAGUAAAAAAGAUAUCUUCUUGGAAAUGUUUCAAACCCAUGUGUUUGGAUCUGUUUGAUAAUUUGUCGAAUUUGCCCACAUAUGAAAUUAGUAUGAUUUUACAGGUUAUAUUAUUUAAUUGGCUAUUUCAUUAAAAAAAAAAAAAAACACACACACACACACACACACAAGGAUUUUUAUUUGAUGGUAGAAGUUAAGUUGUUUUUCAGUGAUAAAUAAUGUUGUUAACCAAAUUUAAUUGACAUUCUACGUGGCAGUAAUUCAAUUUUAUAGAAGCACGUGGAUUAAAGGACAAAAACACAUCCAGUAUUUAAUAUUGGAUAUGAAUAUGGAUUUUAUCCAUAUAGAUAUGGAGAUCUACGGAUAUUUUAUUUUUAUUAUAUAAAACUAAUAAUAUAAAAUAGUUAAAAUUUCAAUAUCAAAUUUGAUUAUUAAACUAUUUAUAUUAGUAAUAAUAUAUAUAUAUAUAUAUAUAAUGAAAUGGCCGUCCGGUGGCCGGCAACGGAGGUCCGCGAAGUCUCUUCAUUCUCCUGUUAAGUAAUAAAAAAAAUCAAAACAGAGGAGAAACAUGGCCCUCUUUUCAUUCCCCUGUUUGAUAACAAUAAAAACAAAACAAAGGAGAUACGUGGACUCUCUUCUCAUUCCCCUGUUUUUCUUUUCGGUUUGGCGAUUUUAAAAUUUGAUAUCUACACUCAUUAAAAAAAGAAAAAAAAAAGUUAUUCCAAGAUGAUUUUCUAUUUUCAUAUAGACGUUUAUUUAUUAACCAAAAUUUAAAAAGUGUAAUUCUAAACUUAUCCUUGUGCUUUGAUCUUGGAGGGAUUUUUCAUUUUUUCUACACUGGUCUUAUCAAUUAAUGAUGAAAGUUCUUAUCAUUAAUUGCUUUGGAAAUGAGCAAGCACGGUAUGACCCCUAAGAGAAUUUAUUAAUUGGACAAGUUAUAUAACACCUUUGAUAUGGCUCCUAGACAUGUAUGCAAUUUGUAUCUUUUAGUUUUGCUUUUAAUUCUUUUUUAAUUAAAUGAGUCCGGAUUAGGUCAGUGGCAGAUAAAAGAGUCGGUUUUUCCAUUACUAAGCUUUUCAUGGAUGAAAAUUUUAUUUAUUUUUUUGGUUUUAAAGGUUCUCUGUGAAUGCCAUUAGAAAUGAGAUUGACUAAUUCAAGCUUCCUUUUUCCCCUUAGCAUCCAAACGUGUGAGGCAAGGGCAACUAAUGAGUCCCUUGUGAUGAGAACCUUUGUCUAAGCAAAAGCAGAGGUCAAUUGCUAAUACCGUAAUGUUAUUACUUUCAGUGCUUAAAUUGCUCCAUAAGCUUGCAUUUUAAAGUCUUUGUCUUAAUUUCUGUGGUAUACUGGUUAUGAGACCUCCUGCCAAGUUCAAGUUUCUUGAUGUCUUAUAAUUCCAUUUGUUGUGGUGGUUACUUUGUCAUAGAACUGACUGUUAAAGGCCAUCAAUCAGCUCUGUUUUGUAUUUGUGUACGUUUUUUUUCGUAUAAUGAUCAAUCAAAUGUUAGCCCUUAGAUUGCAUCCAAUAUUUAUUGAUUGUCUUUAAUUAGGAUAUAAACUAAAUUCAUAAGACAUUCCCUUAUUGAUAUUCAUUCCAACACGUCCUAGUCUUUUGCCUUGUAGAAAUGCUUGUGGUUGAAGAGCUUUACACAGAAGCUGUCGUCAGUACUGCGCGGAAAUUGAUUAUAUUGAAUCAGAAAACUUGACUAGGUAAGGUCUAUGUGCAUGAGAAUACUUGGAAAAUCUUCACAAUACUGAGGGCCGGAUCUGCACUCUUUCCUCUAUAUGUGUCUUCAAUAUCAAUGGCUCAAAUACAUGUGUUAUGGUCUUUUAAUAUAAAAUACCAUUAUCUCAUGCGUUAUGGUCUUAUCCUUGUAUUCUUAAAAACUAUAUAAAAUACCAUUAUCUCUGCUUUUGUAGCUAUUGAAUUCGACUUUCACAACAUAAAUAUUUAUUUAUGUUAAUGUGUAUAAUUUUGAAAAUUAUAUGCAUUGUUAAUGUGUAUUAUUGUCUAAUAUUUGGAUUUUAUUAAUUUACAACUGCUAUAACUUAAGGCCUCUUCAAACAUAAUGUGAGUCCCACCACGUGUUAAAUUUUUUACAUUAUUUUUGAAGGAACUAUAAGUUACAGCAGCUGUAACUUAGCAGCACCUCCAAUAUUUUACUUUACUUCCCCUAAUAUUUUACUUGUACUUUUAUAUCUUUACAAAACAAUACCAACAAGACAAUAAUGUAUGAAAUAAAUAAAUAAAGAACUGACAACGAAAUUAGGCCUAUCAUUAAUUUCUCGUGGCGUGAACUCUUGACAAUUCUCCCAUAUCCCACCUGAAGCUCUCGCGUGGUGUGAACGCUUGACGAUUCUCCCAUAUCCCUCCAAAAAUUUGUCAUAUUACGAAAAGCAAUGUCAAUUCAAUGUCGUCUCCAUUAAUCAUAGUGGCAGAUAGGACUAGAAUUUGUUGAAACCCCCGGACUUAUUUUUCCUUUUGAAAAUAAUUUUGUAGAAUCUCAUAUCGUGAAUAACAGACAAUGAGACUCUUUUUUUUAACUAUAAUAUUUUUUUUUAAAUUAUUAACUAAAAAAAUAAUUUUAAUAUUUUUAUAAUAAAUAUAAGUAGGAUAUUAAAAUAAAUAUAAUAAUAUUUAUAUAUUAAAAUAAUUUCAAUACCAAAAAAUAUUUUAAUAUUUUACAAUCUCGUAUUCUAUUAAACCAAAUUAUAAUAAAUAGAGACAUAAUAUUCAAAUAAAUAUAUAAAAAUUUAAAUUAUUUUCAACAUCAUAUAAAAUAACUUUAAUAUUAUUAAAACAUGAGAAAUAUUAUAUUAAUUAUAAAAACUAUUUAACCCAAGGAUUUGUUUAAAAUUUUUAUAAUAAAUAUAUUAUUAAAAUAAAUAUAUUAAAUUACAUUUUAAAAAUUAAUUAUUUAAAUUAUACAUACUAGUCUACUAGAAAAUUUAAACUAUUUAAAUCAUAUAUACAUUUAGUAAAAAAUUUUGAAGUCAUUUUUUUUUAUGUGGCUACCAUAAGAGUACUAUAGUCAAAAAGGGUAUUGGUGUUCUUUAUUAAAAUUUUGGGGUCUACAUGACUAUUUUCUAAAAUUUUAAGGGUGUCAUUUUAUUUUUGGAAAAAAAUAAAAAUUUCAUUUAAACGGCUAAAAUGGUGAAUGAUGGUUGUCGAAGCCAACAAAAAUAAAUAGAUACUCUAAAUAAAUUGUAUAUAGUGAUUGAGCAGGGUCGUGUCCACAUAGAUCGGUAAUUAUUUAAAUUCUUUUAAAACAUAAAACAUAAAAUGGGGGUUUUGUUGACAAUAAUAAAAAUCAAAGUAAAAAAACGAAUGCAAAUUAAAGUUGGAAUUCAAAUUGGAGAAAGCUCUGGUUGAAGGAAUUAACUCAGCUUGAUUCAACUGCUGAUCAUUGAUUCAAAUAUAAAUUAUUAUUACUUAUGAAUAGACCGGUUAUAGCUACUGAGACCCUCUAAUAGCCAAUCUCUCCUUAAUUAGUCAAUAACCAAGGUACGACCGUUGGUUAUUUUCCUAAUCAAUAGACAACCCUAGAUACGAUCAUAGAAUUUAAUCAAUUGACAGCCUGAAAAACCAGAGAGACCCAAAUCCUAAUCAACAAACACAUACGAUGGUUCAUUUAAAUUAGAUUGUUUAUUCUCACAACACAACUCUUUGCUAUGUUAUUUGUCACAAACAUUAAAAUCUUCAUACGAUGAAUCCUUUAAUUGACAAUAGAUUAAGUUGAUAAUUAAAUAGUGGCCAAUUACCUAAUUAACAAACAUAAUCAUGAAAAUAAUUUAGAGAAUAAACAAAUACCCAAAAAGCAAUAAAAAAAUUAAAGCAUAAGAAAGAUCUCACAGUAGUGAUGAAUCAAAGCUUCAUUAACCUUCAACCAGAAAAAUAGGUUUAGUUCUUCAUAGAGAGAAGAGAAAAGUUUAGAUCUAGGGUUUCUUUCUUUUUCCAAUCUCCCAUUUUUCACAAUAGAUUCCUCCCUUAAAUACUCUCUCUCUCUUCUCAUCUAGAGUUCUAUUUAAAAUAAAAUACUAAUAUCUGAAAUAUUAAAUUCAUAAUUACAAAAAUAACCAAAAAUACAAAACACGUUAAACUAAAAACUGCAGGUCCGUAGUUGACAGCACGCGCCCACGCCUUAUCAACAAAGUUCUUUUGACGCUCAUAAUUUCUCCAAUGGAACAAUCAUCCUUAAACAUCAUCUUGUAACUCAAUUUUUGCACCAAUCAAUAGAAUUGCACCUAUAAAAAUAAAACACAAGUAAAUCACUAUUAUUAAGUACAAAACAUCGAUAUUAAGGGAAGUAAACAAUUCAAAACUAGUGCAUAAACUGCACUCUAACAGUGAAUAGUACAAUGCUACAGUGGGCGUAAAUGGAAGGUAAAAAGCACUCAAAAUGACCAACAGUCUAAUGCCUCAGCAGGGACAUAAGGUCAAAGUUUGUUACAUGUGGUUAGGGCCAUUUAGUCUGUGAGUGGGUCCUGCGUGUCAUUUUUGGGCAUUUCAUCUUCUUUAGCAUUGAAGAUUAAAUGUUGCCGAUAUUUUCAAAAUUUUGGAAGACCCAUCACACUUUUGGAUGGUUGUCAUUAUUUGAUAUUAUCAUUAUAUGACGAAAUAAAAUUGGAUGUAACACUUGUUUCGCGUUGUGUGAACUUUUGACAAUUCCCCCAUAUCCCCCAAAAAUCUUUCGCCAUUUUGGGAAGAUGCCAUUUAUUUUCAUUUUCAUCAUUGAUAGUGGCAGAUAAUGGGUUCGGGGACAUACUAUAAAUUAUUAUGACCCAUGGACUUUUCUAAUUUUUUUCCCUUUGGAUAGUUGUCGUUAUUUGAUAUAAGGAGAUAGAGAUAAAGUUUUUUAAUCAAAUGCCCAUUUUUUUUACCUUUGGAUAGUUGUCGUUAUUUGAUAUAAGGAGAUAGAGAUAAAGUUUUUUAAUCAAAUGCCCAUUUUAUUUAACAUGGAAGAAGAUCUUUAAACUCUAAGUGAGGCUAUCACUUCAACUGAUGCAGCCCUCAAGAAAGAGGUAACAAGUGAUGAGAUAGACUCAUUAUUGUCUAAUCAAAAAAGGACAUCAGUAGAUGUAUCAGGAUCUUAAGUUAGAUUGGAAUUUGAUACAUUGUUGCUGGUAACAUUGGUUCAAACCUUUAAAGCGAGGUUGGAUGCAAAAUGGUUUACACCAAAGAAGUGAUUUAGGAAGUUAAUUAACGUUAUUUUAGAUAAUUUAUAAUUCUAGAAUAUUUAUUAUUUUAUGAUUUUCUAUUUUAGUUUGAGUCAAUUAUGGUAUGUAUCUUAAUCUUUUAUUUCCAUUAUAAUUAUGAUUUAAAUUUUCUUUUUAGGUUAAUUUAGGAAAGUGGAUUUCUUUUAUUAUAAAUAAAGAUGUCUGUAAUAAAAAAAAAUAAAGAUGUCUUGUCAUUAUUUUCAAAACUUCAAGUUCAAUUAUUAAAUAAAACCCCUCUUUUAUAAUUUCCUCUAAGAUUAUUUAUCAAAAUCUCUCUUGUAGAGUCGUUUGGAUUAGAGUGUCAUCUAAUCUCGUAUUACGCGUUAUUAAAAAUCGCAUUGAGUCAUUUGGAUUAGAACAAUAUCUAAUCACGCUUCGAAUAGAGCGUAAGCUAAUUGCAUUGGCUUGGUCCAGUAUUAGAACGAUAUCUAGUGUUUCUUACCCUAUAAUUCUGCUUCCGCUACGCCUCGCUCCAUCAAUUCGUAUCAAAGCGAUUCUAUGCGAAUCACACAUCGUUCCUAGAUACACGAUACCCAUCCAAACCAAAUCCAUCAAAAAAAAAAAAAUUUACAAAUUUGAAAACCCUACCCGUCACAUCAACCUCCACCGCCGCCCACACCGCCGAUCAGCCAGCCAACACCACCACAAACCUCACUAGCCACCGUCGACCAAGCCUCAGUCAUCGCUGCCUCAACGGCCGCUUGAACAGCCGCAAAUCACCAACGCAAACCCGCGGCUCCACCAAGCAACCCACCACCAUUCAGCCACUUUCUCCAUCAGCCACCUCCACCAACAAACUCGCCGGCCUCCGUUGGCCAAAAACCAACCAACUUCAGCCCUUGAUCGCCGCCCGCUGUCACCAGACGAAACGACAACCCACGAGUGCUUCCUACACGCGCCGCCACCAAAACACCUUGUUUUUCCGUCAAUUUACACCACCACCAUAAUCCCUAGCAGUCGGCAACCGUAAAUCCAGUCUUCUGCCACUGUAAGGCCGCCAUAAACCAAAAGCCACAUCACCAAAAUCAACCGCCAAUUCAAGUCGGAUUUCCCCCAAUUCAAGUUGCUGAAUAUAAAAAGGACUCAUGAAAAUUACUAAAGUUUCAAAUAUUGUUAUUCAGCAACCACUUUUAGGUUACAUUAGUUUCAACCCAAAUUUUAUAUAAAUAAUUUAUAACUCCCAUUAUUAUUAUAAAAAAAAUUGUAGCAAUUGUGGUUAUAUCACAUGAAAAAAAAAAAUUCUAAUUAAAGAAAUUGACAUUAUAACUUAAAAGGAUAGUUGCUCUUUUAAUCAUUAGAAUUUAUGUCAAUUAUCCAGCUUAUCAUUGCAUUCUUAAAAACUAUAUACAAUACCAUUAUCUCUGCUUUUGUAGCUAUUGAAUUUGACUUUGACAAUAUAAAUAUUUAUUAGCAACAACUUAAAAUUCAAACAAAUCUAAUAUGUAAUGUAUGAAAUACAAAUAACAAUUAAACAAAUUUUGAUUAUUUAAUAUUAAGAUAUAAUCACAUUAAUAUCAUAAGGAUAUGUGGUACUCAAAUAAUCUUUUAAAAAUCAAACCCAAAUUAUAUAUUAUUAAUAUGUAUUAUUAUCUAAUAUUUAGAUUUUGUUAAGUUACAACUGCUGUAACUUAAGUCUCUUAAAAAAUAUGUGGGUCCCACCACCUAUUAAAUUUUUUACAUUAUUUUUAAAAAAAUUAUAAGUUACAUCAGUUGUAAUGUAAAAGCCCCCCUAAUAUUUUACUUUACUUUUAUACCUUUAGAAAAACAAUAAUGCAUGAAUAAAUAAAGAACUGACAACAAAAUUGGGCCUAUCAUUAGUUUCUCGUGGUGUGAACUCUUAACAAUCCUCCCCUAUCCCACCUAAAGCUCUCGUGUGGUGUGAACGCUUGACAAUUCUCCCAUAUCUCUCCAAUAAUCUGUCAUAUUGCGAAAAGCAAUGUCAAUUGCAAUGUCGUUUCCCAUUAGUCAUAGUGGUAGAUAGGACCAGAAUUUUUUGAAACCCCUGAGGCCCUGAACUUGUUUUUCCUUUUGAAAAUAAGAAAAGGACACCCGUCUGGAGAAAUAAUUUUGUAGAACCUCAUAUCUUGAAUAACGGACAAUAAGAUUUUUUUUAAAUUAGAUAUUUUUUAAAUUUAUUAACUAAAAAAAUUAACUCUAAUAAUUUAUGAUAAAUAUAAAUAGGAUAUUAAAAUAAAUAUAAUAAUAUAUACAUAUUAAAAUAAUUUCAAUAUCUAAAAAUUUUAAUAUUUUACAAUCUCGUAUUCUAUUAAACCAAAUUAUAAUAAAUAGAGACAUAAUAUUCAAAUAAAUAUAUAAAAAUUUAGGUUAUUUUCAAUAUCAUAUAAAAUAAUUUUAAUAUUAUUAAUACAUGAUAAAUAUUAUAUUAAUUGUAAAAUCUAUUUAACCUAAGGAUUUAGUUAAAAUUUUAAAAUAAUUACAAAUAUUUUAUAAAUACAAAUAAAUUAAUUUACAUUUUAAAAAUUAGUAUUGAAAUUUAUUAUUACUUGGACAAAUUAACACCAAAAUUAAUAUCUAUGCAAUUUGUGUCAUUUACUUUUGCUUUGUAAUAUUUUUUAAAUGAGUCCCGAUUGGUUCAUUGGCAGAUAAAUGAGUCGGUUUUUCUGUUUUUAUUUUAUUUUAUUGUUUUUGAAAAUGGUUUUUCUGUUACGAAGCUUCUCAUGGAUGAAUUUUUUUUUUAAUUUGGGUAAUUUUUAAUUGGGUCCUAAUUAUUUCUAGAAAAAAAAUUCAGAGACCAAAAGUUUACUAAAUGAAUGAAUUAAAUCCUUUUAAGUGCAAAUUUAUGUCAUUCAAGCCCUUAACCCAAUUCUUCCGUUAAAAAAAUUAGUGAAAAUGUUAAGUUAAAUAUAAAAAGACAGGUAUACCCUUAUAAUCAUAUUAGUGAUUUAAAAUACAAUUUUAGCCUUGGACAUUAUUUUUUUUUUCAAUCUAACAACCUAUUUAUCAAUUUGAGUAUUUGAAAACACUAAACGAAUAUCUUUCGCCAAUUUUUAUAAAAAUUCAAAUAUAAAGAGUGAAUUAUACAUGAAAAUGUAAUUUGCUAUCCAUAUAAUUUCAUCACAUCAAUAAAAAUAUGAUAAUUGUUAAACUAAAUAACAUAUGUAUUGAAUAUAAUAUUAAAAAAAACACAAUAACAUUCGGUCUAAAAAUGAAAUUAAAAGUAUGAAAGUCAAUUAAAUUCAAACUAACAAAUACCUUAACAAUACUAAAGUAAACUGAAAUUUAAACACAAAAAAUAGUUAAUUGUCUUCUGAACUCUAUAAUGGAGAAUUAAAUGCCAACCCAAGGUGAAAUUGUACUAUCCUACUCCCUGUUAACUAUGAUAAGUUCUUCAUUUUGAGGUUGAGGUACAAUCCACAAUAGUUGUGUAUACAGUCCCACUAGUUGAGUGACAUUGAUUGAAGCCUAACUAGCUUGUUUUGGAACUAUUGCCAAUUGAUUGUUCAUUGACAUCUACUUCUUGAGAUUGUGGGUUAGUUUCAUGCUAUUCAAAAAAGAAAAAAAAAACAUCAAUUUCAUUAAAUAAAAAAAAAAGAAUCAAUCUAUUCAAUAUAAUUCCACAAUCAAAUCAAACAUAUAUAGCUAGUCAUGUUUUAUUAGCUGCAUACACAUCACUAGGAUCACCAAGUUAUUAAUCCAUUUGAUAACAUAACAAAAAAAAAUAUAAUGAGAUUCAAUUACAAAAUCAGACCUGUGUGGUUGAUGAAGUGAUAUCACUUGCCUGUGCACAAAAAAAAAAUCACCAAGUUUUAAGCAAUUUAAUGAAAAAGAACAAAAAACAAUCCUUUAGAAUUAAAUUUUCAAAAUCAUAUUAAACACGUCCACUUGAUUAAGUCUUAUUUCUUCCUUACACACAACCAAUAUCACCAAGUUUUAAGCAAUAUCUAGUGCAAAAGAAAAAAAAUCCUUUUGAAUUUAAUUAUAAAAUAUAAUUAAAUUAAACCAAUGCACUUGAUGAAGUCCUAUUGCUUCCCUGCACAACAUGAAGAUCAAUAUUUGUUAACUUCACCAAACGAAAUUUAAAAAACAAAAAUGACUCUUAUAUUAUACCUUUAUGGUUCUUGUGGUUUUUGGAAAAUUAGGGCAGCCCCUUUUGUUGUGCCCAAGAUGUCUGCAAGCACCACAUUUGAUAAUAAACCGUUUAUUAGUUAGUUUGGCCUCACCAAUGUCUUUUGUUCUUUUCUUUUUCGGUCUACCAACUGGAGCCUUUAUGUAAGGUGGUCCAACCUUCACAGGCACCACAACAUCAGGUGAAGGUUCAUCUUCCACUUUAGGCCAUGCACACUCAUAAGGAAUAGGAUUUAUAGUCCCUAUGUAUGUCAUCAUAAAAAAUUCAUUGGUCAGAUAAUGAUGCACAUAAUCUUCACGUUGCCCUCCUUUAUUAAAAAUAGCAGCUACUGAAUGUUUGCAAGGCACUCCACUAACUUGCCACAUCUCACAUUCACACGUACCAUCUAUAAUAUGUACUAGGAAAUUUCUAUAGCCAUCUUGACAACAUUCAAACAACUCCUCUCUACCUCCAAAGACCUUAAUUCUCCUUGUCUCAUUUGAGGAUUGAUUUGGUCUGUCUCUAGCAUAUGGGGUCAAACGGUCUUGCCAAGUUUCCCCUUGUUGAUAUUUUUCCAAUAUUCUCACCAUUAGUUGUCUACGAAUAUGCUCAAGAAUGGUUAGGACAAGCUUGUCCCUAACCUCAUCCACCCACUUAUUAAAAGAGUCAAUCAUGUUGUUUGUAACAUGGUCAAAUUUCACAUGGUGAUCAAACCCGCUUCUAGACCACUGUGCAGAUGGUAUUUUUCUCAACUAUUCACAACAAUUUUAGUCUUUAGCCCUAAUUUGACUCAUUGCCCUCUCAAAGUCAUACUGAUUUACAGCCCUAUAAGCUUUCCAAAAUAACCCCAUGACAUUCAAACCAGGAAACUUACACUUCAAAUUGGCAAAGAUAUGCCUAGCACAAUAUCUAGUACUAGCAUUAGGCUAAUAUUUUUCCAGUCCCUAUAAAAGACCUUUUUGUCUAUCACUAAUAAUAGUCACAUGCCUAUGAUCAUCAUCCCUAAUGAAUUCCUACAGCAAAGAUAAAAAAUAACCCCAACUAUCAUAGUUCUCUGCCUCACAUAUGCAAAAAGCCAGCGGAAAAAUUCCACUAUCAACAUCUAAUGCAACAACAAAUAACAAUACUCCCUUGUAUGGCCCCUUCAAGUGACACUCAUCCAAUCCUAUGAAAGGUCUACACCCAGUUAGGUACCCCACUUUAAGUGUAGGAAAUGACAAAAAAAAAAAAAAACUUUGAAAACCUAGGCUAUUUGACUAUGGCCUAUCAACCUUUACCUUGACACAAGCACCUUUAUUCAUUUUCAUUAGAAUGUGAGCAUAUUUCAAAAGCUUUCCAUAGCAAGUAAUGUGGUCAGCACCUCGGUUUUUUAAUGCAAUUUUUUUGCCCUGUAUAGUUUUUGUUUGUCACAUUCAAUCCCAUGUUUAUCUUUUAACUCACUCCUUAUAACAUUUACACCAACUCCUAGGUUAGUUUGAAUAAGUUCAGCACAACUUUAGCUAUCCAAAGUGCUGUUGCAUCUUUGUUAACUGAUUUAAUAUGGCAAUCAUGUUUCCCUUUAAUAUACCUAACUUUAAAAGUUAUCCCAUCAACCAUCGAUGAAGCAUGAAAUUUCCAAGUUCAUUUUGGAUUGACACAAUAACAAGUAUACUUAACACCAUCAUUUUUAAUCCUAUUUAACUCAAAAUCCUCUUGGAUUGCAUAUUUCACCAUAACCUCUCUUAAUAAUGCAACAGAUUCAAAGGUAUUUCUUACUUUUAGACUAACUGAACCAUUUAGUUUUGGUUUCCACUCAUUAUCAAUAAUGGAUUCAUACAUAUGUGAGAGACCAUUCUCUUCAUCAAAUGAGUGCACUCCGAUAAAGCCAUCCUCACUAAAUUUUUCAAACUUAUCAGUACCCAUACUAACACCUAUAUUGAUAGGACUUUUAGAUCCUAUUACAACACUUUCAUGACAUGAUUGACCACCUAACCCAGUGUGCACCUCAAACUCAAUAACAUGCCAACUAUUAGUAAAGAACUCCUAAAAAACCGAAUACAAUUCACUAUCAUUUGAAAUUAGCUUCCUCUGCCUACUUGUAGUCCAUGGUAACACAACAGAAAUUUCAAUCAAAUCCAUUUCGUUGUGUCCAUAUUUAACCAUGACUUCUAGAAUUUCAUGAAACAACCUAAUACUCUUAUAUUCCUAUGGGUUCCUAUAUCCUAUCUCAUACACUGCCCCAUUAAUUUUAACCAACAAAAAAAAGGUAACAUGGCUACCUGCAUCAAUUUUAAACAAAAGGUAUUGCAUCAAAAAAUGGCUAAACUAAUACAAUUUUAUUUAGCAAAGAAUAAAAAAACUCAACCUAAAUGAAAUAUACAUGUAAUUCAGUUAAAAAAGGUACAAAAGCAAAUUCAAUCUAAUACAUAUAAAAAUAAAAAUUGAAAAGAAAAAAUAACCCAGCAAAUAUAGAGAAUUUAGUCUAAUAUAUAAAAAUUACCACUCAUAAUAACACAUAGAAUUCAAUUUUACAUGAACAAAGAAGCAAAUACAACGAAUUCAAUCUUAUUAAUAUAACGAUACCAAUUAGUUGAAAUGAAAUAUUGUACAUAUACAACAACUCAAGAAAGCAAAUAAAAUAAGCUAAAUAAGUUCAAUAAAUACAUAUAUAAAUAUGGUGUAUUUGUUCUAUUUAUUAUAUAAAGAGCAAAUUAAAAAAAGUAUAUUAAAUACAACAUUCAAUAAAAAAAUCCACCAAUAAUUAAACAUAGUUUGUCAUUUAGAAAAAUAGACUUGAAAAACCUAAUUUUUCACAAAGAUCACUAAAUAUGGAAACAAUUUUUUCAGAAAAUGCUUGCAAAAAUCACUAAAAAAUUAGAGUUACUAACUUUGAAACUCAGGUUCUCUCCAACACUUGAACUCAACCAAUGCUAACAAAUCUUUGGUCAAAAUCACAAUAGAUUUAUACAACAUGUUUUGCGCCAUCCCACGUUCUCUCAAUCUCUCCUCUCACACGAAGAAUACGGCAGUUUCUAUAGUAUUUUUUUUUUUCGUUUGAAAGAACUUUAACUUGGUUAGGUUAAUUGACUUUGCUUUAAACUAUUGCCACCUGUAAGCAAACUAUUGCCACCUGUCAAAAAUAAAAGAAUGAGGAAGGGUUCAAUUGUUCUUUUACUAAAAUGUCCUCAAUGUUGUUAAUAUCUCUAACGGACGAGUUAAGUUAAGGACUUGAAUGACAUUACUUUGUACUUGAAAGGAUUUAAUUGAUUUAUUUAGUAAACUUCUGGUUUUUGAAUUUUUUUCUAAAAAUAAUGAGGGCUUAAUUAAAAAUUACCCUUUAAAUUUUAUAGAUUCUCUGCGAGCGCAGUUAGAAGUACCAAGUUUUGUUAGGUAGAAGGGUAUUUAAGUAAAUCUGCCCACAAUGAAGAAUAGUUCAGAACAGUUGAGGAAGCAUGAGAAUACUUGAGGAAAGCCUGAUAAGAAUUACGGCCGGAUCUGCACCCUUUCCUCUAUAUGUGUCUUCAAUAUAAAUGGCUCAAAUAUAUGCGUUAUGAUCUUUUAAUAUUUCGCCUCUGAUAUUGCCCACAUUGCUUACUGCAACACAUAAAGCACUUCGUUUACCCCAAAUCCUGAUAGGGAAGUAUAAAUAUAUGCUUCCGAAAUAGCGCAACUCUCCAUAAUUAUUUAAUAUGCCUCUCAAUGAAGCAAUCACCUUCAUUUACAACUCUGCGAUUAUUAAUCCUACAUACACGUGUUUCUUUUGUCUCUAAAAGUAUUCUCAAUUAAUUUACAUAAUUUAAUAUAAUAAGUACCUAAGACUAGACAAAUUUUCAUUACAAUAAAAUGAAUAAAUUAUAAUAGUAUUGACACAAUAAUGUCAAUAAUAAAAACUUUAAGAAGCCUAUAAAUUUUAAAAUAUGACUCAGAGUGCUACAAUGAACCACAACAAGUUAUUAUAUGAUCUAUAAUCAAUAUUCUAAUGAUAACAGAGUUCCUCUAUUUUCAAUCCCCUACUUUUCUAUUUAGCGAUUGUCAAAUUUUAUAUCUAAAAUUCUUCUAAUUUUACACUAAGGUUUAUUUUUUUAAAAAAAAAGGGGCAGGAGAAAGAGGCUAGAGAGUAUUAAAAAAUGUCAUUCUAAAUUUUCACUUGAGCGUGGUGUGAUUUUUAUCAUUUUUUAAAAUUGGCCAUUUAUAUUGAGUAAAUAAAAGAAUGAAUAGACGUUUGGACCACUUCUUUUCUGUUAUAAUAAAACAUGAGAUGUCUUCUCUUGAUGCUUUCGUCACAAAAGAAUAUGUUUAUGUCAUCAUAGGCUUAAAUGGGGUAAGUAAAUUAAGAUCGAGGACAAGUUUGUUUAAGCACUAAAGUCGCUAAAUAAAAGAAAGGCUCAUAUAAAAAUUACCUAAAGCACCAAAUAUUGUUAUUCAGCUACUUCUUUUAUGUUACAUUAUUUUCUACGCAAAUUUAUAUAAAUAAUUUAUAACUCCCAUCAUUAUUAAAAAAAAAAAAAACUGUAGCAAUUGUGGUUAUAUCACGUGGUGUGAUUGUUGUGAAAAUUUUAAUAUACUCGCAAGCGCACGAAUCUAGAAAUAGAGUAGUGGUAACGAGGUCGAUCCCACAGGGAUUGAUAAAAAGUCUAAUUUAAAUCUAAAAUUAAUAUUACUCCUAACCUAGUUGAGCAAAUUGAGUUUUUAAGAAAAUUAAACCAAUUAAACUAAGGAAGCAAUUAAAAUAAAAGAGAAUUCAAUAAGAUAGAAAUUACCAAGGUUUCAGAAUCCACCACUAUUCAACUAGUAAUUAUCUAAUUAUUAAUUAAUCCCCAAUUUUAGAGUGACAACUCGAAAUCAAUCUAUGUCAUCUCAUAGAUAUAACAAUUAAGCCCAAGUAAUUAAAUCUAAUGUAGGUUCUUUUUCUGCUUAAUAAUAUGACAUCUAAGCAUCCCAUGUAAACAUAUUGAAUAACAAAGAGUCAAAGUUUUCCUAAGCACUCUAUGUAAACAAUUUAAUGAAAGACAUAAAAUCAAAGAUAAUCAUGUAUAAACUUUAUAGAUCCAAGCAUAGAAUUAAUCGAAUAUUAAUCCUAACAAUCAAUAAUGCAUGACAGAAUUGAUGAAAAGAUUUUAAUAACAUCCAAUUAAUCAUGUGAAAUAAAAACCAUAAUUAUCAAAGAACAUAUAUAGGGAAUUAAUUAAAUAAAAAGAGAUAAUUAUUUCAUUGAAUAGGGUUUCAUCCUUAACCUCAGUAUAAGAGAAUUAGUUAGACAUACUUGAAUUGGGAACAACAAAAAAAAUAAAAUCACCCAUGGAAACCGAACUGCUGCUGCCCAACCUUGCGUCUUGCGUCUGCCGAAUUCUCCUUCUCCUUUCGUUUCUGUCCAGCAGCUCCCUUUUAUAUUGCUUGGCCACGGAAUCCUAUUGUGAUUCUAAUAACUAAACCAACUCUUACAAGCUAAAGCUCUAAGCUUGCCACGUAAUUGAAAACAAUAAAAGCCAAAAGCUAUUGAUUUCCUUCCUUUAUUCUACUUUGACUUUCCAUUCAAAGGCUUAAUUAAAAGCUUUGUUUUUAUGUGCUGCCCACUUUAGCUUUAACUUUCAUCUUUGUUUGCACGAGCAUGGAGAAUUCAAUUUAUUGGAUUCGGCUUCUUCCACAUGCACGUAUGUCUAAUUGGUUCCAAAUCAAUUAAUCUUUAAUGCUUACAAAUUGAACUCCUUUAUGCUCUUUUUAUCCAUAAUCUCCAAUUAAUUCCCUAUUCAAUAAAAUAAUUCAAUUAAUUAAAAAUAACAAAUAAAAAUAACUAGCAAUUAAAUAAUUAAGGGUAAAAUAUGUAUAUAAAUUAUGCUCAUCAAAUACCCCCAAACUUAGAUUUUGCUAGUCCUCGAGCAAAACUAAAAAAAAAAAAAAACAAAAAUAAAAAUAAUGAAACAAAAAGUAAAUCCGAACUAAACCACUUUCGCAGGUAAUCGCGAUUGCAUUUAGCGUAUGCAACAAGCCUUUAAACCCCUAGGCGGCCCUAGUGGACGAGUUAUAGUCUCGUGAGGGCUUCAGUGAUGAUACCCACAAACAUCAUUUUUCAAAGAAUUAAAAUAAAAAUAAAAUGAAAAGAACAACAAGCUUUAAACAAAACAUGAAGAUAGCCUCAAAGAUUGCAUAAAUUAUAUAGCUCAAAGAAAAUUUCAAAUAUUGGCAAAGUUCUAACUUUAAUUCAAUAAUCAAUCCCAUCUCUCUUUCGAUUCUUGUAGUGUGUGUGUGUGAAAUCAAUUCAAUCAAAUCCAUUCCCAAAAUCCUCAAUAUCAAUAGCCUUCGCCUCAAACAAAGAAAAGAGUAGAUCAAACUAAUCUUAUCAUCUUGAUCUCCAAUUUUUUUUUUCAGGCUUUUAUGUGCAUUUUCUUUUGAUUUUUUUUUUUUAGCACAUGCACUUGAUUUUUUUUUCUUUUCCUUUUCUUUUUUUUUUGUUUUUUUUUCUUAACCAUAGUCAGGAGCUUUCACUCUACCCCUUAAGGUAGCCUUCUUCUCAUGGUAGAUUAUCCUCUACAUACUUGUGGUACAUAGGCCCAAAUUACUCAAGGAUAACUUCACUCUUAAGGGUUAUAGGUAGCUAUUUCUGACUUUGGCGCCUGUGUAUACUAAUUUGUAUUGUGGAGAUAAGAAUCAAGACAAACAGUCAUUUACUCUAUCUAAAAUUCUCAACUCAGGCUGUGUCAAUUUCAAAUUUCAAGCCAAAAUUAUAAAAGAACUGAUAUUAGUGCUCAUAGUUUAAAGAAUCUCAAUCAAGAGGAAUUAACACAAGAAUCAAGUAUAAACUAAGACAAUAUUCAACCCUUUCUAAAAACCAUAUUCAUUGUCAAUCAAGUUCUUAUCAUUGGCUUUUCACAUAAAAACAAAAAGAAAAAAAAAAACAAAACAUUUUUUUUUGAAUUUUUUUUAAUAACAAACAAAACACACGCUAUUCCCACCCCUAAAUUUAUUCGGAACAUUGUCCUCAAUGUUUCAUAAACAAAAGAUAUGCAUGCAAACAAAUGAAAGAGAAAUAAUAAUAAUAAUAAUAAUAACAAUAAUAAUAAACAUAAAUAAUAAAAAGAAAGUUGGAGAGAACACACCUGGAUGGGCUGGGAAAGCUUAAAAGAAAAUGCCAAAUGAAAAGAAAACAUUAAAAUAUAUAUAUAUAUUAGAAAAGAAAAUAAAUAAAGAAAAGAAAACCGACUAUUAAAAUAAAACAAGAGUGUAAAGAUGAACUUAAUUAAUCCUGAUAAACAGGAUCAUCUAAAAGUAUCUCCUCAACUUCUGGUGUUUUUAAUUCUAAAAAUGGUUUUAAUCUUUGACCAUUCACCUUAAAUAAAUCACCAUUUUUAGGAUUUUCAAUUUCAAUUGCUCCAUAAGGGAAGAUAGUACGAACUAUAAAAGGAUCAGACCAUCGAGAACGUAACUUACCUGGAAAGAGAUGCAAUCGGGAAUUAUAUAAAAGUACUUUCUGACCUGGUGUAAAGGCUUUUCUCAAAAUAUGUUUGUCAUGAAAGACUUUCAUUCGCUGUUUAUAAAUCUUGGCAUUCUCAUAUGCAUCAUUCCUGAUCUCUUCAAGUUCUGCUAGUUGUAAUCUUCUCUUGGACCCAGCUUGCUGCAUGUCAAAAUUGAAUUUCUUGAUAGCCCAAUAUGCACGAUGCUCCAACUCUACUGGCAGAUGACAUGCUUUUCCAUACACAAGUCGAUAAGGUGACAUCCCAAUUGGUGUUUUAAAAGCAGUUCUAUAUGCCCACAAUGCAUCAUCAAGUCUCAAAGACCAAUCCUUUCUAUCUGGCCUAACUGUUUUCUCUAGAAUCUGCUUGAUCUCUCUAUUAGAAAUCUCUACUUGGCCACUGGUUUGAGGAUGAUAUGGGGUGGCAACCUUAUGUGUAAUGGAAUAUUUGUCCAAAAGAGUUUUGAAAGGUUUAUUACAAAAAUGGGUACCACCAUCACUAAUGAUUGUUCUAGGAAAACCAAAACGAGACAGAAUAUUACUCUUCAAGAAUUUCACUACAACCCUAUGAUCAUUGGUUUUGCAUGGAAUAGCUUCAACCCACUUCGACACAUAGUCCACUGCAACCAAUAUAUAUUGAUAACCAAAAGAUGGAGGGAAAGGUCCCAUGAAAUCAAUACCCCAUACAUCGAAGAUCUCAACCACAAGAAUAGGAUUGAGUGGCAUCAUGUUCCUCUUUGAAAUGCUACCCAUACGUUGGCACCUAUCACACAAAGAACAGAAAACAUAAGCGUCAUGAAAAAGAGUAGGCCAAUAAAAACCACACUGUAAAAUUUUUGUUGCUGUCUUUUUAGCACUAAAGUGGCCUCCGCAAGCUUGUUCAUGGCAAAAUGAGAUAACACUUUGAAUUUCAUUAUCGGGAACACAUCACCUAAUAAUCUGAUCAGCACAAUAUUUAAAUAAAUAGGGAUCAUCCCAAAAGAAGUCUUUCGCUUUAGAUAAGAACUUUGUUCUAUCUUGCUUAGUCCAGUGCUCUGGGAUUUGACCUGUAGCAAGGUAAUUAACUAUAUCAGCAAACCAUGGUACAACAUUUACACUCAUAAGUUGCUCAUCUGGGAAAGACUCAUUCAAAGGUAAAGAUUCUGGAAUAAAUUUAAGAUCAAGGCGAGAUAAAUGAUCCGCCACAACAUUUUCAGAACCUUUUUUAUCUCUAAAUUCAAUGUCAAAUUCUUGUAAAAGCAACACCCAACGAAUCAAUCUUGCCUUAGCAUCUUUCUUAGUAAACAAAUAUUUUAAAGCAGCAUGAUCAGUAAAAAUAAUCACUUUACAACCUAUAAGAUAAGAUCUGAAUUUAUCAAGUGCAAAUACCACAGCUAGCAUUUCUUUUUCUAUAAUUGAAUAGUUCAACUGUGCAUCAUUGAGUGUCAUACUAGCAUAAUAAAUCACAUAAGGCACACGAUCUAAUCUUUGUCCUAAAACUGCUCCUACAGCAUAAUCAGAUGCAUCACACAUAAUUUCAAAAGGCAAAUCCCAAUUAGGUGGCUGAAUGAUAGGUGAAGAAGUCAAUAAUUUCUUAAGGUUUGCAAAAGCAUCAAGACAAGAUUCAUCAAAGAUAAAAGGUGCAUCCUUAACAAGUAAAUUGCAUAAGGGUCUAGAAAUUUUACUAAAAUCUUUAAUGAAUCUUCUAUAAAAACCAGCAUGUCCAAGGAAAGAUCUUACUUCUUUUACGGAUUUGGGAUGUGGAAGAUUAGAAAUUAAAUCCACCUUAGCUUUGUCGACUUCUAUACCUUUGCUAGAAAUUAUAUGACCAAGAACAAUACCUUGUUUUACCAUGAAGUGACACUUUUCCCAAUUUAGAACCAAGUUCUUUUCUUUACAUCUCUGCAAAACUAAUGUUAGAUGCUGCAAACAUUCAUCAAAAGAAUCUCCAUAAACAGAAAAAUCAUCCAUGAAUACUUCAAGAAAUCUCUCAACCAUAUCAGAAAAAAUACUAAGCAUGCAUCUUUGAAAAGUAGCAGGUGCAUUGCAUAAACCAAAUGGCAUUCUCCUAUAUGCAAAAGUUCCAAAUGGACAAGUAAAAGUAGUUUUCUCCUGGUCCUCUGGAGCUAUAGGGAUCUGAUUAUAACCUGAAUAUCCAUCUAGAAAACAAUAAAAAUCAUGACCUGCAAGUCUAUCAAGCAUUUGAUCAAUAAAUGGAAGAGGAAAAUGAUCUUUUCUUGUGAAUGAAUUUAAUUUUCUAUAAUCAAUGCAAACACGCCAACCUGUAGUUACUCUAGUGGGAAUUAAUUCAUUAUUAGCAUUAGUAACUACUGUAACACCAGAUUUCUUAGGAACAACUUGCACAGGGCUAACCCAAGAGCUAUCUGAAAUAGGAUAAAUAAUUCCUGCAUCUAAUAAUUUGAUUACUUCAGCUCUUACCACUUCUUUCAUGUUAGGAUUUAGCCUACGUUGCAUUUCCCUAAUAGGUUUAGCAUUUUCUUCAAGAUGAAUACGAUGCAUGCAAUCUACUGGAUUAAUACCUUUAAUAUCAGCGAUGGUCCAUCCUAUUGCCUCCUUAUGCUCUUUUAGAAUAUCUAACAAUUUACCUUUUUGCUCAAGAUCGAGGGAAGAAGAAAUAAUAACAGGUAGAGUGUCAGAUUCUCCCAAGAAUGCAUAUUCCAGAGUGUCAGGCAGUGCUUUGAGUUCCAAUUUUGGUGGUGCCUCCGCAGAUGGGCCAAUUUUCUUCUCAGAAUGAGGCAGUAGUUCUGACUUUGUCUUCCAUUUAAUUGUGUCCGUAAUUAGAGGUGCAUCAAGUAAAGCGUUGAUUUCUGCAAUUGCACUGUCAUCAUUAAAAGAUAAAUCAGAAUGAGUUAGACAUGCCUCUAAUGGAUCAUCAUUAUGGUUAGAAAUGAAUGAAUCUUCUACUAAUUCCUCUAUCAUAUUCGCUUCAACAAAUUCAUCUUCUUCUUGUGGCUGCUUGGUAACAUUAAAAAUAUUCAAUUCCAUGGUCAUAUUACCAAAAGAUAACUUCAUGUUUCCAUUCCUGCAAUUAAUAAGAGCAUCAGCUGUAGCUAAGAAAAGGACGACCUAGAAUAACUGGGGUGUGUUUCUUAGGAUCAUGUACAUGCUGAAUAUCAAUAACAAUAAAAUCAACAGGAUAAUAAAAUUUAUCAAUCUGUAUCAACACAUCCUCUAUAAUACCACGAGGUAUUUUCAUUGAUCUAUCAGCAAGUUGCAAAAUAAUAGGAGUUGAUUUUAACUCACCUAAUCCAAGUUGCAUGUAAACAGAAUAAGGCAAGAGAUUAACACUAGCACCCAAAUCCAAUAAUGCUUUAUCAAAACAUUGGUUUCCUAUAACACAUGAGAUAGUAGGAGAACCUGGAUCCUUAAAUUUUGGUGGCAUUUUACAUUGGAGUAAGUUGCUAGUUUGUUCAGUUAAAAAUGCCUUUUUAGUGACAUGUAAAUUUCUCUUUUUCGUGCAUAAAUCUUUUAAAAACUUUGCAUAUGAAGGAACUUGCUUAAUAGCAUCGAGUAAAGGGAUGUUUAUACUUACCUGUUUGAAUAUUUCCAUAAUCUCACCUGUUGAAGUCCCUUUCUUUACCUUUGUUAACCUUUGAGGAAAAGGAGCCUUGCGAAUGUAAGCUGGCGGGCCACUCUCUUCUGGAUCAUUUGUUGAUGAGUCUUGUGAUGGAACUGGAUCUGAAGAAGUAGGCUCAGAUGUCUUCCUUGUUUGAACCUCUACUUUGUUGUCAAAUAAUUUUCCUCUUCUCAAGGUCAUAAUAGAUUUUGCUUCUUCAUGCUGAUGGCUCGAACUCGAUCCAACUUCAUGCACUCCUUUAGGAUUGGGAAUUGAUUGACUUGGGAAUUUUCCUUUUUCUCUCUCAGCUACAGUAGUUGCUAAUUGACCCAAUUGAUGUUCAAGUUUUAGAAUAGCUUGAGUGUUUGACUGAAAAGCUUGUUGGGUUGACUGAAUGAAACUUUGAAGUGUAUCCUCUAAAGAAGGCUUUCUUUGUUGGGGUGCAACAAAUUGAGACAUAGGUUGUUGGGCAUGAGGAUGUACUUGGUUAGGAGGGACAAAUUGUUGAUUGGGCAUGUUAAAUUGUUGCCCUCCUUGGUUUGACAAAGGUUGAUUUUGUUUCCAAGAAAAAUUAGGGUGAUUCCUCCAAUUAGGAUUAUAUGUGGAUGAAUAUGGACUAUUGGAGGUUUUCUCAUAUGAUUGUAAGGCAUGUACCUGCUCAGAAUAAGCAUCUGGAUAGACUGGUAAUGAUGGACAAUUUUGUGCUGUAUGAGACAAGUUAGAACAAAUAGCACAAACCUCAUUAGCUACACUAGGAUGAUGAUUUAUGGAUUGGUUCAUAACUAAGGCAUCUACUUUCCUAGAAAGUGUAGCUAGAGUGGAUUUCAUAUCUAAAUCAUCCUUAACUUCAUAUAGCCCCUUUCUAGAAACUUGAGAUGAUUUUUCCCUUUGAUUUGAAAAAUCCCACUGUUGAGAAUUUUCAGAAAGUGAAUUAACGAAAUCCCAUGCUGCCCCUUCAUGUAAGUUCAAAAAUCUCCCACCAUUCAUAGAUUCCACCAUAUGACGAUUCGACAUGGUUAAACCGUUAUAAAAGCAUUGUAUAAGUCUCCAUUUCUCAAAACCAUGAUGGGGACACUUAAGGAGUAAAUCAUUAAAUCUUUCCCAACACUCAUAAAAUUGCUCACCAUCUCUUUGAUAAAAAUCACUUAUCUCUCUCCUAAGGGCAUUUGUUUUAGACAUAGGGAAAAACUUGGUGAGAAACUUAUUACUCAAUUCAUCCCACGUAGUAAUAGACCCAGCAGGAAGUGAAUUCAACCAAGCUUUUGCUUUGUCUUUUAAUGAGAAAGGGAACAUACGAAGCCUAAUUGACUCAUCAUUAAAAUUUUGAAAACGAAAUGUAGAGCAUAUGUCAAGAAAUUCCUUAAUGUGCAAAUAUGGAUCCUCUCUCUCUAACCCAUGGAAGGAUGGCAAAAGUUGAAUGACAGAGGGCUUAAGUUCAAAGUGUGUUGCUGUAGUUUGUGGCAACACAAUACAAGAUGGUUGGUUGGCUGCAAGUGGUGAAAAAUAUUCUCUAAGGGUUUUCUCUGCUUGCACUGGUGGGAGUAUUGGCAAUAGUCUAUUUGGGUCAUCCAUCACUUCUAAAGAACUAGUUUGACUACUAUCAAUUUUUGACUCUCUUUUAACCAAACGAUUUGUUGAAUCACGUUCCCAAACACUCAUAAACUAACUAGACAAGGAAAGAAAGAGAAAUAAAAUAAAAUAAACCAACAAAAAUGAGAAUAAACGAAAUUUAAAAAUAAAAGAAAUCAAACAACCAAACAAUGAAUUUAAAAUAAAAUAAAAUUAAAAUUAAAAUUAAAAGUUUUUUUUUGUGUUUUUUUUUAAAAAUAAAAAUUGAAUAAAUAAAAUAAAAGACAACCUAAAUUAUAACUAGUGGAAGAAUCAAAUUAACCUAGAUUAAACUGACUUUCUAGCACAAUCCCCGGCAACGGCGCCAAAAACUUGAUGUGAAAAUUUUAAUAUACUCGCAAGCGCACGAAUCUAGAAAUAGAGUAGUGGUAACGAGGUCGAUCCCACAGGGAUUGAUAAAAAGUCUAAUUUAAAUCUAAAAUUAAUAUUACUCCUAACCUAGUUGAGCAAAUUGAGUUUUUAAGAAAAUUAAACCAAUUAAACUAAGGAAGCAAUUAAAAUAAAAGAGAAUUCAAUAAGAUAGAAAUUACCAAGGUUUCAGAAUCCACCACUAUUCAACUAGUAAUUAUCUAAUUAUUAAUUAAUCCCCAAUUUUAGAGUGACAACUCGAAAUCAAUCUAUGUCAUCUCAUAGAUAUAACAAUUAAGCCCAAGUAAUUAAAUCUAAUGUAGGUUCUUUUUCUGCUUAAUAAUAUGACAUCUAAGCAUCCCAUGUAAACAUAUUGAAUAACAAAGAGUCAAAGUUUUCCUAAGCACUCUAUGUAAACAAUUUAAUGAAAGACAUAAAAUCAAAGAUAAUCAUGUAUAAACUUUAUAGAUCCAAGCAUAGAAUUAAUCGAAUAUUAAUCCUAACAAUCAAUAAUGCAUGACAGAAUUGAUGAAAAGAUUUUAAUAACAUCCAAUUAAUCAUGUGAAAUAAAAACCAUAAUUAUCAAAGAACAUAUAUAGGGAAUUAAUUAAAUAAAAAGAGAUAAUUAUUUCAUUGAAUAGGGUUUCAUCCUUAACCUCAGUAUAAGAGAAUUAGUUAGACAUACUUGAAUUGGGAACAACAAAAAAAAUAAAAUCACCCAUGGAAACCGAACUGCUGCUGCCCAACCUUGCGUCUUGCGUCUGCCGAAUUCUCCUUCUCCUUUCGUUUCUGUCCAGCAGCUCCCUUUUAUAUUGCUUGGCCACGGAAUCCUAUUGUGAUUCUAAUAACUAAACCAACUCUUACAAGCUAAAGCUCUAAGCUUGCCACGUAAUUGAAAACAAUAAAAGCCAAAAGCUAUUGAUUUCCUUCCUUUAUUCUACUUUGACUUUCCAUUCAAAGGCUUAAUUAAAAGCUUUGUUUUUAUGUGCUGCCCACUUUAGCUUUAACUUUCAUCUUUGUUUGCACGAGCAUGGAGAAUUCAAUUUAUUGGAUUCGGCUUCUUCCACAUGCACGUAUGUCUAAUUGGUUCCAAAUCAAUUAAUCUUUAAUGCUUACAAAUUGAACUCCUUUAUGCUCUUUUUAUCCAUAAUCUCCAAUUAAUUCCCUAUUCAAUAAAAUAAUUCAAUUAAUUAAAAAUAACAAAUAAAAAUAACUAGCAAUUAAAUAAUUAAGGGUAAAAUAUGUAUAUAAAUUAUGCUCAUCAGUGAUCUUUUGACAAUUCUCCCACAUCCCACCAAAAACUCUCACGCGGCAUGAACUUUUGACAAUUCUCCCAUAUCCCACCAAAAAUUUGUCAUAUUGCGAAAGGCAAUGUCAAUUGCAAUGUCAUUUCCAUUAGUCAUUGUGGCAGACAAUGGAGGUCCCGAGAUAGGACUAGAAGUUUUUGAAACCCUGAACUUAUUCUUACUUUAUUUUUUCUUUUGAAAAUGAGAAAAGGACACUUGUUUGAGGAAAUAAUUUUGUAGAACCUCAUAUCGUGAAUAGGGGAUAAUAAGACUUUUUUUUUUUUACUUUACUGCAAUACUCUGUAAUUUUAUUAAUUUUAUAUUUUAUAAUAAAUAUAAAUGUGAUAUUAAAAUAAAUGUAAUAAUAUAUACAUAUUAAAAUAAUUUGAUAUUGAAAAACAUUUUAAUAUUUUACAAUCCCAUAUUAUAUUAAACCAAACUGUAAUAAAUAGACAUAAUAUUAAAAUAAAUAUAUAAAAGUUUAAAUUAUUUUGAAUAUCAUAUAAAAUAAUUUUAAUAUUAUUAAUAAAUUAGAAGUAUUGUUGAGGUUAUGGGGCCCCAACAAUUCUUCUUUGCGCUUGUGGGUGUAACAUCCUUCUGUGUAAUUCCAUUGAGGUGGCAGUAAGGUUACCUAGGGCGUAACUGCCCGGCCCAUUGGCACAAUUACAAAUGUGUGCAGCCCCUCAUGUCCAUCCACCGCUUAGUGUGGGGCUCUGCGCUUCCAUUGUAUAAGAAAAUAAAGUUGCACCUUGGCUAUCAGCUUAAGCUUUUAGCCCAAUGGUAAGCGCUUGAUCCUAACAAGUAUUACAUUAAUUGUAAAAUCUAUCUAAUCCAAGGAUUUAUUUAAAUUUUUUAUAAUAAAUUAAAAAUAUAUUAAUUAACAUUUUAAAAAUUAAUAAUGAAAUUAAUUAUAUAAGUUAUACAUAUUAGUCUACUAGAAAAAUUUAAACUAUUUCAAUCAGAUUUAUAUUUAGUGAAAAUUUUUGAAGUUAAUGUUUUUGGUUAUCAUCUACUAAGAAUCUUGUAGUUAAAAGGGGUAUUGACAUUCUUUAUUAAAAAAUUGAGGUCUACAUGACUAUUUUUUAAAUUUUAAGGGUGUCAUUUUAUUUUUGAUGAAAAUAAAAUUUCAUUUAAGUGGCUAAAAUGGUGAAUAAUACAAUGUUACAACUGGCAUAAAUGGAAGGUAGGAAACAAUCAAAAUGACCAAUAGUCUAACGCCACAGCAAGGACAUAAGGUCAAAAAUCCCCUUAUUAAUUAGUAAAAGAGAGUCCUUUGUGCUUAUAAAUAGUAAGGGCGGGCAAAAUCGGAUACAGAUCAAAUUCGGAUUAAUCUGAUAAAUUUCAGAUUGUUUGAAUUGAUAAAAAAAGUCAUCCAAAUGUAAUCUAAACUUUUGUAUGUGUAUAUAUACAUACUUGUUAUAAAUUAAAGUUGCAAAAGUCUUUAAGCAAGGCCAUUCAUAGUAAGUUUCAAAUUUUUAGGUUAAUUAUGUAACUUCAUUAUGCGGGCCAUGCAUAAAGCCCGUAGGUCUAGGCGGGACUGACCUGAGUUUUUUUACCAAUCCUACACAUGACGGGAGGUGUUAGGAAUAACAUCCCGCAUCAAUUGAGUAUUGAACUUGGGUUCAGUAUAUAAGAUUUGGACAACUCUAAACUCUUGAGCUAACUUACUAGUUUUUGGAUUGAGUUAAGCCUGUACGCUGCAAUAUUACAAAUUAGUCUUUCGUUACCAUUACUUAUUUUUUGUAUUGUUUAAAAUUAACACAAUAAAUGACCUUUCAUCCCAAAAGAACUAAAGUAAUCAUUUCGCAUUGUUACGGCCGUAUCUACACUCUUUCCUCUAUAUGUGUCUUCAAUAAAUAUAUGCGUUAAUGAUCUCUCAAUAUUUCGCAUCCGAUAUUGCCCACAUCGCUUACCACAAUAUAUUCACUUUACAAACAGAGUUUGCAACCCAAUUACUAAUAGAGGAAUAUAAAUAUGUACUUGUCAAUGAAGCAAUCACCUUUAUUUAGAAAUUUUUUAUUAUUAAUCCUACGUACACACACUUCUUUUGUCUCCAAAAAUAUUCUUAAUUAAUCCACACAAUUUAAUAUAAUAAAUACCUAAGAUUACAUAAAUUUUCAUUACAAUAGAAUAUAUAAUUUAUAAUAUUAUUGAUACAAUGAUGCCAAUAAUAAAAAUCUUAUAAACCUUACAAAUUUUAGAAAAUGGCUUAGAGUGUGAUAGGUUGAAUGAACCACAACAAAUCAUUUUCAUUAUAGUACCUAUGAUCAAUAUUCUAAUACAAAUUUUACAUUUCCCUAUAUUUUCUGUUUGGUGAUUGUCAAAUUUUAAGUCUAAAAUUUUUCUAAUUUUACCGUGAGGUUUAUGUUUUAAAGAGAGAGAGAGAGAGAGAGAGAGACUCAAAGAGAAAUAAAAAAUGUAAUUCUAAAAUUUUACUUGUGCAUUGUGUGAUUUUUACCAUUUUUGCAGUUGGCCAUUUGUAUUGAAUAAAUAAAAUAAUAAAUAGACUUAUGGACCACUUUUUUCUGUUAUAAUAAACAUCAGAGGUCCUUUCUUGAUGUUUUCAUUCCAUAUGAAUAUAUUAUAAUUUUAUUGAUACAGUAAUGUCAAUAAUAAAAAUCCUAACAAACAUACAAAUUUUAGAAUAUGGAUUAAAGUGUUACAAGUUGAGGGGAUCACAAGUUAUUUAUACUGUAAUGUCUAUGAUCAGUAUUUCAAUGAUAUCAAGGUUUCCCCUGCAAUUUUUGUUUGGUCAUCGCCAAAUUUUGUAUCUAAGAUUUUUCUAAUUUUACACGACAUUUAUUUAAAAAAAGAAAAAGAGAAAGAGAGACGCGGAGAGAAUUAAAAAUGUAAGUCUAAAUUUUCGCUUGUGUGUUAUGUGAAUUUUACCAUUUUUAAAGUUGGCCAUUUGUAUUGAAUAAAAAAGUAAUUGUUGAAUCUGGUUCGUUAGCUAUUCUUUGAUCAAGAACCAGAUCCUCCCAAGAUUCUCAGCCAAGAUUAAUCAGGAUGCAAUAUCAGCUUAGAUCAACUUCAGAGAAUCAACUAAACCCAAUAAGACUCGUAACAAAAAGGAUUAAUUACAAACUUAGAAACCAAAACCAGCAAGAAAACCAAUCACACAAAACAGAGCACAAGCUUUAACGUGGUUCAGCCAUUAAUGGCUUACAUCCACGAGUGAAUUCCUCAGACAGCUUUAUUGAAUGAUUCAAGAAGUUUGUUACAGAGAUUCUAAGAACAAGAACAAGUAAGACACUUCCUCUUUGAUUUCCCUCAAUCUCUAUCACGCACGAUUACCUCCAAACCAGAAGGCUGCAGCUUAUAUACCAGUCUUGUAACAGCUCUAACAACCCAGAUUGCACAGCUCCUUGACACGUGUACUAUGGGUCUGUUAUUUAACGAACUCAGCUUCAGCUAACUAUCACGUGAAGAACCCGUGACUCCACUUAAGUUGAGCAUAUCCAAAACGCACUCAUGUGUUGCCGUUUCGGAACCAGGAUUGGUUGUGCUUCUCACGUGAUCACUUAAAGCUUCUGAACACUACUGGAAACGCUGUCGUUUGCUGGCAAAGGUGUUUGAAUUCACCUUUCAGCCAACAGUAAUGAAUAGACUUAUGGACAACUUUUUUCUAUUAUAAUAAAACAUUUUCUUCCCCUGAUGUUUUUCAUUCCACAAGAAUGUGUUUGUCAUAAGGGGUCCAAAUGGGGUAAAUAAAUUGGGAUCAAGGACAAGUCUGUUUAAGUGUUGAAAUUGCAAGAAGACCUCAUUAAAAAAUUGCCUAAAGCCCCAUUAUUGUUAUUCAACUAUUACUUUCAUGUCACAUUAGUUUCCACACAGACACUUAUACAAAUAAUUUAUAACUCCAUCUUUAUUUGGGAAAAAACUGUAGCAAUUGUUGUUAUAUCACAGGAAAAUUUUCCAAUUAAAAAUAUAAUAAGAAUUAAUUACAAAUUUUUUAAUAAAUAUCAAUAUAAUUUAAUGGUUUAAUUUUUUUGGUAGAUCAAUAUAAUUUAAAAAAUUAAUAGCAGUAUUACUUUUUAAAAUGCAAAUUAUUAUAAUUAUAUUAAUAAUAUAUUUGUAUUUAUUAUAAAAUUUAUUUUAAUAAAAUCUUAAUUUUUUUUAAAUAUUUGUAUAUAUUGUUAUAUUUUGUUAUAAUAUUAUAUUUAUAUUUAUUAAAAUAUAAGAGUCAAUAUUUUUAAAUUAAUUAAGAUAAAAAGUAUUAUAAUAAAAAAAAAUUCUUUUAUUAAAAAUAUAAUCAUUCUCCCAAACUUAUCCUUGUCCCUUUUUGAAAGGAAAAAAUAAAUUAGAAAAGUCUAUGGUCAUGAUAACAUCUAGCCUUGUCCCGUGGGACAUGGCUACGGUGCAGAAGCUGCAAGUAACAGCUUCGAGCUUUCCCAUUUCCAUCACCUUGUAUUGGGACCUCUUUCUCUCUCCUCUAGCACCCGUGGAAGUUCCCCAUUGGCCGCUGUUACUUACAGAAGCCGUAACAUAGACUUCCCCCGUCCCGUGAUGUCCAUUGUCUGCCACUAUGAAUAAUGGCAAUGACAUUGCAAUUGAAACAUUGAAAAGGUAUUUUCGCAAUAUGACAAAGUUUUUGUUAGGAUAUGGGAGGAUGUCAAAAGUUCACACUACGUUCAUUAGCAUUAGAUCUAAUUUUAUUUCGUCAGUUCCUUAUAUAUUUAUUUCAUUUAUUUCAUGGGUCCCUCUAUGAUGCUGUAAUUAUUUUACAGCAUCAAUAGUGUAAGCAAUAUUAACCAUUAGAUUUUAUCAACAAUGUAUAUUAUAUUUAUUAAUAAAAAAAUAACAUAACCGGUUAACAGGGGUGAGCUGUUGGAUCGUGGAGUUGGUAGAAGUAUGCGAAAUUUCAAUGACGACCCCUACAGUUUUAAAAAUUCUCACAUGUUUCACUUGAAUAGCAUAUUCAGAAGAAUAACACAAAAUUUAAUAAAAUAUAUGAUUUCAAUGAAAUAUAUGAACAUGCAUAUGAAACCCACAUUCAUAGAAAUGUUUCAUUAGACUUUUAACGUUUAUCUUACCUAUGUAUCCUAAACCAUUCAUUAUCAACUUUUCGUAAUUUUAUUAAAUAGAAAUUUCAAGCAAAACAAGAAAGAGUGACAAUAUGUAAUUAAUUUGAAGAUUUAAUAUAAAACUCACAAUUGCUAAAAUAGUGCUUAAAUUAUAUCAUUAAUGUUAUAAGAUAAUUUGAUUAUCAUGUAACCAAACUAAUUUCAAAAUUUAUUUUGAAAGCAUGCAAAACUAAUUUCAAAAUCUAUUUUGAGAGCAUGCAAAUGGAUGUAGUCUCCACUAUGUGAUUUUUUUAUUCUAAUUUAUGGCCAUGGGAGAGAAUUGGAAGAUCCAUAUUUGUCCAAUAGUGAAAUAUAAAUAAUAGCCCGUCAAUUUCUCAUGUAGUAUAUUUCAUUGGCUUAUUAGCUUACAAAACUAUAUACAAGUGUUAAACAUUGGACUACUGCAUGAAAUGUCAUGUGAUAUAUUUCAUUUGACCUUAGAUUAAUUAAAUGCCUAUAAAUGGUUUACAACAUUAAUCUAAAAAUUAAUUUUCACUGAUAUUUAUAUGUGACAUAUCAAUUCAUAAUAUAUCAGGGUAAUUACGAUUUUAAUUUCCCUUCUAUUAAUAAAUAGGGGUAGAAAGAAGUACUCAAUAUGUGUGUGUGUGUGUGUGGGGGUAUCAAUUCAUGUCUUAAUGAAUACAAGAAAAAUCACAUCUACUAAUUUAACAUAUGCCUUUCUAUAAUAGUGUUUGUAAAAUAUAUUUUAUUUGCUAUACUUUGGAAGACGUGUAGUAUAUUAUUUUAUAAUUCGUUUUGUAAUUUACAGAAAACGUGUUUAACAUGUUUUAACUUUUAUUACUAUCAAAUAGAUUCUGUUUAAUACAUUUUAUAAUUUGAUUUAAGGUUUAGGCUCACCAAACAUACAUUACACCUAUACUAUUAAAAUGAAAAUGAAAAUCGGGGCUACAAAAUGAUACUGAACAUACCCUAAGUUACUUGGAGUGUUAGUUUAGAAAUAAGUAUCACUGUAGGCUUAAAUUUAUGGAACAACUUUUCAGGACUGUUGGUCUUCCUCCAUUAGCUUAAUUUAGGUCUGUAUUUUCAUUUUUUUUUAAAUGGCGCAAGAUGAUGAUGAUGAUGAAAUUGUGCUAUUUGUAAUGAUGCUCCUUCGUAUUCAAUAAGAAUCAUAUGCAUAUUCAAUAGUGAAAAUAUGAUAACUCUAUCGUAAUUUGAUCAUAUUACAAUACAAUUGAUUACUAAAAAAUGUCUUUAUAUUUUUUUAUUACAUUUUACAUUAAAGUUGUAGCACAUUAUAAAUGCAAAGCUUAAUGUUUAAUAACAUAACACUUCAACAAAAUCAACAUCUUAAGUAUGAUGUAUGAUAUAGAAUAUUGAAAUAGUUAUACCUAACACUCACAACAAUUUAUAAAAAUUUAUAGUGUUUUAUUUACAAUAUCUUUUCUAAUUAUAUAUGUAUUAAUAUCUAUCUUAAAGUCAAUUUUUGGAUUAGUAGAUUUUAAUAAAUCCAUUGGUAUAGAUUAAUAAUAACUUAAUAUUAAAAAAAUUAAUUAUACAUGUUAUUUUAUUAAUUACACUUAUUUUAAUAUUUUAUUUGUAUCAUAUGAUAUUUAUUAUUAUUUUUAUCCUAUUACUAUAUGUAUAUUUAUUUAGGUUGUGUAAAUCAAAACGUAUAAUAGUCAUUUAUGAAAAUUAAGGGGUCUGUAUUACCAUUUAUGAAACUAAGUGGAUCUAUAUGACUAUUUGAGCAAACCUUGGGAUGUGUGUGGCUUUUUCUCAAAUUAAUAUUAAUUUAAAAUUAAAAAAAUAUUUACCAACAACUUGUAGACUACGUGCUACAUUUUCAUUAAUGAUUUAAUUAUCCAUUAUAUUAAAUGGAUGAUUGAGAUUAAAAUACUUAAAACUAAUAGUCCACAUUAAUCCCAGUAUCAAUAUUGUAAAAAUACAUACAGUAUCAUAAAGAAAUCCUUAUUUCAUACAUAACUGUUUUUUUUCUUUGGUUUUUCUUUUUCCAAAACAUAAAUAGACCAAGCACAUCUCCAAAUCGGGUUGGAGCGGAGAUUCUAACCCUACGAUGGCCAUAUUAAAAUUUAAAUUUUUUUAAUUUAUUUUUUUCUUUUAUAGCUACAUCUCAAUAUUUGAAAAAAUGAUUAUACAGAUCUAUAUAUUUUUAAUAAGAGAUAUUAAGAUGCUCUUUUUUUACUAUAACACCUACUAGUUCUAUUAACUCAAAAAAUUACCAACAAAGUGUUGGCUCCACUGGCAAUGGAGUCCCCUUAAGUGGCUUGACUGGGUUUGCUCUCCAGUUCGAGUCGCAGGGAAGUCGCCUUUGUUGGGAGAACAUGUGUCUCCCGGUUUGAGCGGGGACUUCUAGUCUGGGUUGUGGUACGGGCUUAAAGGUGCUUCCCACAGUUGGGGCCCUCCCCAGGAUACCUCGUGGAUAAGACCAAAAAAAAAAACUCAAAAAAUUGACUUCAAUAUUAAUACAUAUAUUUUAAAAUUAUUUUAAUAUUUUUAAAAAAUAUGAAAAAAAAUUUAAUACUUUACAAACUUAUACUAUAUUAAACUAAAUUUUAUAAUAAAUAGAAACUUAAUAUGAAAAUAAACGUCUAAAAAUUUAAAUUAUUUUCAAUAGCAUAUAGAAUAAUUAUAAUAUUAUUAAUACCUAAGAUAUAUUAUAUUAAUUAUAAAUUCUAUUUAACACAAAUAUUUAACUAAAACUGUUAAUUGCAAUUUCUUUUGAAAACAAUAGAUCAAAUCAUUAAAGUGCAUGUGAUGAUGAUUUGCUGUUUAAUUAUUUCUUUAGAAUAUAUCCAAACGUAAGGUUGUGAACUAGUGCUUUCUUCAACUUAAUUGGGUCCAACAAUACACCGCAGCUUCCUCUUUUGGUCAUUCCAAGUUUAAUUCUUAUGAAAGAAGUUACUACUGAUUUAAGUGCAUGUGAAUGAAAAAAAACAAAUACAUAUAAUUAUUCUAUACAUGCGUCAACAAGGCAACAGUAACCAAAUAAAUGAUAUGAAAGGGGGUGCAUGAUUAAGUCCUUUUCUUAUUCAAUUCAUUGUUAUUAUCCUCAUCAACUCUUUUCUCACUUAUUUUUCAGCAGUUACUGUUCAUAGCAUUGUUAUUAUUCUCAUCACUCAUUAAAAUUAUUCUUAAAUAUUCAAGGCCGAAAAGAGAAGCUCAUCAACUGUCUGAUCCCGGAUAAUUAAAGAGGUGAACUUGUUCUAAAUCCUUUGAUAAUUUCUAUUAAUAGCAUAAUCUCCUUGAUCCAAGAAAAAACAUCUCCUGUUUGUCUUAAUCUUGUCAUUUAAUUUUCUUGAUUUAGGUUACUGUUCAUUGUUAACUUCUGUGUUCUUUAGCAUUUGUUAAUUUGCAUCCCUCCUCUAAAAGUCUCUAAAAAAGAAUGUUGCUUUUCAUUCAUACCCUUGAAACCUUUCAGUUAAUAGCCAAAACUCUAAUCUUUCUUUCUCUUCCUCUCAAAAAUGUGCCAAAAAAUGUGCCAAAAAAGUGAAUCCAAUUUUUUCAACAGCAAAUAUAUAUGUACACACACACACAUAUUGUUAAAAAGUGCAGAAAAGCCACUCAAAAACGUGGAGAAAAAUCACUCAAAUUUAUACAAGCGUCAACAGGGAAACAGUAACCAAAUACGUGAUACAAAAAGGGGUGAAUGAUUCUGUCUUUUCCUUUUGCAAGUCGCUGUUAUUACUCUCAUCAACUCCUUUCUCACGCAUUUCUCAGCAGUUACCAGUAAUAUUUAAAAUCGCUGUGUAGGUAUGCAAAAGUUCGGUAAGUGCACUAAUAAUUAUUUGCCAGAAAAAAAGUAGUUGCGUCAAUGAUAUAUUAAUCUUUAGUUGAAUUGACAUCCAGGAACCCAAUUGAGUUGCUUAAUGAUUAAUUAAUUAAUCAAUUUAUAAUAUAUUAAUCUUUUUAGUUGAAUACUUAAAAUCUUAGACCCUAAACAAUAAAUUAUUUGAGCCAUAUAAAAGAGAAAUUAUCAUUCAAUUUUUUUUUAUUUGUAGCUUAUAAAAGAGAAAUUAUCAGUCAUUUACUCAAAGUUUAUUCAAUUAUUAAAAUUAUUAUAAAAAUUUAAAUUUAUUUAAUUUUACACCCAAUGUAUGUAAUUUGUAUUAAAUAUCCGUUAAAAACAUAAAGUUAUUCUUUCAAAGUCACAAAAUAGGAGCGAACACAAAAUUGUAGUGGUGAUUAUGUUUUGGGAGUAACUUUAUCUUUUUAGUAAACAGUUGAUACACAUUGUAAUAAUGGGUAUAAAAUUAAAUAUAUUUAAAUUUUUAUAACUUUUUGGAAAAUAAGAUAAUUCUUAGGUGGAUAAUUAAAAAUUUUUCUUUUCAAAAUAUUUUGAAAACAAUACCAAAUGUACCAUAUCAUUGUUUAUUUACACUAUAUAUAUAUAUAUAUUAACUCAUUCUUAUCCACAAUCUGUCAAUGAAAUAAUUAUUGACACUCAUAUUUGAAAACUUUCGAAAAGAUAAAAUCCAAUAUGAAAGGUGAAACGUUAUAAUCAUAGUAACUAGAAAAUGGAUUGAUUUACAAAUAUCAAUUUAAACAAUUUUCAAGUUGAUCGACAAUUUAAGUAGAUUGACAAAGAUUGAAGUAAUUACUGUUGGUGAUUGAUUGACUUUGUCCUUAUCCUCGCCGCCUUCUUAUCAAAAGUCGAGUGUCAAUUGGGCCAGGGCUUCUGAUUGCAACUAAUAGACUUCAUAUACGCAUAAUGGUCCCUACGUACAUACGUACCAAUAUUUGAUUGAAAAAGGGAUGCGUGCUUAAUGCUCAAGUCGUCUUCUUUUGGAAAUUCAUUGUUAUUACUCUCAUCAACUCGUUACUCGCAUUCCUCUUUAGUCAACAGAGAUCCUUUUGCUCAAUAAAAUUUUUCUUCUAUAUUCAAGGUGAAUACAGCAGCUCAUCAACUCUGAUCCCAGACAGGUAAAGAGGUGCACUUGUUCUAAGACCUUUAAUAUUCUUUUAGUAGCAGAAUCUCUGAUACUUGAUCUUCAUAGCGGUUCUUUCUUAAUUUGCAUCAACUUUCCUAGGAAAAAAUUCUCUGGUUUUUCUUAAGUCAUAUAAUUUAUUUUUCUUAAGUCAUAUCAUUUAUUUUUAGCAGCAGAAUACUUGAUCUUGAUAACGGUUCUUUCUUAAUUUCCAUCAACUUUCCUUGAAGGAUACCUUUUUGUUAAUAGCGAAACCUCUGAUCCUUAAGAUGGAAAAAGAAAUUCUCUAUUUAGAUAUCAGUUGGUUCAAGAUCAAUAUCGCGAUGUUGUUUGCAGUCUUUUCUUUCUCUGUCUUUCCCUUUAGUUCAUUUUAAUUUAUUUGUAUUCCUUUCUUUGACAUAUUAUUAGAUUUGUUAAGUAGCAGGCAAUGGCAGAAGUGGGUCUGGCUGCUUUUUCCAGCGUUGUAUCAGAAGGUGCAAAGUCACUGUUCAAACCGAUUAUACGGCAGAUAUCUUAUGUGUUCAAGUACCAGAGCUACAUAGAUGGCCUAAAAGAUCAAGUGAAGCAGCUGGGAUAUAGAAGAGAAACGGUGCAACAACCUGUUAAUCAUGCUAGACUACAAGGGGAUGAGAUUUAUGAGGGUGUCACAGACUGGCUAAAUCAAGUUGAUGAAUUCAGUGAAGGGGUUGCAAAAUCCAUCAUUGAUGAUGAAGAUAGAGCUAAGAAGUCCUGCUUCAGAGGAUUGUGCCCAAACUUGAUUUCUCGUUACAAGCUUAGUAAACAAGCAGCAAAGGCCGCAGAAGCUGCCGCUAGUCUCGUGGGAAAAGGAAACUUCUCUAAUGUUUCCUACCGUCCUGCUCCAGAGAGUACAGAACAAAUGGAAGUGAAAGAUUACGAGGCCUUUGAUUCAAGAAUGAAAGUAUUUCAAGAUGUUGUGGAGGCGUUGAAGGAUGAUAAGCUCAACAUAAUUGGGGUCUACGGCAUGGGCGGCGUGGGUAAAACCACGCUAGUCAAGCAAGUUGCAAGGCAAGUGAUGGAAGAAAAGUUGUUCGAUAAGGUCGUUAUGGCUGAGGUAACACAGACCCCAGAUCAUCAGGAAAUUCAAAAGAAACUUGCUUCUGAUUUAGGCAUAAAGUUUGAGUUGAAUGAGAGUAUAUUCGACCGAGCGGAUCGAUUGCGUGAAAGAUUGAAGAAAGAGAAGCGGGUCCUCAUUAUAUUGGAUAAUAUUUGGAAAAAACUCGAGUUCGAAAAAGUUGGAAUUCCUUCCAGGGAUGUUGAUGAUAAAGAUAAAAAGGAUGAUCAGAGACGAUGCACAAUAACAUUGACGUCUAGAAGUCGAGAUUUAUUGUGCAUUGAUAUGAAUUCUCAGAAAAAUUUCUCGAUCGAUGCUUUGCCACGAAAAGAAGCAUUGCAGUUAUUUGAGGAGAUAGUGGGUGAUUCAACUAAAAUAUCUGCUUUUCAAAGUAUAGCAAAUGAGAUCGUUGAAAGAUGCGGAGGUUUGCCUGUUGCACUGAGUACAGUUGCAAAUGCUCUGAAAACUAAGGAGCGUGACUUUUGGAAAGAUGCAUUGAAUCAGCUAAGAAGAUCGGAUGCAAGAGAAAUUCAUGGCAUGCAAGCAAAUGUGUACACCUCCAUAAAAUUGAGUUAUGACUUCUUGGAAAGUGAGGAGGCAAAAUCUCUGUUCCGUCUUUGUGGUCUAUACAGUGAAGGUAAUGUCAUACAAGUUUCUGACUUAUUGAGAUAUGGUGUGGGUUGGGAUUUGUUUGAAAAUGUUUACACAUUGGAAGAAGCAAGGAGUAGGGUGCAUCGGUUGAUCGACAAUCUCAAAUCUUCAUGCUUAUUGUUGGACGGAGAUGCUGAAGAUGAAGUUAAAAUGCAUGACGUCAUUCAUGUUGUUGCCGUAUCAAUUGCCGCAGAGAAGCGCAUGUUUAAUAUUCCAAAUGUUGCCGACUUGGAGAAAAAGAUGGAAGAGACAAUACGGAAAGAUCCAAUUGCCAUUUCUUUACCUUAUAGAGGUGAUCAAGUGCUUCCCCAAAGAAUGCGAUGUCCCCGUCUUGGGCUAUUUUUGUUGCAUAGGAAGGGUCUUUGCUCUAUGCAAGUUUCAGACCACAUUUUUGAAGGGACGGAAGGACUCAAAGUUUUGGAUCUUGCCAGAAUUCACUUCUCUUCAUUACCUUCAUCACUUGGGUGCCUCAUUAACCUUCAAACAUUGUGUUUAGACUAUUGCCGACUAAAAGAUAUAGCAAUAGUUGGACAGCUAAAGAAAUUAGAGAUUCUCAGCCUUGUAUAUUCCGAUAUCAAGCAGUUACCACUCGAAAUUGGACGAUUGACGCGGUUACAGUUGCUAGAUUUGAGCAAUUGUCGGAGCCUUGAGUUGAUACCACCAAAUGUCAUAUCAAAAUUAUCUCGAUUAGAAGAACUGUUUAUGCAUAACAGCUUUUCACAGUGGGAUAAGGUUGAAGGAGGAAGUAAUGCCAGUCUUGUCGAGUUGAAAGCGUUGACAAAGCUAACUACUUUGGAGAUAGAAGUUCCGGAUGCCGAAAUUCUGCCGCCGGAUUUUGUCUCCGUGGAAUUGGAAAGAUAUAAGAUAUUUAUAGGAAAAAUGUCUGUCCGACGGCUCGUCGAAUCUAAAACAUCAACAUUGAUGGUGCUCAAGGGGCCAGAAAGAGUUAGCCUUCUUUUGGGGAAUGAUGGGACGAAAAUGUUGCUGAAGAGAACUGAAGAUCUCCGUCUAUACUCACAGAAGGGUGUUCAGAAUAUUGUUCAUGAAUUAGACAAUGGGGAAGGUUUUCCACGAUUGCAGCAUCUUCUAGUAACAGACUGUUCUGAGAUUUUACAUAUUGUCGGUUCAGUUGGACGGGUUCGUUGCAAAGUCUUUCCCUUGCUGGAGUCAUUGGAUCUUAUUGAUUUAACUAAUUUGGAGACGAUAUGCUGCAGCCAACUCAGAGAAGAUCAAUCUUUCAGCAACUUAAGGAUUAUAAACGUAGAUUCCUGUCCAAAAUUGAAGUAUCUCUUCUCAUUCUCUAUGGCUAAAAACCUAUUGGGGCUUCAAAAAGUAAAAGUGAGAAAUUGCGAUGAAUUGGAAAUGAUGAUUGGUAAGUGUUUAAAUUAAUUAUUGGUAGGAUUAUUGACAUUGACUCAUUCUUUUUUUCUUUUUCUUUUUUUUUUGGGUGAAAAAACAACGGAUGUUUAUUAUAUAUUGUUUUUGUUCAUUUAUAGGGCCCGACAUGGAGAAACCAACAACUACUGAGGGACUCACAGAAAUCAUUGCAGAGGAUGAUCCUAUUCACAAGGUGAUAAUUUUCUGUUUAAUAAUUAAUUAAUUAAUAUUUUAUCGCGAUUGAUCUUCAAUCAUCAAAAGAAUAUUAUAUUAGAAGUUGUAGUUGAAGGAACAAAAAUGUACGGUUUUGCUGUGCAGGUUACUUUUCUACGCUUAGAGGAACUGAAACUUGACGGUUUAAAAAACAUCAAAAAAUUAUGGCCCGAUCAAUUUCAGGGAAUGUAUUGUUGUCAAAAUUUAACAAAAGUGACCGUGGAAAGGUGUUAUCGUCUGAAGUAUAUGUUUUCAUAUUCUAUGGUUAAUAGUCUUUUGCAACUCCAACAUCUUGAGAUUAUUAAUUGUUGGUCAAUGGAAGGGGUAGUCAACAACACCGCGGGGGGGUUAGGAGGAAGAGAUGAAUUAAAGGUUUUUCCUAAACUACACUCCCUGCGGCUCCAUUGCCUUCCAAAACUAUGUAGCUUCACCUCACCAGAAGACGUCAUUCACACUGAAAUGCAACCUCAAUCUUUCUUUAAUGAAAAGGUUUUUUUUUUUUUUUUUAAAUUAAUUUUAUUUUCAAUAGUUAAUUUCUUCUUUCGUUGAGUCUUCAAAUUUAAUUAAUAUCCAUCUCUAAUUGCAUUGAAUUUUUAACUUCAGGUACGACUCCCAAGUCUGGAGGUAUUACAUAUUAGUGAGGCGGAUAAGUUGAGAAAAAUAUGGCACCACCAGCUUGCUUCGAAGUCUUUUAGCAAAUUGAAAAAAUUGGAGAUAUCUUGGUGUAAUAAUCUAUUGAAUAUUUUUUCUCCAUUGGUAAGAUUGCUAUAUUCAUUUUGAAUUUUUAUUUCAAAUAACAUUCAACAAUUAUUUUAAUCAUUUUUGUGUUUACAAAUAAUUUUCAUUCACAAAUUAUUUAUUGCAAGUAUUGUACUUCAAACUUCUGGAGGGAAAAAAAGUAGUGUACUUCAAAUCACCAUUCUGAACUCUGCAUUUUCAAUCUAAUUUAUAGGUUCACCUGCAUUAAAGUCAACAAUAUAAUUGUUUUAAACACGAUUUAACAGCAUAAUAUAAUUCAAUUUAAUUUUUUUUUCUUAAAUCGUAAUAAAUAAGAUUUUCAGAAAUUAAAAGAUACUUAGUUACUCAGCUUUUAAGUUCACAAAUUCAUAUAUAUUUCUCUUGUCCUUGGGUCUUUAGAUUUCGAUUUUAAAAAAAAUAAAGAAAAGUGUUCAAAUGUAGUUAGUAUCUCUAGUUUAGUUAUGAAUUGAUUACGCCAUUGAUUAAGCACAAAUUCAUGAUGGUCAUUUUGAAUCGACCGUUGAUUAAAAAAAUUCCUCAAAUAUUCACUCUAUAACAAUCCCAUGUUGAUGGCGUUGGGAAGUGUUUUCCAGAAAUGUUUUCCAUUUUUAAAAGCAUGAAUAUCGGGAAAAAAAAAAAAAAAGAGAAAUACAACGUUUUAGUUUAGUUAUUUUAAAAAUAGGCAUGUUUGAAAAUUAAAAAUUUUUAAAAACUAGCAUCAAGAUGAAAAAUGAAUUUAUAAUAUUUAAAAAUUACCUGAAAUUCUUUCUCCGUUCCUAAUACUAAAUAGUGUAAAUGCAUUUUCAUUAUCUUUGUUUUUCUGGACUUCUAUUUAUUUAUUUAUUUUUGUUUUAAUUUUUUCCUUUUUUUCUUUAACAAAAAAUAUCUAGUAGACAUUCAUGAUUUGUUAUUUUUCAUAAAACAAUUGUAUGAUUUUGACAUACUUUGAAUCUAGUUGAAUGCUACUCUUUAUUUUAAGGUUGGAAUUCCUAGUAGCCUGGUGAAUCUUGAUGUAUCAUACUGUGAAAAAAUAGAAGAAAUCAUAGGACAUGUUGGAGAAGAAGCGAAGGAGAAUCGUAUUGCUUUCAACGAAUUAAAACUUUUGGUACUUGAUCAUUUACCAAGGCUUACCAGCUUUUGUUUGGAGGAUUACACUCUUGAAUUCCCAUCAUUGGAACGAGUUUCUAUGACAUGUUACCCGAACAUGAAGACUUUUUCUCAGGGAAUCGUAUCCACACCAAAGCUGCACGAAGUGCAGGUGAGUAAAAAGGAAGUAUUAAGUUUUAUAUGAAACUGUGAUGUUGUUUGGUUACUAAGAAAAUAGGAAGAAAGAAAACUUCUGUAAGCUGAGAAUUCUGUUAUUAUUGAUCUAAUGAAUCUGGAAAUUACAAGCCUUUUUAUAUGUGCAUAGAAGAUUCUACACACAUUGCACACACGCACAGUUUACUACUAACAACCUCUAUAACAACCUUUAGCUGACUCAGCUGCCAUGUCAGCAUACUCAUUAACUAACUAAUUCUAUUCUUAACAGGAAGAGGGUGAAUUGCGCCGUUGGGAAGGCAACCUUAAUUCCACUAUACAAAAGUGUUACGAAGAAAUGGUAUGUGUUAAAUCGAUUCGUCGAAAUUACUUAUGCAUCUCCCUUGCACUUGCACAUUUGAACAUAUAAGUUUAAUGUAUAUAUAUAUCUAAUGCCUUUCAAGAAAAAAAUUUAUAUAUAUCCAGUGCAAUUGUUUUGGUUUGUGCAGAUUGGAUUUCGUGACAUACAGGAUUUGCAACUCUCACAUUUUCCACGUUUGAAAGAAAUAUGGCAUGGCCAAGCACUGCCUGUCAGCUUCUUCAACAAUUUAGUACGACUGGUGGUGGAUGACUGCACGAAUAUGUCGAGUGCUAUUCCUGCCAAUCUGCUACGGUGCUUGAACAAUUUGGAAUACCUGGCAGUGACGAAUUGUGAUUCACUAGAAGAGGUGCUUCAUUUGGAAGAGCUAAAUGCUGACAAAGAACAUAUAGGUCCCCUGUUUCCUAGGCUUUACAGUCUAAGGCUCACUGAUCUUCCAAAACUCAAAAGAUUCUGCAACUUCAUUGGGAAUAUAAUUGAAAUGCCUGAGUUGGAGAAUCUAACUAUUGAGAAUUGCCCUGAUAUGGAAACAUUCAUAUCCAACUCUGUAGUGCACGUGACAAUAGAUAACAAGGAACCUCAAAAAUUAACAUCAGAAGAGAACUUCUUGCUGGCUCAUCAAGUACAACCUCUCUUCGAUGAAAAGGUGAUUAUUAUUAUUAUUAUUAUUAUUAUUCCCUUCACUUUCGUUCGCAUAGAUGUAAUUUCAUAAGAAUCAAGUCAAAUUUAAUGACUCAUCUUUUUGCAUGUCAUCUUAAUUUAUAUAUGAUUUAACAAUAUAACCGCAGUUAUUAACUAUCUUUAUAGUAUGAAUUAUAAAAAUGUCUGGAAUUAAUUGGAUUCCUGGCAACACGAGGUGCUGAACUAUAUUAAUUAUGUGUGUUAAUUCAUAUUGGAUUUAGGAUCAGAUUUCAUUUAUGUGUUUCAAAGGGUAAUCGAUUUGAUACUUAUAUUUGGGAUCCUACUGCAAAGCAUACUGAUUUGGAAAUAAAAUAUAAAAUGCCGUGAUUAAUCUUGUCCAUAAAAUAUGCAGGGGAAGACUGCAGAGAUUGGAUACAUAUUUUCAUUUCCAACUUAAUUUUGUUGAUUUUCAGGUUGCAUUCCCUCAAUUGAGAUGGUUAAACCUGUCUAGAUUACACAAAGUGCAGCAUCUCUGGAAGGAAAAUGACGAAUCCAACAAAGCGUUUGCAAACUUGGGAAGUCUAGAAAUAUCGGAAUGUAGUAAGUUGCAAAAAUUAGUACCACCUUCGUGGCAUUUGGAAAAUCUUGCGACUCUGGAAGUAUCGAAGUGUCACGGGUUGAUAAAUUUAUUGACGCUCUCAGCAUCUGAAAGUCUAGUGAAUCUUGAAAGAAUGAAGGUAGCUGAUUGCAAAAUGAUAGAAGAAAUCAUACAAUUGCAGGUUGGAGAAGAAGUGAAAGGCUCCAUUGUCUUCGAGAAAAUGAACUACUUGACACUUGAUUGUUUGCCAAGCCUAACAAGCUUUUGUUCGAGUAAUUACACUCUUCAAUUCCCAUUCUUGCAAAAAGUAGUUGUGAGACAGUGCCCAAAGAAGAAGAUUUUCUCUCAAGGAGUCGUAGACACACCAAAUCUAAACAAAGUGAAACUCACCGAAGAAAAAGAUGAUGAUGAUGAUGAAGAAGAUGAUGAUGAUGAAGGAUGUUGGGAAGGCAACCUCAAUGACACCAUAAAAAAAUUGUUCAAUGAAAUGGUGAGUAUCAAUUAAGUUUUGGUGCUAUUUAGCAAAUUAUUUUAUAGAAACUAGUGUGACAUAAUAUGAUUGGUUGACUGAAAAUAUAUAAUAAUAAUAGUAAAUAAAUAAAUUAUGAGGAGCAUGUAAUGUUUUUGUUUAACCAAUCAUAUUAUGUCGCAUUAGUUUAUACAAUAUUAUUUGUGCACAAGAGGUGGUGGUCAUAUCAUUACUCUAGUUUUAUUAUUCUUAUGGUGGCAAUGUAUGCUUGCUUACACGAGUAAUUACAAAAUCUGCAGAAUUCUAAAGAAGAGAUUGAGCCAAUCCUUCAGGUACAGUGAAGAAGCUAUCCCGAACCAGGCCAAUCUCUUAUACAUGAUUUAGCUUGCUCGUUCUUCUGUACUUGAAUAAUUUGGCUCUACAUAUUUACAAUUUUUUGCUCAUGCUACAGACUUGCAAGACACUUUGGAUUUUGUUUGAUGCAUUCUCCGUUUAAGAAAGGACUUGAAUUGAUGUUUCAUGUUUCAUGCAAUAUUCGAUUAGAUUCUGUCUAAAUUUCUGUAUUAUUCGUUCAAUUGGUCUUUUAAGCAUUUGAUUUCUAACCUCUCCUAAUAGAAUAUCAUUAGCCGAUGAAAACAGCAUAACAUUUGUGGUUGUGGCAUUAUCAGAAUAAGAAUAUUUUUUAGUAUAGUAAAAUUAUCUCGACCACUGUUAAAAAGAAUUAAACAGUCAAACUGACCUUCUCACACCAGCACGCUUUAAAUUAAAAGAAUUUCAUGAAGUCAAGACCAUGUUAUAGAUCUUGUGGAAAUAAGUGAACCCGUAAUUUUUUUCACACCAUCAUAAGAAAAAUCAUUUUUUUUAAGUAUUUUUGUUAGCUGUUGAGUUUUAAUAGUAGUAGCUAUUAAACAAUAACAAUUAGUGUAUAUUAAAAAGUUGGAAACUGGUUGAUACCACUCGGGAAUCGAGCAGUUCACUUGUUUGCGAGUAGAAACCAACUUUACUACUAAUUACACUCAUACCAAAAAUAGUGACGAAAGAAUCAGGGAAUUUCCUAUUCACUAUUCUUCAUUUUUUAAUGCAAAAUUCCCAUUCGAAAACACCAAUGACUUUCAUUCAAAGUAAAUGAGAAAUUACAAUGAAAAUAGAAUCAAAAUACAUAUAUGUAUACCUAAAACAAAUGAUUUUUUUAAUUAAAAAAAAAAUACAGUUGAGGUGAAAUGAAACCAGAGUCAUGAUAUCUCUGGUUCCAACUUUGGGACAACAGCAGACUUGAGUUCUAUAUGAGAAACACGUACAGCACCAAUCAGCCGCUCCAGUAAUUCAUCUGUAGUAUUUGCCUGCAUACAGAAGAGCAAGAUAAAGAAGACAAACACAGAAGCAUUAUAUCAUUCUGAGAACAUUCAAGUAUGCAAAAAUGCAAGUUGCAGUGCAAUAUCUCAAAAUCAUGUCUUUUCCCUUGUGUCCAUUUAGCAGUGGGGGAAAAAAACAAUCAUACAUACCUGUACAAGGAAAGCCAUGUCAACCACCAAUGUCGUAAUUACACCAAUUACAAGGCCCAAAACUCCAUUAGCAACAGUAGAAGAAUCGAUGUCAACAUCAAUCUACAGAAAGAUGAACAAUGUUAAACCAUGUUAAAGGUAUUGGACGCUAUUUGAAAGGGGAACAUCUCAUGUACUAUAGAAAUUCCAAGAGCAUUUACUUCUAAGUACUUGGGACCGCGAAUAUAGUUACAAUCAACUGCCUUCCCCAAUAAACAAGGGGUGCUUCCAACACUCUGGCGCACUAUCCAUGACCCCUGCAUGAUUCAGUGCUUAAAAUCAAGAACAAGUGCAAAACAAAUUCAAGAGGGUAAAAAGGACAUAGUUUGAAUCUGAAUCCAAAUCCAUUAAUCCAGAGUUCAUAGCUUGGAUGAAGACUGAUCAACUUCUGUUGAGUUGGAUGAUGUCGUCGAUACAGCAAAAUCUACUUGCUACUGUGAUUGACUCCACAACUUCAAAACAGCUUUGGGAGACUCUUACUAGUAUGUUUAUUUCUUAAUCACAAGCUAGAAUCCAAACACUUAGAAUGCAGAUUCAAACUAUUAAGAAAAGUGCAAUGCAUAUGUCUGAUUACUUUGCAAAAGUAAAACGUAUAGCUGAUACUUUAGCUCUAGCUGGAAAACCUGUUGAGUUAAGUGACCUUGUGAUGCAUGUAUUAACCGGUCUUGAUUCAUCAGAUUAUGAAUCUUUAGUCACAGCUAUUUUAGCUCGAGGUGAGAAGAUAACAUUAGAUGAACUAUAUCCUUUGCUGUUGAAUCAUGAAAAUAGAGUUGAGCAAAAGAAAGGAAAAAUUGCUGGUGAUGUGAUGCACAAUAUAACAGCAAAUAUUGCUCAGAAGAACUCAUGCUGGAAAGAAUAAUGGCAAUUUUCAAAAAAAUUAUGGAAAUAAUUCUGGAGGUGGAAAUAAUUCUAGGUAUGGAGGUUUUAAUGGAUAUGGAUAGGGUCAGUUUAAUAAUGGUGGUAAUUCCUUUGAAAUUGUUUGUCAAAUCUGCUUAAUACCUGGUCAUGCAGCCAAUAGAUGCAAAAAUAGGUACAAUUCAUCUUUUGUUCCACAAAGAAACUAUGGCAGAGGUAAUAUGAAUGGUGUCAGAGGUUUUAAUCAAGGGCAAUAUGGUAGAGGAAGAGCUUUUAAUGGUAAUGGUGGCAGAGGUUUUGGAGGUUUUGGUUUAAAUGCCGGUUUUGGCUAUGCACCCAGGGGUUUUGGCUAUCAAGGAAAUAUAGUGUAUCCAGAUAGGAAUCCUUCUGCUUAUUACUCAUUCACCCUUGGACCAUCUACUUUUGUUUCUGGUCAAGGAAAUAAUAAUCCUGGACAGUCAAGUGCUUCAUCUUCCUCAGCUAUGCCUUCUUCACUUCCACCAGAACACAUUGAAGAUCCUUCAUGGUAUAUUGAUAGUGGAGCAACAAAUCACAUUACAAAUUAUCUAGGUAAACUUCUGGAUUCACAAGUUUAUACUAGUACUGAAAAAUUGUUUGUUGGAGAUGGAAAUGCAUGAGCUAUUACACAUGCAGGAUCAGUUGUGCUAAAUACUUCAACUUCUAAACCUUUAAGAACCAUCUUCUGCAUGUCCCUUUUAUUACUAAGAAUUUGCUUAGCAUUUCAAAAUUAUUGGCUGACAAUCCAGUUAUUGUUGAAUUUCUUGGUGAUUUGUGUUUUAUAAAGGCUAGGAACACAGGGAAAAUUUUACUUGAAGGUGUUGCUAAAGGUGACUUGUAUAGAGUCUCUUCACAUGUUGCUGCUCAUUCAGUCUUUCUCAUUUCAGUUGGUCAAAAUAAAACUCACUCUCUUUGCUUGUUCUCCUGUUUUCAAUUCUGAUCAGCUCACUGCUGUUAGUUCUUAUGAAUUGAAUAAAAAGUCAUGUCUGUCAGUUGUUACAAAGAGUUCUAUUGAUGUAAAUCUUCUUCAUAGAAGAUUAAGACACCCAGCAUCUUAUACUCUCAAAACUAUACUCAAAACUUGUAACAACUCUACUGCUUAUAAUAAAAUUGAAAGCUUGAAAUUUUGUUCAGCAUGUCAAUAUGGGAAAAAUCAUAUGCUGCAUUUUGAUUCAGUUGAAACAAAAACUUCAGCACCCUUACAAGUGAUAUAUGCAGAUCUUUGGGGUCCUUCUCAUGUCUAUUCUACCCAAGGAUAUAAUUACUACUUAUCAAUCUUAGAUGAUUAUAGUAGAUUUACCUGGAUAUUUCCAUUGUCAGCCAAAUCUGAUGCUCUUGAAGUGUUUACCAAUUUCAAAAUUUUUAUUGAAAAGCAUCUUCAACUUCAAAUCAAAACUGUCCAAACUGACUGGGGAGGAGAGUUCAGAACACUUUCCUCAUUACUCACUGCUUCUGGUAUCCAUUUUAGACACCCUUGCCCACAUAUUCAUCAUCAAAAUGGAAGAAUUGAGAGGAAACAUAGACACAUAGUUGAUGUAGGUCUGACCUUAUUAGCUCAAGCACAUUCACCACUCAAAUUUUGGUGGAAUGCAUUCCACACAGCUGUCUAUUUGAUAAACAGACUUCCAACUCCAGUUCUAAACAACAUUUCUCCUUUCCAAAAGUUAUUUCAUCAUCAACUAGAUUAUUCAACACUUAAAACCUUCGGUUGUGCUUGUUAUCCAACACUCAGACCAUACAAUAGACAUAAGUUUGAUUUCAGAACUGCCAGAUGUAUAUUCAUUGGCUACAAUUCACAACACAAGGGAUAUCAGUGUCUUCACUCUUCUAAGAGGGUUUACAUUUCAAAUCAUGUCACCUUUGAUGAAAAUUCUUUUCCUUGUGAGUCUGGAGCAGAUUUUUCUUCACUCUCUUCAAGUUGUCAGUCAACAAAAAACUAUAAGUCUUCUUUCAAUUCCUCUGUUCCUUCUGUUACUCAGUUACAAGCACCUUUAGCAGCAUCAUCAGAACACCAUCAAAAUGUUCAUCAUUUAGAUGCUCCUACUCCCUCACCAAAUUCUACUCCACUUUAUUUUUCUGAUAAUUCCAACUCAGCUUCUUCUUCUUCACCACCACAUAAUUCACCUCCACAUACAUUGCCACAACCUGCAUCAACUGGUCAUCCAAUGAUAACCAGGUCAAAAGCAGGUAUUUUCAAGCCAAAAAUUUAUUUGUCAGCUUUAUUAGCCCAAAAAUCAGAACCAACUUCUGUUUCCCAAGCACUUUCUGAUCCUAUGUGGUAUAAGGCUAUGCAAGAAGAGUAUCUAGCACUUAAAACUAAUCACACCUGGGAUUUAGUUUUACCUGCUACUCCAGUGAAGAUAGUUGGCAGCAAAUGGGUGUUUCGAAUAAAGUAUAACUCAGAUGGUUCAGUUUCAAGAUAUAAAGUCAGGCUUGUUGCAAAGGGGUUUCAUCAGACACAUGGGAUUGACCAUACAUAAACUUUUAGUCCAGUGGUUAAAGCUUCAACUGUUAGAGUUAUUCUUAGCUUAGCAGUAUUGAAUCAAUGGGUGAUUAGGCAAGUAGAUGUUAAUAAUGCCUUUCUAAAUGGCAUUUUAAUUGAAGAGGUGUACAUGGCUCAACCUGAAGGUUUUGUUGACUCAACUAAACCUAAUCAUAUCUGCAAGCUGAAUAAAGCUUUGUAUGGCUUAAAACAGGCACCCAGAGCCUGGUUUGAUAGAUUCAAGGAUGCAAUGAUCUCUAAACAGCAUUUCCAACAUUCAAGGUCUGAUAACUCUCUGUUUCAUGCCUGGAACAGUGGUCAUCUAACUCUUGUUUUGGUCUAUGUUGAUGAUAUUAUCAUCACUAGUUCCAGUCCAACACUAAUUCAGCAAGUUAUUCAGAGUAUGAAUCAAGCCUUUGCUUUAAAAGACAUGGGGGAACUUAGCUAUUUUCUGGGGAUUGAAGUCAGCAAGUCUUCAUAAGGGGUUUCCUUGACACAAGCAAAGUAUAUUACUGACAUUCUAGAUAAACAUGGCAUGACAGAUUGCAGUCGUGUGCCUACUCCAAUGUCUACUGGUUAUUAUCUCACAAAAGAAUCAGGAGAGCUAAUUGAUAAUGUUUCUCAAUAUAGGAGUGUUAUAGGAGCUCUUCAAUAUGUUACUCUUACCAGACCUGACAUUGCUUUCUCUGUAAACAAGCUAAGUCAAUUCCUUUCAAGUCCUAGAACACAACAUUGGGAAGCAUGCAAAAGGUUAUUGAGGUACUUAAAAGGCACUAUACAUCUUGGGCUGCAAUUUAAUAACAAAGGAGCUUUGCAACUACAUUGUUUUUCAGAUUCUGACUAGGCUUGUGAUCGUGAUGAUAAGAAGUCACUGGUUGGCUUUGCUGUUUACCUAGGCCUUAAUCUAGUCUCAUGGUCAUCAAAGAAACAAGCUGUUGUUUCCAGGUCCAACACAGAGGCUGAGUAUAGAUCUCUUGCUCAUGCUGCUUCAGAGGUUCCCUGGAUACAAUCUUUACUUGGUGAACUUAACAUCAAAUUGAGCUCUACUCCUAUGAUGUGGUGUGAUAAUCAAGAAGCAAUUGCUUUAGCUUACAAUCCAGUCUAUCAUGCUAAAACUAAGCAUGUCGAAUUGGAUAUACAUUUUAUCCGAGAUAAAGUUACUGCUAAAGAGAUUGAAGUAUGUUUUGUGCCCAGUCAAGAUCAAACAGCAGAUGUGUUGACUAAGGCUUACUUUCAAACAGUUUAGUUACUUAAGAAGCAAGCUGAAUGUUCAUCCUAAACAUUUCAGCUUGAGGGGGGAUGUAGUGAAUUGAAUGAAGUUGGAGCAAAGCAUGAUGUUGCUGUGUAGCUGACUGUAGCAGAUCAACUCACUAGGCUGACCUGGCAAAGUUAGUUAGCUGGUUGAGCUGAUGUGUCAAAUUAGUUAUGCAGCAAAUGGUUAUGUGAUGUAAAAAACUUGUGUGUGUGUUGAGCAAAUUGUAGCUUAAUAUAAAUAUCAGUCUGUAUUCAUUUAGUUGUAAUGCUAGAGUAAUAAAGGUUCUACAAACUUCUUUACAGCGCUUUCUUUUAUUUUCUUUCAUUUUCUAGCUUGCCAAACAAUACAAAACUAAGUUUCUUUCGGAAAAGGAAAAAUAAAAAGAAAAGAAUAGUUACUUGUGCAGUACAGCCUUGACGCCUAGCUACAUGGUCCAUUCUCUGUGUCUUUGAACCAAUCAACAGCAACAAGAUCCAUUAAAUGUUUUCCCGCAGGUAUCUGCAGUUACAAAUUGCACAAAGCACAAGAGCCAACCAAACUACAUCAUAACCUGUCGACCUAGCAUAUGCAGGAUAUAUAACUACCAUAACAAACAACCAAAAUAUGGGGGAACCUUUGUUUUGUCAUAACAAAAAUGCUUGCUACGAACUCUAAAGUUAUUUCCACCAGAAAGUUUCCAGCAGUCACGAGCAUUAUCACAGUCAUCGUGUCGCAGAUUGCCUGAAAAAUAAGAAAAAUCAAUUUGAUCAGCCUGCUCUUCCUCUAGGGUAGCAACUAAUUGAAAAUUAUAAACCAAAAAAAAAAAUCAAUACCAUAAAAAUCCACUAAUGAGGACAUUAGCCAAAUAUACAAAAAUGAAUACUUAUCAUCCACCUGUCCUCUUGAAAUCAUUCUCAAUCUUUUUUUCAUUUGAUGGCAGGAAUUAUUGAAAUUGGAGCCAUUUUUUUUGUGGGAAUUGAAAUAUAUUCUUUAAAUUAUUACAUAAAUAGCAAAAUGUACAUACACACACAUAUAUAUAAUUCAUAUAUAAAAAUUCUCUAAUUUGUUCACAAGUACCAUAGAUUAUAAUUCAGUUAUGAAAUAAAAUAACUACAAUAAUUAUAGUUAAAUGAAUACUUCAUUAAUUCUUAAUUUGCUUCCUAACAUUAAAUGAACAACUUGAGUCAGCCACCUGAAUCAACCAGUAACAACGCCUGAGUCAACCAUCUGAAAAAACCAGCAACCCUAGCUGAUUCAAGCACCUGCAAUUAACAUCAACACAACAGGAACAAUCAUAAAUCAGCACCAAGAACAGACCAAACUGCCAUCAAAUGCCACAAAACCAAACAGUCUGCUACUGCCAUCAAAUGCAAGCAAACAUAUGCAACAAAACCAGAUGCAAGUGAAAUUCUGGAGAAUAUCGGAUAAACCAAACCAAAUGCCACACUUCUAGUAAUUAGACUAGAUGCAGUGUUCAAUUAAACUAAAUGUAGUCUCAUAUUACAUUCAAAUUUUCUAAAAAAACCAGUGUUCCAUCAGAGAAGCACCAAAACCAAACCAAUCUAAUCCAGCAUAAUUACCAGCUCAACCCAAAACAAUUACACAUUAUAUUGACAUAUCAAAAUUCGCUAUCAAAACAUAGCCAAAUAAAUGACAAUAAACUGAAAACAGACCCGAACCAACUGAUGUUGCAGCCCUAGUAGUCAUUGUGCGUUCCACUGCCAUAGGAGCGAGGGUAGGCUCCGUUGUUGAUGAGUGAGUAAGAUAAGGCUCCAAAUCAAUAGUUCCACCUCCUUUCUGCAAUUCAAAAAACAGAAAUUCAUAUAUGUAAAACUAUUAAAAAGUGUGAAACAACCUGUAAGUAUUCAACUUCUGUCAACUCAAUAGCACUUACUAAAGUUUUUAUACAGAAGAAAAAGGCAUUUUAAGUCCAAAAAAUUAGAAUUAUUGGUUGAACUCCAACUCCAUCAAUCCAUGCAACCAUCCAACCUUUAACGAAAAAAUGAAGCAUAAUUAACAAGACAUCUGAAUCAGAAAGAUUGUGCUUUGAUUUGGCACGAGGUGUUGGAAACAACUUAACAAAUCUAGACACAAUCUAUAACCAUCAAGUCCAAACAAAAGUCAGGAUCUAAAAUACUUUGAAAAAUCAGAAAAACCGCAAAAUAUCAGUUUCAAUUUCUUUUUCACCCAUUGUAAGCUCAAACUGAAGGUAGCGGCGCUACCUUUAAACAUCAUUUGGGCUUAUACAUGUGACAUUUGCUCAUGAACAACUAAAGUUGAAUAAGAUUUUUAUAUGAAACGGAAUAUAAAAAGUCAAAGUAGAAUAUGACAGGACCAACAAUAUAUUAUUCAGCAUUAGCAUUAUGUAUAAAAUAAAUUUAGAGGCAUCAUAUUCAUUCACAAUCUUGCAGAGGUAAUACCAGAUUAUGGCACGCAACUCUUGAAUAGCAGAUAAAGGAGGAGAUGCAGUGGGAAGGUAGUAACUUGCUUGCAUGAGAACUAAAAAGUAAUAUCCCAAGAUCAAUUAUAGAUCUCAUAAAACAAAAACAGUGAGGCAAACACAAUUAUUGUGAACAAUUAUUCAUAGAACCACAUAGCAGCAACAAGAUCAAAGUCAUCUGUGUAUAAAUCGAUUCCCCACAGCUGACUGCCUCUGACCUAAACAUAAUGAAAUUACAUAACUAAGAAGUAGAGUCAUAAAAUAUGCUGCUGUAACAGCUAUCAAUAAAUUUCCAGACAAAUGGAAUUUGAUAUGUAAGGCUAUAACUAGCAACACUUCAAAAUAAUUUGAAGUAGCAUGAUCUUACUUUAAGGAUCAAUACUACAAUCUUUCAGAAAAAUUAAAGUCUAACCAAAAUUAAAACCUUAAACAUACUAAAAUCUGGUAAAUAGACCUAUAGGAAUUCCAAUGACCUCCAAAAUAUUUGAAAGAAAAAUUAAUUUACAGCAAAAAAUGUUAAAGAUUUGUAAAAUGGAGGCCCAUACUACUAUUCAAAUUACAAAAGAGGAAAGGGAGCUGGCCAUUAAAUGAUAAAGGCAUGCAUAAAGAAAUACGAGCACCACAUUAAAUGAUAAAGGCAUGCAUCGAGAAAUACAAAAAAUAUGCCCAUAAAGACGUCCACUCAAGCCUUAUAAGCGGCUUUAUGCAAAGGAAAGCCAAUUAGUUAACAGUAAAUGAAUUUCAAGGUGCAAUAAUUAAACUCCCUGAUCAGCACAUUUAAGGUUCAUGCAUUUCUACAAAACAUGUAAAUCAUAAGAACUUUUUUGGUCCAAAUGCUAACCAGUAAUUAAGUAGAUUAUCAAAGUAGUCACAGAACAAGCACCACAUUGAUUGCUAUGCAAAAGAUGAAAGUAAAAGUUAAUACUUUAUUUUAUUUUACUUUUCGAGAGUUUUGAUCAUCAUGUGCAAAAUAGUAGUAUAACUUGCUCAGUGUUAUCUCAAAAAGCUUGCUUAAAAUACCUAUUAGCACCAGUCCAAGUUGUCAAAUAAAUCCUUAUCUAUCCAUUCAUCUCUGACCUUGCCAAAAAGAUUUAAACGAGCAUCUAUAUUCUCACUCCAAUCUUUCACAAUCAUAGGCUUUAACUUAGACCAGUUCUUCAAUAUCCCUUCCACUGUGAGCCCCUCGAAAACCUUGUAAAUUGAAUCACAUUUGUCGUCAGUUUCAAAUCCAUCUGUCAAAAGGCUAAGCAAAUGAAUAUACAAUCAACACCAUUCUUCCAAACGAAUAUACAGUCAACACCAUUCUUCUAAACACAAACAAAGUUUGAACGUAUGACAGAUUUUUAGCCAUUUAAUAUUCCAUCAAAUAUAAUUAGAUCACACCUACCAAGGAUUUUUGAAAAGAAUGCAUUCUCAUCUUAAGCAGCAACCUCACUAGUAACACAUUUUCAUACCCUGUUUCCACCUCUGGUCGCACCACCAAAAAAAAUUCAGUACUAAUUAGCUUUAAUAUGUAAAUUUUCGCUUAGUUUAAGCUAGGGUUUUCUUUCGAUUGAAACAGAGGAAAGCUUUUGGGUUAUUAAAGUGAAAGAUAUGGAAUAAUACAAAAAAUUAUUGAAGUGAAAGAGCAGGAAUACAAAAAAUCAGCAGAUGAGAUCGUUGAAAGAUGCGGAGGUUUGUAUAUAAAUAUUAAAUUGAUCGUUGAAAGAUGUAUAAACCUCCAUAAAAUUGAGUUACGACUUGAAGGAUUGUAUAUAAACAUUAAAUUGAUCUAAUUUAACUUGUAUGUAAACACUAAAUUGUAUAUAAAUACACAAAACAGAACCAUAUCAGUGUUGGAAAAAAAAUAAGAAUCCAGAGUUAUAUAAAUUCAAUAAAAAAGUAUUGAAUUUUUUAUUACUAACUUUGAACACUCUAAUUUCAAUAAAAAAAAUAUAUUACUAAAAUAGUCUUAAUUGAAUUUAAUAUUAAAGAUAUUAGAAUAACUCAACACUAAUAUUCUCAAAUAUAUUUCUCUCCAUAGUCUAAUCUAAUCCAUUCUAAGAAUCCUAUAGAAAAUCUAUUAUUUACUUUUUCCUUAUUAAACACAAAAACAUGUCAUUUUGUUGCUAACUAAAAUUUUGGAACUAACAACAGCAGAUUAACUAAAAUUAUCAGGAAAAGAAAUCAAACAGGAUUUUAAUCGUCAUCAUCUUCACUCUUGCCUUUUUCUUUUUCUUCACACAUGUGGCUUGCACACGCAUUCCCCUCUCUCAUCCUUAGGGCCGCCCUUCAACAAUAUCCAAUCAUCGAUUAUAAUUAUUUAGAUUGACCAAAUCAAGCUUUGAUCAUAUAUCGGUUGAGGUUAGAAGUAGGCAGGCAGCAACGACAAUACUAAUUAAUAUCUCAUGAGAAUUUUAAAAAAGAAUCUAACGUUGCCCAAUUCGUUUGAUUUCAAUGAAAUCUUUCUCCUACCUAUACUUUCGCAUAUUCUCUUUUAUUUCCAAAGUUAAGGUUAUGGAUGUUGUAGAGUAAAAAGAUGAACAUUGCUAGGAAAGCAAUAAAAGGAAAUAAAUAAAAAUUAAAAAUAUAAAAAGAGUUAAGUCAUUUUUUUUGUCUAUUAGUGUUUUUGUAUUUAAUAACGAAAGAUAAAAAUGAAGUAAAUAUUAUCUGUUAGAUUAUUAAAAUACAUACUUAAAAUGUUUUAGUGACAAUCUAAUUAUAAAUUAAGGGUCUAUUUGAGAUUGAGAUUGAACAGUUAAAAUGUUAUAGUUGUUGUAGUUUAGAAGUUAAGAUGAUUUGAUUUUACACUUAUAUGAUAAAAAAUUAUUAUAUCUUUAUUAAUUUUAUCAAAAUUAUUAUUAAAAAAACUAAAUUUAUUAUAUACUAUUAAUUUUUAUUUUAUACUUAAAAUUUUUUUUUUCUUACGGCAAAAGUUUUAGCACCUCAAUACCCAACCAAGUCUAAAACUGCACAAUAAUAAUUAUGAGUGUGCAUGUUAAAAUCUACACACAUUCUUUAAUUUCAAUCAACAGUGUUACAAACUUAGUUAAAAUAUUAUAUCUGAAAUUAUUGAGGGGAAAAAAAAAGAAAAAAGAAUGUUGUUUUCAUGAUAGUGACAUGCGUCGUGCACAUUUUGCUGUUGGCUCUUUGGUCUCUAACCUAGCGAAUAGGUUGCUGUGUCCUCGUUGUUAGAUGCCCGAACCCAGCGCAAGAACUUUGUACGAUACCAUAUAUUUUGUAUGAAUUUAAGCUGAAGUUGGUACCUUUUAUUGUUUUAUAUCAUGACAUCAGGGAAAUUUUUAAUAGAUCUUCAUUUUAGGCUAAAGUACCCGAACAAUAGUUCCCAUGCACUUUGUGAUCUUUUUACAAAAUAUUAAACUAAAUAGCUGUGGAAGUAACAAAGAGGGCAACUUUUUACCAUAAUGUGAUGAAAAUAAUUUAUUUGUUGUCAUCACGAACUAACCAAAUCAAAACAAAAAACUAACUCAAAUCUGUGCGUCUAGUAACUUAUAUGAUGAUCAUUAGAUCUUGUUCUUGUUAAUGCGUCUAGUAACUUAUAUGAUGAUCUGAUGAUAUCCGUAACAUUAACAUACCCAUAAUCCAUUAUUUUAUAAUUAUAAAAAUUGAAGAUUCGGUCAUGCAAUUUUGUAUGAUGAACAGUGUUUCAUUUUUCUGUGAAACAUAAGAACAAUUUGUAAAUAAUGUCCAUGCGGACCUUGUAAUAGCGAAGCAUCAUUAUUGAUCUUACUUUGAUGAUCGCACUUUAGUUUCUUUUUAAAGUGCCUUUUGUUUAUUUUAUCGGCAUCCGCUUUUACAAAAGUUUUGGUCCUCGUUCAUUCAUCAAAGCUUCUACUUUUAUCUUUUAUUAGGCAUCUUAUAAAAAGCUUAAUUUAAUUGGAUUCAUGUUCGAUAUGAAGAUUGUUUUACUUACUUCAAUCUUUCAAUCAACCGAAUUUAUUCUUUUCUGAUCUGGAAAUUAUUCAUGAAAAAAUAGGCGCGUCAGUAGGACAACAGGGACCAAGUACAUAAUAUGAAAAUUCAUUUGUAUUGCUUACUCUAAUAAGCUCUUAAACUCACACAUUCCUCUGCAGUUACCAGUGAUCUUUUGCUCACUAAAAUUGUUAAUAUAUAUUCAAGGUGAAUAAAGAAACUCAUCAUCCCAGAUAAUUAAAGAGGUGAACUUGUUCUAAAUCCUUUAAUAAUUUCUAUUAAUAGCAUAUAUAAUCUCUAAUCCUUGAUCUUGAUAGUAGUUCUUUCUUAAUGUCCAAGAAAAAUAUCUCUCAUUUGUCUUAAUCUUGUCAUUUAAUUUUCUUGAAUUCUGAGUUAGUGUUUAUUGUUAAAUUCGGUUUUCGGUUAGUAGCUGUUGGUUAAUAGCUUCGGUUAAUCCUUGAAUUAAACAUAUUAAAAUCUAAUCAUAAACCCGCCUUUCCCUAUUUUACGACACCCUUUGUGUAAUAGUGACUUCAAAAGUGUAACAUAUUUUUGAACAAUUGCAAGGAAAGAACAUAUUUGACACUUCACGAAACGGUAAAUAUAUAAGCUUCAAUUCUUGUACAACAAAUUAAUAUAACCAACAUCAACCGUCAAUUGAUCAAUAAUUCAGUAACAAAAAGGGACAGAUAUCCUAGUCUUUCUUUACUAAUGAAGCAAGCCAUUAAACUUCGAAAGCUAUUUCUAUUUCCACAUUCUUCAUGUACCAAAGCCAAAAAAAAAAAAAAGCAACAAAAAUUUGGAAGUAAUCAUCUUUAUUCAGCAGCAUGCAUAUUAAUUAAAACAUAUUCAAAAAGAGAUAUACAAUAUCAGGUCUGGAGACGAAAUGAGCCCACAGAGACUACCAAUAAUGUAGUGGCUUGAUUAAAAAUAUUAAUCAAGCCACUACAUUAGAAGAACAAGAGUUAAUCAUGCAUAUUAAUUAAAAAUAUUUUUGCUAUCAUCCACCUGUUCUCUCUAAAUAGUUGCCACUUUUUUUUUUCGUUUGUCUGAAAUUCCAAGCAAAAAUAUAAUUAGAAGAACAAGAGUUAAGGGUUAAAAAAAUGGAAAAAUAGGGCUCCUCUGUUUUCAUUCCCCUGUUUUUCUGUUCGGUGAUUACAAAGAUUUAAAUCAAAAUUUAUGAUGCAGGCUACACGGCACCUGGUGGAAGACUGCUAGGGUUUACCUUUUAUUGUUAGUUAGAAAUUUAAUUUAGAAUUUGUAGUGUUUGCCUUAUAUAAGUAGGUUUCCUAAUAGUAAAAUUAAAUAAUCAAGUUUAUGAUGCACUAGGAUAUGGUUGUGAUAAAUGAGCUUUUUAUGUAUCCUGUGAGGCUGAUUAUUAUUUUAUUACAUUGAAGAUUCAGUCAUCUCUUGGUAGUCUUGUGAAUCAAGCGGAUUUAGUUAGUAGUAGGUAAUACUCUGGACUUCACAUAGUAAACGGAAUGGAGCAUUAUUUUAUCCCGCUAAAUCAGUUUUUUUUUUAAUUAAAAAAUAAUUCAUCAAACACUUUAUAGCUCUGGUUUUAAGUUGGUAAACACUUUAAGCCGCAACUUUAAAUUCAGUUUACGAGAACUCCUAACAGUCACUGUGGCUUGGGUAGAAAUGAAUAUACUAGCAUAAGUAAUGCUACCCAGGAAAUGUAGUUGAACCUAACCAAACUAAAACCAGAUGAUGAAAGCUUAUAUACGCCAAGAGAUUUAUUCGUUUCUGAGUUUGUUUCCAGAAACCCGGAACCUCCCCUGUUUCUACAAACACGGCACCUUUGUUUUCAUUCCCCUGUUUUUCCAUUUGGUGAUUGUAAAAAUCUAAAUCUAAAUUCUUGAUGCAGUCUACACGGCACCUGCUAGAUGAUUGUUUGGGUUUAUCUUUUAUUCUUAAUUAUCAAUUUAAUUUAGAUUCGUAGUGUGCACCUUAUGAAAGAUUAAAUAGAAUAAUGUGAAAAAAAAAGAAUGCCUUUGUUAAUUUUGACUUCAUAAUGUUGCAGUAACCGUCCUCUCUUAUCAUUCCCCUGUUCUUUGGUUUAGUGAUUGCAAAUAACAUUCUUUUCAUCUACUCUUUAUUUAUUUAUUUUUAAUUUUUAACUCAUUAAUUCUUGUUCUUCUUAAAGCGUUUAGUAAAUUAUAUGAUCACCUGAUCAAAUCCCUCACAUUAACAUACAACAUAACUAACAAAGUGUUGGCUCCACUGGCAAUGGAGUCUCCUCAAGUGGCUUAACUGGAUUUGCUCUCCAGUUCGACUCGCAAGGAAGUCGCCUUUGUUGGGAAAACUUGUACCAAAAACUCUGAUCUGUUGGCUUUGUAUCAGUAUUGCUUGUUUGUUGUCUUUUAUUUCAUUAUUUGUAUCUAAGUUUAUUUGAAGAUUACAGAUCAGCAGGAAAAGCCCUUUUUCUAAAGCUAACUAUACAGAUUUUAGAAUAGGGCUCAACCACAUGAAAAUAUUUACGUUGUAAUAUCUCAUAUUAAUAAUCUAAAAACAACCAAUCCAACAAGUUCAAAUUCAGUCAAAUCUAAAAAAAAAUUGCUUUUAAGGAGUACAUGAUAGCUAUUAAACUUUGGUUAAAGAUCUUUUGGGCAAACGUGAAAUUCAGUCAAUCAUAAAUCAACCAAUCCAACGAGUUCAAAUUCAUCACUUGCAAAAUUAAGUUUUCUUCCGAAAUUGAGUUUUUUCCAGUAGAAAUUUUCCCGCAGUCACGAGCACUAUCAUCAAAACAAGAUUAUUAACAUAAGAACAAGAGUUGAGGAAAAAAAUAUCUGUUUAUAUGGACACGGGGUGCACGCUUUAAGUCUUGUUCUUUUACAAUUCAAUUGUAUUGCUUACUCCCAUAAACUCCUUACUCACAUUCUUCUGCAGUUAACAGUGAUCUUUUGCUCAUUAAAAUUUUUCUUAUAUAUCGAAGGCCAAGAGUGAAGCUCAUAAACUCUGUGAUCCUAGAUAACCGAAGAGGUGCGUUUGUUCUAAAUACUUUAAUAAUUUCUUUCAAUCGCAUAAUUUCUAAUCUUUGAUCUUGAUAGCAGUUGUUUCUUAAUGUCCAACAAAAACUAUCUCUUGUUUGUCUUAAUCUUGUCAUUUAAUUUUCUUGAGUUUUAAGUUACUGUUUAUUGUUAACUUCUGUGUUCUUAUGCAGUAUUAUUAAUGGUUAAUUUGCAUCCAUCUUCCAAAAAAGUUUUCUUUCUUCAUAAAAUUGUUGGUUUUCCAUUCAGGCCCCUGAAACCUUUUUCUAAAAAGUUUUUUGUUGUCGUUUCUUUCUUUUUCUUCCCCGCUAGUUCAUUUAAUUUAUUUGAAUCCAUUUUUUUUUCAACAGCCAAAAACUAGAUAUUUAUAGUUAAGCAACAGGCAAUGGCUAUAGAAGCGUGUCUGGCUUUUUUAACCAACUGUGUAUCAGAAGGUGCAAAGUCACUGUUCAACCCUAUUACACGGCAGAUAUCUUAUGUGUUCAAGUACCAGAGCUACAUAGAUGAGCUAAAAGAUCAAGUGAAGCAGCUGGGAUAUAAGAGAGAAAUGGUGCAGCAACCAGUUAAUCAUGCUAGGCUACAAGGGGAUGAGCUUUUUGAGGGUGUCACAGACUGGCUACAUAGCGUUGAUGAAUUCAUCAGUGAAGGGGUUGCAAAAUCCAUUAUUGAUGAUGAAGAUAGAGCUAAGAAGUCCUGCUUCAAAGGAUUAUGCCCAAACUUGAUUUCUCGUUACAAGCUUAGUAAACAAGCAGCAAAGGCGGCAGAAGCUGCCGCUAGUCUCGUGGGAAAAGGCAACUUCUCCAAUGUUUCCUACCGUCCUGCUCCAAAGCGGGCAGAACAUAUGCAAGUGAAAGAUUUCGAGGCGUUUGAUUCAAGAAUGAAAGUAUUUCAAGAUGUUGUGGAGGCGGUGAAGGAUGACAAGGUCAACAUAAUUGGGGUCUAUGGGAUGGGCGGCGUGGGCAAAACCACGCUGGUCAAACAAGUUGCAAACCAAGUGAUGGAAGAUAAGUUGUUCGAUAAGUUCGUUAUGGCCGAGAUAACACAGACCCCAGAUCAUCAUAAAAUUCAAGACAAACUUGCUUUUGAUUUAGGCAUGGAAUUUGACUUGAAUGAGAAUGAAUUUCAAAGAGCUUCUCGACUGUGUCAAAGGUUGAAGCAAGAGAAGCGGCUCCUCAUUAUACUGGAUAAUAUUUGGACAAAACUUGAGUUGGAUGCGGUUGGAAUUCCUUCUGGAGAUGUGGAUGAGAAAGAUAGAGAGGACGAUCGGAGAAGACUCACAAUAAUAUUGACGUCUAGAAGUCGAGAUUUAUUGCGCAAUGAUAUGAAAUCUCAGAAGGAUUUCUCAAUUGAAGUUUUAUCAAAGGAAGAAGCAUUGCAAUUGUUUGGAAAGAUAGUGUGUAAUUCUGCAAAAGCAUCUGCUUUUCAACCUUUAGCAGAUGAGAUCGUUGAAAAAUGCGGAGGAUUGCCUGUUGCACUGAUUACCCUUGCAAAAGCUUUGAAAAAUGAGAGGCUUGACACUUGGAAGGAUGUGCUGCGUCAGCUAAGAAGUUCCAAUGCAAAAGAAAUUGAUGGAAUGGAAAGAAAUGUGUACAUCUCCAUAAAAUUGAGUUACGACUUACUGGGAAAUAAGGAAGCAAAAUCUCUGUUCCUUCUUUGUGGUCUAUAUACUGAAGGUGAUGUCAUACACGUUUCUGACUUAUUGAGAUAUGGUAUGGGUAUGGGCUAUUUUAAAAACGUUUACACACUGGAAGAAGCAAGGAGUAGAGUGCAUACGUUGAUCGGUAAACUCAAAUCUUCAUGCUUAUUGUUGGACGGUGAUGCCGAAGAUGAAGUUAAAAUGCAUGACAUCAUUCAUGCUGUUGCUGUAUCAAUUGCAGAAGAGGAGCUCAUGUUUAAUAUUCCAAAUGUUGCCUACGUGGAGAAAAAGAUGGAAGAGACAAUACGGGAAGGUCCAAUAGCUAUUUCUUUACCUUAUAGAGAUAUUCAAGAGCUUCCCGAAAGGUUGGAAUGUCCCCGUCUCGAGUUACUUUUGUUGUUUUCAAAGCGUGAUAGCUCUUUGCAAAUUUCAGACCUCUUUUUUCAAGGGACAGAAGAACUCAAAGUUUUAGAUUUUACUGGAAUAUUUUUCUCUUCAUUACCUUCAUCACUUGGUUGCCUCAUUAACGUUCAAACAUUAUGUUUAGAUGGUUGCCGACUGAACGAUGUAACUAUAAUUGGACAGCUAAGGAAAUUAGAGAUUCUCAGCUUCCGAGAUUCUGAUGUUAACGAGUUGCCACUUGUAAUUGGACAAUUGACGAGAUUACAGUUGCUAGAUUUGAGCAAUUGUAGCAGCCUUGUGGUGAUAGCUCCAAAUGUCAUAUCAAAAUUAUCUCGAUUAGAAGAACUAUAUAUUGGUAACAGCUUUUCACAGUGGGAGAACGUUGAAGGAGGAAGUAACGCCAGUCUUGUUGAGUUGAAGGGGUUGUCAAAGCUAACUACUUUGGAGAUACACGUUCGGGAUGCCGAAAUUCUACCGCAGGAUUUGGUCUCUGUGGAAUUGCAAAGCUAUAGGAUAUGUAUAGGAAAUAAGUGGUGGAGCAGCUGGUCCGUUAAAUCUGGAUUAUCAAGAUUGAUGAAGCUCCAGGGGCUAGAAAAGUUUGGCAUUCUUUUGCAGAAUUACAGGAUGAAACUGUUGUUGAAGAGAACUGAAUAUCUCUAUCUAGGAGAACUGAAGGGUGUUCAGAAUGUUGUUCAUGAAUUAGAUGAUGGGGAAGGUUUUCCACGAUUGAACCAUCUUUCUGUAAAAAGUUGUUCUGAGAUUUUGCAUAUUGUCUGUUCAGUUGGACGGGUUCGUCGCAAAGUCUUCCCCUUGCUGGAGUCAUUGUCUCUUCGUCGUUUGAUCAAUUUGGAGACAAUAUGUGACAGCCAACUCACAGAAGAUCAAUCUUUCAGCAACUUAAGGAUUAUAAAAGUAUCAGACUGUCACGAAUUGAAGCAUCUUUUCUCAUUCUACAUGGCCAAAAACCUACUGUGGCUUCAAAAGGUAGAAGUGUUUUUUUGCGAUGAUCUGGAAAUGAUUGUUGGUAAGUGUUGAAAUUAAGUGUUGGUGGAUUUAUGGACUUCGCCUCAAUUAUUUUGAAAAAAAAAAAAGACAACGACAAAGAUUAAUUAUGUAUAUUGUUUUAGUUUGUUUAUAGGACCCGACAUGGACAAACCAACAACUUCUUUGGGAUUCAACGAAAUCAUUGCUGAUGAUGAUCCUGCUCCAAAGGUGAUAAUUUUCUGUUCAAUAAUUAAUUGAUUAAUUUAUUAUCACGAUUAAUCUUCGAUCAUCAAAAGAAUAUUAUACUAGACGGUUGUACUUGAAGGAACAAAAAUGUACGGGUUUUCUUUGCAGGUUAUUCUUCCGAGCUUAGAGGAAUUGAAUCUCAUGUCAUUAAGAAACAUCAAAAAAUUAUGGGCCGAUCAUAAUCAAGGAAUGUACUGUUGUCAAAAUCUAACAAAGCUGCACGUGGUCGGUUGUCAUCGUAUGAAGUAUCUGUUUUCAUAUUCUAUGGUUAAUAGUCUUGCGAAACUCCAACAUCUUGAGAUAAGCUAUUGUGAGUCAAUGGAAGGGGUAGUCGACACCACGGGAUGGUCAGAAAGAGAUGAAGGAAAGUUGAUUGAAUUAAAGGUUUUUCCUAAGCUACACUCCCUGCAGCUAGAAUGGCUUCCAAGACUAAGUAGCUUUGCCAAUAUGGGACAUAUUCAUUCAGAUUUAGUUGUUGAAUUCCCUUCUUUGCUAAACCUCAUGAUUGGUUGUUGCAGUAAUAUGUUAAGAUUCAUCUCUACGAGCUCACCAGAAGACACCAUUCAUUCUGAAAUGCAACCUCCUCCUCUCUUUGAUGAAAAGGUUUUUUUUUUUUUUUUUAAUUAAAAAAAAUAAUUUUAGUCACAAUACUUGAUUUGUCUUUUCCUUGAGUCUUCAAAUUUAGUUAAUAUCCGCCUCUAAUUUAGUUAUCAAUUGAUUAUGCCAUUAAUUGAUUAACUAGUUAUUUAAUCUUUAACUGCCAGGUACGAGUUCCUAGGUUGGAGGUAUUAUAUAUUGCGUGGAUGGAUAACCUAAGAACAAUAUGGCACCACCAGCUUGCUUCGGAGUCUUUCAGGAAAUUGAAGAAUUUGGAGAUAGAAGAGUGUGAUAACCUAAUGAAUAUUUUUCCUCCAUUGGUAAGGUUGCUGUAUUCAUUUCGAUUUUUUUUUUCAAAUAACAUUCAACAAUUUUUUAAUCUUUUCUGUGUUUACAAAUGAUAUUCAGCCACUAAUUAUUUAUUUCAAAUAUUGUACUUCAAACCACCACUCUAAAAUCUACGUUUUAAGUCUAGUUUUUAGGUUCACCAGCAUUAGAAUCAACAAUAUAAUUUUUUUAAACACGAUUCAAUAGCAUAAUAUAAUUCAAUUUAAUUGUUUUUGCUCAUAUCUUAAUAAGUACGAUUUUCAAAAAUUAAAGGAUAGUCACUCAUCUUAUAAGUUCACAAAUUCAUCUAUAUAUUUCUCUUUUCCUUAGUUCUUCACAUUUCGAUUGGGAAAAAAAAAAAGAAAGUCUUCAAAUUUAAUUAAUAUCUCCAGUUUAGUUAAGAAUUGAUUAUGCCAUUACUUAACCACAAAUUCAUGAUUGUUUACAACUGACCCUUGAUUGUAAAGAAAUUUCCUCGAGUCUGGAAGUACUUAAUAAAGAUCCACUUUAUAGCAAUCCCUUGUUGACAGUACUGGGAAGUCUUUUCCAAAUUUUUUUUUUCCAUUUUUAUACAUACAUAAAAAAAAGGGGACCAAGGAAAAGGGAAAAAGAGGCAUUUUAGUUGAGUUUUUUUUAAAGGAAUAGUUGAAAUGUGCAAAUUUAUGCUUAAAAACUUAUAUCAAGAUGCAAAAUAAGUCUAAAGUAUUUAGAAAUUGCCUUAAAUUCUUUCUACGUCCCUAAUACUAAAUAGUGUAAAUACAUUUUUAUCAUCUUUGUUUAUCUGGCUUUUAUUUAUUUAUCUUGUUACCUUUUUUGUUUAACAAAAAAUUAUCUAGUAGACAUUUCACAGUUUGUUAUGUUCAUAAAACGUAUAAUUGUAUGAUUAAACAUACUUUGAGCCUAGUUGAAUGAUACUCUUACAUUUUUACUUUUUUAAUAUACACACACACACACACUCUCUCUGCUUAUUUUCAGGUUGGAAUUCCUACUAGUCUGGUGAAUCUUUAUGUAUGGAACUGCAAAAAAUUAGAAGAAAUCGUAGGACAUGCUGGAGAAGAAGUGAAGGAGAAUCGUAUUGCUUUCAGUGAAUUAAAACUUUUGGAACUUGAUGAUUUACCAAGGCUUACCAGCUUUUGUUUGGAGAAUUACACUCUUGAAUUCCCAUCAUUGGAACGAGUAUUUGUGACACAUUGUCCGAACAUGAAGACUUUUUCUCUGGGAAUCUUAUCCACACCAAAGCUGCACAAAGUGCAAGUGACUGUAAAGGAAGAUGGUGAAUUGCACCAUCGGGACGACAAUCUUAAUUCCACCAUACAAGAACACUAUACAAGAUCUCAUGGAAAUAAGUAAACCCGUAAUUUUUUUCACAGCAUCAUAAGAAAAAAUCAUUUUUUUUUUAGUAUUUUUGUUGGCUGUUGAGUUUUAACAGUAGUAGCUAUUAAACAAGAACAAUCAGUGUAUAUUAAAAAGUUGGAAACUGGUUGAUACCACUUGGGAAUCGAGCAGCUCACUUGUUUGCGAGUAGAAACCAACUUUACUACUAAUUACACUCAUUCCAAAAAUAGUAACUAAAGAAUCAGGAAAUUUCCUAUUCACUAUUCUUCAUUUUUUAAUGCAAAAUUCCCAUGAAAAUGGGAUCAAAAUACAUGUAUGUAUACCUAAAACAAAUUAUUAUUUUUAAUUAAAAAAAAACACAGUUGAGGUGAAAUGAAACCAGAGUCAUGAUAUCUCUGGUUCCAACUUUGGGACAACAGCAGACUUGAGUUCUAUAUGAGAAACACGUACAGCACCAAUCAGCCGCUCCAAGACACACGAAGCGUUAUGCCAUUCCGAGAACAUUCAAGCGUUAUAUCUCAAAAUCAUGUCUUUUCCCUUGUGUCUGUUAAGGAAGCACACUGAGCACGUGUGAACUAAGAGUAGCUGCACGAUAAGCAUGUGUUAGUUAAAGAAGUAUAUGCCAGCUCAGCCAAUUAGUUAAGCAGGCUUUUGAUUCUGUUAUAGUUGUGUACCUUGCUUUAAUUCUGUUUUUAUGAUGUAAGCAACGAGUAUAAACACUGCUACGUUUGUCAUUUGUAUGUUAUGGAAAGAAAAGAAAUCCAGAAUAUUCUAUUUCACUUUCUCAUGAAUUUUCUGAGCUUCCAAACAAAAUUAUCAGUUCAAUUUUAAGCUUUUCAACAGUGUCCAUUUAGACGUGCAAAAAAAACAAUCAUACAUACCUGUACAAGGAAAGCCAUGUCAACCACCGACCGAUGUUGUAAUUACACCAAUUACGACAAGGCCCAAAACUCCACUAGCAAAAGUAGAAUAACAUCUAUGCCAACAUCAAUCUAUAGAGAGAUGAACAUGUUAAUGGUAUCGGACGAGCUAUUUGAACGGGAAACAUCUCAUGUACUAUAAUAGAAAUUUUAAGAGCAUUUACUUCUAAGUACUGGGGACCGCGGAUAUAGUUACAACCAACUGCAUUUAGAAACAAAAAUUUGCGCUUGCGACAAGAGCUGAUCUCUUCAUUCCCCUGUUUAGUAAUAAAAAAAAAUCAAAAUAGCGGAGAAACAGGGCCCUCUUUUCAUUCCCCUGUUUGAUAACAAUAAAAACAAAACAGAGGAGAAACGUGGGCUCUCUUUUCAUUCCCCUGUUUUUCUUUUCGGUUUGGCGAUUUUAAAAUUUUAUAUCCACAUUCAUUAAAAAAAAAAAAAAAAGUUAUUCCAAAAAGAUUUUCUAUUUUCAUAUAGACGUUUAUUUAUUAACCAAAAUUUAAAAAGUGUAAUUCUAAACUUAUCCUUGUGCUUUGAUCUUGGAGGGGUUUUUCAUUUUUUCUACACUGGCCAUAUCAAUUAAUGAUGAAAGUUCUUAUCCUUAAUUGCUUUUGAAAUGAGUGAGCACGGUAUGACCCUUAAGAGAAUUAAUUAAUUGGACAAGUUAUAUAACGCCUUUGAUAUGGCUCCUAGACAUGUAUGCAAUUUGUAUCUUUCCUCAAGUAUGCAUGAGAAUACUUGAGGAAAGCUUCACAAUAGUUACGGCCGGAUCUGCACUUCACAAGUCCUAAUAGGGAAGUAUAAAUAUAUGCUUCUGGAACAGUGCAACUCUCCAUAAUAAGUACCUAAGAAUAGACAAAUUUUCAUUACAAUAGAAUGAUAAAUUAUAAUAAUAUUGACACAAUGAUGCCAAUAAUAAGAAUCUUAACAAAUCUACUAAUUUUAGAAUAUGGCUUAGAGUGCUACAAUGAACCACAACAAGUUAUCGAUAUUAUAAUAUCUAUAAUUAAUAUUCCAAUAAUAACUGGGGCUCCUUUGUUUUCAUUCCCCUACUUUUCUGUUAAGUGAUUGCCAAAUUUUUAUAUCUAAAAUUCUUCUAAUUUUAAACUAAGGUUUAUUUAGAAAAAAAAAGGGAGAGAGAGAGAGAGACUCGAAGAGCAUUAAAAAAUGUAAUUUUUAAUUUUCACUUAAGCAUUGUGUGACUUUUAUCAUUUUUUAAAGUUGGCCAUUUGUACUGAAUAAAUAAAAUAAUGGAUAGACUUAUGGACCACUUUUUUUCUGUUAUAUUAAAACAUGAGAUGUCUUUUCUUGAUGUUUUCAUCACACAAGAAUCUGUUUAUGUCAUCAUGCAUCAUGGGUUUAAAUGGGGUAAAUAAAUUAAGAUCGAGGGCAAGUUUGUUUAAGUUCUAAAGUUGCUGAAUAUAAAAAGGGCUGAUAUGAAAAUUACCUAAAGUUUCAAAUAUUGUUAUUCAGCAACCACUUUUAGGUUGCAUUAGUUUCUACACAAAUUUUAUAUAAAUAAUUUAUAACUCCCAUUAUUAUUUAAAAAACUGUAGCAAUUGUUGAAAAAAAAUUCUAAUUAAAGAAAUUGACAUUAUAAUUUAAGGGAUAGUUGCUGUUUUAAUCAUUAGAACUUAAGUCAAUUAUCCAGCUUAUCCUUGUAUUCUUAAAAACUAUAUAAAAUACCAUUAUCUCUUCUUUUGUAGCUAUUGAAUUCGACUUUCACAACAUAAAUAUUUAUUAGCAACAACUUAAAAUUCAAACAAAUAUAAUAUGUAAUGUAUGAAAUACAAAUAAUAGUUAAACAAAUUUUGAUUAUUUACUAUUAAAAUACAUUCACAUUAAUAUCUUAAGGAUAGGUGGUACUCAAAUAAUUUUUUAAAAAUCAGACCCAAAUUAUAUGCAUUGUUAAUAUGUAUUAUUGUCUAAUAUUUGGAUUUUGUUAAGUUACAACUGUUGUAACUUACGAUCUCUUCAAAAAAGAAAAUUGAGUCCCACCACCUAUUAAAUUUUUUACAUUAUUUUUUAAAAGACUGUAAGUUACAUCAGUUGUAACUUAACAGCACCCUUAAUAUUUUACUUUACUUUUAUAUCUUUACAAAACAAUACCAACAAGACAAUAAUGUAUGAAAUAAAUAAAAUAAAUAAAUAAAGAACUGAUAGCGAAAUUAAGUCUAUCAUUAGUUUCUUGUGGUGUGAACUCUUGACAAUUCUCCCACCUAAAACUCUCUAGUGGUGUGAACUUUUGACGAUUCUCCAAAAAUUUGUCAUAUUGCAAAAAGCAAUGUCAAUUGUAAUGUCAUUUCCAUUAGUCAUAGUGGCAGAUAGGACUAGAAAUUGUUGAAACCCAUUGACUUAUUUUUCUUUCUAAAAAUAAGAAAAGCACACCCGUCCGGGGAAAUAAUUUUGUAGUACCUCAUGUCGUGAAUAAGGGACAAUACGAUCCUUUUUUUAUUAUAGUAUUUUUAAAUUUAUUAACUAAAAAAUUAAUUCUAAUAUUUUAUAAUAAAUAUAAGUAGGAUAUUAAAAUGAAUAUAAUAAUGUAUACAUAUUAAAAUAAUUUCAAUAUCUAAAAAUAUUUUAAUAUUUUAAAAUCUCGUAGUCUAUUAAACCAAAUAAUAAUAAAUAGAGACAUAAUAUUCAAAUAAAUACAUAAAAAUUUAAAUUGUUUUCAAUAUCACAUAAAAUAAUUUUAAUAUUAUUAAUACAUGAGAAAUAUUAUAUUAAUUGUAAAAUCUAUUUAACCUAAGGAUUCAUUUAAAAUUUUUUGUAAUAAUUACAAGUAUUUUAUAGAUACAAAUAUAUUAAUUCACAUUUUAAAAAUUAAUAUUGAAAUUAAUUAUUUAAAUUUUAUAAAAAAUUUUGAAGUCUUUUUUUUUUUUUUGGCUACCAUCUACUAAGAGUAGUAUUAUGAUCAAAAGGGGUAUUGGUAUCCUAUAUUAAAAAUUUGAGGUCUACGUGACUAUUUUUCUAAAUUUUUAGGGUAUCAUUUUGUUUUUGACAAAAGUAAAAUUUCAUUUUUGACAAAAAUAAAAUUUCAUUUAAAUGGCUAAAAUGGUGAAUAAAAUAAUACUACAGUGGGCGUAAAUGGAAGGUAAGAAACAAUGAAAAUGAAUAGUCUAAUGUCACCACAGGCACAUAAGGCCAAAGUUUGUUACAUCUGAUCAAGGACAAUUUAGUAUGUGGAGUGGGUCCUGCGUGUCAUUUUUUGGGCAUCUACCUUCUUCAGCAUUGAAGAUUUGAUGUUGACGACAUUUUAAAAAUUUGGAAGACCCAUCAUACAUUUGGAUGGUUGUCAUUAUUUGAUAUUAUCAUUAUCUCGUGGUGAUCCUAUUAUUUAUGUGGCAAAAGAGGUAAUUAAAUAAAAUUUAAUUGGAUGUAACACUUGUUUCGCGUUGUGAACUUUUGACAAUUCCCCUAUAUCCCUCCAAAAACUUUCGUCAUUUUGCCAAGAUACCUAACGAUUGUAAUGUAAUUUUCAUUAUUCAUAGUGCCAGAUAAUGGAGGUCCAGGAACGGACCAGAAAUUAUUGCUACCCGUGGACUUUUCCAAUUUAUUUUUUUUCUUUUGGAUGGUUGACGUUAUUUGAUAGGAGGACGAGAUAGAGAUAGAGUUCUUAAUCGAACACCCGUUUUAUUUAAUGGGGAAAUUAUCAUUUCACCACUACUCUUUUGCCUUAUGCUCAUUCAAUUACUACAAAAUUUUAACAUGUUCUCUGCACUACUUUUCUUUUUUAAAUUUGUAUCAAUUACUCACUUUUAUACUAACACCAUUAAAUAAUUUAAACAAAAUAAUAAAUUUACCCCUAAAUAAAUUAAAAGACCAUUUUAUUUUAUAAAAACUUAAAAAAUAAAAAAUAAAAAUUAUAAUUAUAAUUAUAAAAAUACCCCUAAAUUUAAUAAAGAAAUAAAUCCCCAAAUUAGAAUUUUUAUUUUAAUAAAAAUUAUAAUUAUAAAAUAAUUGCAAAAUUUUGGGAUUUAAUAAACAUCCCCUAAAAUAUUAAAUUUUGGGAUUUAUUUUUAAUAAAUAAAUUUAGUUAUUUUAAUAAAAUUUUACAAAAUUAUAAAUUUGUAAUAAAAAUAAGCUGAGCGCCUCUAUUUUGGAUUAUUUUUUAUUAAAUUUAGGGGUAUUUUUGUAAUUCUAAUAUUUUUUUUCAAAGCUUUUAUAAGAUAAAAUGGCAUUUUAAUUUAUUUAGGAGUAAAAUUAUCAUUUCGUUUAAAUUAUUUAACAGUAUUAGUGUAAAAGUGGCUAAUCGAUUCAAAUUUAAAAAGAAAGAUAGUGCAGAAAACAUGUUGAAAUUUUGUGGUGGUUAAAUGAACAUAAGUCAAAAGAAAGAUGGUAGAAUGAUAAUUUCCCUAUUUAAUAUGGAAGAAGAUCUUUAAACUCUCAGUGAGGCUAUGGCUUCAACAGAUGCAGCCUUGUGGAAAGAGGCAACAAGUAAUGAGAUAGACUCAUUAUUAUCUAAUCAACUAGAUGCAUCAACAAGAUCUUAACUUAGAUUGGAACUUGAAGCAUUGUUGUUUGAAACAUUGGCUCAAGCCUUUAGAGCGAGGUUGGAUGCAAAAUGAUUUACAACAAAGAAAGGAAAAAAUAAAUUUACUAAUUUACAAAAUAAAUUUAGUAAAUUAAUAAAGUCAUUAUAUGAUCUUAAAUAAGCACUAAAGCAACAGCAUGAAAAUUUUGAUUCUAUGAUCAUGUUGCAUGGAUUUUAACAUAAUAACGAUGAUAAAUGCAUUUAUUCUAAAUUAAUGGAUAAAUAUGGUAUGAUAAUUUUCCUCAUUUGAGAAAGAAUUCUUAAAUAAUGUCCCAUAUUAAUUAGUAAAAGAGAGUCACUUGGGCUUAUAAGUAGUAGAGAUGGGCAAAAUUGGAUGCAGAUGAUAUUCGGGUUAAUAUGAUCAGAUUUUGGAUUGUUCGGAUUGAUAAAAAGUCAUAUGAAUGCAAUAUGAACUUGCAUCCAAUCCGAUUAUGUACGGAUCAUAUUCAAAUUGGAUGAAUAGUGCAGAUUAAUUUGGAUUCGGAUCAGAUCGAUAAUAUCAAACUGAAAUCGGAAUCAGAUGUGUUCGAAUAAAUCAGAUGAAUUUCAAUCACUUGCAAGUUGAAAUACAAAAUUGAAAAAUCAUAGAAAUUAAGAAAAAAAUGCAGCAAGCUAGCAAAUGGAAGAACAAAGGCAAAAAAUUAUAUUAUAAAUUAAUCGUAAAAAGGUGCUAUUAGCAAUUGUUGCACAAUGCGAAAAUGUCCUGGAACUCGCUGUGUAGACAUGCAAAAGUUCCGUAAGUGCAUUAACAAUUAUUUUCCAAAAAAAGGUUGUUGCGUCAAUAUUAAAGGAAUUGACAUCCAGGGACCCAGUUUAGUUGCUUAAUGAUUAAUUAAUUAAUCAAUUUAUAAUAUAUUAAUCUUUUAAGUUGAAUACUUAAAAUCUUAGACCCCAAACAAUAAAUCAUCUGAGUAAUAUAAAAGAGAAAUUAUCAUCCUAUUUUUUAUUUGACUUCUUGUAGCUUAUAAAAGAGAAAUUAUCAGUCAUUUACUCAAAGUUUAUUCAGUUAUUAAAAUUAAUAUAAAAUUUAAAUUUAUUUAAUUUUACACUCAAUGUAUGCAAUUUGUAUUAAACAUCCGUUAAAAACAUAAAGUUAUUCCAUCAAAGUGACAAAAUAGAAGCGAACACAAAAUUGUAUUGGUGAUUAUGUUUUAAGAGUAAUUUUAUCUUUUUAGUAAACAGUUAUCCACAUUGUAACAAUGGGUAUAAAAUUAAGUAUAUUUAAAUUUUUAUAACUUUUAGGAUAAUAAGAUAAUUUUUAGGUGGAUGACUGAAAAUUUUUCUUUUCAAAAUAUUUUGAAAACAAUACCAAAUGUACCAAAACAUUGUUUACUUACACUCUAUAUAUAUAUAUAUAUAUAUAUAUAUAUAUAUAUAUAUUUAAUUUCUUAACUCAUUCUUAUCCUUAUUCUUGCUAACAUAUCCACAAUCUGUCAAUGAAAUUUACUUUUAUAAAUUUGAAGAUUCUUUCAUGCAAUUUUGUACGAUAAUGAGUUCUCAUGUCUCUGUUAAAAAAGAAUUCGUAAAUAAUACAAAUGAAAAAAAAACAAAAAGUAGCAGGGCUGGCAAUACAAACCAUAACUUUUUUUCUUUGAAAUAUGCAUAAAUAAAGUUAAUAGUGAUGUGUCAGCACGAUCUUGAGAGCACGGCUUGGAGUCUCAAUAAUUAUUGACACUCAUAUUUGAAAACUUUUGAAAAGAUAAAAUCCAAUAUGAAAGGUGAAAUGUUAUAAUCAUAGUAACUAGAAAAUUGAUUGAUUUACAAAUAUCAAUUUAAACAAUUUUCAUGUUGAUCGACAAUUUAAGUAGAUUGACAAAGAUUGAAGUAAUUACUGUUGGUGAUUGAUUGACUUUGUCCUUAUCCUUGCCUUCUUCUUAUCAAAAAUCGAGUGUCAAUUAAAUUGGGCCAGGGCUUCUGAUUGCAACUAAUAGACUUCAUAUACGCAUAAUGCUCCCUACGGACAUACGUACCAGUAUUUGAUUGAAAAAGGGAUGCGUGCUUAAUGCUCAAGUCGUCUUCUUCUGGAAAUUCAUUGUUAUUACUCUCAUCAACUCGUUACUCACAUUCCUCUUUAGUCAACAGAGAUCUUUUGCUCAAUAAAAUUUUUCUUCUAUAUUCAAGGUGAAUACAGCAGCUCAUCAACUCUGAUCCCAGACAGGUAAAGAGGCGCACUUGUUCUAAAACCUUUAAUAUUCUUUUAGUAACAGAAUCUCUGAUACUUGUUCUUCAUAGCGGUUCUUUCUUAAUUUCCAUCACCUUUCCUAGGAAAAAAUUCUUUGGUUUUUCUUAAUCAUAUCAUUUAUUUUUCUGAAGUCAUAUAAUUUAGUUUUAGUAGCAGAAUACUUGAUAUUGAUAGCGGUUCUUUCUUAAUUUCCAUCAACUUUCCUUGAAGGAUACCUUUCUGUUAAUAGCAAAACAUCUGAUCCUUAAGAUAGAAAAAGAAAUUCUCUAUUUAGGUAUCAGUUGGUUCAAGAUCAAUAUCGCGAUGUUGUUUGCGGUCUUUUCUUUCUCCGUCUUUCCCUUUAGUUCAGUUUAAUUUAUUUGUUUUCCUUUCUUUGAUAUAUUAUUAGAUUUGUUAAGUAGCAGACAAUGGCAGAAGUUGGUCUGGCUGCUUUUUCCAGCAUUGUAUCAGAAGGUGCAAAGUCACUGUUCAAACCGAUUAUACGGCAGAUAUCUUAUGUGUUCAAGUACCAGAGCUACAUAGAUGAGCUAAAAGAUAAAGUGAAGCGGCUGGAACAUAAAAGAGAAAGGGUGGAAAUACCCGUUCAUCAGGCAACUCAACAAGGAGAUGAGAUUUAUAAGGAUGUUGCAGACUGGCUUAAUAGCGUCAAGGAAUUCACUCAGGGAGCUGCAAAAUCCAUCACUGAUGAUGAAGAUAGAGCUAAGAAGUUCUGUUUCAAAGGAUUGUGCCCAAACUUGAUCUCUCGUUACAAGCUCAGUAAACAAGCAGCAAAGGCUGCAGAAGCUGCCGCUAGUCUCGUGGGAAAAGGCAACUUCUCCAAUGUUUCCCACCGUCCUACUCCAAAGCUGGUAGAACAUAUGCAAGUGAAAGAUUUCGAGGCCUUUGACUCAAGAAUGAAAGUAUUUCAAGAUGUUUUGGAGGCGUUGAAGGAUGAUAAGCUCAAGAUAAUUGGGGUCUACGGGAUGGGCGGCGUGGGUAAAACCACGCUUGUCAAGCAAGUUGCGAAGCAAGUGAUGGAAGAUAAGUUGUUCGAUAAGGUCGCUAUGGCUGAGGUAACAGAGAACCCAGAUCAUCAGAAAAUUCAAGACAAACUAGCUUCUGAUUUAGGCAUAAAGUUUGAGUUGAAUGAGAGUAUAUUCGACAGAGCAAAUCGACUAUGUGGAGUAUUGAAGAACAAGGAGCGGCAUCUCAUUAUAUUGGAUAAUAUUUGGAGAGAACUGGAGUUCGAUAAAGUUGGAAUUCCUUCCAGGGAUGUCGAGAAAGAAAGAAUGGAUGAUCAGAGACGAUGCACAAUAAUACUGACGUCUAGACGUCAAGAUUUAUUGCGCAAUAUUAUGAAUUCUCAGAAAGAAAUCCAGAUCGAUGCUUUAUCAAAAGAAGAAGCAUUGCAUUUAUUUAAGAAGAUAGUGGGUGAUUCAAUGAAAACAUUUGCUUUUCAAUCUAUAGCAGAUGAGAUCGUUGAAAGAUGCGGAGGACUGCCUGUUGCACUGAUUACACUUGCAAAAGCUUUGAAAAAUGAGAGGCUUGACACUUGGAAAGAUGUGUUGAAUCAGCUAAGAAGUUCCAAUGCAAAAGAAAUUGAUGGAAUGGAAAUAAAUGUGUACAUCUCCAUAAAAUUGAGUUACGACUUAUUGGGAAGUAAGGAAGCAAAAUCUCUGUUCCUUCUUUGUGGUCUAUUUAGUGAAGGUCAUGCUAUACCAGUUUCUUCCUUAUUGAGAUAUGGUAUGGGUAUGGGCUAUUUUAAAAACGUUUACACACCGGAAGAAGCAAGAAGUAGAGUGCAUACGUUGAUCGGCAAACUCAAAUCUUCAUGCUUAUUGUUGGACGGUGAUACUGAAGCUAAAGUUAAAAUGCAUGACGUCAUUCAUGCUGUUGCUGUAUCAAUUGCAGAAGAGGAGCUCAUGUUUAAUAUUCCAAAUGUUGCCGACUUGGAGAAAAAGAUGGAAGAGACAGUACAGGAAGGUCCAAUUGCUAUUUCUUUACCUUAUAGAGGUAUUCAAGUGCUUCCUGAAAGGUUGCAAUGUCCCUGUCUUGAGCUAUUGCAUACGGAGGGUGAUGGCUCUAUGCAAGUUUCAGACCACCUUUUUAAAGGGACGGAAGGACUCAAAGUUUUGAAUUUUAAUCGAAUUCACUUCUCUUCAUUACCUUCAUCACUUGGUUGCCUCAUUAACCUUCAAACAUUGUGCUUAGACUAUUGCCGACUAAAAGAUAUAGCAAUAGUUGGACAGCUAAAGAAAUUAGAGAUUCUCAGCCUUGUAUAUUCCGAUAUCAAGCAGUUACCACUUGAAAUUGGACGAUUGACGCGGUUACAGUUGCUAGAUUUGAGCAAUUGUUGGAGCCUUGAGUUGAUACCACCAAAUGUCAUAUCAAAAUUAUCUCGAUUAGAAGAAUUGUUUAUGCAUAACAGCUUUUCACAGUGGGAUAAGGUAGAAGGAGGAAGUAAUGCCAGUCUUGUCGAGUUGAAGGGGUUGUCAAAGCUAACUACUUUGGAGAUACAUGUUUCGGAUUCCGAAAUUCUGCCGCUGGAUUUUGUCUCUGUGGAAUUGGAAAGAUAUAAGAUAUUUAUAGGACAAAUGUCUGUCCGGUGGCUCGUCGAAUCUAAAACAUCAACAUUGAUGGUGCUCAAGGGGCCAGAACAAGUUAGCCUUCUUUUGGGGAAUGAUGGGACGAAAAUGUUGCUGAAGAGAACUGAAGAUCUCCGUCUAUGCUCACAGAAGGGUGUUCAGAAUAUUGUUCAUGAAUUAGACGAUGGGGAAGGUUUUCCACGAUUGAAGCAUCUUCAUGUAAAAAGUUGUUCUGAGAUUUUACAUAUUGUCGGUUCAGUUGGACGGGUUCGUUGCGAAGUCUUUCCCUUGCUGGAGUCAUUGGAUCUUAUUAAUUUAACUAAUUUGGAGACGAUAUGCUACAGCCAACUCAGAGAAGAUCAAUCUUUCAGCAACUUAAGGAAAAUAAACGUAGAUUUCUGUCCAAAAUUGAAGUAUCUCUUCUCAUUCUCUAUGGCCAAAAACCUAUUGCGGCUUCAAAAAGUAAAAGUGGAAAACUGCGAUGAUUUGAAAAUGAUUAUUGGUAAGUGUUGAAAUUAAUUAUUGGUAGGAUUAUUGACAUUGACUCAUUCUUUUUUUCUUUUCUUUUUUUUUUUUUGGUGAAAAAAACAACGGAUGUUUAUUAUAUAUUGUUUUUGUUCAUUUAUAGGGCCCGACAUGGAGAAACCAACAACAACUCAGGGAUUCACAGAAAUCAUUGCAGAGGAUGAUCCUGUUCACCAAGUAAUAAUUUUCUGUUUAAUAAUUAAUUAAUUAAUAUAUUAUCACGAUUGAUCUUCAAUCAUCGAAAGAAUAUUAUAUUAGAAGUUGUAGUUGAAGGAACAAAAAUGUAUGGUUUUUCUUUGCAGGUUACUUUUCCACGCUUGGAGGAACUGAAACUUGUCAGUUUAACAAACAUCAAAAAAUUAUGGCCCGAUCAAUUUCAUGGAAUGUAUUGUUGUCAAAAUUUAACAGAAGUGACCGUGUUCGGUUGUGAUCGUCUGAAGUAUCUGUUUUCAUAUUCUAUGGUUAAUAGUCUUGGGCAACUCCAACAUCUUGAGAUACGAAAUUGCUGGUCAAUUGAAGGGGUAGUCAACACCACGGGGUUAGGAGGAAGAGAUGAAUUGAAGGUUUUUCCCAAACUACACUACCUGUCGCUCCAUUGGCUUCCAAAACUAAGUAGCUUUGCCUCACCAGAAGACGUCAUUCACACUGAAAUGCAACCUCAAUCCCUCUUUGAUGAAAAGGUUUUUUUUCAUUGAAUUUUUAAAUUCUCUUUUCGUUGAGUCUUCAAAUUUAAUUAAUAUCCAUCUCUAACUGCAUUGAAUUUUCAACUUCAGGUACGACUCCCAAGUCUGGAGGUAUUACAUAUUAAGAGGCUGGAUAAGUUGAGAAAAAUAUGGCACCACCAGCUUGCUUCGAAGUCAUUUAACAAAUUGAAAAAAUUUGAGAUAUCAGGGUGUCAUAAUCUACUGAAUAUUUUUCCUCCAUUGGUAAGAUUGCUAUAUUCAUUUUGAAUUUUUAUUUCAAAUAACAUUCAACAAUUAUUUUAAUCAUUUUUGUGUUUACAAAUAAUUUUCAUUCACAAAUUAUUUAUUGCAAGUAUUGUACUUCAAACUUCUGGAGGGAAAAAAAGUAGUGUACUUCAAAUCACCAUUCUGAACUCUGCAUUUUCAAUCUAAUUUAUAGGUUCACCUGCAUUAAAGUCAACAAUAUAAUUGUUUUAAACACGAUUCAACAGCAUAAUAUGAUUCAAUUUAAUUGUUUUUUUUCUUAAAUCCUAAUAAAUAAGAUUUCCAGAAAUUAAAAGAUACUUAGUUACUCAGCUUUUAAGUUCACAAAUUCAUAUAUAUUUCUCUUUUCCUUGGGUCUUUAGAUUUCGAUUUUAAAAAUAAAAUAAAGAAAAGUGUUCAAAUGUAGUUAAUAUCUCUAGUUUAGUUAUGAAUUGAUUACGCCAUUGAUUAAGCACAAAUUCAUGAUGGUCAUUUUGAAUCGACCGUUGAUUAAAAAAUUUCCUCAAAUAUUCACUCUAUAACAGUCCCAUGUUGAUGGCGUUGGGAAGUGUUUUCCAGAAAUGUUUUCCAUUUUUAAAAGCAUGAAUAUCGGGAAAAAAAAAAAUGGGAAAUACAGCGUUUUAGUUUAGUUAUUUUAAAAAUAGGCAUGUUUGAAAAUUAAAAAUUUUUAAAAACUAGCAUCAAGAUGAAAAAUGAAUUUAGAAUAUUUAAAAAUUACCUGAAAUUCUUUCUCUGUUCCUAAUACUAAAUAGUGUAAAUGCAUUUUCAUUAUCUUUGUUUUUCUGGUCUUCUAUUUAUUUAUUUUUGUUUUAAUUUUUUCCUUUUUUUCUUUAACAAAAAAUAUCUAGUAGACAUUCAUGGUUUGUUAUUUUUCAUAAAACAAUUGUAUGAUUUUGACAUACUUUGAAUCUAGUUGAAUGCUACUCUUUAUUUUCAGGUUGGAAUUCCCAAUAGUCUAGUGAAUCUUAAUGUAUCAUACUGUGAAAAAAUAGAAGAAAUCAUAGGACAUGUUGGAGAAGAAGCGAAGGAGAAUCGUAUUGCUUUCAACGAAUUAAAACAUUUGGAACUUGAUCAUUUACUAAGGCUUACCAGCUUUUGUUUGGAGAAUUACACUCUUGAAUUCCCAUCAUUGGAACGAGUAUCUGUGACACAUUGUCCGAACAUGAAGACUUUUUCUCAGGGAAUCGUAUCCACACCAAAGUUGCACGAAGUGCAGGUGAGUAAAAAGGAAGUAUUAAGUUUUAUAUGAAACUGUGAUGUUGUUUGGUUACUAAGAAAAUAGGAAGAAAGAAAACUUCUGUAAGCUGAGAAUUCUGUUAUUAUUGACCUAAUGAAUCUGGAAAUUACAAGCCUUUUUAUAUGUGCAUAGAAGAUUCUACACACAUUGCACACACGCACAGUUUAAUACUAACAACCUCUAUAACAACCUUUAGCUGACUCAGCUGCCAUGUCAGCAUACUCAUUAACUAACUAAUUCUAUUCUUAACAGGAAGAGGGUGAAUUGCGCCGUUGGGAAGGCAACCUUAAUUCCACUAUACAAAAGUGUUACGAAGAAAUGGUAUGUGUUAAAUCGAUUCGUCGAAAUUACUUAUGCAUCUCCCUUGCACUUGCACAUUUAAGUAUAUACACCUGCCUUGUAUAUAUAGUUUUAGAAGUUAAAACACAAAACAUGUAAGUUUAAUGUAUAUAUAUCUAAUGCCUUUCAAAAAGAAAAAAAAUUGUAUAUAUCCAGUGCAAUUGUUUUGGUUUGUGCAGAUUGGAUUUCGUGACAUAAUGCGUUUGCAACUUUCGCAUUUUCCACGUUUGCAAGAAAUAUGGCAUGGCCAAGCACUGCCUGUCAGCUUCUUCAACAAUUUAAGAGAGCUGGUGGUGGAUGACUGCACGAAUAUGUCGAGUGCUAUUCCUGCCAAUCUGCUACGGUGCUUGAACAAUUUGGAAUACCUGGCAGUGAGGAAUUGUGAUUCACUAGAAGAGGUGCUUCAUUUGGAAGAACUAAUUAAUGCUGAGGAAGAACAUUUUGGCCAACUGUUCCCUAAUCUUUACGAGCUAAAGCUCAUUGAUCUUCCAAAACUCAAAAGAUUCUGCAACUUCACUGGGAAUAUAAUUGAACUGCCUAAGUUGGACAAUCUAACUAUUGAGAAUUGCCCUAGUAUGGAAACACUGCCUGUCAGCUUCUUCAACAAUUUAAGAGACCUGGUGGUGGAUGACUGCACGAAUAUGUCGAGUGCUAUUCCUGCCAAUCUGCUACGGUGCUUGAACAAUUUGGCAUGGCUGAAAGUGAGGAAUUGUGAUUCACUAGAAGAGGUGCUUCAUUUGGAAGAGCUAAGUGCUAAGGAAGAACAUAUAGGCCCCAUGUUUCCUGAGCUUUCCCUGCUAGGGCUCAUUGAUCUUCCAAAACUCAAAAGAUUCUGCAACUUCACUGGGAAUAUAAUUGAAAUGCCUAAGUUGGAAUAUCUCAUUAUUGAGAAUUGCCCUGAUAUGGAAACAUUCAUAUCCAACUCUGUAGUGCACGUGACAACAGAUAACAAGGAACCUCAAAAAUUAACAUCAGAAGAGAACUUCUUGCUGGCUCAUCAAGUACAACCUCUCUUUGAUGAAAAGGUGAUUAUUAUUAUUAUUAUUAUUUUUCCCUUCACUUUCGUUUCAUAGAUGUAAUUUCAUUAGAAUCAAAUCAAAUUUAAUGACUCAUCUUUUUGCACGUCGUCUUAAUUUUUAUAUGAUUUAACAAUAUAACUGCAGUUAUUAACUAUCUUUAUAGUAUGAAUUAUAAAAAUGUCUGAAAUUAAUUGGAUGCCUGAUAACACGAGGUGAUCUAUUAAUUAUGUGUAUUACAUCUCUGUUUUCCUAGCUAAUUCAUAUUGGAUUUAGCAUCAGAUUUCAUUUAUGUGUUUCAAAGGGUAAUCGAUUUGAUACUUAUAUUUGGGAUCCUACUGCAAAGCAUACUAAUUUGGAAAUAAAAUAUAAAAUGCCGUGAUUAAUCUUGUCCAUAAAAUAUGCAGGGGAAGACUGCAGAGAUUGGAUACAUAUUUUCAUUUACAACUUAAUUUUGUUGAUUUUUAGGUUGCAUUCCCUCAAUUGAGUUGGUUAACGCUAUCUGGAUUACACAAAGUGCAGCAUCUCUGGAAGGAAAAUGACGAAUCCAACAAAGCGUUUGCAAACUUGGCAAGUCUAGAAAUAUCGGAAUGUAUUCAGUUGCAAAAAUUAGUACCACCUUCGUGGCAUUUGGAAAAUAUGUGGGGACUGGAAGUAUCGAAGUGUCACGGGUUGAUAAAUGUGUUGACGCUCUCAGCAUCUAAAAAUCUAGUGAACCUUGAAAGAAUGAAGAUAGCUGAUUGCAAAAGGAUAGAAGAAAUCAUACAGUCGCCGGUUGCAGAAGAAGCGAAAGAUUGCACUGUUUUCAAGAAAUUGAAGUACUUGACACUUGAUUGUUUGCCAAGCCUAACAAGCUUUUGUUUAGGUAAUUACGCUCUUGAAUUCCCGUCCUUGAAACAAGUAGUUGUGAGACAGUGUCCAAAAAUGAAGAUCUUCUCUCAAGGAGUCUUAGACACACCAAUGCUAAACAAAGUGAACGUCACCGAAGAAGAAAAAGAUGAUGAUGAUGAAGGAUGUUGGGAAGGCAACCUCAAUGACACCAUAAAAAAAUUGUUCAAUGAAAUGGUGAGUAUCAAUUAAGUUUUGAUGCUAUUUAGCAAAUUAUUUUAUAGAAACUAAUGUGAUAUAAUAUGAUUGGUUGACUGAAAAUAUAUAAUAAUAAUAAUAAUAAUAAAUAAAUAAAUAAAUAAAUUAUGAGGACCAUGUAAUGUUUUUGUUUAAUCAAUCAUAUUAUGUCGCAUUAGUUUAUACAAUAUUAUUUGUGCACAAGAGGUGGUGGUCAUAUCAUUACUCUAGCUUUAUUAUUCUUAUGGUGGCAAUGUAUGCUUGCUUACACGAGUAAUUACAAAAUCUGCAGAAUUCUAAAGAAGAGAUUGAGCCAACCCUUCAGGUACAGUGAAGAAGCUAUCCCGAACCAGGCCAAUCUCUUAUACAUGAUUCAGCUUGCUCGUUCUUCUGUACUUGAAUAAUUUGGUUCUAUAUAUUUACAAUUUUUCGCUCAUGCUACAGACUUGCAAGACACUUUGGAUUUUGUUUGAUGCAUUCUCCGUUUAAGAAAGGACUUGAAUUGAUGUUUCAUGUUUCAUGCAAUAUUCAAUUAGAUUCUGCCUAAAUUUCUGUAUUAUUCGUUCAAUUGGUCUUUUAAGCAUUUGAUUUCUAACCUCUCCUAAUGGAAGAUCAUUAUCUGAAGAAAACAGCAUAACAUUUGUGGCAUUAUCAGAAUAAGAAUAUUUUUGAGUAUAGUAAAAUUAUCUCCACCACUGUUAAAAAGAAUUAAUCAGUCAAACUGACCUCACACCAGCACGCUUUAAAUUAAAAGAAUUUCGUGAAGUCGAGACCAUGUUAUAGAUCUCAUGGAAAGAAGUAAACCCGUAAUUUUUUUCACAGCAUCAUAAGAAAAAUCAUUUUUUUUAAGUAUUUUUGCUAGCUGUUGAGUUUUAAUAGUAGUAGCUAUUAAACAAUAACAAUUAGUGUAUAUUAAAAAGUUGGAAACUGGUUGAUACCACUCGGGAAUCGAGCAGUUCACUUGUUUGCGAGUAGAAACCUACUUUACUACUAAUUACACUCAUACCAAAAAUAGUAACUAAAGAAUCAGGAAAUUUCCUAUUCACUAUUCUUCAUUUUUUAAUGCAAAAUUCCCAUUCGAAAACACCAAUGACUUUCAUUCAAAGUAAAUGAGAAAUUACAAUGAAAAUAGAAUCAAAAUACAUGUAUGUAUACCUAAAACAAAUGAUUUUUUUAAUUAAAAAAAAAACACAGUUGAGGUGAAAUGAAACCAGAGUCAUGAUAUCUCUGGUUCCAGCUUUGGGACAACAGCAGACUUGAGUUCUCUAUGAGAAACACGUACAACACCAAUCAGCCGCUCCGGUAAUUCAUCUGUAGUAUUUGCCUGCAUACAGAAGAGCAAGAUAAAGAAGACACACACAGAAGCAUUAUAUCAUUCUGAGAACAUUCAAGUAUGCAAAAAUGCAAGUUGCAGUGCAAUAUCUCAAAAUCAUGUCUUUUCCCUUGUGUCCAUUUAGCAGUGGGGGAAAAAAACAAUCAUACAUACCUGUACAAGGAAAGCCAUGUCAACCACCAAUGUCGUAAUUACACCAAUUACAAGGCCCAAAACUCCAUUAGCAACAGUAGAAGAAUCGAUGUCAACAUCAAUCUACAGAAAGAUGAACAAUGUUAAACCAUGUUAAAGGUAUUGGACGCUAUUUGAAAGGGGAACAUCUCAUGUACUAUAGAAAUUCCAAGAGCAUUUACUUCUAAGUACUUGGGACCGCGAAUAUAGUUACAAUCAACUGCCUUCCCCAAUAAACAAGGGGUGCUUCCAACACUCUGGCGCACUAUCCAUGACCCCUGCAUGAUUCAGUGCUGAAAAUCAAGAACAAGUGCAAAACAAAUUCAAGAGGGUAAAAAGGAGAUAAAGUUUGAAGGUACAACCCAUCAAUACAUUCACACCUAAAUGCAUGCCUUCUUUGUACAAAUUGAAGUGUACCAUGCAGUAAAGGGUAAGUAUACGUUAAUAUAGUCCUACUACAUGAAGGCCAAGAUGGAUACCUUAGGAACAGAUGGAAUAAGUUUCAACCUACUAUUGCGAAAUUCAUCAUCGCCAUCAACAAACCGUUGCAAAAGUGAUCCCGUAACCAAUUGCCUUGUGACAAAAUAAAAUACCAUACUAUAAUGUGUUGAACCAGGAACCUGCAGAUGCUUAGGUUACAACUAUACAACCUCCCAAUACAAUAAGUUUGAAACUUAUACCUUCUGAAAUGAAACAAACUUUCUUGAAGAUUAAAGAUCAGUGAGAAAAGCCCUUUUUCAGAAGCAACCUACAUAUUUUAGAAUAGGGCUCAGUGCGUUAUAGAUUCAAUGAACCAUGAGAAGUUAUUUACAUUGUUGUAUCUCACAGGCAGUCUUUUCUCCUAAUGUAUCAAGGGAAAAUGCUAGUGAAUUGAAUGAAGCUAGAGCAGAGCAUGAUGUUGCUGUGUAGCUGACUUUAGCAGAUCAACUCACUAAGCUAACCUGGCAAAGUUAUUUAGCUGGUUGAGCUGAUGUGUCAAAUUAGUUAUGCAGCAAAUGGUUAUGUGAUGUAACAAACUCGUGUGUGUGUUGAGCAAAUUGUAGCUUAAUAUAAAUAUCAGUCUGUAUUCAUUCAGUUGUAAUGCUAAAGUAAUAAAGGUUCUACAAACUUCUUUACAGAGCUUUCUUUUAUUUUCUUCAUUUUCUAGCUUGCCAAACAAUGCAAAACUAAGUUUCUUUCAUGGUAUUAGAGCCAUAAAUGGCGAAUACAGUUCAAAAUAACAACUCUUUUAGUUUUGUUACGCCUGUAAAGCUAGACCAAAACAACUUCAUUUUAUGGCGGGCACAAAUUUUAGCAUCGAUCAAAGGAAACGGUCUGGAAGGGUUUAUCAAUGGUGAUCAAGAAUGUCCUGAGCAGUUUCUUUCUUCUGGAAACAACAAUGGAGCUGAAAUUUUUACUGAAUCUGAAUCCAAAUCUAUUAAUCCAGAGUUCAUAGCUUGGAUGAAGACUGAUCAACUUCUGUUGAGUUAGAUGAUGUCGUCGAUACAGCAAAAUCUACUUGCUACUGUGAUUGACUCCACAACUUCAAAACAGCUUUGGAAGACUCUUACUAGUAUGUUUAUUUCUUAAUCACAAGCUAGAAUUCAAACACUUAGAAUGCAGAUUCAAACUAUUAAGAAAGGUGCAAUGCAUAUGUCUGAUUACUUUGCAAAAGUAAAACGUAUAGCUGAUACUUUAGCUCUAGCUGGAAAACCUGUUGAGUUAAGUGAUCUUGUGAUGCAUGUAUUAACUGGUCUUGAUUCAUCAGAUUAUGAAUCUUUAGUCACAGGUGUUUUAGCUCGAGGUGAGAAGAUAACAUUAGAUGAACUAUAUCCUUUGCUAUUGAAUCAUGAAAAUAGAGUUGAACAAAAGAAAGGAAAAAUUGCUGGUGAUGUGAUGCACAAUAUGACAGCAAAUAUUGCUCAAAAGAACUCAUAUGCUGGAAAGAAUAAUGGCAAUUUUCAAAAAAAUUAUGGAAAUAAUUCUAGGUAUGGAGGUUUUAAUGGAUAUGGAUAGGGUCAGUUUAAUAAUGGUGGUAAUUCCUCUGAAAUUGUUUGUCAAAUCUGCUUCAUACCUGGUCAUGCAGCCAAUAGAUGCAAAAAUAGGUACAAUUCAUCUUUUGUUCCACAGAGAAACUAUGGCAGAGGUAAUAUGAAUGGUGGCAGAGGUUUUAAUCAAGGGCAAUAUGGUAGAGGAAGAGCUUUUAAUAGUAAUGGUGGCAGAGGUUUUGGAGGUUUUGGUUUAAAUGCUGGUUUUGGCUAUGCACCCAGGGGUUUUGGCUAUCAAGGAAAUAUGGUGUAUCCAGAUAGUAAUCCUUCUGCUUAUUACUCAUUCACCCCUGGACCAUCUACUUUUGUUUCUGGUCAAGGAAAUAAUAAUCCUGGACAGUCAAGUGCUUCAUCUUCCUCAGCUAUGCCUUCUUCACUUCCACCAGAACACAUUGAAGAUCCUUCAUGGUAUAUUGAUAGUGGAGCAACAAAUCACAUUACAAAUGAUCUAGGUAAACUUCUGGAUUCACAAAUUUAUACUAGUACUGAAAAAUUAUUUGUUGGAGAUGGAAAUGCAUUAGCUAUUACACAUGUAGGAUCAGUUGUGCUAAAUACUUCAACUUCUAAACCUUUAAAAACCAUGUUCUUCAUGUCCCUUUUAUUACUAAGAAUUUGCUUAGCAUUUCAAAAUUAUUGGCUGACAAUCCAGUUACUGUUGGAAUUUCUUGGUGAUUUGUUUUUUAUAAAGGCUAGGAACACAAGGAAAAUUUUACUUGAAGGUGUUGCUAAAGGUGACUUGUAUAGAGUCUCUUCACAUGUUGCUGCUCAUUCAGUCUUUCUCAAUUCAGUUGGUCAAAAUAAAAUUCACUCUCUUUGCUUGUUCUCCUGUUUUCAAUUCUGAUCAGCUCACUGCUGUUAGUUCUUAUGAAUUGAAUAAAAAGCCAUGUCUGUCAGUUGUUACAAAGAGUUCUAUUGAUGUAAAUCUUCUUCAUAGAAGAUUAGGACACCCAGCAUCUUAUACUCUCAAAACUAUACUCAAAACUUGUAACAACUCUACUGCUUAUAAUAAAAUUGAAAGCUUGAAAUUUUGUUCAGCAUGUCAAUAUGGGAAAAAUCAUAUGCUGCAUUUUGAUUCAGUUGAAACAAAAACUUCAGCACCCUUACAAGUGAUAUAUGCAGAUCUUUGGGGUCCUUCUCAUGUCUGUUCUACCCAAGGAUAUAAUUACUACUUAUCAAUCUUAGAUGAUUAUAGUAGAUUUACCUGGAUAUUUCCAUUGUCAGCCAAAUCUGAUGCUCUUGAAGUGUUUACCAAUUUCAAAAUUUUUAUUGAAAAGCAUCUUCAACUUCAAAUCAAAACUGUCCAAACUGAUUGGGGAGAAGAGUUCAGAACAUUUUCCUCAUUACUCACUGCUUCUGGUAUCCAUUUUAGACACCCUUGCCCACAUAUUCAUCAUCAAAAUGGAAGAAUUGAGAGGAAACAUAGACACAUAGUUGAUGUAGGUCUGACCUUAUUAGCUCAAGCACAUUUACCACUCAAAUUUUGGUGGAAUGCAUUCCACACAGCUGUCUAUUUGAUAAACAGACUUCCAACUCCAAUUCUAAACAACAUUUCUCCUUUCCAAAAGUUAUUUCAUCAUCAACCAGAUUAUUCAACACUUAAAACCUUCGGUUGUGCUUGUUAUCCAACACUCAGACCAUACAAUAGACAUAAGUUUGAUUUCAGAACUGCCAGAUGUAUAUUCAUUGGCUACAAUUCACAACACAAGGGAUAUCAGUGUCUUCACUCUUCUAAGAGGGUUUACAUUUCAAAUCAUGUCACCUUUGAUGAAAAUUCUUUUCCUUAUGAGUCUGGAGCAGAUUUUUCUUCACUCUCUUCAAGUUGUCAGUCAACAAAAAAUUAUAAGUCUUCUUUCAAUUCCUCUGUUCCUUCUAUUACUCAGUUACAAGCACCUUUAGCAGCAUCAUCAGAACACCAUCAAAAUGUUCAUCAUUCAGAUGCUCCUACUCCCUCACCAAAUUCUACUCCACUUUAUUUUUCUGAUAAUUCCAACUCAGCUUCUUCUUCUUCACCACCACAUAAUUCACCUCCACAUACAUUGCCACAACCUGCAUCAACUGGUCAUCCAAUGAUAACCAGGUCAAAAGCAGGUAUUUUCAACCCAAAAAUUUAUUUGUCAGCUUUAUUAGCCCAGAAAUCAGAACCAACUUCUGUUUCCCAAGCACUUUCUGAUCCUAUGUGGUAUAAGGCUAUGCAAGAAGAGUAUCUAGCACUUAAAACUAAUCACACCUAGGAUUUAGUUUUACAUGCUACUCCAGUGAAGAUAGUUGGCAGCAAAUGGGUGUUUUGAAUAAAGUAUAACUCAGAUGGUUCAGUUUCAAGAUAUAAAGUCAGGCUUGUUGCAAAGGGGUUUCAUCAGACACAUGGGAUUGACCAUACAGAAACUUUUAGUCCAGUGGUUAAAGCUUCAACUGUUAGAGUUAUUCUUAGCUUAGCAGUAUUGAAUCAAUGGGUGAUUAGGCAAGUAGAUGUUAAUAAUGCCUUUCUAAAUGGCAUUUUAAUUGAAGAGGUGUACAUGGCUCAACCUGAAGGUUUUGUUGACUCAACUAAACCUAAUCAUAUCUGCAAGCUGAAUAAAGCUUUGUAUGGCUUAAAACAGGCACCUAGAGCCUGGUUUGAUAGAUUCAAGGAUGCAAUGAUCUCUAAACGGCAUUUCCAGCAUUCAAGGUCUGAUAACUCUCUGUUUCAUGCCUGGAACAGUGGUCAUCUAACUCUUGUUUCGGUCUAUGUUGAUGAUAUUAUCAUCACUAGUUCCAGUCCAACACUAAUUCAGCAAGUUAUUAAGAUUAUGAAUUUGCUUUAAAAGACAUGGGGGAACUUAGCUAUUUUCUGGGGAUUGAAGUCAGCAAGUCUUCACAAGGGGUUUCCUUGACACAAGCAAAGUAUAUUACUGACAUUCUGGAUAAACAUGGCAUGACAGAUUGCAGUCCUGUGCCUACUCCAAUGUCUACUGGUUAUUAUCUCACAAAAGAAUCAGGAGAGCUAAUUGAUAAUGUUUCUCAAUAUAGGAGUGUUAUAGGAGCUCUUCAAUAUGUUACUCUUACCAGACCUGACAUUGCUUUCUCUGUAAACAACCUAAGUCAAUUCCUUUCAAGUCCUAGAACACAACAUUGGGAAACAUGCAAAAGGUUAUUGAGGUACUUAAAAGGCACUAUACAUCUUGGGCUGCAAUUUAAUAACAAAGGAGCUUUGCAACUACAUUGUUUUUCAAAUUCUGACUGGGCUUGUGAUCGUGAUGAUAAGAAGUCAGUGGCUGGCUUUGCUGUUUACCUAGGCCCUAAUCUAGUCUCAUGGUCAUCAAAGAAACAAGCUGUUGUUUCCAGGUCCAGCACAGAGGCUGAGUAUAGAUCUCUUGCUCAUGCUGAUUCAGAGGUUCCCUGGUUACAAUCUUUACUUGGUGAACUUAACAUCAAAUUGAGCUCUACUCCUAUGAUGUGGUGUGAUAAUCAAGAAGCAAUUGCUUUAGCUUACAAUCCAGUCUAUCAUGCUAAAACUAAGCAUGUCGAAUUGGAUAUACAUUUUAUCCGAGAUAAAGUUACUGCUAAAGAGAUUGAAGUAUGUUUUGUGCCCAGUCAAGAUCAAACAGCAGAUGUGUUGACUAAGGCUUACUUUCAAACAGUUUAGUUACUUAAGAAGCAAGCUGAAUGUUCAUCCUAAACAUUUCAGCUUGAGGGGGGAUGUUAGUGAAUUGAAUGAAGUUGGAGCAGAGCAUGAUGUUGCUGUGUAGCUGACUGUAGCAGAUCAACUCACUAGGCUGACCUGGCAAAGUUAGUUAGCUGGUUGAGCUGAUGUGUCAAAUUAGUUAUGCAGCAAAUGGUUAUGUGAUGUAACAAACUUGUGUGUGUGUUGAGCAAAUUGUAGCUUAAUAGAAAUAUCAGUCUGUAUUCAUUCAGUUGUAAUGCUAGAGUAAUAAAGGUUCUACAAACUUCUUUACAGCGCUUUCUUUUAUUUUCUUUCAUUUUCUAGCUUGCCAAACAAUACAAAACUAAGUUUCUUUCAGAAAAGGAAAAAUAAAAAGAAAAGAAUAGUUACUGUUGAAAAUAAAGAUUCAAAGUUAUGAUUUCUUUGUAAUCUAGGCUAUUUUAGGAAUAAGUUAAAUUAUAAUGGGAAGAUUCAUUAGGAUUUUUUCCAGAUUUUGUUUCCUAUUAUUUAGGAAAGGAUAGAUGUAGUCUCCUAUUUUCUCUCCUAUUUUGCUGUAUAUAUUCCCUGUACAUACUGUUCUGGAAAGUAAGAAAAAGAGGAACCAAUUCACAUUUUUCUUCAUGGUAUCAGAGCCUGGCUCUAAACCCUAGUUCUCCUAUCAGCCGCCAUUUCCUUCUUCUCUCAUAAAUUGAACAAUCUACCUUCCUUCCUCUCCCAUCAAUUGUAUUCUCUGUGGCAAAAUACGGGAUGGCUUCCUCAUCAACCUCUGUUACAGUAUCACAGUCUAAAGGAAACGUGGAGACUGCAACUCAUGGUGGAAUUGAUUCUUCACCGAUCUUAAUUACCAGUCAUAAAUUGAACGGCCACAAUUAUCUCCAGUGGUCACAAUCUGUCAUGAUGUUCAUCUGUGGCAAGGGUAAGGAUGAUUAUCUCACGGGUGAGGCGGCCAUGCCAAAGGUAUCAGACCCUAGUUUCAAAAGGUGGAAGUCAGAGAACAACAUGAUCAUGUCAUGGCUUAUCAAUUCCAUGAACAAUGAUAUUGGUGAGAAUUUUCUUCUGUUUGGGACUGCAAAGGACAUAUGGGAUGCUGCAAAGGAAACCUAUUCUAGCUCUGAGAACACAUCAGAGUUAUUCCAGAUUGAAACCAUCCUCCAUGACUUCCGCCAAGGAGAACAAUCUGUCACUCAGUACUUUAAUACUCUGACUAGGCAUUGGCAACACCUUGAUCUAUUUGAAACAUACCCUUGGAAGUGCACCGACGAUACAACCUUGUACAAGAAGAUUGUGGAACAGAAGAGAACGUUUAAAUUUCUCCUCGGACUCAAUAAAGAUCUUGAUCAGGUUAGGAGCCGUGUACUCGGGACAAAGCCUCUACCACGCCCUCGUGAAGCCUUUUCUGAAGUUAGGCAUGAAGAAAGUAGGAAAAAGGUGAUGAUGGGGUCAUCAGAACCAACACUGGACGCCUCUGCACUUGCUGCCCGUGCAUCCAACUCUGUAGGGGUUAGUGAAAAUCGUACAAAGAAAGAAAGACCAUGGUGCGAUCACUGUCGUAAGGCAGGCCACUAUAAGGAGAGUUGCUGGAAAAUUUAUGGCAAGCCUGCUGAUUGGAAACCUCGUUCCAAAGGUGACCGUGAAUCUCGUGCUCAUGCAGCAUCCACCACGGACAAUCAGGCCCUACCCGAGCCAAAUCCAUUCAGCAAGGAGCAAAUGGAGAUUCUUCAAAAGCUUUUCGAUCAAGCCACUUUGAACUCCAAUGCAGGGACAAGUCUAGUGGCUCAGAAAGAGACUCAUUCAGCAUUUGCAGCCACUAAUGGAGCAAGCAAACCUUGGAUAAUUGACACUGGUGCUUCUGAUCACAUGACUGGAGAUGCCUCAAUGUUGCAGGAUUAUAAAGCUAGCAUCAACAGCACUUCAGUCUGGAUCGCAGAUGGCUCUCACACAAAAAUAGCAGGGACAGGUUCCAUCAGACUCACUAAGGAGUUACACCUUAAUUCUGUACUUUAUGUGCCUAAUUUGGCUUGCAAUUUACUUUCAAUCAGUAAAUUCACUCGUGAUCAGAAUUGUGUAACUAAAUUCUAUCCAAAUAUGUGCGUUUUUCAGGACUUGGAUUCGCGAAGACGAUUGGCAGUGCUGAGCUAUGUUCUGGACUCUAUCUACUCAAAAGCGAUCAAUCCUCCUUCAUACAAGAUUCGAGAGCAAACUGUGCCAAGUCCAAUAGUCUGUCAACUAGUUAUCCUCAUUCUAUUGUUAGUCCAAAUGUCAAUAACGAUAGUGAAAUUGUUCUGUUACACUAUCGAUUAGGUCAUUCUAGUUUCAUGUAUCUCGCAAAAAUUUUUCCCAAUCUAUUCAUCAAUAAAAACCCUUUAUCAUUUCAUUGUGAAAUUUGUCAAUUUGCAAAACAUACUCGAAAUGUUUAUUCAAGUGUUAAGUAUAAGCCUUCUCGUCCAUUUGCUUUAAUUCACAGUGAUGUGUGGGGUCCCUCAAGAAUUAAAAAUGUUUCUGGGGCUCGCUGGUUUUUGUCAUUUGUGGAUGAUCAUACUCGUCUCACUUGGGUGUUUCUCAUGAAAAACAAAUCCGAAGUUAGUCAAAUCUUCCAAAACUUUAACGCCAUGAUUCAAACCCAAUUCAAUACCAAAAUCCAAGUCCUUAAAACCGACAAUGCCAAGGAAUAUUUCAAAGACUCCCUCAGCUCAUAUCUUCUCCAUCAAGGCAUUCUUCACAUCAGUUCUUGUGUUGACACCCCGCAACAAAAUGGGGUCGCUGAACGCAAAAACAGACACCUUCUUGAAGUGGCUCGCUGUCUUUUGUUCUCAUCUCAUGUUCCUAAUUUUUUCUGGGGUGAAGCUGUUCUCACUGCAGCCUACUUAAUCAACCGAAUGCCUUCUAGAGUCUUGGGGUUUCAUUGCCCAAGAAAAGUUCUUCUCAAUUUCUUUCCACACACUAGGAUUGUUUCAGCAGAUUUACCACAAAAAAUAUUCGGUUGCACAGCAUAUGUCCAUGUUCACUCUCAACACAGGACUAAACUUGAUCCCCGAUCUCUCAAGUGUAUAUUUUUAGGCUAUUCUCCACAUAAAAAAGGAUACAAAUGCUAUUCUCCUCAUACCAGAAAAAUAUACAUUUCCAGAGAUGUAACAUUUGUUGAAAACCUGCCUUUAUAUUCCAAAACUGUUGUUCAGGGAGAGAGUAUGAGCGAACAUCAGCCUUGGGAAUCUUCUUGGCAAUCUUGGCUGGAAACCCCUCAUGAAAACCCUCAUAACUCAACCACCACACAUGAUCAAUCUAUCCAACAGCCACAAUCAGCAAUCCUCCCAACAUCUUCACAACCUUUUGAGUCAUCUGAGUCCUCCCAACCACAAUCAGCCGAGUCACCCCGUCAUCCAUCAGCCCAUCAACUACAGCCUCUAAUCUCACCUCUUCCACAGCUUGCUGUUGAUAAUCUUAAUGUUUAUAGGAGGAGAAGAACUGGAGAGCAGAUAGAGCACAGAACUCAGCCACAUGUCCAAGAAACUGAACCAAAUCCAAGCUCUUAUGAAGACAACACAGGUAUGGAUAGUCUUGCCUCGGUUGAGUUCAUGGUUCCAAGUGUGGAUGAUUCUAAUAAAUCAAUUGCAGAAAGAAAGGGGGUUCAAAGUUGUACCACUCAUCCAAUUGCCAAAUAUGUCUCAUAUGAUGGUUUGUCCCCAUCAUACCGAGCCUUUGUUUCUUCUUUAGAUAAUCUACAUGUUCCCAACAAUAUACAAGAGGCUCUCGGUCAUCCUGAGUGGAAGAGAGCUGUUCAUGAAGAAAUAAAUGCUCUUGAGAAAAAUGAUACAUGGGUUAUAACAGAUCUUCCUGCAGGGAAACGACCAGUUGGAUGUAAGUGGAUUUUUACUGUUAAAUACAAGGCAGAUGGAAGUGUUGAGAGCCUCAAAGCUCGUCUUGUAGCUAAAGGGUUCACACAGUCAUAUGGGAUUGAUUAUCUUGAAACCUUUGCUCCGGUUGCGAAGCUCAACACCAUUAGAAUCUUGCUCUCCUUAGCAGUAAAUCUAGAUUGGUACUUAUACCAACUAGAUAUAAAAAAUGCGUUUCUCAAUGGCGAUCUUGAAGAAGAAGUGUUUAUGGAAGUUCCCCAGGGUCUUGAUCUGAAUCUUACUAGAAAUAAAGUGUGCAAGCUCAAGAAAUCUUUGUAUGGGCUUAAACAAUCCCCUCGAGCAUGGUUUGAUAGAUUUGCGAAGGCAGUUGUGAGACUUGGUUACACUCAGUGUCAGGCAGAUCACACUUUAUUCCUCCGAACAUCACAAGCAAAGAAGAUCUCUCUCCUAAUCGUAUAUGUUGAUGACAUCAUUCUCUCAGGAAAUGAUGAGGAAGAACUGCAGAAGUUGAAGAAACAGCUAGCUCAGGAAUUCGAAGUUAAAGAUCUAGGGAAUCUGAAAUAUUUUCUUGGGAUGGAGGUGGCAAGAUCUAGGAAGGGAAUUGUUGUCUCCCAAAGGAAAUACACCCUGGACUUACUAAAGGAGACUGGUAUGAUUGGGUGCAAACCAGUAGAUACUCCUAUGGAUCCCUACAAGAAACUAGGCUCAGUUGAGAAUAGUGUUCCAGUCAAUAGAGGGAGAUAUCAAAGACUGGUUGGUCGUUUAAUUUAUCUCUCACAUACCCGUCCGGACAUAGGCUUUGUUGUUAGUGUUGUGAGCCAAUUCAUGCACAAUCCUACAGAGGAACACAUGGAUGCAGUCUUUAGAAUUUUGAAGUAUCUAAAGAUGACACCUGGAAAAGGAUUGUUUUUCAAGAAAUCAGAAUAUAGGAAUAUUGAGAUCUACUCUGAUGCAGACUGGGCUGGAGACAUCACAAAUAGAAGAUCAACAUCUGCUUACUGUUCCUAUGUCUGGGGAAAUCUAGUAACCUGGAGGAGUAAGAAACAAUCAGUUGUAGCUAGGAGUAGUGCAGAAGCAGAGUUCAGAGCUUUGGCAAAUGGAAUCUGUGAAGGAAUUUGGAUAAAGCGUGUACUCAAGGAACUCGGUGUGUGCAGCCCUUCAUCCAUUCUAAUGAGGUGUGACAAUCAAGCAGCAAUCAGCAUCGCAAAAAACCCAGUGCAUCAUGAUCGAACCAAACAUGUCGAGAUUGAUAGGCACUUCAUCUCAGAGAAGGUCACUAGUGGAAGUGUGGAACUAAAGUACAUUCCAACUAGACAACAAAUUGCAGACAUCCUUACUAAAGCACUGCCAAGACCUAACUUUGAAGACUUAAGUAACAAGCUGGGUUUGUAUGAUAUACACACACCAGCUUGAGGGGGAGUGUUGAAAAUAAAGAUUCAAAGUUAUGAUUUAUUUGUAAUCUAGGCUAUUUUAGGAAUAAGUUAAAUUAUAAUGGGAAGAUUCAUUAGGAUUCUUUCUAGAUUUUGUUUCCUAUUAUUUAGGAAAGGAUAGAUGUAGUCUCCUAUUUUCUCUCCUAUUUUGCUGUAUAUAUUCCCUGUACAUACUGUUCUGGAAAGUAAGAAAAAGAGGAACCAAUUCACAUUUUUCUUCAGUUACUUGUGCAGUACAGCCUUGACGCCUAGCUACAUGGUCCAUUCUCUUUGUGUCUUUGAACCAAUCAACAGCAACAAGAUCCAUUAAAUGUUUUCCCGCAGGUGUCUGCAGUUACAAAUUGCACAAAGCACAAGAGCCAACCAAACUACAUCAUAACAUGUCGACCUAGCAUAUGCAGGAUAUAUAAAUACCAUAACAAACAACCAAAAUAUGGGGGAACCUUUGUUUUGUCAUAACAAAAAUGCUUGCUACGAACUCUAAAGUUAUUUCCACCAGAAAGUUUCCAGCAGUCACGAGCAUUAUCACAGUCAUCGUGUCGCAGAUUGCCGGAAAAAUAAGACAAAUCAAUUUGAUCAGCCUGCUCUUCCUCUAGGGUAACAACUAAUUGAAAAUUAUAAACCAAAAAAAAAAAAUCAAUACCAUAAAAAUCCACUAAUGAGGACAUUAGCCAAAUAUACAAAAAUGAAUACUUAUCAUCCACCUGUCCUCUUGAAAUCAUUCUCAAUCUUUUUUUCAUUUGCCUGAAAUCCCAAGGAAAAAUAUGGAACUAAUACUUCCCAUUCAUGACUAUUGUCUGUCAUAUAAACAUGACAUUUAAUUGAAAUAGUAAAAUUAUUUAAUUAUUUUAAUUAAAUGUUAAUCCUAUAAAUUAUUUUUGUUAAAUCUAGCAAGAAUAACUAACAUUUCUUUAAGAUAUAUUUUGGCGGUAAAUUAAAAAAAAUUAAUUAUUUGGCGGGAAUUAUUGAAAUUGGAGCCAUUUUUUUGUGGGAAUUGAAAUAUAUUCUUUAAAUUAUUAUAUAAAAAGAAAAAUGUACAUACACACACAUAUAUAUAAUUUAUAUAUAAAAAUUCUCUAAUUUGUUCACAAGUAUCAUAGAUUAUAAUUCAGUUAUGAAAUAAAAUAACUACAAGGAAAAAUAUGUAACUAAUACUUCCCAUUCAUGACUAUUGUCUGUCAUAUAAACAUGACAUUUAAUUGAAAUAGUAAAAUUAUUUAAUUAUUUUAAUUAAAUGUUAAUCCUAUAAAUUAUUUUUGUUAAAUCUAGCAAGAAUAACUAACAUUUCUUUAAGAUAUAUUUUGGCGGUAAAUUAAAAAAAAUUAAUUAUUUGGCAGGAAUUAUUGAAAUUGGAGCCAUUUUUUUGUGGGAAUUGAAAUAUAUUCUUUAAAUUAUUAUAUAAAAAGCAAAAUGUACAUACACACACAUAUAUAUAAUUUAUAUAUAAAAAUUCUCUAAUUUGUUCACAAGUAUCAUAGAUUAUAAUUCAGUUAUGAAAUAAAAUAACUACAAUAAUUAUAGUUAAAUGAAUACUUCAUUAAUUCUUAAUUUGCUUCCUAACAUUAAAUGAACAACUUGAGCCAACCACCUGAAUCAACCAGUAACAACGCCUGAGUCAACCAUCUGAAAAAACCAGCAACCCUAGCUGAUUCAAGCACCUGCAAUUAACAUCAACACAUCAGGAACAAUCGUAAAUCAGCACCAAGAACAGACCAAACUGCCAUCAAAUGCCACAAAACCAAACAGUCUGCUACUGCCAUCAAAUGCAAGCAAACAUAUGCAACAAAACCAGAUGCAAGUGAAAAUCUGGAGAAUAUCGGAUAAACCAAACCAAAUGCCACACUUCUAGUAAUUAGACUAGAUGCAGUGUUCAAUUAAACUAAAUGUAGUCUCAUAUUACAUUCAAAGGUGAAAACACUGUAAAAAAAAAUACAGCCAAAACAAUUGUUUACUUUUAAGUUCUAACAAAGCGUAACAGUCCAAAACCAAAACAUCUUAACUACCAAGCAAACAUCUAACAUAAUUAUUAAAAUUAAAAAGGAAAAAACAUAGGAAUCUCAGUUCUUAUACAUUUUGUAUGCAUUUAGUAAGCACACGCACAUAGACCAUCUAUGCAUAACCUUCUUCUAGCCCACCUGCAGAUGUCACAGAGAAGAGACAUUUUUUGCAGCUUGAAGUGCUCCAAUUGCUUUGUGAAGGUCCAAUUGUAAGCCUAAAUAUUGAAUCCAUGAGUCCAUAUAAUUGAAGGCUGGUGGCGACUUUUGAGUACAAAUCAAGAGAGAGUGAAGUGUGAAUUUCUGCAUGGCCCAUAACUUCAUCCACGUAGCUAUUCACUUCUUUGCAGUGAAAAGUUCCUUAAUCCUGGCACUAAUGUUGGGCAUCAUUUUGAUUUUUCAAGCCCUUUUAGAACACUUAUUGAUUUAGGAAAUUAAGGGAGCCAUUGAAAGGUGACUAAAACGGAGUGAGUUAGGGGUCCUACCUCUCUGUAGGGCUCUCGAAUCGCGGGAAAUGAGCUCCAUUGUGACCUUCAUUUCCUCCUUUUCGGAAAAAUUAGUUCAUGGCGCUUACGAUGUGAGCAAUUACUCUUUCUGGUGUCCUGAUGGUUGAUAACAGAGACUUUCAGCCUCGCUGCCUCAGGUAAGCUUGAUGGGAGGACCAGAUGUCAUACAAAAAAUAAAAGCUUUCUUUUCUCGGUAAAAGCAUGCGCAUUUUUCUGUAAGUGGGGAAGAGGCCGCGCCGUCAACACUGCAUCGGUGAAGAUGGGUGGUGGUUGUUGGUGGAGAAACGGAGGGAGGUGGCGAUUCUGAGACUUGUUGCGAUUUAGGGUUGGCCGGUUGGGUUUGGGGGAAAUUGGGUAAAGCAAAAUGCAUUUUUGUUGUUAUAUAUAUAUAUAUAUAGAUAUAUAUAUAGUAGUUGGAUUAGCUAAAAGACAAAAAAAUUUAAAUUUUACUACACUACAUGAUAAAAUACAGUGCAUUGGAGUAUGUGUUUAUUUUGUCUUUUAACUAAUCCCUGAUUGGAAAACUACUAUAUAUAUAUAUAUAUAUAUUUUUUUUUUACUUAAUAAAAAAGUGGGCACGGGUCCGGGUUCCGGAUUCUUGGUGCUGUGACCGGACCCGUGCCCGGAUCCGCUUUUUCCAUGCAUCCGAUCCGGGUUUUACCCGGACCGUAUGCACCAGGUCCAGUCCGGAUCCGGUCUGAGCGGGCUUUUCUGCCAUCUCUACAGUGGAGAGAGGGAUUAAUUCAACGCUUAGCCAAAAUUUGGCUGCGAGUGUUAAUGGGUUUUAAGUUAUACAAAACGGUGUCGUUAAUUUAAACGGCAUUGUUUUACAAUCUUAUAAGUUCACAAAACUUAAGCAUGACUUAUAUGUAUAAUUUAUUUACGAUGGUUAAGUUAUAAGUCAUGAAUAUGUCAUAUACUCUGGACAUGAAUAUAUAUCACGAAUCUAUCAUAUUUUCAUGACACAUUCGUGACAUAACGAUAUAUGUUAUAAAAUUUCUGUCAUUAUUUAGUAUUUUUCUAGUAAUGUCAGGUCUUUAAAACCUUUCUAUUAAUAACAAAAACUCUAAUCCUUUAGCAAAAGACUAAAAAUUUUAAAAAAAUCUGUUUAAAUAUCAGUUGGCUCAUAAUCAACACUUCAAUAUUGUUUGUUGUAUUUUCUUUCUUUCUUUUUUUGUCAUUUUAUUAGAUUUGCUUUGUAUCAUGGUUUGUUUUGCUUAAGUAAUUGUUCAUUAUUUACGUCUGUGUUCUUACUAGCUUUUGAUAAUUUAUGGUUGGUUUUUUAUUCAGACCCUCGAAGUACCUUUUUGUUAAUAGCAAAACCUCUGAUCCUCAAGAAAGAAAAAGAAAUUCUCUAUUUAAUUAUUAGUUAGUUCAAGAUCAAUAUCGCAAUAUUGUUUGCAGUCUUUUCAUUCUCUGUCUUUCCCACUAGUUCAUUUUAAUUUAUCUGUAUUCCUUUCUUUGACACUUGUAUUUAUUUAUAUAGAUUGUUAAGCAACAGGCAAUGGCUGCAGAAGGGUGUCUCCCUACUUUUUCUAGCAUUGUAUCACAAGGUUCAAAAGCAUUAUUCAAACCGAUUAUGUGGCACAUAUCUUAUGUGUUCCGAGUACCAGAGCUACAUAGAUGGGCUAAAAGAUUGAGUGAAGGAGCUGGAAUAUAUAAGAGAAAGGGUGCAAAUGCUGGUUAGAGAGGCUACUCUACAAGGAGAUGAGAUUUAUAAGGGUGUCAGAGACUGGCUAAAUAGAGUUGCUGAAUUCAGUGAAGGGGUUGCAAAAUCAAUCAUUGAUGAUAAAGAUAGAGCUAAGAUGUUCUGCUUCAAAAGGUUGUGCCCAAAUUUGAUUUCUUGUUACAAGCUUGGUAAACAAGCAGCAGAGGCCGCAAACGAAGCUGAUAAACUUGUGAAGAAAGGCGAAUUUAACAUUUGUAAUCAUGUUUCCUACCGUCCUGCUCCAGAGAGUACAGAAUAUGUGCAAGUGAAAGAUUACGUAGCCUUUUAUUAUAAUAUCUUUUCACUCUAUUAACUUAAAAAAGAUUGACUUCAAUAUUAAAAAUGUAACAGUAUAUACAUUUUAUAAUAAUUUCAAUAUUUAAAAAAUAUUUGAAUACUUUACAAUCUUAUAUUAUAUUAAACUACAUUUUAUAAUAAAUAGAAACAUAAUAUUAAAAUAAAUAUAUAAAAUUUUAAGUUAGGCUUAAUAUUAUUUAAAAUAAUUUAAAUAUCAUUAAUACAUGAGAUAUAUUAUAUUAAUUAUAAAUUCUAUUUAAUCUAAAUAUAUAUUUAAAGUUUUAUACUAAAAAUAGAUAUAUUAUUAAAAUAAAUAUAACAACUAACAUUUUAAAGAUUAAUACUGAAAUUAAAAUUAUAAAUUAUAUUAAUCUACUAAAAAGAUUCAUCUAUUUGACACUAGCAGCGGACAAUGAGGUCACGGCAUAGGACAAGCAGUUAUCGUGACCCAUGGACUUUUCUACUUCUUUUGAAAAAAAAAAAAAUAUCAAAGUCAUUGAAGUGCGUUUGAUGAUAUGCUGUGUAGCUUCUCUCUCAAAUGCUUUUCGAGUGCCUCCAGUAUCUGCUUUUAUAUAAGCUUUUGUCUUUAAUCAUUCAUUCAAGCUUUCGCUAAGAGUGAUGCAGCACAGCACGUAAAUAUAGAAGCAUUGACAGCCGUAGUCAGGAGCUCUUCGGUAUUUGAAGCAAGAAUGGUUGUUUGGCUUUGUGCAUUGAAAGAGAAAAGAAAAAAGAAAGACUAAUUUCAAUAAUACAAUUUAAUUAAUUAAUUUAAAAUAAUAAGCAAAUAAUAAUGAUGAAAUUAAUUAAUAAAAAGAAGAAAAUGAAAAUUGCACGUGCUACUAGCAUAAACCAAUUGCCGGAAUGAGGUCACUUUGUAGACAAAUGAUUCUGGAAUCAGAACUUGGGCCAGCUUUGGGUUAUGGAUCCAAAAUAAAAAUAAGGUGGGCCACAUGGUCUCUUAUGAUCAAUAAAAAUCGAUUGAAAAGGAUGGUAUAGUGAGUGGAAGAGAAAUGCCGAUGGCAGAUCAAGGGAUGAAGAUACGAGCUCACUUGCAACGUGGUAUAGUUCAUCAUGGCUGGCUUUCCUAUAAGUUCAGGUCCUUUGAAUACUUUCAAUGACCUUAUUAGUCAGGAAUUUAACAAUAAUUUUUAUUUUUUACAUCCAGGAACGGUUUUAAGCAUAGGCAAAUUAGGCCUAUAAUAGCAAAUCCUCUUUUUUAACAAUUAAACAAUUAGGAAGUCUCCCUUUUUUAUUUUUGGUAUUACUUAUAAUAGCAAAUCUUCUUUUUUAGGCCUCUUUUUAGUUAGUAAUUAUCUUAUAAUUAAGAAUUUUUAUACACAUUCUAUCUUUGAUAACCUUAAUAUUAAAGAUCUCUAAUUAAUAGUAUUAUCUAAUUGUUAAUUUAUUAUUAGUUUUUCCAAGAAAAAAAUUAAAAUCUUUAUCUAUUUAAUACUUCAGUUUUUUUUUCGUCAGUGGCAGAUAAAAGAGUCGGUUUUUCCGUUACUAAGCUUUUUAUGGAUGAAUUUUUUUUUAUAAUUUCUUUGUUUUAUAGGUUCUCUGUGAAUGCCAUUAGAAAUGAGAUUGACUAAUUCAAACUUCCUUUUUCCCCUUAGCAUCCAAACGUGUGAGGCAAGGGCAACUAAUGAGUCCAUUGUGAUGAGAACCUUUGUCUAAGCAAAAGCAGAGGUCAAUUGCUAAUACCGUACUGUUAUUAGUUUCAGUGCUUAAAUUGCUCCAUAAGUUUGCAUUUUAAAGUCUCUGUCUUAAUUUCUGAGGUAUACUGCUAAUGAGACCUCCUGCCAAGUUCAAGUUUGUUGUGAUGGCUACUUUGUCAUAUAACUGACUGUGAGAGGCCAUCAAUCAGCUCUGUUUUGUAAUUUUGUACCUUUUUUUUUCAUAUAAUGAUCAAUCAAAUGUUAGCCCUUAGAUUGCAACCAAUAUUUACUGAUUGUCUUAUAUAGGAUAUAAACUAAAUUCAUAAGACAUUCCCUUAUUGAUAUUCAUUCCGACACGUCCUAGUCUUUUGCCUUGUAGAAAUGCUUGUGGUUGAAGAGCUUUACAGAGAAGCUGUCGUCAGUACUGCGCGGAAAUUGAUUAUAUUGAAUCAGAAAACUUGACCAGAUAAGGUCUGUGUGCAUGAGAAUACUUGAGGAAAGCUUCACAAUACUGAGGGCCGGAUCUGCACUCUUUCCUCUAUAUGUGUCUUCAAUAUCAAUGGCUCAAAUACAUGUGUUAUGGUCUUUUAAUAUAUAUAAAAUACCAUUAUCUCAUGCGUUAUGGUCUUAUCCUUGUAUUCUUAAAAACUACAUAAAAUACCGUUAUCUCUGCUUUUGUAGCUAUUGAAUUCGACUUUCACAACAUAAAUAUUUAUUAGCAACAACUUAAAAUCCAAACAAAUCUAACAUGCAAUGUAUCAAUUACAUAUUAUGAUUAAACAGAUUUUGAUUAUUUAUUAUUAAAAUAUAUUCUCAUUAAUAUCUUAAGGAUAGGUAAUACUCACAUAAUUUUUUUAAAAAUCAAACCCAAAUUAUAUGCAUUGUUAAUGUGUAUUAUUGUCUAAUAUUUGGAUUUUACUAAUUUACAACUGCUAUAAUGUACGGCCUCUUCAAACAUAAUGUGGGUCCCACCACGUGUUAAAUUUUUUACAUUAUUUUUGAAGGAAUUGUAAGUUACAGCAGCUGUAAAUUAGCAGCACCUCCAAUAUUUUACUUUACUUCCCCUAAUAUUUUACUUGUACUUUUAUAUCUUUACAAAACAAUACCAACAAGACAAUAAUGUAUGAAAUAAAUAAAAUAAAUAAAUAAAGAACUGACAACGAAAUUAGGCCUAUCAUUAAUUUCUCUUGGUGUGAACUCUUGACAAUUCUCCCAUAUCCCACCUAAAGCUCUCGCAUGGUGUGAACGCUUGACGAUUCUCCCAUAUCCCUCCAAAAAUUUGUCAUAUUGCGAAAAACAAUGUCAAUUCAAUAUCGUCUCCAUUAGUCAUAGUGGCAGAUAGGACUAGAAUUUGUUGAAACCCUUGGACUUAUUUUUCCUUUUGAAAAUAAUUUUGUAGAAUCUCAUAUCGUGAAUAACGGACAAUGAGACUCUUUUUUUUAACUAUAAUAUUUUUUUAAAAUUAUUAACUAAAAAAAUUAAUUUUAAUAUUUUAUAAUAAAUAUAAGUAGGAUAUUAAAAUAAAUAUAAUAAUAUAUACAUAUUAAAAUAAUUUCAAUACCAAAAAAUAUUUUAAUAGUUUACAAUCUCGUAUUCUAUUAAACCAAAUUAUAAUAAAUAGAGACAUAAUAUUAAAAUAAAUAUAUAAAAUUUUAAAUUAUUUUCAAUAUCAUAUAAAAUAACUUUAAUAUUAUUAAAACGUGAGAAAUAUUAUAUUAAUUAUAAAAACUAUUUAACCCAAGGAUUUGUUUAAAAUUUUUAUAAUAAAUAUAUUAAAUUACAUUUUAAAAAUUAAGUAUUUAAAUUAUACAUACUAGUCUACUAGAAAAUUUAAACUAUUUAAAUCAUAUUUACAUUUAGUAAAAAAUUUUGAAGUCAUUUUUUUUUUUGUGAAUACCAUAAGAGUGCUAUAGUCAAAAAGGGUAUUGGUGUUCUUUAUUAAAAGUUUGGGGUCUACAUGACUAUUUUCUAAAAUUUUAAGGGUGUCAUUUUAUUUUUGAAAAAAAUAAAAAUUUCAUUUAAACAGCUAAAAUGGUGAAUAGUACAAUGCUACAGUGGGCGUAAAUGGAAGGUAAAAAGCAAUCAGAUUUUGAUUAAACAUGCAAUGUAUGAAAUAUAUAUUAUAAUUAUACAGAUUUUGAUUAUUUAAUAUUAAAUUAUAUUCACAUUAAUAUCUUAAGGAUAGUUAAUACUCAAAUAAUUUUUCAAAAAAUCAAACCCAAAUUAUAUGCAUUGUUAAUGUGCGUUAUUGUCUAAUAUUUGGAUUUUGCUAUGUCACAACUACUGUAACUUAAAGCCUCUUCAAACAUAUGUCGAUCCCACCACGUGUUAAAUUUUUUACAUUAUUUUUUAAGGGAUUGUAAGUUACAACAGCUUAACUUAGCAGCACCCUAAUAGUUUAUUUUACUUUUAUAUCUUUACAAAACAAUGCCAACAAGACAACAAUGUAUGAAAUAAAUAAAAUAAAUAAACAAAGAUCUGACAGCAAAAUUAUGGCUAUCAUUGGUUUCUUGUGGUGUGAACUCUUGACAAUCCUCCCCAAUCCCAUCCAAAACUCCCGCGUAGUGUGAACAUUUGACGAUUCUCCCAUAUCCCUCCAAAAAUUUGUCAUAUUGCGAAAAGUAAUGUCAAUUGCAAUGUCGUUUUCAUUAGUCAUAGUGGCAAAUAGGACUAGAAUUUAUUGAAACCCCUCGACUUAUUUUUCCUUUUGAAAAUAAUUUUGUAGAACCUCAUAUCGUGAAUAAAAGACAAUAAGACUCUUUUUUUUAAUUAUAAUAUUUUUUAAAUUUAUUAACUAAAAAAAUUAAUUUUAAUAUUUUAUAAUAAAUAUAAGUAGGAUAUUAAAAUAAAUAUAAUAAUAUGUACAUAUUAAAAUAAUUUCAAUACCUAAAAAUAUUUUAAUAUUUUACAAUCUCGUAUUCUAUUAAACCAAAUUAUAAUAAAUAGAGACAUAAUAUUCAAAUAAAUAUAUAAAAUUUUUAAUUAUUUUCAAUAUCAUAUAAAAUAAUUUUAAUAUUAUUAAAACAUGAGAAAUAUUAUAUUAAUUAUAAAAUCCAUUUAACCCAAGGAUUUGUUUAAAAUUUUUAUAAUAAAUAUAUUAUUAAAAUAAAUAUAUUAAAUUACAUUUUAAAAAUUAAUUAUUUAAAUUAUACAUACUAGUCUACUAGAAAAUUUAAACUAUUUAAAUCAUAUAUACAUUUAGUAAAAAAUUUUGAAGUCAUUUUUUUUUUGUGGCUACCAUAAGAGUACUAUAGUCAAAAAGGGUAUUGGUGUUCUUUAUUAAAAUUUUGGGGUCUACAUGAUUAUUUUCUAAAAUUUUAAGGGUGUCAUUUUAUUUUUGGAAAAAAAAAUUCAUUUAAACAGCUAAAAUGGUAAAUAGUACAAUGCUACAAUGGCGUAAAUGGAAUGUAAAAAGCAAUCAAAAUGACCAACAGUCUAACGCCUCAUCAGGGACAUAAAGUCAAAGUUUGUUGCAUGUGGUCAGGGCCAUUUAGUCUGUGAGUGGGUCCUGCAUGUCAUUUUUGGGCAUUUCAUCUUCUUUAGCAUUGAAGAUUAAAUGUUGACGACAUUUUCAAAAUUUUGGAAGACCCAUUAUACUUUUGGAUGGCUGUCAUUACUUGAUAUUAUCAUUAUAUGAUGAAAUAAAAUUGGAUGUAACACUUGUUUCGCGUUGUGGGAACUUUUGACAAUUCCCCAUAUCUCCUAAAAAUCUUUCGCCAUUUUGGGAAGAUGCCAUUUAUUUUCAUUUUCAUCAUUGAUAUUGGCAGAUAAUGGGGUCCGAGGACAGACCAUAAAUUAUUGCGACCCAUGGACUUUUCUAAUUUUUUUUUUUCCUUUGGAUAGUUUUCGUUAUUUGAUAGAAGGAGAUAGAGAUAAAGUUUUUUAAUCAAAUGCCCAUUUUAUUUAACAUGGAAGAAGAUCUUUAAACUCUAAGCGAGGCUAUCACUUCAACAGAUGCAGCUUCAAAAAAGAGGUAACAAGUGAUGAGAUAGACUCAUUAUUGUCUAAUCAAACAAGGACAUCGGUAGAUGUAUCAGGAUCUUAAGUUAGAUUGGAAUUUGAUACAUUGUUGUUCGUAACGUUGGUUCAAACCUUUAAAGCAAGGUUGGAUGCAAAAUGGUUUACACCAAAGACGUGAUUUAGGAAGUUAAUUAACGUUAUUUUAGAUAAUUUAUAAUUCUAAAAUAUUUAUUAUUUUAUGGUUUUCUAUUUUUGUUUGAGUCAAUUAUGGUAUGUAUCUUAAUCUUUUAUUUCCAUUAUAAUUAUAAUUUAAAUUUUCUUUUUAGGUUAACUUAGGAAAGUGGAUUUCUUUUAUUAUAAAUAAAGAUGUCUGUAAUAAAAAAAAUAAAGAUGUCUUGUCAUUGUUUUCAGGACUUCAAAUUCAAUUAUUAAAUAAAACUCUUUUUUUUAUAAUUUCCUCUAGUAUUAUUUAUCAAAAUCUCUCUUAUAGAGUUAUUUAAAUUAGAGUGUCAUCUAAUCUCGUAUUACGCGUUAUUAAAAAUCUCAUUGAAUCAUUUAGAUUAAAACAAUAUCUAAUCACGCUUUGAUUAAAGCGUAAGUUAAUUGUGUUGGCUUGAUCCAGUACUAGAAUGAUAUUUAGUAUUUCUUACCUUAUCAAUUCCACUUCCGCUACGCUCGCUCCAUCAAUUGGUAUCAAAGCAAUUCUGUGCGAAUCACACAUCUUUCCUAGAUACACCAUACCCAUCCAAACCAAAUCCAUCAAAAAAAAAAAUUACAAAUUUGAAAACCCUACCCGUCAGACCAACCCCCACCGCCGCCCACCACCGCCAAUCAGCCAGCCAACACCACCACAAACCUCACUAGCCACCGUCGACCAAGCCUCAGUCAUCGCUGCCUCAACCGCCGCUUGAACAGCCGCAAAUCACCAACCCAAACCUGCGGCUCCACCAAGCAACCCACCACCAUUCAGCCACUUUCUCCACCAGCCACCUCCACCAACAAACUCGCCGGCCUUCGUUGACCAAAAACUGACCGACUUCGGCCCUUGAUCGCCGCCCUCUGUCACCACACGAAACGACAACCCACGAGUGCUUCCUACACGCGCCGCCACCAAAACACCUUCUUUUUCCGUCAAUUUACACCACCACCAUAAUCCCUAGCAGUCGGCAACCGUAAAUCCAGUCUUCCGCCACUGUAAAGCCGCCAUAAACCAAAAGCCACAUCACCAAAAUCAACCGCCAAUUCAAGUCGGAUUUUCCCCAAUUCAGGUUGCUGAAUAUAAAAAGGACUCAUGAAAAUUACCUAAAGUUUCAAAUAUUGUUAUUCAGCAACCACUUUUAUGGUACAUUAGUUUCAACCCAAAUUUUAUAUAAAUAAUUUAUAACUCCCAUUAUUAUUAUAAAAAAAAAUUGUAGCAAUUGUGGUUAUAUCACAUGAAAAAAAAAAUCUAAUUAAAGAAAUUAACAUUAUAAUUUAAGGGAUAGUUGCUCUUUUAAUCAUUAGAAUUUAUGUCAAUUAUCCAGCUUAUCCUUGCAUUCUUAAAAACUAUAUACAAUACCAUUAUCUCUGCUUUUGUAGCUAUUGAAUUUGACUUUGACAACAUAAAUAUUUAUUAGCAACAACUUAAAAUUCAAACAAAUCUAAUAUGUAAUGUAUGAAAUACAAAUAAUAAUUAAACAAAUUUUGAUUAUUUAAUAUUAAGAUAUAAUCACAUUAAUAUCAUAAGGAUAGGUGGUACUCAAAUAAUCUUUUAAAAAUCAAACCCAAAUUAUAUGCAUUAUUAAUAUGCAUUAUUGUAUAAUAUUUAGAUUUUGUUAAGUUACAACUACUAUAACUUAAGUCUCUUAAAAAAUAUGUGAGUCCCACCACCUAUUAAAUUUUUUACAUUAUUUUUGAAAAAAUUACAAGUUACAUCAGUUGUAACUUAACAGCACCCCUAGUAUUUUACUUUACUUUUAUACCUUUACAAGAACAAUAAUGUAUGAAAUAAAAAAAAUAAAUAAAUAAAGAACUGACAACGAAAUUAGACCUAUCAUUAGUUUCUUGUGGUGUGAACUCUUGACAAUCCUCCCCUAUCCCACCUAAAGCUCUCGCGUGGUGUGAAUGUUUGACAAUUCUCCCAUAUCCCUCCAUAAUAUGUCAUAUUGCGAAAAGCAAUGUCAAUUGCAAUGCCGUUUCCCAUUAGUCAUAGUGAUAGAUAGGACCAGAAUUUUUUGAAACCCCCGAGGCCCUAAACUUGUUUUUCCUUUUGAAAAUAAGAAAAUGGCACCUGUCUAGAGAAAUAAUUUAUUAGAACCUUAUAUCAUGAAUAACGGCCAAUAAGACUUUUUUUAAAUUAUAAUAUUUUUAAAUUUAUUAACUAAAAAAAUUAACUCUAAUAAUUUAUGAUAAAUAUAAAUAGGAUAUUAAAAUAAAUAUAAUAAUAUAUAGAUAUUAAAAUAAUUUCAAUAUCUAAAAUAUUAAUAUUUUACAAUCUCGUAUUCUAUUAAACCAAAUUAUAAUAAAUAGAGACAUAAUAUUCAAAUAAAUAUAUAAAAAUUUAGGUUAUUUUCAAUGUCAUAUAAAAUAGUUUUAAUAUUAUUAAUACCUGAGAAAUAUUAUAUUAAUUGUAAAAUCUAUUUAACCUAAGGAUUUAGUUAAAAUUUUAAAAUAAUUACAAAUAUUUUAUAAGUACAAAUAAAUUAAUUUACAUUUUAAAAAUUAAUAUUGAAAUUAAUUAUUUAAAUUAUAUAUAUUAGUCUUCUGGAAAAUUUAAAUUAUUUAAAUCAUAUUUACAUUUCGUAAAAAAUUUUAAGUCAAUUUGUUUGAUUACCACCUGCUAAGGGUAUUGUAGUCAAGGGGAAUAUUGGUAUUCUUUAUUAAAAAUUUGGGAUCUACAUGAUUAUUUUUCUAAAUUUUAAUGGUGUCAUUUUAUUUUUGACAAAAAUAAAAUUUCAUUUAAACAACUAAAAUGAUGAAUAAUACAGUGCUACAGUGGCGCAAGUGGAAGGUAGGAAACAAUCAAAAUGAACAGUCUAACGUCACAGCAGGCAUAUAAGGCCAAAGUUUGUUACAUCCCAAUACAAAAAGUUUGAAACUUUGCACCUUCUGAAAUGAAACAAACUUACUUGGAUAUUGGUGAUCAGUGAGAAAAGCCCUUUUUCAAAAGCAACCUUAGGGUACCGAGUGUUACAGAUUCAAUGAACCACAAAUACUUAUUUACAUUGUAGUAUCUCAAAGGCACCGAUUUCUUCUGAUCCGUUAAGGAAAACAAGAAAAAUAAAAAGAAAAGAAAAAGGGUACUUGUGCCACACAACCUUGACGCCUAGCUACAUGGUACAUUCUCUUUGUGUGUUUGAACCAAUUAACAAUAAUGGUGCCUUUACUUCUUGGACUGGAGAAUCGAAAUCCGAAAUCGAAAUCAUUAAUGAUGUUUACUUCAUAAAAUGGAGGCUGGGAUCCGAAUCAGAACUAUGGGGACCACCCAAAUUAGGAGUGAGGAAUGGAAGAUUGAUUCCUAAGGAAGGUGGUGGGAAUCAAUCCCCCAUUCCCAAGAUUGAUCAUUUUGCCCCCUCUCACAAACUAUAAAAUAUCUAUUUUGUCCUCAAUUAAAAAAUUAUUAUGAUUAAUUAAUAUAUGUUUAUAAUUUAUUAAUAUAACUAUUCUAAUCAAUUUAUAUAUAUUUUAAAUAUAUUAUUAUUAAAUAAUUAAUAUAUUAUUAUAAUUAAUUAAUAUAUUUUGAAUUUUUAUUAUUAUCGUCAUCAUCAUCAUUAUUAUUGUUAUGAAUGAUAAAUUUUUUUACAAUUAAUUAGUAUAUUAAUAUAUUAUUGACAAUAAUUAAUAAUAAUAAUAAUUUUUGAAUAAAUAAAUAAAUAAAAUUAAUUACUGAAUUUGAACAUUUUACAAUUAUUCUAUUAUUUGGACUUAUCGAGAACUUACAUGCAGCGUAGCUAGUUUGCUAGCAUAUGUAAGGUUUAAUUUGAAUGCAUGCAGCAUUGAGAAGAGACAACGCAGAAACAAAAUUUCCGCUUGCAAUCUUUUCAUUUCCCUUUUUAAUAACAAGCAAAAUAGAGGAUAAACAGGGACUUUGUUUUAAUUCUCCUGUUUUUCUGUUUGGUGAUUUUAAAAUUUUAUGUCUAUAUUUAUCAAAAAAAGUUAUCCAAAAUUAUUAUCUAUUUUUGAUACACGUUGAUUUAUUAAAAAAAAAUUAAAAACUUCAUUUCUAAAUUUAUCGUUGUGCUUUGACCUUGGGGUGGUUUUUUUCUGUUUUUUUACGUAGGCCAGAACCUUAAUGAAGAAAGUUUUCAUCGUUAAUUGCUUUUGACCUAGGAGAAUUUAUUCUUGGACAAAUUAACACCUUUGUCUUUUGAUGCGGCUCCUAGAUAUCUAUGCAAUUUGUGUCAUUUACUUUUGCUUUGUAUUCUUUUUUAAAUGAGUCCCGAUUGGUUCAUUUGCAGAUAAAUGAGUCAGUUUUUCUGUUUUUAUUUUUUGAAAGACGGUUUUUCUGUUACGAAGCUUUUCAUGGAUGAAUAUUUUUUUUUUAAUUUUAUAGAUUCUCUGCGAGUUUUGUUAGGUAGAAGGGUAUUUAAGUAUUUUCAUUUCAUAUUUUGACAUUUCCUUGACCUUUGAAGUAUUGAAUCAUUGUGCAGGUAUUUAAGUAAAUCUGCCCACAAUGAAGAAUAGUUCAGAACAGUUGCGGAAGAUAAAUGGCUCAAAUAUAUGCGUUAUGAUCUUUUAAUAUUUCGCCUCUGAUAUUGUCCACAUUGCUUACUGCAAUAGAUAAAGCACUUCGUUUACCCCAAAUCCUGAUAGGGAAGUAUAAAUAUGUGCUUCCGAAAUAGUGCAACUCUCCAUAAUUAUUUAAUAUGCCUCUCAAUGAAGCAAUCACCUUCAUUUACAAUUCUUCGAUUAUUAAUCCUACAUACACGUGUUUCUUUUGUCUCUAAAAGUAUCCUCAAUUAAUUUACAUAAUUUAAUAUAAUAAGUACCUAAGACUAGACAAAUUAUCAUUAUAAUAGUAUUGACACAAUAAUGUCAAUAAUAAAUGCCUUAACAAACCUAUAAAUUUUAGAAUAUGGCUCAGAGUGCUACAAUGAACCACAACAAGUUAUUAUAUUGUCUAUAAUCAAUAUUCCAAUGGUAAUAGAGUUUUUUUAUUUUCAAUCCGCUGCUUUUCUGUUUAGCGAUUGCCAAAUUUUAUAUCUAAAAUUCUUCUAAUUUUAUAUCUAAAAUUCUUCUAAUUUUACACUAAGGUUUAUUUUUUCAAAAAAGGGGGGGGGGGGGGGGGGGGGGGGGGGCAGGAGAGAGAGACUUAGAGAGUAUUAAAAAAUGUAAUUCUAAAUUUUUACUUGAGUGUUGUGUGAUUUUGAUCAUUUUUUUAAAGUUGGCCAUUUAUAUUGAAUAAAUAAAAUAACGAAUAGACGUUUGGACCACUUCUUUUCUGUUAUAAUAAAACAUGAGAUGUCUUCUCUUGAUGUUUUCGUCACAAAAGAAUAUGUUUAAUUAUGUCAUCAUAGGCUUAAAUGGGAUGCCUUUUCUGUUAUAAGAUCGAGAACAAGUUUGUUUAAGCACUAGAGCCGCUAAAUAAAAGAAAGGCUCAUAUAAAAAUUACCUAAAGCACCAAAUAUUGUUAUUCAGCUACUUCUUUUAUGUUACAUUAGUUUCUACGCAAAUUUAUAUAAAUAAUUUAUAACUCCCAUCAUUAUUUAAAAAAUAAAAACCAUAGCAAUUGUGGUUAUAUCAUGUGGUGUGAUCUUUUGACAAUCCUCCCACAUCCCACCAAAAACUCUCACAUGGCGUGAACUUUUGACAAUUCUUCCAUAUCCCACCAAAAAUUUGUCAUGUUGCGAAAGGCAAUGUCAAUUGUAUUGUCAUUUCCAUUAGUUAUAGUGGCAGACAAUGUAGUCCCGGGAUAAGACUAGAAGUUUUUGAAACCCAUGGACUUAUUCUUACUUUAUUUUUUCUUUUGAAAAUGAGAAAAGGACACCCGUUUCGGGAAAUAAUUUUGUAGAAUCUCAUAUCGUGAAUAAGAGAUAAUAAGACUUUUCUUUUUUACUUUACUGCAAUACUCUUUAAUUUUAUUAAUUUUAUAUUUUAUAAUAAAUAUAAAUAUGAUACUAAAAUAAAUGUAAUGAUAUAUACAUAUUAAAAUAAUUGGAUAUUGAAAAAUAUUUUAAUAUUUUACAAUCCCGUAUAAUAUUAAACCAUAUUAUAAUAAAUAGACAUAAUAUUAAUAUAUAUAUAAGUUUAAAUUAUUUUGAAUAUCAUAUAAAAUAAUUUUAAUAUUAUUAAUAAAUCAGAAGUAUUACAUUAAUUGUAAAAUCUAUUUAAUCCAAGGAUUUAUUUAAAAUUUUUAUAAUAAAUUAAAAAUAUAUUGGUUAACAUUUUAACAAUUAAUAAUGAAAUUAAUUAUUUAAGUUAUAUAUAUUAGUCUACUAGAAAAAUUUAAACUACUUCAAUCAGAUUUACAUUUAAUGAAAAAAUUUGAAGUUAAUUUUCUUUUUAUCAUCUACUACGAAUCUUGUAGUUAAAAGAGGUAUUGACAUUCUUUAUUAAAAAUUUGAGGUCUACAUAACUAUUUUUUUUUUUAUUUUAAGGGUGUCAUUUUAUUUUUGACAAAAAUAAAAUUUCAUUUAAAUGGCUAAAAUGGUGAAUAAUACAAUGUUACAGCUGGCGUAAAUGGAAGGUAGGAAACAAUCAAAAUGACCAACAGUCUAAUGCCACAGCAAGGACAUGAGGUCAAAAAAUUCCCUUAUUAAUUAGUAAAAGAGAGUCACUUGGGCUUAUGGCGGGCAAAAUCGGAUAUAGAUCAGAUUCAAAUUAAUCCGAUAAAUUUGAUAUUGUUUGCAUUGAUAAAAAAAGUCACCCAAAUGCAAUCUAAACAUGUGUGUGUGUGUAUACAUAUUUGUUAUAAAUUAAAGUUACAAAAGUCUUUAACCAAGGCCAUUCAUAGUAAGUUUCAAAUUUUUAGGUUAAUAUCUGUAACUUCAUCAUGCUGGCCAUAAAUAAAGCUUGCAGGUCUAGGCGGGAUUGACUCGAGUUUUUUUGCCAAUCCUACGCAUGACGGGCGGUGUUAGGAAUAAUAUCCUGCAUCAAUUGAGUAUUGAACUUGGGUUCAGCAUAUAAGAUUUGGACAACUCUUAACUCUUGAGCUAACUUACUAAGUUUUGGAUUGAGUUAAGCAUGUAUGCUUCAAUAUCACAAAUUAGUCUUUCGUUACCAUUACUUAUUUUUUCUAUUGUUUAAUCCUAACACAAUAAAUGACCUUUCAUCCCAAAAGAACUAAAGUAAUCAUUUUAGACGAAUUAAGACACCAUAAAGUAAAUCUGCACACUAUGAAAAAUACUUUGGAACAGUUAAGGAAGCGUGAGAAUACUUGGGGAAAGCUUCAUAAUUGUUACGGCCGGAUCUACACUCUUUCCUCUAUAUGCAAUAAAUAUAUGCGUUAAUGAUCUCUCAAUAUUUUGCAUCCGAUAUUGCCCACAUCGCUUACCACAAUAUAUUCACUUUAUAAACAAAGUUUACAACCCAAAUACUAAUAGAGAAUAUAAAUAUGUACUUGUCAAUGAAGCAAUCACCUUUAUUUAGAAAUUUUUUAUUAUUAAUCCUACGUACACACACCUCUUUUGUCUCCAAAAAUAUUCUUAAUUAAUCCACACAAUUUAAUACAAUAAAUACCUAAGAUUACACAAAUUUUCAUUACAAUAGAAUAUAUAAUUUAUAAUAUUAUUGAUACAAUGAUGCCAAUAAUAAAAAUCCUAUAAACCUUACAAAUUUUAGAAAAUGGCUUAGAGUGUGACAGGUUGAAUGAACCACAACAAAUCAUUUACAUUAUAGUAUCUAUGAUCAAUAUUCUAAUGAUAAUAGGGCUCCUCCAUUUUCAUUUCCCUACAUUUUCUGUUUGGUGAUUGUCAAAUUUUAUGUCUAAAAUUUUUCUAAUUUUACAGUGAGGUUUAUUUUUUAAAGAGAGAGAGAGAGAGACUCAAAGAGAAUUAAAAAAAAUGUAAUUCUAAAAUUUUACUUGUGCAUUUUGUGAUUUUUACCAUUUUUUAAGUUGGCAAUUUGUAUUGAAUAAAUAAAAUAAUAAAUAGACUUAUGGACCACUUUUUUCUGUUAUAAUAAAAAUCAGAGGUCCUUUCUUGAUGUUUUCUUUCCAUAUGAAUAAAUUAGAAUUUUAUUGGUACAGUAAUGUCAAUAAUAAAAUUCCUAACAAACAUACAAAUUUUAGAAUAUGGAUUAAAGUGUUACAAGUUGAGUGGAUCACAACAAGUUAUUUAUAUUGUAGUGUCUAUGAUCAGUAUUUCAAUGAUAUCAAGGGUCCUCUAUUUUCUUUCCCUUGCAAUUUUUGUUUGGUCAUCGCCAAAGUUUAUAUCUAAAAUUUUUCUAAUUUUACACUGACAUUUAUUUUUUUUUUAAAAAAAAGAGAAAGAGAGACACGGAGAGAACUAAAAAAUGUAAAUCUAAAUUUUUGCUUGUGCGUUAUGUGAUUUUUAUCAUUUUUUAAGUUGGCCAUUUGUAUUGAAUAAAAAAAGUAAUAAAUAGACUUAUGGACCACUUGUUUUUUUAUUAUAAUAAAACAUUUUCUUCUCCUGAUGUUUUUCAUCUCACAGGAAUAUAUUUAUCUCAUCGUGGGCCCAAAUGGGGUAAAUAAAUUGGGAUCAAGGACAAGUCUGUUUAAGUGUUGAAAUUGCAAGAAGACCUCAUAAAAAAAAUUGCCUAAAGCCCCAUUAUUGUUAUUCAACUAUUACUUUCAUGACACUUACACAAAUAAUUUAUAACUCCAUCUUUAUUUAGGGAAAAAACUGUAGCAAUUGUUGUUAUAUCACAGGAACAAAUUCCAAUUAAAAAUAUAAUAAGAAUUAAUUGCAAAUUUUGUAAUAAAUAUCAAUAUAAUUUAAUAGUUUAAUUUUUUUUGGUAGAGUAAUAUAAUUUAAAAAAUUAAUAUUUAAAAAAAUAAUAUCAGUAUUACUUUUUAAAAUGCAAAUUAUUAAAAUUAUAUUAAUAAUGUAUUUUUAUUUAUUAUAAAAUUUAUUUUAAUAAAAUCUUAAAUUUUUUUAAAUAUUUGUAUAUAUUGUUAUAUGUUAUUAUAAUAUUAUAUUUAUAUUUAUUAAAAUAUAAGAGUUAAUAUUUUUAAAUUAAUAAAGACAAAAAGUAUUAUAAUAAAAAAGAAUUCUUUUAUUAAAAAUAUAAUCAUUCUCCCAAACUUAUCCUUGUCCCUUUUUGAAAGGAAAAAAUAAAUUAGAAAAGUCUAUGGUCAUGAUAACUUCUAGCCUUGUCCCGUGGGACAUGGCUACGGUGCAGAAGCUGAAAGUAACAGCUUCGAACUUUCCCAUUUCCAUCACCUUGUUGAUGGUUGUUGAAGCCAAUAAAAAUAAAUUCCUACUCUAAAUAAAUUGUGUAUAGUGAUUGAGCAGGGUCGUGUCCACAGAGAUCGGUAAUUAUUUAAAUUCUUUUGAAACGUAAAACGUAAAAUGGGAGAAUUGUUGACAAUAAUAAAAAAUCAAAUUAAAAUAACAAAAAUGCAAAUUAAAGUUGUAAUUCAAAUUGGAGAAAGCUUUGGUUGAAGGAAUUAACUCAGUUUGAUUCGACUACUGAUCAUUGAUUCAAAAAUAGAUUAUUAUUACUUAUGAAUAAACUGGUUAUAGCUAUUGAGACCCUCUAAUAGCCAAUCUCUCCUUAACUAGUCGAUAACCAAGGUACGACUAUUGGAUAUUUCCCUAAUCAAUAGACAACCCUAGAUACGAUCAUAGGAUUUAAUCAAUUGACAGCCUGAAAAACCAGAGCGACCCAAAUCCUAAUCAACACAUAUGAUGAUUCAUUUAAAUUAGAUUGUUUAUUCCCAUAACACAACUCACUGCUAUGUUAUUUGUCACAAACAUUAAACUCGUCAUACGAUGAAUUCUUUAAUUGACAAUAGAUUAAGUUGAUAAUUAAAUAGUGGCCAAUUACCUAAUUAACAAACAUAAUCAUGAAACUAAUUCAGAGAAUAAACAAAUACCCAAAAAGUAAUAAAACAAUUAAAGCAUAAGAAAGAUCUCACAGUAGUGAUGAAUCAAAAAUUCAUUAACCUUCAACUAGAAAAAAUAAGUUUAGUUUUUCAUAGAGAGAAGAGAAAAAUUAGAUCUAGGGUUUCUUUCUUUUUCUCCAAUUAAAAUCCCCCCUUUUUCACAAUAGAUUCCUCCCUUAAAUACUCUCUCUCUCUUCUCUUUUAAAGUUCUAUUUAAAAUAAAAUAAUAAUAUUUGAAAUAUUAAAUUCGUAAUUACAAAAAUAGCCAAAAAUACAAAACACAUUAAACUAAAAACUGCAGGUCCGCAGUUGACAGCACGCGCCCACGCCUUAUCUAUAAAGUUCUUCUGACGCUCUAAAUUUCUCCAAGAGAACAAUCAUCUUUAAACAUCAUCUUAUACCUCAAUUCUAUCACAAAUCAAUAGAAUUGCACUUACAAAAGUAAAACACAAGUAAAUCAUUAUUAUUAAAUGCAAAACAUCGAUAUUAAGGGAAGUAAACAAUGCAAAACUAGUGUAUAAAUUGUACUCUAACACUUGUAUUGGGACCUCUUUCUCUCUCCUAUAGCCCCCAUGGAAGUUCCCCAUUGGCUGCUGUUACUUACAGAAGCCGUAACAUAGACUUCUAGCCAUGUCCCGUGAUGUCCAUUGUCUGCCACUAUGAAUAAUGGCAAUGACAUUGCAAUUGAAACAUUGAAAAGGUAUUUUCGCAAUAUGACAAAGCUUUUGUUAGGAUAUGGGAGGAUUGUCAAAAGUUCACACCACUUGAAACUAGAAUUAGAUCUAAUUUCAUUUAUUUCAUAAAUUAGAAAAGUCUAUGGUCGUGAUAACUUCUAGCCGUGUCCCGUGAUGUCCAUUGUCUGCCACUAUGAAUAAUGGAAAUGACAUUACUAUAAUAAAAUGACAUUGCAAUUCCAAUAUGCAAUUGAAAAGUCUAUGGUCGUGAUAACUUUUGUAAUAUGACAAAGUUUUUGUUGGGGUAUGAGAGGAUUGUCAAAAGUUCACACACCACAUGAAACUAGUGUUAGAUCUAAUUUUAUUUCGUCCGUUCCUUAUAUAUUUAUUUCAUACAUAUAUGUCUUAGGGUGAUAUUGUUUUGUAAAGAUAUAAUAGUAAGGUACUAUAAAAAGAAAAGAACUGUGUGUAUACUUCCCAGUGUAAUAAUUAUAUGUAGAAGAAAACUAACAAGAGGAAAAAUGACAAAGAGCAAGGCGCUGGUUGUUGGGAGAAGAGGACAUGUCGGCAGAGGAUAGAGAAGCCAAUCUUAGCCUUGUUGAUUGAGGGCUCAUCUUCUGAUCAUCGUAGCCUUGUUGGAGCUGUCAAACAAGUCGAUGUUGUCAUUUAAGGAGCCACAACAUUUUGAUGCUGCUUAAACUUGUUGGGGCCAUCAAAUAAGCUGUAAAUAUUAAGGUACGUAAGCCUUAAUUUUUAUGUAAUUUUAAUUUCAGAUCCAAAAUUGCAUGCAAGCCAUUAAUUUCUUUCCUUUUUUAUUUUUGAUUUGAUGAGGUGCUUGAUUUGGUCGGGUGUGUAUUUUUUCUUUGUUCUUUUUUUUUUUAAAACAUAAAUCUCCAAAUCGGGUUGGAGCGGGGAUUCUAACCCUACGAUGGCCAUAUUAAAAUUUAAAAUUUUUUAAUUUAUUUUUCUACAUCUCAAUAUUUGAAAAAAUGAUUAUAUAGAUCUAUAUAUUUUCAAUAAGAGAUACUAAGAUACUCUUUUUUACUAUAACACCUACUAGCUCUAUUAACUCAAAAAAUUAGCUUCAAUGUUAAUAUAUAUAUUUUAAAAUAAUUUUAAUAUUUUAAAAAAAAUGAAAAAAAUAUUUUAAUACUUUACAAGCUUAUACUAUAUUAAACUAAAUUUUGUAAUAAAUAGAAACUUAAUAUAAAAUAAAUGUCUAAAAAUUUAAAUUAUUUUCAAUAGCAUAUAGAAUAAUUAUAAUAUUAUUAAUACCUAAGAUAUAUUAAAUUAAUUAUAAAUUCUAUUUAACACAAAUAUUUAACUAAAUUUUUUAUAAUAAAUAUAAAUAUAUUAUUAAAAUAAAUCUAAUAAUUAACAUUUUAAAAAAUAAUACUGAAAUUAAUUUUUUAAAUUAUACUAACACUAGUUUCACGCUGUGCGAACUUUUGACAAAAACUGUUAAUUGCAAUUUCUUUUGAAAACAAUAGAUCAAAUCAUUAAAGUGCAUGUGAUGAUUUGCUGUUUAAUUAUUUCUUUAGAAUAUAUCCAAACGUAAGGUUGUGAACUAGUGCUUUCUUCAACUUAAUUGGGUCCAACAAUACACUGCAGCUUCCUCUUUUGGUCAUUCCAAGUUUAAUUCUUCAUGAAAAUCUUAGACACUAAUACAAGGAUAUCGAAUCCAAAAUUAUAAUAAUACAUGUAAUUAUUCUAUACAUGCGUCAACAAGGCAACAGUAACCAAAUACAUGAUAUGCAAAGGGGGUGCAUGAUUAAGUCCUUUUUUUAUUCAAUUCAUUGUUAUUAUUCUCAUCAACUCUUUUCUCACUUAUUUUUCAGCAGUUACCAGUGAUCUUUUUGCUCUUUAAAAUUAUUCUUAAAUAUUCAAGGCUAAAUAGAGAAGCUCAUCAACUAUCUGAUCCCGGAUAAUUAAAGAGGUGAACUUGUUCUAAAUCCUUUGAUAAUUUCUAUUAAUAGCAUAAUCUCCUUGAUCUUGACCGCAGUUAUUUCUUAAUGUCCAAGAAAAAAAUAUCUCCUGUUUGUCUUAAUCUUGUCAUUUAAUUUUCUUGAUUUAAGUUACUGUUCAUUGUUAACUUCUGUGUUCUUGUUAUUAGCAUUUGUUAAUUUGCAUCUCUCCUCUAAAAUAGUUUCUAAAAAAGAAUGUUGCUUUUCAUUCAUACCCUUGAAACCUUUCAGUUAAUAGUCAAAACUCUAAUCUUUCAGUUAAUUUAUUUGAAUCCAAUUUUUUCAACAGCAAAUACACACACACAUUGUUAAGCAACAGCCAAAAAAGUGCAGAAAAACCAGUCAAAUUUAUACAUGCGUCAACAGGGAAACAGUAACCAAAUAGGUGAUACAAAAAGGGGUGAAUGAUUCUGUCUUUUCCUUUUGCAAGUCGCUGUUAUUACUCUCAUCAACUUCUUUCUCGCACAUUUCUCAGCAGUUACCAGUAAUAUUUAAAAUCGCUGUGUAGAUAUGCAAAAGUUCCGUAAGUGCAUUAAUAAUUAUUUGCCAGAAAAAAAUAGUUGCGUCAAUAUUAAAGGAAUUGACAUCCAGGGGACCCAAUUUAGUUGCUUAAUGAUUAUUUAAUUAAUUAAUUUAUAAUAUAUUAAUCUUUUAAGUUGAAUAAUUAAAAUCUUAGACCCGAAACAAUAAAUCAUCUGAGGCAUAUAAAAGAGAAAUUAUCAUCCUAUUUUUUCUUUUUUCUUUUUAACUUCUUGUAGCUUAUAAAAGAGAAAUUAUCAGUCAUUUACUCAAAGUUUAUUCAAUUAUUAAAAUUAUUAUAAAAAUUUAAAUUUAUUUAAUUUUACAUCCAAUGUAUGCAAUUUGUAUGAAACAUCUGUUAAAAAUAUAAAGUUAUUCGUUCAAAGUGACAAAAUAGAACCGAACACAAAAUUGUAGUGGUGAUUAUGUUUUAGGAGUAACUUUAUUUUUUUAGUAAACAGUUGAUACACAUUGUAAUAAUGGGUAUAAAAUUAAAUAUUUUUAAAUUUUUAUAACUUUUUGGAUAAUAAGAUAAUUCUUAGAUGGAUAAUUGAAAAUUUUUCUUUUCAAAAUAUUUUGAAAACAAUACCAAAUGUACCAAAACAUUGUUUACUUUCACUCUCUCUCUCUCUCUCUCUCUCUCUCUAUCUAUCUAUCUAUAUAUAUAUAUAUAUAUAUAUAUAUAUAUAUAUAUUAUUUCUUAACUCAUUCUUAUCCUUAUUCUUUCUAACAUAUCCACAAUCUGUCAAUGAAAUUUACUUUUAUAAAUUUGAAGAUUUUUUCAUGCAAUUUUAUACGAUGAUGAGUUCUCAUGUUUCUGUUAAAAAAUAAUUCGUAAAUAAUACAAAUGAAAAAAACAAAAAGUAGCAGGGCUGGCAAUACAAAACCAUAACUUUUUUUCUUUGAAUUUUGCAUAAACAAAGUCAAUAGUGAUUUGUCAGCACGAUCUUGAGAGCACGGCUUGGAGUCUCAAUAAUUAUUGACACUCAUAUUUGAAAACUUUCGAAAAGAUAAAAUCCAAUAUGAAAGGUGAAACGUUAUAAUCAUAGUAACUAGAAAAUGGAUUGAUUUACAAAUAUCAAUUUAAACAAUUUUCAUGUUGAUCGACAAUUUAAGUAGAUUGACAAAGAUUGAAGUAAUUACUGUUGGUGAUUGAUUGACUUUGUCCUUAUCCUUGCCUUCUUCUUAUCAAAAAUCGAGUGUCAAUUAAAUUGGGCCAGGGUUUCUGAUUGCAACUAAUGGACUUCAUAUACGCAUAAUGGUCCCUACGUACAUACGUACCAAUAUUUGAUUGAUAAAGGGGGUGCAUGCUUAAUGCUCAAGUCGUCUUCUUUUGGAAAUUCAUUGUUAUUACUCUCAUCAACUCGUUCCUCACAUUCCUCUUUAGUCAAAACCUGUAAUAUUUCUUCUAUAUUCAAGGUGAAUACAGCAGCUCAUCGACUCUGAUCCCAGACAGGUAAAGAGGUGCACUUGUUCUAAAACCUGUAAUAUUCUUUUAGUAGCAGAAUCUCUGAUACUUGAUCUUCAUAGCGGUUCUUUCUUAAUUUCCAUCAACUUUCCUAGGAAAAAAUUCUCUGGUUUUUCUUAAUCAUAUCAUUUACUUUUCUUAAGUCAUAUCAUUUAUUUUUAGUAGCAGAAUACUUGAUCUUGAUAGCCAUUCUUUCUUAAUUUCCAUCAACUUUCCUUAAAGGAUACCUUUCUGUUAAUAGCGAAACCUCUGAUCCUUAAGAUAGAAAAAGAAAUUCUCUACUUAUGUAUCAGUUGGUUCAAAAUCAAUAUCGCGAUGUUGUUUGCGGUCUUUUCUUUCUCUGUCUUUCCCUCUAGUUCAUUUUAAUUUAUUUGUAUUCCUUUCUUUGACAUUUUUAUUCAUUUUAUUCAUAUAUAUACAUAUAUUGUUAAGCAACAGGCAAUGGUUGCAGAAGUGGGUCUGGCUGCUUUUUCCAGCAUCGUAUCAGAAGAUGCAAAGUCACUGUUCAAACCGAUUAUACGGCAGAUCUCUUAUGUGUUCAAGUACCAGAGCUACAUAGAUGGCCUAAAAGAUCAAGUGAAACAGUUGGGAUAUAAAAGAGAAAGGGUGGAAAUACCCGUUCAUCAGGCUACUCAACAAGGAGAUGAGAUUUAUAAGGAUGUUGCAGACUGGCUUAAUAGCGUCAAGGAAUUCACUCAGGGAGCUGCGAAAUCCAUCACUGAUGAUGAAGAUAGAGCUAAGAAGUUCUGUUUCAAAGGAUUGUGCCCAAACUUGAUUUCUCGUUACAAGCUCAGUAGACAAGCAGCAAAGGCCGCAGAAGCUGCUGCUAGUCUCAUGGGAAAAUGUAACUUCUCUAAUGUUUCCUACCGUCCUGCUCCAAAGCGGGCAGAACAUAUGCAAGUGAAAGAUUUCGAGGCCUUUGAUUCAAGAAUGAAAGUAUUUGAAGAUGUUGUGGAGGCGUUGAAGGAUGAUAAGCUCAAGAUAAUUGGGGUCUACGGGAUGGGCGGCGUGGGUAAAACCACGCUAGUCAAGCAAGUUGCAAGGCAAGUUAUGGAAGAUAAGGUGUUCGACAAGGUCGUUAUGGCUGAGGUAACACAGACCCCAGAUCAUCAGGAAAUUCAAAAGAAACUUGCUUUUGACUUAGGCAUGAAAUUUGGCUCGGAUGAGAAUAAAUUCGAAAGAGCAGAUCGAUUACGUGAAAGAUUGAAGAACGAGAAGCAGGUCCUCGUUAUAUUGGAUAAUAUUUGGAAAAAACUCGAGUUCGAAAAAGUUGGAAUUCCUUGUGGGGAUGUUGAUGAGAAAGAUACAAAGGAUGAUCAGAGACGAUGCACAAUAAUAUUGACGUCUAGAAGUCGAGAUUUAUUGCGCAUUGAUAUGAAUUCUCAGAAAAAUUUCCCGAUCGAUGCUUUGCCACCAAAAGAAGCAUUGCAGUUAUUUGAAAAGAUAGUGGGUGAUUCAACUAAAAUAUCUGCUUUUCAAAGUAUAGCAAAUGAGAUCGUUGAAAGAUGCGGAGGUUUGCCUGUUGCACUGAGUACAGUUGCAAAUGCUCUGAAAACUAAGGAUAGUUACUUUUGGAAAGAUGCAUUGAAUCAGCUAAGAAGAUCGGAUGCUAGAGAAAUUCAUGGCAUGCAAGCAAAUGUGUACACCUCCAUAAAAUUGAGUUAUGACUUCUUGGAAAGUGAGGAGGCAAAAUCUCUGUUCCGUCUUUGUAGUCUAUACAGUGAAGGUAAUGUCAUACAAGUUUCUGACUUAUUGAGAUGUGGUGUGGGUUGGGGUUUGUUUGAAAAUGUUUACACAUUGGAAGAAGCAAGGAGUAGAGUGCAUCGGUUGAUCGACAACCUCAAAUCUUCAUGCUUAUUGUUGGACGGUGAUGCUGAAGAUGAAGUUAAAAUGCAUGACGUCAUUCAUGUUGUUGCCGUAUCAAUUGCCAGAGAGGAGCGCAUGUUUAAUGUUCCAAAUGUUGCUGACUUGGAGAAAAAGAUGGAAGAGACAAUACAGAAAGAUCCAAUUGCUAUUUCAUUACCUCAUAGAGAUAUUCAAGAGCUCCCUGAAAGGUUGCAAUGUCCCAAUCUCCAGUUAUUUUUGUUGUAUACGGAGGGUAAUGGCCCUAUGCAAGUUUCAGACCACUUUUUUGAAGGGAUGGAAGGACUCAAAGUUUUACAGUUUCCUGGAAUUGGCUCUUCUUCAUUACCUUCAUCACUUGGUCGCCUCAUUAACCUUCAAACAUUGUGUUUAGACUGGUGCGAACUAGCAGAUAUAGCGGCAAUUGGACAACUAAAGAAAUUAGAGAUUCUCAGCCUCGCAUAUUCCAAUAUCAACCAGCUACCAGUUGAAAUUGGACAAUUGACGCGGUUACAAUUGCUAGAUUUGAGCAAUUGUUGGUGGCUUGAGGUGAUAGCACCGAAUGUCAUAUCAAAAUUAUCUCAAUUAGAAGAAUUGUAUAUGGGUAACGGUUUUUCAGGGUGGGAGAAGGUUGAAGGAGGAAGUAAUGCCAGUCUUGUCGAAUUGGAGAGGUUGACAGAGCUAACUACUUUGGAGAUAGAAGUUCCGGAUGCCGAAAUUCUGCCGCCGGAUUUUGUCUCUGUGGAAUUGCAAAGAUAUAAGAUACGUAUAGGAGAUGGGCCCGAAGAUGAGUUUGACCCAUUGCUCGUCAAAUCUGAAGCAUCAAGAUUGAUGAUGCUCAAGGGGAUAAAAAAAGUUAGCAUUCUUCAGGAGAAUGAUGGGACAAAAAUGUUGCUGCAGAGAACUGAAGAUCUCUGGCUAGAAACAUUGGAGGGUGUUCAAAGUGUUGUUCAUGAAUUAGACGAUGGGGAAGGUUUUCCACGAUUGAAGCGUCUUCUCGUAACAGACUGUUCUGAGAUUUUACAUAUUGUCGGUUCAGUUAGGGUUCGUUGCGAAGUCUUUCCCUUGCUGGAGGCAUUGUCUCUUAUGUUUUUAACUAAUUUGGAGACGAUAUGCUACAGCCAACUCAGAGAAGAUCAAUCCUUCAGCAACUUAAGGAUUAUAAACGUAGAUUCCUGUCGAAAAUUGAAGUAUCUCUUCUCAUUCUCUAUGGCCAAAAACCUAUUGCGGCUUCAAAAAGUAAAAGUGGAAGACUGCGAUGAUUUGAAAAUGAUUAUUGGUAAGUGUUGAAAUUAAUUAUUGGUAGGAUUAUUGACAUUGACUCUUUCUUUUUUUCUUUUUCUUUUUUUGGGGAAAAAAACAACGGAUGUUUAUUAUAUAUUGUUUUGGUUCAUUUAUAGGGCCCGACAUGGAGAAACCAACAACAACUCAGGGAUUCAUAGAAAUCAAUGCAGAGGAUGAUCCUGUUCACCAGGUAAUAAUUUUCUGUUUAAUAAUUAAUUAAUUAAUAUAUUAUCACGAUUGAGCUUCAAUCAUCGAAAGAAUAUUAUAUUAGAAGUUGUAGUUGAAGGAACAAAAAUGUAUGGUUUUUCUUUGCAGGUUACUUUUCCACGCUUGGAGGAACUGGAACUUGUCAGUUUAACAAAUAUCAAAAAAUUAUGGUCCGAUCAAUUUCAGGGAAUAUAUUGUUGUCAAAAUUUAACAAAAGUGACCGUGUGGAGUUGUCAUCGUCUGAAGUAUUUGUUUUCAUAUUCUAUGGUUAAUAGUCUUGGGCAACUCCAACAUCUUGAGAUUCGUAAUUGCCGGUCAAUUGAAGGGGUAGUCAACACCACGACGUUAGGAGGAAGAGAUGAAUUUAAGGUUUUUCCCAAACUACACUACCUGUCGCUCCAUUGGCUUCCAAAACUAAGUAGCUUUGCCUCACCAGAAGACGUCAUUCACACUGAAAUGCAACCUCAAUCCCUCUUUGAUGAAAAGGUUUUUUUUCAUUGAAUUUUUAAAUUCUCUUUUCGUUGAGUCUUCAAAUUUAAUUAAUAUACAUCUCUAAUUGCAUUGAAUUUUUAACUUCAGGUACGACUCCCAAGUCUGGAGGUAUUAAAUAUUAGUGAGGCGGAUAAGUUGAGAAAAAUAUGGCACCACCAGCUUGCUUCGAAGUCUUUUAGCAAAUUGAAAAAAUUGAAGAUAUCUGGGUGUAAUAAUCUACUGAAUAUUUUUCCUCCAUUGGUAAGAUUGCUAUAUUCAUUUUGAAUUUUUAUUUCAAGUAACAUUCAACAAUUAUUUUAAUCAUUUUUGUGUUUACAAAUAAUUUUCAUUCACAAAUUAUUUAUUGCAAGUAUUUUACUUCAAACUUCAGGAGGGCAAAAAAGUAGUGUACUUCAAAUCACCAUUCUGAACUCUGCAUUGUCAAUCUAAUUUAUAGGUUCACCCGCAUUAAAGUCAACGAUAUAAUUGUUUUAAACACGAUUUAACAGCAUAAUAUAAUUCAAUUUAAUUGUUUUUUUCCUUAAAUCCUAAUAAAUAAGAUUUUUAGAAAUUAAAAGAUACUUAGUUACUCAGCUUUUAAGCUCACAAAUUCAUAUAUAUUUCUCUUUUCCUUGGGUCUUCAAAUUUCGAUUUAAAAAAAAAUAAAAGAAAAGUGUUCAAAUGUAGUUAAUAUCUCUAGUUUAGUUAUGAAUUGAUUACGCCAUUGAUUAAGCACAAAUUCAUGAUGGUCAUUUUGAAUCGACCGUUGAUUAAAAAAAUUCCUCAAAUAUUCACUCUAUAACAGUCCCAUGUUGAUGGCGUUGGGAAGUGUUUUCCAGAAAUGUUUUUCCAUUUUUAAAAGCAUGAAUAUCGGGAAAAAAAAAAGGGAAAUACAGCGUUUUAGUUUAGUUAUUUUAAAAAUAGGCAUGUUUGAAAAUUAAAAAUUUUAAAAAACUAGCAUCAAGAUGAAAAAUGAAUUUAGAAUAUUUAAAAAUUACCUGAAAUUCUUUCUCCGUUCCUAAUACUAAAUAGUGUAAAUGCAUUUUCAUUAUCUUUGUUUUUCUGGACUUCUAUUUAUUUAUUUUUAUUUUUUCUUUUUUUUCUUUAACAAAAAAUAUCUAGUAGACAUUCAUGGUUUGUUAUUUUUCAUAAAACAAUUGUAUGAUUUUGACAUACUUUGAAUCUAGUUGAAUGCUACUCUUUAUUUUCAGGUUGGAAUUCCCAAUAGUCUAGUGAAUCUUGAUGUAUCAGACUGUGCAAAAAUAGAAGAAAUCAUAGGACAUGUUGGAGAAGAAGCGAAGGAGAAUCGUAUUGCUUUCAACGAAUUAAAACUUUUGGAACUUGAUGAUUUACCAAGGCUUACCAGCUUUUGUUUGGAGAAUUACACUCUUGAAUUCCCAUCAUUGGAACAAGUUUCUAUGACACAUUGUCCGAACAUGAAGACUUUUUCUCGGGGAAUCUCAUCCACACCAAAGCUAUACGUAGUGCAAGUGACUGAAAGGGAAGAGGGUGAACACCAUUGGGAAGGCAAUAAGCUUAAUUCCACUAUACAAAAGUGUUACGAAGUAAUGGUAUGUGUUAAUCGAUUCACUUUACGAAGUAAUGGUGUUACGAACACCAUUACGAAGUAAUGGCAAUAAGCUUAAUUCCACUAUACCACAUUUAAACAUAUACACCUGCGUUGUAAAUAUAUUUUUAGAAGUUAAAGCACAAAACAUGUAAGUUUAAUGUAUAUAUAUAUCUAAUGCCUUUCAAAAAAAGAAAUUUAUAUAUAUCCAGUGCAAUUGUUUUGGUUUAUGCAGAUUGGAUUCCGUGACAUAGAGCAUUUGCAACUCUCACAUUUUCCACGCUUGAGAGAAAUAUGGCACGGCCAAGCAGUGCCUGUCAGCUUCUUCAACAAUUUACGACAACUGGCUGUGGAUGACUGCACGAAUAUGUCGAGUGCUAUUCCUACCAAUCUGCUACGUUGCUUGAACAAUUUGAGAUGCCUGGAAGUGAGGAAUUGUGAUUUAAUAGAAGAGGUGCUUCAUUUAGAAGAGCUAAAUGCUAAGGAAGAACAUAUAGGCCCCCGGUUUCCUAGGCUUAACAGACUAAGGCUCAUUGAUCUUCCAAAACUCAAAAGAUUCUGCAACUUCACUGGGAAUAUAAUUGAACUGUCUGAGUUGGAGAAUCUAACUAUUGAGAAUUGCCCUGAUAUGGAAACAUUCAUAUCCAACUCUGUAGUGCAUGUGACAACAAAUAACAAGGAACCUCAAAAAUUAACAUCAGAAGAGAACUUUUUGCUGGCUCAUCAAGUACAACCCCUCUUCGAUGAAAAGGUGAUUAUUAUUAUUAUUAUUAUUAUUAUUAUUAUUUUCCCCUUCACUUUUGUUCGCACAGAUGUAAUUUCAUUAGAAUCAAAUCAAAUUUUAUGACUCAUCUUUUUGCAUGUCAUCUUGAUUCAUAUAUGAAUUAACAAUACAACUACAGUUAUGAACUAACUUUAUAGUAUGAAUUAAAAAAAUGUCUUAAAUUAUUUCGAUGACUGGUAACAUGAGGUGAUGAACUAUAUCAAUUAUGCUUGUCGCAUCUCUGUUUUCCUAGCUAAUUCAUAUUGGAUUUAGUAUCAGAUUUCAUUUAUGUGUUUCAAAGGGUAAUCGAUUUGAUACUUAUAUUUGGGAUCCUACUGCAAAGCAUACUAAUUUGGAAAUAAAAUAUAAAAUGCCGUGAUUAAUCUUGUCCAUAAAAUAUGCAGGGGAAGACUGCAGAGAUUGGAUACAUACUUUCAUUUACAACUUAAUUUUGUUGAUUUUCAGCUUACAUUCCCUCAAUUGAAGGAGUUAAAGCUAUCUAGAUUACACAAAGUGCAGCAUCUCUGGAAGGAAAAUGACGAAUCCAACAAAGCGUUUGCAAACUUGAAAAGUCUAGAAAUAUUUGAAUGUAGUAAGUUACAGAAAUUAGUACCAGCUUCGUGGCAUUUGGAAAAUCUUGAGGCUUUGAAAGUAUCGAAGUGUCACAGGUUGAUAAAUUUGUUGACGCUCUCAACAUCUAGAAGUCUGAUAAUUCUUCAAAGUAUGACGAUAGCUGAUUGCAAAAGGAUAGAAGAAAUCAUACAGUCGCCGGUUGCAGAAGAAGCGAAAGAUUGCAUUGUUUUCAAGGAAUUAAAGUACUUGGGACUUGAUUGUUUGCCAAGCCUAACAAGCUUUUGUUUAGGUAAUUACGCUCUUGAAUUCCCGUCCUUGAAACAAGUAGUUGUGAGAGAGUGUCCAAAAAUGAUGAUCUUCUCUCAAGGAGUCUUAGACACACCAAUGCUAAACAAAGUGAACGUCACCGAAGAAGAAAAAGAUGAUGAUGAUGAAGGAUGUUGGGAAGGCAACCUCAAUGACACCAUAAAAAAAUUGUUCAAUGAAAUGGUGAGUAUCAAUUAAGUUUUGGUGCUAUUUAGAAAAUUAUUUUAUAGAAACUAAUGUAAUAUAAUAUGAUUGGUUGACUGAAAAUAUAUAAUAAUAAAUAAAUAAAUAAAUUAUGAGGGCUAUGUAAUGUUUUUGUUUAACCAAUCAUAUUAUGUCGCAUUAGUUUAUACAAUAUUGUUUGUGUACAAGAGUUGUAAUGUAUGCUUGCUUACACGAGUAAUUACAAAAUGUGCAUAAUUCUAAAGAAAAGAUUGAGCCAACCCUUCAGGUACAGUGAAGAAGCUAUCUCGAACCAGGCCAAUCUCGUGUACAUGAUUCAACUUGCUCGUUCUCCUGUACUUGAAUAAUUUGGUUCUAAACGCAUUUACAACUUUUUUGUCAUGCUAUAGACAUGCAAGACACUUUGGAUUUGUUUGAUGCAUUCUUUGUUUAAGGAAGGACUUGAAUUGAUGUUUCAUGUUUCAUGCAAUUUUCAAUUAGAUACUGUUUAAACUUCUGCAUUAUUCAUUCAAUCGGUGUUUUAAGCAUUUGAUUUCUAACUAGUCCUGAUAGAAGAUCAUUAGCUGAAGAAAACAUCAUAACAUUUGUGGCAUUAUCAGAAUAAGAAUAGUUUUAUGAGUAUAGUAAAAUUAACUAGACCAUUAUUAAAAGGAAUUAAUCCGUCAACUUUAAGUAAACUUUAGAUGAUGGUUCUGACCUAAACCAUUUUAAUGCUUGGCAAAAUCACAUCCUGAGCAUAGAGUAAAGAAAGUGGCAUACAUGGUAAUCAACUUCAAGAAGCUCUUCGAAAUGCAUAAUACUGUUGGGGAGAAAAGAAAAAGAAAGAAUACAAAUAAAAAGAAGUCACACAUCAUCAGCAGUUUUUCGGGAACACAAAAAUGUUAUAAUAACUUUUCUUGAUUGCCACCCACAUGCUAAACUGAUCAAAUACAAAACAGGAUACAGAAAAUCUCUAACCUUUUUGGCACUGAAGAAGACGCCAGUGCUUUCAAAAGAAAAUGCUUGAUUGUUGGCAUUCUGGUUUGAAAAAUAUGAGUCCAAUUCCUGUGUCCAGUCAUGUACCAAAUCAGGACGACGUGCAAGUCAUACAAAGAUGACAAAAAUACAGUAUAAAUUGCGUCAAACCAAUUCAAGUCAAUUGGAGAAGUAAAUCAAGGACCAUUUGCAAUAGUUGUUCUCCACAUCAAAUUUGGGUGUCCAUCGUCUUCAUCCUCUUGUGCACUGAACCUGAGAGUCCACGAGAAAUACAUAUAAAAAUUAGGCAUGAUUGAAAUUGAUAGUAGUACAAAAUGGAUAUAAACAUCACGAUGAACAAAUUAAAUUGUUCCCUGUCAGACAAAUCCAACCUGCAAGCUUAAGCUCUUAAGCUAGACCAAAUCACACUGCAAAUAACAAGACAUAAGGCCAAAAAAAGAUAAUAUGUAUCAUUCAUAUGCUUCGCCCUAUAGAAAUGAUUUGGGCCAUAGGUCAAUUAUGUUAAAAGCAGCGAUACUAAACCCAAAAGAAGAGAGGUGAGGCGAGGGAGUGGUGGGUUUUUUUUUUUUUUUUUUCAUUUAUAUAUUUUUACCUUAAACCAAAUGACCGGUUUUACAGGUUUCUGGUUGUUUCAAAUUUUUUUAUUGCUUAAUAAUGAAACAAAUCUCAGCCAUUAGAUCACUCCAUUUAAUCCAAUGGUCAGUUUUUGUGCAUGUAUCAGAUGCACGCAUGUAUUGUAGCCGCCCCAUUUUCCUUUUUAGUUGCAAAACCUCGUUCGAAAGCAACAAUGACUUUCACUCAAAGUAAAUGAGAAAUUACAAUGAAAAUGGGAUCAGAAAAAGGUUGAGGUGAAAUAAAACCAAAGGGAUGAUGUUUCUGCUUUCCAGCUUUGGGAAACGGCGUGGAUGGAGCACGUUCAAUACGAAAAACUUCAUUAGCUCACGCGCUGCUCAGCUGAUUCUUAACAGAAAAUGAUUUAGUGGAAACGGCGUGGAUGGAGCACGUUUAACAUAUCAGUUUAAGUAACCACGUGAGAAAGCAUGUGAUGAAGGUUGUUCCGAGUUCGUUGAAGGUUGUUAACCACGUGUCAAAACAAAGUGUUCAUACUGGAAAGAAACAAAAUAUUAAUAAAUAAACCAUUAAAAAGAUUAUCUGAAAAUUAUGUUUAACUAGGCCAAUUCAAUUAUCGAGCAGUUUGAUAUAUUAAAUGAGCUAGAACAGUAGCCUUUUAAUUAUUUCACUUACUAUUAUCGAACAGUUUUAUAUCAUUCCCUAUCUUAUAGUAAAGGUAAAAGAACAGAAAAGGUAUAUUGCAUUAGAGUUCGUGUACUUCUACCUUUUAGUUUAUUCUUCAUUUUAUUAAAAUGACAGAUUCCUCAUUAAAAAAGGUCACUCUACAUAGUAUGUGGGUGUAUGUUCUUUUAAAAAGGACUGAGAGAAAAAUAAAUGUGAAAAACAAGUAACAUCUGAAGAAGAAAGUGAUGCUGACACAUUAACGACCACUUGAUUUUGUAGGGACUGCACAUAAUUGAUAAUUUCAUCCAACAUGAGACCUUUCCAAUUACCUAAUUUUAUACCAAACAACAUGAAGUUUAUAAGAAAUAUUAAAAACACAAAAACUCGUUAUUUGUUUUAAGACAGGAAAAAGUGAAUAAAAAACAAUAACAAAAAAAAGAACUCAAAUUACUUAAUUACCAUAGCUAUGAACAAGUUUUUGCAAAAUUUUCAUCCUCUCACUAACUUUCUCUCUUCUUACCUAAAACCAAAUAAUGACAAGACAACUGCCCAUUAGACUAUGACAAAAGUUGGAAAUUAAAAUAAUAUAGUAGGUUAUUUUGGAUAAAAUUAGAAAAAGAAAGUUUGAAUUUGUAUUAAUAUACUCACCCUUUCUGUUAACCCCUAUUUGAAGGGCCGAAAGAGUAGUAACAGUAGCAAAAAAUUCAAAUAAUAGAAAUCAGAGUGCCCACUACAUAUAAAUGGAUCUAAAGAAUAGAUUAUAUAAUAGCUUGUUUCUUAUGAAUGAUACAUGUGAUUCCACAGAUAAAAAGAAAAUAAAAAUCAAGUAUGUGAAUUAAAAAAAACACCUAACCAAUAGGGGUUAGUGAGAUAUUUUAGCUAAAUAUCAGUUGACAGAAUCUGACCCACAAUAAAAAUUGCUAUCUUUUCACAAUGGGAAUCUGAAUUAUAAAAUUACUGAACAAAACUUUUAACACCUACAAGUCCAAAUAACAUCAAAUAAAAUGCCUAACCAGCUGUUAAAUAUAAAAUGUCCAUGUAGGACUAAAGCCCUGUGGCUAAUCCUUCAAAGUUCCAAGCAACAAUAUGAUAAAAACAUAAUGCAUAAUAUAUAAGGAGCUUAUCUGUAAAACUUCCAUACAAUACUUAUCAUAUUAAACAAUGUACAUAAUGAAAUAUUGGCUUAUUUCUACAGAAUAUUACGAUCUAAGUACACCAAUUUCUCAAGCAAUGCCAUAUAGAAAGAUACCGAAGAAAAAAGGAAAAUAAAAAAUCGAAGUAUGUUAGUUAUGAUUUCAACUUUUGAACUAAAAGUCUGUGACAAAUUUUGCUUCGGGAAAUACUAACAAACACUUGAGAAAAACUAAAGUGUAUCACACUUGAACCGUAUAUAAAGCACAAGAAUAAAAACAACAAGGGGCAAAAAGAGGCUAGAUGUAUCAUCUUCAUUAGUUAAACAACAUAAAUAGAAUCAAAAUAUUAAUGCAUACACCAAAACCUUCAAAAUUCUCUAAACAUUCAAUUUUUUUCAGAGUAAGAAAAUAAAUUUAUAAGAAAUCGAGAAUGCGUAUUUGUUGCGGUAUUUUAUCAAGCAAUUAGCAUGCAGCAAUGUAAAUGACAAUUAAAACAUGUAAAUCUCUGUACUUUGAAAGCUCACCUUCGUUAUUCAUCCAAAGAGAAUAUAUAGGGCAUGUAAGCUCCUUCUUUGAUAUUUAUCCCUAUCGUUCAAUUAUUUUGUUUUCAUCAAAUUCCGUUAGCUCAAGUGGAGACAAAGCAAUACAAAUGGUGCAUUUAGAAGGUACAACUUUAGAAACCGAAUUUGUGCUUGCAACAUAGGAGAAACAGGGGCUCUCCUUCCAUUUUCCUGGUUUUGUGUUUGGUGAUUUUAAAAUUUUAUAUCUAUAUUUACGAAAAAAGAAAAGAAGUUUUCAAAACUAUUUUUUUUAUACAAGUUCUGUGUCAACUCAAAAAUUGCUCAUGACCAAAAAACAUCUAUGGUUCUUCAGUUACUCAAAAAUUCCUCGUUUUUGAGUUACUUUUUUUUUUUUUUUUAAUUUUUAUUCUCAAGUAAUUUUAUCAUGGAAUUGUUAAUUUUUAUUGAAUGUUGAACAAGCCUUUAUUUCUUUUCUUUCCCUUUUAAUGAAAUUAAAUAAAUGGUGGGGAUAUACCCUACAAAUUAUUGUCUCCACCCCAUAUUUAGUAUUGCUUUUACCACAUGAAAAAUUAAUUUUAUACGAUAAAUUUAUUUACUUGAAUAUUAAACCAUAUCAUGAACCAAUUGACAGGUUGAAGAAUUAACUUUCAAGUUUCAACAUUAUAAGAUUAAUAAAUAGCAUAAACAAAUUUUUAUUUUCAUUUAAAUUAAUCUAAUCCUACCAACUUCAUUUGGAUUUCAUAGUUGUUGGUUUCAUGUAUCACACGAAUUGUUAGGCACCAACUAACACAAGUAUAUGUUACUCAAGCAUCUCACUUGAAUAAUAGUCUAAGGAACUUUGAUUCGGAUGGUAGAUAUUUAACUAACUAAAACUAACAUUCUUAACUCAAAGCUCAUUUACUAGUAAAAGUAGAACCUUCUCCGUCAGCUUAUCUUGUUCAUUAUAUAACAAAAGAUAUUUAGUGAAAAAAAAAAAUUGGAGGGGGGGGGGGGAGGGGGAGACUAUGAUAAUAAUUAUGUUCAAGAUCUAGCCGCUAGGGAUAGAUUUGGCUAUGACUAUUUGUUGAUCCAGUAAUUAAUUUGAACAAUAUUGUUAAUUUUAGUUGAAACUGGAAUGAAUUUUGUGAAAGAUGCUUUCUCAUAACUAACCAACUAAAACUAACAAUCAAAUUAUCAAAAUCAGAGCUCAACUACUAGUAAAACUAUAAAAGUAAAACACUUGCUUCUCCAUCAAGUCAUCUCUUUAUAUAUAACAAAGAAUGUUUUAUGAAAGAUGGCAAAAGCAGUCAAUAACAAUUAAGUCUCAAAUAAUUCAUAAAAGAUGUCAAGCUCUGUUGCGAAUGCUGCUGAGGCUGAGAUUUGGAUUGUCCCAUUCUUCGGUAAGGGACAUAUGUUUCCAUGCAUUGAAUUAUGCAAGCAAAUCACUUCUCGUAAUUACAAAUCUACCCUCAUUAUUCCCUCUCACGUUUCCGCCACCAGCAUCACCCCUUCUUUUGUUCACCAAUACCCUCUAUUUGAAAUUACUGAAAUACCCUCCUCAUCUCCACUACUACCAUCGCCUCCUUCUUACCUCCAUGUUGUCAUGCACAACCAAAUGCUUCAGGGUCUUCGAAACCUCCUUUCAACCCGGAACCCGAAAGCCGACCUGUUUGCGUAGUCAUCGGCGUUAUGAUGGGCUGGACGGCUGAUGUUUUCAAGAAUUUUGAAGUUCCCAUUGUUGGGUUCUUCACUUCUGAUGCUUGCUCAGCAGCUGUGGAGUGUGCCAUGUGGCAGGCUCGCAUCCAGGAUGUCAAACCGGGAGAGGCCCAUUUACUUCUUGGGUUACCCAAGGAUGUUGCUUUAUUCCAAUCAGAUCUUAAACGCAGGCCUCACGGGUCCCUUCCUGGUGGCCCACAACCUUUGUGAGGUGCACCCGGUUCAGAGAAAAUAGGUCCAUCAGAACCGAGUGAUCAACCACACUGGAUGAAGCAAGUGGAGGGAUCGAUGGUGUUGAUGCUAGUGUGGGGAGUGGGCCCAUUGUUACCUGAACAAUUUUACAAAUCGACCGGUUCAGUGCUUCGUGAUUGUGAGAUGAGAACCAACCGGCGGAGUUCUAACAUGACCAAAGAUGAGAUCAUUCAAUGGUUAGAUUUGAAAUCAUGUGGAUCAGUGUUAUACAUGUCAUUUGGUACCGAAAUGGGUCCCACCUUAAAUGAUUAUUCAACAUUAGCCAAUGAUUUAGAAGCAUCAAAUCCACCGAUUAUUUAGGUAAUUCAAACUGAUGUAAAUAGAUUGGAUCCUCCACGUCAUUUAACCAGCUUAUUUUCAUAGUGGUUUAGAUAGUAAAGCCGGUAAAAAGGGUUUGAUAAUAGAUGGAAUGGCACCACAAUUAUUGAUGCCGAGUUAUCAAUUAAUAGGUGGAUUUUUAUCUCACUGUGGAUAAAAUUCAACUGUAGAAGCAAUUGGCUGUGGGGUCUCAAUUUUAGCAUGGGCAAUUAGAGGUGAUCAACGUUACAAUGCCAAAUUGGUGAUCAAUCAUCUCAAGGUGGGGUGCAUGAUCUCUGAUGAUCAGUCGAAAUUGACUUAAAAGGAUGAUAUAGUGAGUGGUAUAGAAAAGCUUAUGAGUAGGGUUGGGCAAAAUAUCCGACCCGAUCCGAUCCGAUCUGACCCAAAAAAUAUCGGGUUCAGAUCGGAUCGGAUUGUUAACAAAAUCCAAUCGGAUGUAACUUUGCCAACCCGAUCGGAUCAUGAUCGGAUCGGAUGAAACCCGAUCCGAUCCGAAAACCCGAUCGGGUUGGCUUAAAAAAAAAACUGUGUAACAAACUAACAAAGUGGCAAACACAACAAAAUCGGAUUCACACCACACAAAAAGCAAAUCUUAGAUCUAAAUUAAAAUAAUCUGUAAGUGCACACACACACACUCACAUCACACACGGUCACACACAAAUAGAGGUUUGGCCUCGGAGAUCGGAAAUGUUGAGAUGCCAAACAACGAAGCAGCAGCCAACAGAUUGGAGAUACAACCGCAAGAAGCAGCAACCAGCAGACCGGAGAUGCGGCCGCGCGAAGCCGCGAACCAGCAGCCAGCAAUCACCGACGUGAUCGUGCGAAGCCAAACCAUCGGAGAUCGGAGAUGUCAGCGAAGCAGCGGUGAGCAGAUCGGAGAUGCAACCGCAAGAAGCAGCAGCCAGCAAAUCGGAGAUGCAACUGCGUGAACCAGCAGCCAUCAGUCACCGACGCGAUCGUUCAAAGCUAAGCCAUCGCUGCAACCGCAACGUGCCGAUGGAAUCUACUACACCUCGACUGCUACCGCUUGCUGCCACUAGCUUCACCGGUUACCACAACUGCUACAACUAAAUUCACCUCCACAUUCACUGUCACCAAGUUUUUGGUGGUAUUGACUAUAUUGUUUUAAAUAAUUUAAUUUAAAAAGCUUAAAACAAAACUAUAUCUUGAGAAAAGGUUGAUUGUUUUACUUGAUUGCUUCUGAAAUUAACCCAGAAAUAUAGAAUGGAUAUAUAACCCGAAUGCUUUUAAAUCUGAAUCUAAUCCGAAUUAAUCCGAAUUUUCGAUCCAAUCCGAUCCGAAUUAUAUUCGGAUCGGAUUGGAUCGGGUUAAUAAUUCGGAUUGAGUUCGGAUGAUUUUUUCCCCAACCCGAUUGAUCCGAAAUUGAUCAAAUCAACCCGAACCCAAUCCGAAUCCGAUUUUGCCCACCCCUACUUAUGAGUGAUCAAAGAAAUUGAAAAACGAGCUCACAUGCUUCGCCGUGUAUUUAAUCAUGGCUUUCUUAUAAGUCAAUGACUUCUUUAAUAUAGUGUUUACUUUUUGGAGUGAGAGUGAGGAGUGUGGAUUCCUCUUACUCCAGUGUUUACUUACAAUUUUCAAAGGGGAAGUGAGAAUUCCACUCCGUGGAUCCCACCUAAUUUUGGAGUGGGGGAGUGAGAUUCCCACUCCCAUGGAGGAAGGUGGGAGUGGAAAUUCACUCGCCUCUCUUCCUUUUUCACCCUUAUAUUUAAUAAAAUAAAAUAAAUAAUAUCAUAUUUAUUUAACUUAUAUUAUUAUUUUAUUUUAUAAAUUACAUUUAUUAAAAAUAAUAAUAUUAAACAUAUUUAUUUUAUUAAAUUUAAUAAAAUAAGUAAAAUCAUAUUUAUUUAAAUAAUAAUAUUUUAUUAUUUUAUAAAUUAAAUUUAUUAAAAAUAAUAAUAUUAAACAUAUUUAAAAUAAUAUUAAUUUUUUGGUUAAAAAUAAUAAUUUACAUUGAUUCUAAGUUAAAAUUACUUAAAAAUAAUAUCAUUAUAUUCAUAAAGAAUUAAUAAUAUUACUAUAUUCUAUUUUUAUUUGAAAAUAUAAUAUUAUUAUACUUAUUUAAAAAUAAUACUAUUAUAUUUAUUUAAUAUUAGUAAUUAAUAAUAAUAAAUAUUUUAUUCUAAAAAAAUUAAUUUUGUACUAUAUUAUCAAUAAUAAUGUUUCAUUUGUAUUGUUGUUAUUAAUAAUUUUUUAUUUAUAUAAUUAAAAUUAAAAUUAAUAAAAUAAUUGUGAUUUACAUAGUUAAGAAUAUUAAUAAUUAUUAUUAAUUUAAAAAUAUAAUUUUUAUUAAUUUUGUAAUUAAUAACUAUAAUUCUUUAAGAGUAAAGCUGUAAUUUAAAAUCAUUACUCACAAUCUAAGACAAUGUAAACAAAUAAAUUGGAUUCUGAUUUCAAUUCCAUACUUCCAUUUCAGUGUAAGUAAACAACAUACUUCGACUCCCACUCCACACUCCUAAUCCCAGGAUUCUCACUUCUCACGAUUCUCACUCCAACGCAAAAUGUAAACGCUACCUAAAUGCUUUCAAAUAUCUUGUUAACCAGAAAUCAAUUUAACAAAAACAAUUACCGUGUAUAUUAUUAACGAAAAGGCUUUGAUUCCGUUGGCUUGGGUGUAAAUAAAUCGACUUUAUCAAGAACAGACAUCUCAGCAACUACAUAAUAAUAUAUGUAAGCUUUUGUUAAUUGACUGCAUUAAAUCAUUAAAUCAAAAGCCUUACAAAGCAUCUACAAUAAAAAGAUGGCACAUCCUCCAUCCAAACGACAAAAACAUGGACUCGCAACGCAAUUCUUGCUAAUUAAUUAAUAGGUAGUCAUAUUCCUCCGAGCAACAAAAUGAACAUCAAAUUGUUGAUGAGGCACCAUAUGCACAAAAUGUUGAUAUUGUUUAAUGUUUAAUAUUAUGGGAAAGUUUUAAUAGAUCUUCAUUUCCCUUACAUAUUGUGAGCUUAUAACCAAAAAUGGGACUAUAUGGUUGUGUGACAAACAAAAAGGGAAAUUUUUUACUAUUCGGCUAAAUUUUAAUGUCAAUAAUAUAGGAUCUGAAUUCACUUUAAUAUGAUAUCGACAUGUGUAGAAAAUUCCUUAAGUAAAUAGAUUUUGCAUAAAAGGUAUCGACCCAGAGUCAGAGGAAAAUUAAAUAGAAUGUCUUUUAAUACAACAAUCACUGGUGACCCUGUUUGGGCAUAGUUUGAGAGUACUAAAAUAUCUACUGCCAACUCUAUUCUAGUUGAAAGGCUAUCAAGGCAAAUUGGUCGCAUUGUUGAUGAUGAGGAAAUAGAGGUUGGAUUCAAGAAGAAGAAGAUUAUGGUAGUAAUGUUCUUGAAGGUCGAGAGAUGGAGAGAUUGAGAAAUAAUAGUGCAGCAAGUUUAAUGAGUGGAUAAUAUUAUGGUCAUAUGUUUUUUUUUUUUACACACAUGUAUAUAAUAUUAUAUUUCUAUGAACUAGUUUGAUUACAAUGAUUUUAUGUACAUAAAAGUUUAUAUAAAGAUUAAAUUUUUGCAUUUUCUUUUUUGCACUUAAUUUAUUAAUCAAACUAAUGAUAUGUUAGUAUUUGUUAUAUCACGAACUACAUAACAAAUUUUUUAGUUAAAAAGAUAUUGAAGUUAAUUUUAUUGCAAAUUAAAAUAGUUAAUAAAAAAUUAUUUAAAUAUGUAAUAAAGAAAAUAGAAUAUGCUCUUAAAAAAUCUUGUAAAUAAAAAAAGAUUUAAAUAAUAAUAUUCUAAAUAAAUUACAAACAAGUAAACAAGUACAUUUUUGUCAUUGUACAUGAACAUUUUACACUUUUAAUUUUCAUUUACCAGAUUUGUAUAGUAAACCGUUUAAAAAUUGAUUGUCAAAUAAUCAUCAUUUACCAAACACCCUAAUAGAUUAUUUGUAAAAUUAUUUUUUUGUUCAGAAUCAAGGUAGAAAUUAAUUCUUGGAAAGUAAAGGAAAUCUCAAACAUACCCUCAAUCAACCAUGGGAAGUUAUUUAAGUUGUAGUAUCUAAUAAGUUCUAUUAAUAGUGAGCGCACAUAUCAAAUAUAUAAAAAUAAGUAUUUUAGUUAUUAUCCACCUGUUCCCUUGAAAUCAAUCUCAGUUUUUUUUUUCUUUUACCUAAAAUUCCAAGAAAAAUAUAUAAAAGAAGAAGAACUUUUUUUUGGGGGGGGGGGGGGGGGGGGGGGGGCGGGGAUUGGGGUGGGGGAGGGGGGAGCUCCUCUGUUUUCAUUCCAUUGUUUUGAAAUUAUCUAUCAUCAGUAUAAAGUUAUACUUUUGAAUCAAUAUGCUUUGUGACUCGAUAAUUUAGCAUAAUAAAAAAAGAAAAACACACUUACUCACAUCCCGAUUGAAUCUUAUCUCUAAGGAUAAGUAAAAAAUUAUUGUUCCUCUUUUUCUUUUACGGUUUGUUUACGAAAAGAAAACACUCACACCUUCAAGAUAUUUAUAAGUAGAACACUUAAGUUUUAAGAAUAAUACACCCUAAUUUGAAAAAAAAUGAAUACAUGUAUCAUAUUUUAUGUUUUUUUUUUAAAAAAAUUAUUUGAUGACAUUAUGAGACUCUAUAUGCCAAGAUCUAUGUGAUGGUGAGAAUGGUUUCAUAAAAGAAGCAAUAGUAUAACCGCACACAUGGCAUUGUUUGUAAUGACUAAAAUUAGAAGAGAGUCUAUGUAUCUACUCCUGAAACAUUAAGAAUUUAACUAUUUAUUAAUUAAAUCAAAAUUUCAAGAUCAUAGUGUCGUUUUACAUAAAGAACCCAAAUACUAAAUCUAGCUAAUAAAGGAGAACGGUUUAGAUUAGUUGCUUGGACUUCCUUGUCUCGGGGCUGUGUGGUCAAGCCUGUCCAUCAGGCGGAUUCAGAUUUUGAAAGUUAUCUGAAUCUUCUUCUCUAUGUAAGCCUAUACAAUGAUUUUGUGAAAGACAUAUGCAAAAACAGUACCAGUAAGCAUAUUUAUUUAUCAAAGAUGUCAAGCUCUGAUGCUCAGAUAUGGAUAUCAAAGAGAGAGAUUGAAAAAGAGAGAGAGAGAGAGAGGAUAAUCAGGGACUCGUCUGUUAUCAUUCCCCUGUUUUUCAGUUUGGUGAUUGGAAGUAACAUUAUUUGCGUGUACUCUUUAUUUAAUUUAUUUUUCAAUUUUUUAAAAAUUAAUUAUUGUUCUUCUCAAAGCGUUUAGUAAAUUAUAUGAUAAUCUGAUCAAAUCUCUAACAUUAAUGUCCGCAUAAUCUAGUAAUGAAACUUAUAAUUUUAUAAUAAUCAAAUUGAAGAUUUCUUCACGCUGUUUUGUAUGAUGACGAGUUUUUAUUUUUCUGUUAAACAUAAGAUCAUUUUCUAAUAAUGUCCAUCUGGAAUUAGUAAUAACGAAGCAUCAUUUGUGGACAGAACAAUUGAAAUAUCAAGUCACUAUUGAUCCCACUUUGAUGAUUGCACUUUAGUUUCUUUCUAAAAUGUCAUUCUUCAUUCAAGCUUUUACUUUAUCUUUUAUCAGGUAUCUUACAAAGCUUUUCCCUCCUAAUAAGCUCUAAUAAACCAAUGUGCUUUUCAAUUUCGCAGGAUACAAGUAACGUAUAUGCCAAAAUUAUUCAAGCACAACAAGUAUUUAUUCGUCGAAAACUUCAACUUAAUUAUUUCAUUAGAAAAUAUGAAACGCAGAGCCAUAAACUAGUGUUUUCUUCAACUUACUUGGGUUAAAUAAAAUUUUUUCAGUAUUUUUCCCGAUCCAUUUCUUGUAUCUCACUGCAUGCUUUAUUAAAGCUUCGUCUUUGUUCUUGAUUGUGAACUUCAAGAUUAAAUCUUAAAAAUCGGGUAUAAAAGGGGUGCUUGAUUAAGUCUUCUUCUUUUGCAAUUCAUUGUUACGGCUCUUUUCAGCUUUUUACUCACAAAUUCCUCUGACGUUAACAGUGAUCUAUCGCUCACUAAAAUUGUUCUUCAUAAUUUCUUUCAAUACCAGUUCUUAAUAUUCAAGGCGAAUAGAGAGCUCAUCAACUCUCUGAUCCCAAAUAAUUAAAGAGGUACACAUGCUCCUAAAUCCUCUAAUAAUUUCUUUUAACAGCAGUUCUUAUUUAAUUUAAUUUCCGUCUAUUUUCCAAGAAAAAUUUCUCCGGUUUGUCUUAAUCUUAUCAUUUAUUUUGCUUGAGUUGUAAGUUAUUGUUCAUUUGUAAGGUCUGUGUUCUUAUUACUAGCUUUGGUUAAUUUGAAUCUAUCUUCCCCAAUAAAAAAAAAAAAGAAGUUUUUAAAAAAAGCGCGGGUUUUUAUUCGGACCCUUAAAACCUCUCUGUUAAUAGCAAAGAAAGACUCUAAUCCUCGAGCCAGGGGGAGUAAAAAAAGAACAAAGAAUUCUCUGUUUAAGUAUCAAUUGUCUCAAGAUCAACAUUGUUUUUUUUCUUUUUCUUUUUUUUGUUAAUUUGUUUGUUAUUUUAUUAGAUUUGCUUUUAAUCUAAUUGUGCUUGAGGAUUGAAGAUGAGUGAGAAAUACCCUUUUUUUCUGAAGCAACCUACAAAUUUUAGAAUAGGGUAAGAGUAUUAGAGAUUCAAUUAAUCAAAAAAAGUUAUUUACAUUCGUCAUUUGCAAAAAUGUUUGCAUUAGAAUUUUUCUAGCAUUCAAGAGCAUUACAUAUCAUCAUGUCACAAAAUAGCCUGAAAAACAAGAUAAAUCAAUUAGAGCAACUUGCUCUUUAUUGAAUUUUUUUUUUUUUUGUUUGGUUUGCCCGAAAUCCCAGGGAAAAUAUUAUAUAAGAACAAGAGUUAAGAUCAAAAAAAUGUAAAACAAGUUUCCUCUGUUUUCGUCCCCCCCCCCCCCCCCCCCCGGUUUGAUGAUUGAAAUUUUUUUUAUCUAAAUUUUAUGAUUUUCCGUUGGGGUUUUAUUAAAUAAAAAAUAAUUAGAAAAUGUAAUUCUAGAUUUACCCUUGUGCAUCGAGUGAUUAUUAUUAUGUUCUCUUAAGAUUUGAUAGUGCAAUUUUGUGUGAUGUGAAUUUCAUGUUUCUGUUAAUCAAUACAAACACAAUUUGUAAGUAAUGGCCAUGUGGAACUUAAUUAUAACCAAGCAUCAUUUGUGGAAAGAACAAAUGAAAUAACAAAAAAGCAGCGUUGGCAAUACAAUAUCAAACUUUAUUUAUUUAUUUAUUUUUGUUUUUGUUCUUGAAUAUGCAUUAAUCAAAUCAUAUAUUGUUGAUCUUACUUUGAUGAUUUGCUGUUCAGUUUCUCUCUCAAAUGAUUUUUGUGUGUUUCCGGUAUCUGCUUUUAUGAAAGAAGCCCUAAAGUGCAUGUGGAUUUUUAAAAAAAGAUUGCAUAUAAUUAUCCUAUACGUGCGUAAACAGGGCAACAAUAACCAAAUACAUGAUAUAAAAAAGGGGUGCUUGAUUAAUGCUUUUUCUUCUGCAAGUCAAUGUUAUUAUUCUCAUCAACCCUUUUCUUACACAUUCCUCGGCAGUUACCGGUGAUCUUUUUGCUCUUUGAGGUUGUUCUUAAAUAUUCAAGGCCAAAUAGAGAAUCUCACCAACUCUCUAAUCCCAGAUAAUUAAAGAGGUGCACAUUUUCCAAAUCCUCUAAUGUGUGUGUUUGUGUAUAGUAGAUCUUUGAUCUUGACAUCUGUUCUUUCAUAAUUUCCAUCUAUUUUCCAAGAAAAAAAAUUUCUCUGGUUUGUUUUAAUAUUGAAUUUACUUUGCAUGAGUUUUAAGUUAUUGUUCAUUGUUAAAGCCUGUGCUCUUAUUAUUUCGUUUGGUUAACUUGCAUUCUUCCCCCCCCCCCCCCCCCCCCCCCCCCCCCCCCCCCCCCCCCCAAAAAAAGAAAAAAGAAAAAAGAAAAAGAAAGUUUUUAAAAAGAUUAUAGGUUUCUACUCAGACCCUUGAAACCUUUUAGCUUUCCGGUAAUACCAAAAUCUCUAAUCCUCCAACAAAUGAAAGCUAGGAAAAAAAUGUCCUAAAGUUUAAUAUCUGUUGCCUUUGUAUCAAUAUUGCCAGUUUGUUGUCUUUUAUUAUAUUGCUUGUUUGUCAUUUUAUUUGAUUUACUUUAUAUCUAAGUUUACUUGAAGAUUAAAUAUCAGUAGGAAAAGCCCUUUUUCUAAAGCAACAUACAGAUUUUAGAAUAGGGCUCAGCCACAUGAAAAUGUUUACAUUGUAGUAUCUCAUAUCAAUAAUCUAAAAACAGCCAAUCCAACAAGUUCAAAUUCAGUCAAAUCUAAAAAUGAUUGCUUUUAAGGAGUACAUGAUAGCUAUUAAAAAGAUCUUUUAGGCAGAAUUGAAAUGCAGUCAAUCGUAAAUCAACCAAUCCAACGAGUUCAAGUACAGAGUCAAUUGAACAAAUUCAUCACUUGCAGAAUUAAGCUUAUCUUCCGAAAUUGAGUUGUUUCCAUUAGAAAUUUUCCCAUAGUCACGAGCACUAUCAUCAAAACAAGAUUAUUUGUAUAGGAACAAGAGUUAAGGAAAAAAAAAAAAAGGUAAAACAAGAUUCCUCUGUUUUCAUUCCCAUUUUUUUUCCUUGGUGAUUGAAAAAUUUUAUCUCUAAAUUUUUAUAAUUUUCCAUUAAGAUUUAUAUUUAAAUAAAGAAUUAAAAAAAUCUAAUUUUAAAUUUAUGCAUUGAAUGAUUAUUAUUAAAUUCCCUUAAAAUUGGUUACAAUAUCAAUUAAAUAACGCAUAGAGUUAUUGAUCACUUUGUUAAAAAUGAUCAUGUGUUCUAUUUAUAUAAUAAAACAAAAGAUGGGGUCACACUUAAGUCUUGUUCUUUUACAAUUCAUUUGUAUUACUCACUCUCAUGAACUCUUUACUUACAUUCGUCUGCAGUUAAUAUUCAUCUUCUGGUCGUUCUUAUAUAUUCAAGGCCAGCAGUGAAGGUCAUUAACUCUUUAAUAAUUAAAUAGGUACAAUUGUCCAAGAAAAAAUAGCCCUUGUUUGUUUUAAUCUUGUCAUUUAAUUUUCUACGUACUGUUCAUUGUUAACUUCUGUGUUCUUAUGUAAUAUUAGCAAUGGUUAAUCUGCAUCCAUCUUACAAUUUUUUUUUUAAAUUGUUGGUUUUCCAUUCAGGCCCUUGAAACCUUUUUUUAAAAAGUUGUUGGUUGUCAUUUCUUUCUCCGUCUUUCCCCUAGUUCAUUUUAAUUUAUUUGAAUCUAAUUUUUCCAACAGCUAAUAUAUAUAUAUAUAUAUGUAUGUAUGUAUGUAUGAAAGCAACAGGCUAGGCAAUGGCUGCAGACCUGGUUUCCACUACUUUUUCCGGCAUUGUAACAGAAGGUGCAAAGGCAUUGUUCGAACCGAUUAUGCGGCAGAUCUCUUAUGUGUUCAAGUACCAGAGCUACAUAGCUGAGCUAAAAGUUCAAGUGAAGGAGCUAGAAUAUAAAAGAGAAAGGGUGGGAAUACCCGUUCGUGAGGCUACUCAACAAAGAGAUGAGAUUUACAAGGAUGUUGCAGACUGGCUUAAUAACGUUGAUGAAUUCAUCAGUGAAGGGGUUGCAAAAUCCAUCAUUGAUGAUGAAGAUAGAGCUAAGAAGUCCUGCUUCAAAGGAUUUUGCCCCAACUUGAUUUCUCGUUAUAAACUUAGUAAACAAGCAGCAAAGGCCGCAGAAGCUGCCGCUAGUCUCGUGGGAAAAGGCAACUUCUCUAGUGUUUCCCACCGUCCUGCUCCAGAGAGUACAGAACAUAUGCAAGCGAAAGAUUUCGAGGCCUUUGAUUCAAGAAUGAAAUUAUUUCAAGAUGUUGUGGAGGCAUUGAGGAAUGAUAAGCUCAACAUAAUUGGGGUCCACGGUAUGGGCGGCGUGGGUAAAACCACGCUAGUCAAGCAAAUUGCAAAGCAAGUUAUGGAAGAUAAGGUGUUCGAUAAGGUCGUUAUGGCUGAGGUAACAGAGAACCCAGAUGUUCAGAAAAUUCAAGACAAGCUCGCUUCCGAUUUAGACUUGAACUUUGACUUGAAUGAUAGCAAACCCCACAGAGCAAAACAACUUUGUCAAAGAUUGACGAAAGAGAAGCGAGUCCUCAUUAUAUUAGAUAAUAUUUGGAAAAAACUUGGGUUGGAAGAAAUUGGAAUUCCUUUUGGGGAUGUUGAUGAGAAAGAUAGAAAGCAAGAUCUAAGGAGACGCAUGAUAAUAUUGACGUCUAGAAGUAAACAUUUAUUGACCAAUGACAUGAAUUCUCAGAAGAUUUUCCUAAUUGAAGUUUUAUCAAAGGAAGAAGCAUUGCAAUUUUUUGAAAAGAUCGUGGGCAAUUCCGCAAAAGCAUCUGCUUUUCAACCUUUAGCAGAUGAGAUUGUUGGAAAAUGUGGAGGAUUGCCUGUUGCACUGAGUACAGUUGCAAAUGCUCUGAAAAAUAAGAAGCUUCCCGUUUGGAAGGAUGCGUUGACUCAGCUGCGAAAUUCUAAUCCAAGAGAAAUUCAUGGAAUGGAUGCAAAUGUCUGCUCUUCCAUAGAAUUGAGUUACAACUUCUUGGAAAGUGAUGAAGCAAAAUCUUUGUUCCUUCUUUGUACUCUAUUUGGUGAAGGUACUCCUAUACAAGUUGCUUCCUUGUUGAGAUAUGGUAAGGGUUUGUUUAAAAAUGUUCGCACAUUGGAAAAUGCAAGGAAUAGAGUGGACGCAUUGAUCGACAAUCUCAAAGCUUCAUGCUUAUUGUUGGACGGCGAUGCUGAAGAUGAAGUUAAAAUGCAUGACGUCAUUCAUGUUGUUGCCGUAUCAAUUGCCUCAGAGAAGCUCAUGUUUAGUAUCCCAAAUGUUACCAACUUGAAGGAAGAGAUAGAAAAGAUCAUACAGAAAGGUGCAAUUGCUAUUUCUAUACCUUAUGGAGAUAUUCAAGAGCUUCCCGAAAGGUUGGAAUGUCCCCAACUCAAGUUAUUACUGUUGCUUGCAAAUGGUGAUAGCUAUUUGGAAAUUUCACACCUCUUUUUUGAAGGGACGGAAGAUCUCAAAGUUUUAAGUCUUAGCGGAAUUCAUUUCUCUUCAUUAUCUUCAUCACUUGGUCACCUCAUUAACCUUCAAACAUUGUGUUUAGACUGGUGCCAACUAGAAGAUGUAGCGGCAAUUGGACAGCUAAAGAAAUUAGAGAUUCUUAGCUUUCGAUAUUCCGACAUUAAGCAGUUGCCACUUGAAAUUGGUCAAUUGGCGCAGUUACAAUUGCUAGAUUUGAGCAAUUGUAGCAGCCUUGUAGUGAUAGCACCAAAUGUCAUAUCAAAAUUUUCUCGAUUGGAAGAACUAUAUAUGGGUGACAGCUUUCCGCAGUGGGAUAAGGUUGAAGGAGGAAGUAACGCCAGUCUUGCUGAAUUGAAGGGGCUGUCAAAGCUAACUACUUUGGAGAUACAAGUUCAGGAUGCCCAAAUGCUGCCGCAGGAUUUGGUCUUUGUCGAAUUGCCAAGAUAUAGGAUAUGUAUAGGAGAAGCGUGGGGCAUCUGGCGCGCUAAUUCUGAAACAUCAAGAUUGGUGCAGCUCCAUGGGUUAGAAAAUGUUAGCACUCUUUUGGAGAAUUAUGGGAUGAAAAUGUUGCUGAAGUUAACUGAAGAUAUCCGUCUAGAGGAACUGACGGGUGUUCAGAAUGUUGUUCAUGAAUUAGAUGAUGGGGAAGGUUUUCCACGAUUGAAGCAUCUUUGGGUAGAAAGGUGUUCUGAGAUUUUACACAUUGUCGGUUCAGUUGGACGGGUUCAUCGCAAAGUCUUCCCCUUGCUGGAGUCAUUGUCUCUCUAUAAAUUGAUCAAUUUGGAGGCCAUAUGCCACAGCCAACUCAGAGAAGAUCAAUUUUUCAGCAACUUAAAGAUUAUAGAAGUAGAAUCCUGUGAUAAAUUGAAGCAUCUUUUCUCAUUUUCCAUAGCCAGAAACCUACUGCGGCUUCAAAAGGUCAAAGUGGCUUCCUGCAAUAAACUGGAAAUGACUGUUGGUAAGUGUUGAAAUUAAGUGUUGGUGGAUUUAUGGACUUCGCCUCAAUUAUUUUGAAAAAAAAAAGACAACGACAAAGAUUAAUUAUGUAUAUUGUUUUUGUUUGUUUACAGGACCCGACAGGGAGAAACCAACAACUUCUUUGGGAUUCAACGAAAUCAUUGCUGAUGAUGAUACUGCUCCAAAGGUGAUAAUUUUCUGUUCAAUAAUUAAUUGAUUAAUUUAUUAUCACGAUUAAUCUUCGAUCAUCAACAGAAUAUUAUACUAGACGGUUGUACUUGAAGGAACAAAAAUGUACGGCUUUUCUUUGCAGGUUCUUCUUCCGAGCUUAGAGGAAUUGAAUCUCACGGAAUUAAGAAACAUCAAAAAAUUAUGGGCCGAUCAUAAUCAAGGAAUGUACUGUUGUCAAAAUUUAACAAAGCUGUACGUGAGAAGUUGUGAUCGUAUGAAGUAUCUGUUUUCGUAUUCUAUGGUUAAUAGUCUUUUGCAACUCCAACAUCUUGAAAUAUGGUCUUGUGAGUCAAUGGAAGGGGUAGUCGACACCACGGGGUGGUCAGAAAGAGAUGAAGGAAAGUUGAUUGAAUUAAAGGUUUUUCCUAAACUACACUCCCUGCAGCUCUAUUGGCUUACAGAACUGACAAGCUUCGCCAAUACAGGACAUAUUCAUUCAGAUUUAGUUGUUGAAUUCCCUUCUUUGCUAAACCUCGAGAUUGGUAAUUGCAGUAAUAUGUUAAGAUUCAUCUCUACGAGCUCACCAGAAGACACCAAUCAUUCUGAAAUGCAACCUCCUCCUCUCUUUGACGAAAAGGUUUUUUUUUUAAUAAAUAAAAUUAAUUUUAGUCACAAUACUUAAUUUGUCUUUUCCUUGAGUCUUCAAAUUUAGUUAAUAUCCGCCUCUAAUUUAGUUAUCAAUUGAUUAUGCCAUUAAUUGAUUAAUUAGUUAUUUAAUCUUUAACUUCCAGGUACGACUUCCUAGGUUGGAGGUAUUAGAUAUUAGCUGGAUGAAUAAUUUGAGAAAAAUAUGGCACCACCAGCUUCCUUCGGAGUCUUUCAGCAAAUUGAAGAAUUUGGAGAUAUAUAAGUGUCAUAACCUAAUGAAUAUUUUUCCUCCAUUGGUAAGGUCGUUGUAUUCAUUUCGAAUCUUUUUUUUUUUAAAUUACAUCCAACAAUAUUUUAACCAUUUUUGGGUUUACAAAUGAUAUUCAGCCACUGAUUAUUUAUUUCAAGUAUUGUAUUUCGAACCACCACUCUCAAAUCUACAUUUUAAGUCCAUUUUUUAGGUUCGCCAGCAUUAGAAUCAACAAUAUAAUUUUUUUAAUCACGAUUCAACAUCAUAAUAUAAUUCAAUUUAAUUGUUUCUGCUCAUAUCUUAAUAAGUACAAUUUUCAAAAAUUAAAGGAUAGUCACUCAUCUUAUAGGUUCACAAAUUCAUCUAUAUAUUUCUCUUUUCCUUAAUUCUUCACAUUUCGAUUGGAAAAAGAAAAAAAGAAAAGAAAAGUCUUCAAAUUUAAUUAAUAUCUCUUGUUUAGUUACGAACUGAUUAUGCCAUUAAUUAACCACAAAUUCACGAUUAUUUACAACUGAUCCUUGAUUGUAAAGAAAUUUCCUCGAGUCUGGAAGUACUUAAUAAAGAUCCACUUUAAUUUUGUUUCCAAAAUUAAAUAUACAUAAAAAAAAGGGACCAAGGGAAAAGGGAAAAAGCGGCAUUUUGGUUGAUUUUUUUUUCCCAAAAGGAAUAGUUGAAAUUUGCAAAUUUUGUUUAAAAACUGGCAUCAAGAUGCAAAAUAAGUCUAAAAUAUUUAGAAAUUGCCUUAAAUUCUUCGUACGUUCCUAAUACUAAAUAGUGUAAAUGCAUUUAAUAUCUUUGUUUAUCUGGCUUUUAUUUAUUUAUUUAUCUUGUUGCUUUUUUUGUUUAACAAAAAAUUAUCUUGUAGACAUUUCAUGGUUUGUUAUCUUUAUAAAACGUAUAAUUGUAUGAUUAAACAUACUUUGAACCUAGUUGAAUGAUAUUCUUACAUUUUUACUUUUUUAAUAUACACACACUUUUGCUUAUUUUCAGGUUGGAAUUCCUAGUAGUUUGGUGAAUCUUAAAGUAUCGAAGUGCCAAAAAAUAGAAGAAAUCGUAGGACAUGUUGGAGAAGAAGUGAAGGAGAAUCGUAUUGCUUUCAGCGAAUUAAAAGUUUUGAUACUUAAUUAUUUAUCAAGGCUUACCAGCUUUUGUUUGGAGAAUUACACUCUUGAAUUCCCAUCACUGGAACGAGUUUCUAUGAUACGUUGUCCAAAUAUGAAGACUUUUUCUCAGGGAAUCUUAUCCAUUCCAAAGCCAUGCAAAGUGCAAGUGACUGAAAAGGAAGAGGGUGAACUGCACCAUUGGGAAGGCAAUAACCUUAAUUCCAUUAUGCAAAAGUAUUACAAAGAAAUGGUAUGUGUUAAUCGAUUCACCCAAAUUGUUUAUGCAUCUCCCCUGCAAUUGCACAUUUAAGCAUAUACCCCGGUCUUGUAUAUAUAUUUUUAGAAGUUAAAACACAAAACAUGUAAGUUUAAUGUGUAUAUAUAUAAUGCCUUUCAAAAAAAAAAUUGUAUAUAUCCGGUGCAAUUGUUUUGGUUUGUGCAGAUUGGAUUCCGUGACAUAUGGUAUUUGCAACUCUCACAUUUUCCACGUUUGAAAGAAAUAUGGCAUGGCCAAGCACUGCCUGUCAGCUUCUUCAACAAUUUAGCACGGCUGGUGGUGGAUGACUGCACGAAUAUGUCGAGUGCUAUUCCUGCCAAUCUGCUACGAUGCUUGAACAAUUUGCGACGGCUGGAAGUGAGGAAUUGUGAUUCACUAGAAGAGGUGCUUCGUUUGGAAGAGCUAAAUGCUGACAAAGAACAUAUAGGCCCCAUGUUUCCUAAGCUUUCCAAUCUAAGGCUCAUUGAUCUUCCAAAACUCAAAAGAUUCUGCAACUUCACUGGGAAUAUAAUUGAACUGCCUGAGUUGAGAUAUCUAACUAUUGAGAAUUGCCCUGACAUGGAAACAUUCAUAUCCAAUUCUACAUCUGUAUUGCACAUGACAGCAGAUAAUAAGGAAGCUCAAAAAUUAAAAUCAGAAGAGAACCUCUUGGUAGCUAAUCAAAUACAACAUCUCUUCGAUAAAAAGGUAAUCAUUAUUAUUAUUUUUCCCUUCACUUUCAUUCGCAUAGAUGUAAUUUCAUUAGAAUCAAAUCAAAUUUAAUGACUUAUCUUUUUGCACGUCGUCUUAAUUUAUAUCUGAUUUAACAAUAUAAUUGUAGUUAUUAACUAACUUUAUAGUAUGAAUUAAAAAAAUGUCUCAAAUUAAUUAGAUGCCUAGUGACAGGAGGUGAUGAACUAUAUCGCAUAAAUUAUGCGUGUUAGAUCUUUGUUUUCCUAGCUAAUUCAUAUUGGAUUUAUGAUCAGAUUUCAUUUAUGUGUUUCAAAGGGUAAUCGAUUUGAUACUUAUAUUUGGGAUCCUACUGCAAAGCAUACUAAUUUGGAAAUAAAAUAUAAAAUGCCGUGAUUAAUCUUGUCCAUAAAAUAUGUAGGGGAAGACUGUAGAGAUUGGAUACAUAUUUUCAUUUACAACUUAAUUUUGUUGAUUUUCAGGUUGCAUUCCCUCAAUUGAUGAAGUUAAAGCUAUCUGGAUUACACAAAGUGCAGCAUCUCUGGAAGGAAAAUGCCGAAUCCAACAAAGUGUUUGCAAACUUGAAAAGUCUAGAAAUAUUUGAAUGUAGUAAGUUGCAGAAAUUAGUACCAGCUUUGUGGCAUUUGGAAAAUCUUGCGACUCUGGAAGUAUCGAAGUGUCAUGGGUUGAUAAAUUUAUUGACACUCUCAACAUCUGAAAGUCUAGUGAAUCUUGAAAGAAUGAAGAUAACUGAUUGCAAAAUGAUGGAAGAAAUUAUACAGUCGCAGGUUGGAGAAGAAGCGGAAGAUUGCAUUGUUUUCAGGAAAUUGGAGUACUUGGGAAUUGAUUGUUUGCCAAGCCUAACAAGCUUUAGUUUGGGUAAUUACGCUCUUGAGUUCCCGUCCUUGGCACACGUAGUUGUGAGACAAUGCCCAACGAUGAAGAUUUUCUCUCCAGGAGUCGUAGACGCACCAAAGCUAAACAAAGUGAAACCCACCGAAGAUGAAGAUGGUGAUGAUGAAGGAUGUUGGGAAGGCAACCUCAAUGACACUAUAAAAAAAUUGUUCAAUGAAAUGGUGAGUAUCAAUGAAGUGUUGGCACUAUCUAGUAAAUUAUUUCUAUUUAAUGUGGCAUAAUAUGAUUGCUUGACUGAAAAUAUAAAAUAAUAAUAAAUAAAUUAUGAGGGUCAUGUUAUGUUUUUGUUUAAUCAAUCAUAUUAUGUCAUAUUAGUUUGUACAAUAUUAUUUGUGCACAAGAGGCUGUGGUCGUAUCAUUACUCUUGCCUUAUUAUUAUUAUGGUUGUAAUGUAUGCUUGCUUACACGAGUAAUUACAAAAUGUGCAGAAUUCUAAAGAAAAGAUUGAGCCAACCCUUCAGGUACUGUGAAGAAGCUAUCUCGAACCAGGCCAACCUCUUGUACAUGAUUCAACUUGCUUGUUCUCCUGUACUUGAAUAAUCUAAACGCAUUUACAAUUAUUUACAGACAUGCAAGACACUUUGGAUUUGUUUGAUGCAUUCUCUGUUUAAGGAAGGACUUGAAUUGAUGUUUCAUGCUUCAUGCAAUUUUCAAUUAGAUACUGUUUAAACUUCUGCAUUAUUCAUUCAAUUGGUGUUUUAAGCAUUUGAUUUCUAACUAGUCCUAAUAGAAGAUUAUUGGCUGAAGAAAACAUCAUAACAUUUGUGGCAUUAUCAGAAUAAUAAUAGUUUUACGAGUAUAGUAAAAUUAACUCGACCAUUAUUAAAAGGAAUUAAUCCGUCAAAUUAACUUUCUCAGACCAGAACCCUUUAAGUUAAAAGAAUUUCGUGAAGUCAAGACCAUGUUAUAGAUCUUGUGGAAAUAAGUGAACCCAUAAAUGUUUUCACAGCAUCAUAAGAAAAUCAUUUUUUUAGUUGUUGAGUUUUAAAAGUAGUAGGCUAUUAAACAAUGACAAUUAGUGCGGUCGCAGUUGGGGAUCGAGUAGUUCACUUGAUUGCGAGUAGAAACCAACUUCAAUACUAUUACACUCAUUCCAAAAAUAGUAACUAAAGAAUUAUUAAGUUUCCUAUUAAGUAUUCUUUAUUUUUUAAUGCAAAAUUCCUAUUCGAAAACACCAGUGACUUUCUUUCAAAGUAAAUGAGAAAUUACAAUGAAAACGGGAUCAAAAUACAUGUAUGCAUACCUAAAACAAAUGAUUUUUUUUUUCAAUUAAAAAAAAAACAGUUGAGGUGAAAUGAAACCAGAGUCAUGAUGUCUCUGGUUCCAACUUUGGGACAAUAGCAGACUUGAGUUCUAUAUAAGAAACACGUACAGCUCCAAUCAGCCGCUCCGGUAAUUCAUCUGUAGUAUUUGCCUGCAUACACGAAGCAUUAUACCAUUCUGAAAAUGAUUCUUGAGUUACUAUUCAAGUAUGCAAAUAUGCAAAUUGCAGUACAAUAUCUCAAAAUCAUGUCUCUUCCCUCGUGUCAUUUAGAAGUGGGGGAAAAAAACAAUCAUACAUACCUGCACAAGGAAAGCCAUGUCAACCACCAAUGCCGUAAUUACACCAAUUACAAGGCCCAAAACUCCAUUAGCAACUCUAGAAGAACACGUCAACAUCAAUCUACAGAAAGAUGAACAAUGUUAAACCAUGUUAAUGGUAUUGAACAAGCUAUUUGAAAGGGAACACAUCCCAUGUACUAUAGGAAUUCGAAGAGCAUUUAUUUCUAACUACUUAGGACCGCGGAUAUAGUUACAAUCAACUGCUUUUCCUAAUAAACAAGGGGUGCUUCCAUCACUCUGGUGCAUGAUCCAUGACUAAGCCCUAUAUUUAAGUCAUAUUGAGGAAACAUAAGAAAAAAAUUCCAGAAAAAGUAUCAGCUAAGAAUUAAAAUUAAAUUCAUCAAAAUGAUCUCAAUCACUAGAUUUUUUACUGUCACAGUAUGUUUAAAAACUUGCAGAAGGCCCAAAGAGAACUUAGGACUGAACCGAGGGAAAAACAAGACGGUGUAUUUAUUUUAUUUCUGAAUGCCAACAAUUACAUUGGGAUACAGAAAUUUUAGGUAAUUUCCUCACAUAUUACAUCAGAAGAGAGGAAAGGGGAAAGAAGAACAAUAAAUGUUCUAUUCUGACCAAAGCAUAAAUGAGAUGAUUGAAUCAAGAGACUAUUACAUUGGAAGCCAGUCCAGCUGAAGCCUAUGAUAGAGAAUAGCCGUAUGACCAUCUACCUCUUCAACUAAGCUGCGAUACAGAAGACUACAAUCCCACCUGCACAAAACAUGAAAAACGGUGUACGUGCGGCAAGAACUUUGAGAAAGGUACAUAAAAAAGAUCUGAUGGCCAAGAAAUACAACAAUUGUACAACCAAAAGAGGUAGAAAUCCAUGUCUAGUACACUGCCCUCUUCAAGACCUCUAAAUACUGAGUCAAAUUGAUAGGAAUUUCAUGGAAAUAACUAUUCGACAAAUGAUCAGCCUUGCUGGCCUUUAUAAGCCAACGCACAGAGAUUAUGGAACAAUGCAAUGGUGCAAACCAAGAAUUAUUAGGGUACAGACAGUAAAAUUAAAUAGAAUAAUUUGAACACAUUACUAGCAAACCUUGCCAAGAGACUUGUUAAAAUCUAAUUCGCAAACCAGCUAGAUUUGCUAGGAAACAGGUAAUUUCAGGCAGCACGCCUUCUCCUGUUUUAGAACACUCUUUUAUGUAAUAGUGACUUCAAAAGUGUAACAUGUUUCGAAAAAAAAAAAAAAAGAGGAAAGAACGUAUUUGACACUUCAUGAAAUGGCUAAGAUACAAGCUUUAAUCUAGUACAACAAAUUAAUAUAACUAACUUCAACCAUCAAUUGAUCUAUAGUUCAGCAACAAAAAAUAUAGAUAGCUACAUCUAUUUUGUCUUCAUCAAAUACCAUUAGCUAAGUGGAGAAAAGUUAUAAAAAUGAGUCCUAGUCUUUCUUUAUUAAUGAAGCAAUCCAUCAAACUUCAAAAGCUAUUUUCAUUUCCACAUUCUUCAUAUACUUAAGCAACAAAAGUUUGUAAUAAUCUUUAGAAAGCACCAUGCAGAUUAAUUAAAUAUAUUCAAAAAGGCACAUACAGAAUCGGGACUGGAGACAAUGUGAAUUUCACAGCAUACAAGAGGAAAUAUAAUACUCAGCUUACACAGACAGCCAAUAUAGUCUUGAUUAUGUUAAAGUAACUAAAAAUAAAAAAUAGAAAAGAAGCAUACUCGUAUCGUGUCCCAUCCAUGCUCAUUACAAGUUCAAAUAUUUCUUCACAGCUGGCCUUCAUAACACCAACAGCCUUCAUUGCUCUACUACAGCUUCUCGGCAGCAUUAAGUAAACUUUAGAUGAUGGUUCUGACCUAAACAAAAUCACAUCCUGAGCAUAGAGUAAAGAAAGUGGCAUACAUGGUAAUCAACUUCAAGAAGCUCUUCAGAAAUACAUAAUUCUGUUGGGGAGAAAAGAAAAAAGAAAGAAUACAAAUAAAAAGAAGUCACAAACAAUUCAUUUCCUGCACUACACAUCAGCAGCAGUUUUUCGGGAACACAAAAAUGUUAUAAUAACUUUUCUUGAUUGCCACCCACAUGCUAAACUGAUCAAAUACAAAACAGGAUACAGAAAAUCUCUAACCUUUUUGGCACUGAAGAAGACGCCAGUGCUUUCAAAAGAAAAUGCUUGAUUGUUGGCAUUCUGGUUUGAAAAAUAUGAGUCCAAUUCCUGUGUCCAGUCAUGUACCAAAUCAGGACGACCUGCCAGUCAUACAAAGAUGACAAAAAUACACUAUAAAUUGCGUCAAACCAAUUCAAGUCAAUUGGAGAAGUAAAUCAAGGACCAUUUGCAAUAGUUGUUCUCCACAUCAAAUUUGGGUGUCCAUCGUCUUCAUCCUCUUGUGCACUGAACCUGAGAGUCCACGAGAAAUACAUAUAAAAAUUAGCCAUGAUUGAAAUUGAUAGUAGUACAAAAUGGAUAUAAACAUCACGAUGAACAAAUUAAAUUGUUCCAUGUCAGACAAAUCCAGCCUGCAAGCUUAAGCUCUUAAGCUAGACCAAAUCACACUGCAAAUAACAAUACAUAAGGCCAAAAAAAGAUAAUAUGUAUCAUUCAUAUGCUUCGCCCUAUAGAAAUGAUUUGAGUCUACAUAAGAAAAUUUUUUGAGCUUCCCGAUCCACGAAUAAUAAUAAAUCUCCUUAAAAUAAUCUUUUGUAAAUAAUUUUAUUUUUCUUGACACAUGACAAGCACCUUCAUAUAGAGAAGAAAGGAGAAUCUCAAAUUCCACCCGCUCUCAGAACACCACAUCAAAGCUUCGUAUCAGUGAACAUGGAAGAAGAAUAAAAGAAGUAGCUCAAAUCCUGUAAAAAAGAACCUUGGACUUCGACUCUUGUCAAACAGUUGACUCCGACUGAAUAUAGGAAGAGUAAUUGAGCAAGCAUAGAUCGGCCAAGCUUAAGCAAGCGCAUAGAUCGGCCAAAUUUGAGCAAAGCCGAGAGAGAGAGAUGAUUGUGGUCAAUUUACAGCCGCAGUUGAUCGUUGCCGACUCGUGCCGCCGUUGAUGGCCGUGGAACAAGAAGAGAGGUGAGGUGAGGCGAGGGAGUGGUAAGGCGCGUGACGCGAGGGCGUGGGAGUGGGAGUGGGAGUGGGAGUGGGAGUGGUGGUUUUUGUGCAUGUAUCAGAUGCACGCAUGUAUUAUAGCAGAGUUGAGUUCAAUACGAAAAACACGUACAGCACCAAUCAGCCACUUCGAUAAUUCAUCUGUAGUUGUGAGAUGAUGAAUCAAGUUUGGUUCCCAGAAACGGCUGCGUUUUGAAGCCGUAAAAGCUUCAUUAGCUCACGUGCUGUUCAGCUGAUUCUUAACAAAAAAACGAUUUAGUGGAAACGACAUGGAUGGAGCACGUUUUACAUAUCAAUUUAAGUAACCACGUGAGGAAGCAUGUGAUGAAGGUUGUUCCGAGUUCGUUGAAGGUUGUUAAGCACGUGUCAAAACAAAGUGUUCAUGCUGGAAAGAAACAAAAUAUUAAUAAAUAAACCCUUAAAAAGAUUCUCUGAAAAUUAUGUUUAACUAGAACAAUUAUCUAGCAGUUUGAUAUAUUAAAUGAGCCUGUUAAUUAUUUCACUUACUAUCUUAUAAAUCCUCUCAAAAUUACACCGCUGCUCUGACCCCAAGUUCCAUUAUCAAUUAUAUCAUUCCCUAUCUUAUAGUAAAGGUAAAAGAAAAGAAAAGGUAUAUUGCAUUAGAGUUCGUGUACUUCUACCUUUUAGUUUAUUCUUCAUUUUAUUAAAAUGACAGAUUCCUCAUUAAAAAAGGUCACUCUACAUAGUAUGUGGGUGUAUGUUCUUUUAAAAAGGACUGAGAGAAAAUACAGUAGCACGUAAAAAUGUGCACCCAGCAGCAGAACCAUAUUAAUCCACAACAGCGCAAAAUAAAUGUGAAAAACAAGUAACAUCUGAAGAAGACAGUGAUGCCGAAACAUUGACGACCAAUAUAGUGUCUUGAUUUGGUUAAUUAAAUAUAUUUUUGUUAUCAUCCACCUGUUUGCUUUAAAUAAUUUUCAAUAUUUUUUCGUAUGCCUGAAAUUCCAAGGAAAAAUAUUUGUAUAAGGACAAGAGUUAAGGGGGACAAAAAUGGAAAAAAUAGGGCUCCUUUGUUUUCAUUCCCCUGUUUCUCCGUUUGGUAAUUGCAAAAAUUUAAAUCUAAACUUAUGAUGCAGGCUACAAGGUAGCUGGUGGACGAUUAAUAGGGUCUAUCUUUUGUUGUUAAUUAGGAAUUUAAUUUGGAAUUUGUAGUGUGCGCCUUAUCUAAGCAGACUUCCUAACAGUAAUUAAAUAAUCUAAAUUUAUGAUGCAUUAGGAUAUGAUUGUGAUAAAUUAGCUUUUUUCUCUGUAUUCUAUGAGGCUGAUUAUUAUUUUAAUUUAAGCCACACCUUUAAAUUCAGUUUUCGCAAAACUGACAGGUAGCUUGGGUGUAAAUGAAUAUACAUUAAUGAAGAACGGACAUGUGGAGUACCGAUAUACUAGCAUAAGUAAUGUUUAAUUUUAAUGUAUAAAACAAUGGUGCAUUUAGAAGGUACUACUGUAGAAAUAAAAUUUGUGCUUGCAACUCAUUUUUUAAUUCCCCUUUUUAAUAAUAAUCAAAAGAAAGCAGAGGAGAAACAGGGGAUUUUCCAGUUUUUUAUUCGGUGAUUUUUAACUUUAUCAUGGAAUUGUCAAUUUUUAGUUGAAACUUAUCUAAAUCGUCCUCUCUAUAUAAGCGAAUACAAUAAUUUUGUGAAAGAUAUAUGCAAAAACAAUACUAAUAAGUAUAUUUAUUUAUCUAAGACGUAGAGCUCUAAUGCUCAGAUAUGGAUAGUCCCAUUUUUUGUUAGAGGCAUCUCUUUCCAUGCAUUGAAUUAUUGCAAGCAAAUCGCUUCUCGCAAUUACAAACCUACCCUCAUCAUUGUCUCUCACGUAUCCAGCACCACAGUUACCCAUUCCUCUCCUCACCAAGGCACACAGAUUACAGGACAAUGCAGCGAUGCCAACCAAGAAUGCUUAGGGUAAAGACGGAAACAUAAAACAGAAUAAUAAAAAAAAAUCUAUUCCGUAAACAUAAUAAUUAAACAGAAAGUGGUACGUUCAGACAAAACACCUGCUCCUGUUUUAGAAAAGAGCUCCUCCGUUUUUAUUUCUCUGUUUUACUGUUUGGUGAUUGCAAAAAUUUUUGUCUAAAUAAUGCAUAGUAGAGUCAAGAAUAAAUUUAUGUUAAAACAAAGAAACAUCAAAGAUCCCCUGAUAUUAUUAUCCAGAACAAUAUGUUUAUUGGGCCGAAAUGGGCUAACAUACAUGGGUUCAAGCUUGCAAAAUCCACAUUUAUGUAUAAUUAUAUAGUAAUUAAAUACUGAACUUGAACUCAUACAACUCUUCAAUCAUUUGGAUUUCGAAUCUGUGUUAAUUGAACUAAAUACUGUCAGGCAUUCGAGUAAACACAUAAAGAAUUCAUGAUUUAAUGUCGUUCUGAAUUUUGACUUCAUAAUAUUCCAGCUACCGUUGCAGUUUCUAUUAUUGUGUGAUAAAUAUGAAUGAUGUCUUAGUAUAAAGACAUGUCUCAUUAAUUAUACCUUAUAGAAGAGAUAUCUUUUUAUACUAAAACUAUAUAGUGAAAAGGGGUCCGCCUAAGUUACGUUAAACGUAACUUACGGCCUGGCUGUAAAACUUCAUCCAGCCCCCUAUAUUCGAUAUUAUUUAUAUUAUAUUUGUGAAUAUUAUAAAAAUUUUUGAUUUGAAAAAUUUCGUUUAACCCCUUACACUCAAUUUUAUUUUAUUAAAAUCCUAGAGUACGAAUUUGCCUCCUAUAAUUUUAAAUUCUCAAAAUAACCUCAUUUAAUUAAAAAAUAUAAUUAUUAUUAAUUGAAUUAUAAUUAUAACUAUUAUUUUAUUAUAAUUAUAAAUAUAUUUAUAUUUUUUAAAUAGAUUAUUGUUAUUAUUAAUAACAAGAAUAAAAAGUAUUACAAUUAAUUAAUCUAUUAACAAUAAUUAAUAAUUUUUUAUUAAAUUGUUAAUAAUAAUUAAUGAUAAUUAUUAUUAAUAAUUAAGUUUUGAAUAAUAAUAAUAAUUAACAAUUAUCAUUAAUAGAUUGUGACUGACUCUGAACAAGUUGUCCGAUAUUUUAUAUCAUAUUGUAUGCAUUCACUUCUGGCUACAAAAAAAAUUAAAGAAAUAGCUUUCUCUUUAACCAAACAAGAGAUUUAACAAAAUCAUAAACACACGUUUCUCAAAACUAACAAGGACUUGGACAAUUAUGGCACUAAGUAGUACUGCAAUUAAUAUCAGUGAUGAGAGUAUGUUGCUACUUUGCUAGCUAAGCCUAGGUGGGCAUUGGCAUUCCUAGGACUCUGAACAAUUAUCGUUAAUUUUUAAAAAUCAAUUAUUAAUAAUAAUUAUCGUUAAUUACUACUAUUAUUAAUUUAAUAAAAACUAUUAUUAAUUAUUGUUAAUAGAUUAAUUAAUUGUAAUACUUUUUAUUCUUGUUAUUAAUAAUAAUAAUCUAUUUAAAAAAUAUAAAUAUAUUUAUUAUUAUAAUAAAAUAAUAAUUAUAAUUAUAAUUCAAUUAAUAAUAAUUAAAAUUUUAAUUAAAUGAGAUUAUUUUGAGAAUUUAAAAUUAUAGGGGGCGAAUUCGUACUCUAGGGUUUUAAUAAAAUAAAACUAAGUGUAAGGGGUUAAAUGAAAUUUUCUAAAUAAAAAAGUUUUAUAAUAUUCAUGAAUAUAAUAUAAAUAACAUUGAAUAUAGGGGGCUGGAUGAAAUUUUAAAGCCAGGCCGUAAGUUACGUUUAACGUAACUUAGGCGGACCCAGUGAAAAGAUAUCUCUUCUAUCAGGUACAAUUAAGUAUGGUUGCUUGCAAAGAAAUGUAAAUAUAAGUCAUAAAACAAAGUCUCUAUUAUUUGAAGUACAAUUUCAUUCACAUGUUGCACAUGAGACUUGAGCAACCACGAUGUGCAGAAGACACUUUACAAUGAUUUUGCUUGUUUUUUUCCUAAUCAUUUCUGUAAUUGAUUUUGUUAGAAAAUGUUAGUAAUGAUUAAAUUACUUUAAAAAACACACUCACACAUCUUAACUGUAAAGGUUCAGAAAAUAUAUCGAUAAAGGUCAGAAGUAUCUAAUAAAAGUUGGCCAUAAACUUCAAUAUCCAAAAUUGCUUUAAUAAAGUAGCUGCAGUAAACAAAAGUCAGUAACCAUAGGCGACAAUAAAUCACAAUCAGCAACUAGGUCUCCAAAUCAAAAUAUAAUGGAUUUGGUUAAGUCUUCUUUCGAAAAGCUCUCUCUCCUUUAGAGAGGCUUGAAUGGAAGUAUUGAGGGGUCGUAAGGACUCAUGUGUUCACUCCCUGUGAGUGGAAGGUAAUCCAAAAAAAGUCAGCUUUUGGGGUUGGUGAGCUGGUUGAGAAAGCUUCGAAAGCAAAGUUCGUGUAGAGCGUUGGGGCACGAUUUAAAGCUAGUGAGCCUAAAUAACUUACUACCUAUCCAAGCAUUAACUACCAUGGAUACUGAAGAGCUAAUUCGUAAGUGUCAAGCAAUAACUAUCACAGAGGAAGACAAAGCCAAAAUAACGCUGGAGGUGAAUUUGGAAAAAAAGAAAGAACAAAUGAUGGCAGGAUGCUUAGUGGGCAAAGUACUUCUCACAAAGGGAGUAAAAAAAGAUGGACUUAAGGUUGCGUUACAGCAGGUGUGGAGGACUUUCAAAGAAGUCAAGAUCGAAAGCGUGGGAAACAACAUCUUCAUGUUCAAAUUUGCUGAAGAAGCAGACAAAAAACGAGUUCUCAAAGGGGGACUAUGGCACUUCGACAGGGCCUUGAUUGUUCUCGCUGAGCCAAGGGGGAUUGGGGAAGUCGCAAAACAAUCUUUUAUUCACACAUCCUUUUGGGUGCAUAUUCGUAAUAUCCCACUGGCGUGUAUGGAUAAAGAUUUUCUCCGAGACUUGGGCGGGAAGAUUGGAUCAGUAUAGGAGGUUCAAACGGAUGAUAAUGGAGACUGUAUUGGGGAAUUUUCCAGAAUAAGAGUCUCAAUUAACAUAACACAGCUGCUAGAGAAGAUUUUAUUUCUAAAGCAAGAAGGUGAAACUGAUAUCCCAAUGCCGGUGGUAUAUGAACGCUUGCCAGAUUUCUUUUAUUGCUGCGGAAUUAUUAGACAUCAAUACAAAGAGUGUGGCAAGUACCAAGACCAACCAAGAGAAGAUCUACCAUUUAGGAGUUGGAUGAAAGUGAUUACGGUAGGGGGUUUUACAAAGAGGAAUUGGAACAAGGAAAGGUGGAACUAUGGGGCUGGUAAAUCGGAUGAAAAAUCAACAAGCUCAGGAACUCACAACUUCCCGCAACAGCAAGGGCAAAACCAAGAAAACUCGAUAGGGGCAAACGGGUCAGUACCCAUUGAGAAAGAAAUGGGGCAAACCAUGAAGCAUGCCAAGAAGGAUGUUAUAGGAGGAGUAGCUGAGCAACAAUUAAUGCGAAGAGUGAUACAAUCAGCGGAAAAAAAGUAAAAUGAUGGCAACAAGCAAGCUGGGGAAACUGGCAAUGCAACAACCCCAAGGAAAAUGGGCACACAAGCGGGAAAUGGCAUUCCAAAAGAGAGGGAAAAAAUGCAGAUAAGUCAUGAAGAGGAAGCUGAAAUAAACAAUGGGCCGGAAGUAUCUCAACUACAGCCCAAUAAAAGGAAAUUGAAGUAAUUAACUAGAGAUCUAAGCGAGGGGGGGGGGGGAAAUUAAGUUACGAGUUCAAAAAAGGCCUAGGGGGAAAAAAUUUGGGCAAAGCCCAAGGAAAAAAACAAAGCUCUCUAGCCCCAAUAAGCUUGAGACUAAAAACCUGGAGCAUGUCUCUCCAACAGCAACGCUUCAGCUGGGUUAGGAACUGUUGGUACUGGAAGAAGUGGUAGUCAUGGAAGCAAACAAUAUGGAGAUAUCGGCGGAGGCUGGUGGUCAGCCCCCCCGGAAGCUAUGAAUAUUCUCAGUUGGAAUGUUCGGGGUCUGGGGAAUCCCCGAGCAUUUCAAGCCUUAAGAAAAAUCCUCCAAUUGCAUGGUGCUCAGCUAGUGUUUUUGUGUGAAACAAAGGUAUCAACCAUGCAAAUGAAUGUGAUUGCAAAUAAGCUGAGUUUUGAGAAUUGCCUCGCGGUGAACUGUAAAGGAAGAUGAGGCGGAAUAGCAAUGCUCUGGAAGUCAGAUAUUGGUGCAAAUCAAUUCAUACAGUCAGCACCACAUUGAUGCCGAAACUCAAAUGCCAAAUGGAAAUCGAAUGCGAGUUACAGGAGUGUACGGACAUCCGGAAACAAGACAGAAAAAACACACUUGGAUGCUCCUCAGGCGGCUGGCAGUUUUAUCUUCUAGCCCUUGGUUGUGUUGUAGAGACUUUAAUGAAAUUUUACAUCCAGAUGAGAAGAGUGGCGGCAAUGACAGGAAUGUGAAUUUAAUUAAUGAUUUCAGAGAAGUUUUGAGAGAUUGUGGCUUAAAGGAUGUUGGGUAUCGGGGGUACGCUUUUACUUGGAAUAAUGGAAGAUAUGGGUAGGGAUUCGUGGAAGAAAGGUUGGAUAGAUUUGUUUGCAAUAAAGCUUGGAGUGAUAGAUUUGUGGAUUAUGCAGCAAGCAACCUUGACACAUGGACUUCGGAUCAUUGUCCCAUGCUGAUGGCUGUUUAGGAGAGAAGUGGGGGCAUGAACCAAAGGGGUAGACAUUCCUCACGAAUCCAUUAUGAGGAUAUGUGGAGCUCGUAUGACUUGUACAAAGAGAUAAUCAAGGAGGAAUAUAAUUUGUAUAGAAAUUAGAAUAGUGAAAAUCCAGCCCAAUCCUUUCGAAAAGCAACAAAAGAUUCGAUGGGUAGGCUGUUGGGGAGGAGCAAGUUGGUGAGGAAAUUCGGAAGGUGGAGAAGCAAAUCCAAAAUAUCCUCAUGGAUGAAGAAAUCUACUGGAAGCAGCGCUCAAGAGCAGAUUGGCUCAAGGAGGGGGACAAAAACACAAAAUUCUUUCACGGCAAGGCAUCGACUAGAAGGAAAAAAAAAAACAAAAUUUUGGGGAUUGAAGAUAAUUUCGGGAGAUGGAUUGAAAAGCCAAAAGAAGUGGAGCAUGAGUUUUGCAAUUAUUUCACCAACCUUUUUACAUCAACCCAGCCGAGACAGGAUCAAAUUGCAGCAGCCUUGAAAGGAAUAACUCCGAGAGUUUCAGCCAGCAUGAAUGAGAGUUUGGAGGAACCGUUUACAGCCGAGGAAGUCUUGGAAGCUUUGAGUCAAAUAAAGGCUUCGGGGCCGGAUGGUUUUCCAGCAGUGUUUUACCAAAAGCAUUGGCAUACGGUUAAGGAGGGAGUGCUCACCACUUGUCUGCAUAUCGUCAAUUCACAAGGUACCAUAGGCCCUCUAAAUCACACUUACAUUGCUUUGAUACCAAAAAUCGGGAAGCCUAGGAAAGUGACAAACUUUAGGCCUAUUAGUUUGUGCAAUGUUAUCUAUAGAAUUGUAGGUAAGUCAGUUGCUAAUAUAUUUAAGCAAAUUCUGCACAAAAUCAUCUCUCUAUCGCAAAGUGCCUUCAUCCCCAAUAGGUUGAUCACUGACAACAUCAUAGUUGGCUACGAAUGUUUGCACAAGAUAAGGCAUUGUAAAGGAAAGCGAAAUGGAUUAAUUGCAUUAAAGCUUUAUAUUAGUAAAGCUUAUGAUAGAUUGUAAUGGAACUUCCUAGAGCAAACUUUAAAACAACUAGGCUUCUCGCAUCAAUGGAUUAGCUUGAUCAUGGGGUGCAUUAGUUCAGUUUCCUUCUAUGUGUUAAUAAAUGGCUCAGUGAAAGGCUUAAUUAAACACCAAAGGGGCAUAAGACAAGGUUGCCCCCUCUCUUCGUAUUUGUUUAUUACAUGUGCAGAGGCUUUUUCUUCCUUGCUGUAGCAGGCUGAGCAACAACGGCUUAUUCAUAGGCUAUCAUUUGGAAACGAUUUGAAGAUUUCGCACCUUCUAUUUGCUGAUGACAGCCUUAUCUUCAGCAGAGCUUCCAUGGCUGACUGUCGAAAUCUGAAGAUGAUCCUUGAGUGCUACUCCACAACUUUCGGUCAAAUAUUUAAUUUCGAGAAAUCUUCUCUUUUUCUUAGUGGCAAUGUACAACAAGAUCAAGCUGAGGCAAUUGGGAAUCUCUUUUAGCUCAAUAUUGUGUAAAGACAUAAAAAAUAUUUAGGCUUGCCGUCUAUGAUCGGGAGAAAGAGAAGCAGCUUCUUCAAUGACAUCAAGCUGAAGGUUUUCAACAAGAUCUCAAGCUGGCAGCAUAAAUUUUUUUCUUGUGGAGGGAAAGAAGUCUUAAUCAAAGCUGUUGUGCAAGUCAUCUCAGCCUACGCAAUGAGCGUUUUUAAAAUUCCGAUGGGAGUUUGUGAUGAUAUUUAAAAAAUGGUGGCAAAGUUCUAGUGGGGCUCCAAGAGGGAAGGGAGGAAUAUUCAUUGGGCGAAGUGUGAAAAGAUGAGUCAAGCUAAGUGUAAUGGAGGGAUGGGAUUUCGUGAUUUUUCAAGCUUCAACAGAUCCCUUCUAGCAAAGCAAGGCUGGAGGAUUCAGCAAUGUCCAAACUCGUUGGUGGCUAGGGUCUUGAAAGCCAAGUAUUUCUAGUCAAAAAAUUUCUUGGAUGCAAAGCUCAACUCAAACCCUUCAUAUAUUUGGAGAAGCAUUCUUUGGCGAAGGAAAAUUAUUUGCUCGGGCUCUAGGUGGAGAGUUGGCAAUGGUCAGAAAAUUCAUAUUCAUAAGGCUAACUAGAUUCCACAACCUUCAACAUUCCAGCCAAUGGUUAAGCCAACUUUUCCUUCGAAUGCUAUGGUCUCUGAAUUAAUCAAUGAGGCAAACUACUGGGAUGAGAAGAGGAUUUAUGAGCACUUCGAAAAAAUGGAUGCUGAUUUAAUUACUAAGAUUCCUCUGCCUAGAAGACCAAGGAAGGAUGAGCUAAUUUGGCAUUAUGGAAAAAAUGGCCAGUUCUAGGUUAAAAGUGGGUACCAGACAACUCUCCAAAUAAAGUUUCUAGCCAUGCCUUCAAGCUCAGUGGCUUCAAAAAAUGAAUGGAAUAUUAUUUAGUCUCUUGCUUUGCCUCAAAAGAUCAGAAUUUUUGCAUGGAGGGCAGCCAAAAACCUACUCCCCUCAGCUGAGAAUUUGUGGAAGAAAAAGAUAAUCCAGGAACCUACUUGCCAAGUGUGUAAAAUGGGAAUGGAAAAUGUAUUUCAUGCUCUAGUGGCCUGCAAAUCGGCUAAGAAAGUAUGGAGGCUAAUCUAUUUUGAAGAUGAUAUUAAUGCUGCUCACAGUCAAGAUAUCUUCAGUUUGCCGCAUGCUAUGAAAAGAAUGAGAAGCAAAGUUGACCUGGAGCUGUUGGUAACGAUUUUUUGGGUUAAAUGGAAUGCUCGGAAUCAGUUGCUAUUCAAAGGAAAAAUGGAGACCCCCCAUGUAACACCCUAGGCGAAUCCCAUAUCGGCAAAGCACAGGAGAGAUGCUGGGUUUAUAAGAAGUGAUCCACACCUUAAUUGGCAAGACGCGUUUUGGGGUCUAUGGGCGCCCCAAGAACAAAUCCGUGCAGGCCUUGUUAAGGCCCAAAGCGGACAAUAUCUUGCCAGGUCAUGACCCAACCCAGACCUGGCAAGAUAUUGUCCGCUUUGGGCCUUAACAAGGCCCGCACGGAUUUGUUCUUGGCGUGCCCAUACACCCCAAAACGCGUCUCAUGCUCCUUCUUACUCUUAGAGUAAAUUAAUAUGUCAUCAAUAAAGACAAUGACAAACUGGUCAAGAUAAGGUUGGAAGAUCCUAUUCAUCAAAUCCAUGAACGCUGCAGGAGCAUUAGUUAAUCCAAAAGGCAUAACUAAGAACUCAUAGUGUCCAUAACGAGUUCAAAAAGCUGUCUUCGAUACAUCCUCACUUCUUAUUUUCAAUUGAUGGUAGCCAGAUCGUAAAUCAAUUUUAGAGAAUACCGCUGCACCUCGUAAUUGGUCAAAGAGGUCAUCAAUUCGAGGAAGAGGGUAUUUAUUCUUGACAGUAACCAUAUUCAACUGCCGGUAGUCAAUACACAACCUCAUUGAACCAUCUUUCUUCUUUACGAACAAAACGGGAGCACCCCAAGGCGACACACUAGGACGGAUGAAACCCUUAUCUAGUAACUCUUGUAGCUGGACCUUUAGUUCUUUUAAUUCAAUGGGUGCCAUCCGAUAUGGCGCCUUGGAUGUAAGUGUAGUACUAGGAACUAACUCUAUAGUAAACUCAACCUCUCUAUCUGGGGGUAGACCAGGAAGAUCCUCAGGAAAUACAUCAAUAAACUCCCUUACAAUAGGUAUGUCUUCAAGGCACGCCCCAUCAGGAUGGUCAGCAAUUAUAUACGCUAAAAAUCCUUCACACCCCUUCUUUAGCAUUUUCACUGCCGUCACCAUAGAAAUCAAAGCUUUAUAACUCUUAUGAUUCCCUUGAAAAUGAAAUUCUUCCUCGCCAGGUAGGCGAAAAAUAAUUUCCUUAGCAAAACAAUCUAUUGAAACAUGGUAAGGUCCUAACCAAUCCAUCCUCAAAAUCAAAUCAAAAUCAUGCAUCUCUAAUGGUAGGAGAUCCACAAGGAAUUCUCUAUCACACAAUCUGAUCACACAUGACUUAUAGACAUGAUCUAUUAACUGGCAAUCCCCCAUAGGGGUACUAAUUGUCACGUGAACACCGAGUGGCGUGAUAGGCACAUCAGCAUAACGGGCAAACACACAAGAUACAAAUGAAUGUGUAGCACCAGGAUAAAAAGGAACUUUGGCUUCUCUAGAGAAUAAGGACAAUGUACCUGAUACUACAUCAUUGGACACCUCAGCAUCUUUCUCCGUUAGCGCAAAAACACGCCCUUGCACCUUCGGUUUCUUCCUCUGCCCUUCGUUAGUCGGAGUAUUUGUAGUCUCGCCACGUCUCUUUGGGCAAUCCAUAAUCCUAUGCCCAGAUUCUCCACAAGCAAAACAAGCUCCAGUUUUCCAAUGGCAUUCACCAGGGUGCCUCCUUUCACAAUGUCGACAAAUGGGGUAAUUUCUCCGAGCAGUGUCACUAGUAACACCCUUGUUAUCCCAUUUGUUACCUCCACCAUUAUACUUCUGGGAGUGAGUGCCUUGCCUAUAGGAACUUCCAUUUCGCGGUCCACCUUGUUGAUUCUUCUUAUUUCUCUGAUACCAUAAUGUCAUGACCCAACCCAGACCUGGCAAGAUAUUGUCCGCUUUGGGCCUUAACAAGGCCCGCACGGAUUUGUUCUUGGGGUGCCCAUACACCCCAAAACGCGUCUUGCCAAUUAAGGUGUGGAUCACUUCUUAUAAACCCAGCAUCUCUCCCGUGCUUUGCCGAUGUGGGAUUCGCCCAAGAACAAAUUCGUGCGGGCCUUGUUAAGGCCCAAAGCGAACAAUAUCUUGCCAGGUCUGGGUUGGGUCAUGACAUUAUGGUAUCAGAGCGGCUCCGCGUGUCCUCUUGAGCGAUGGUGGGGCAAACCUCAGCGAGGACGCUGAGUCCCCAAGGGGGGGUGUAUGUAACACCCUAGGCGAAUCCCACAUCGGCAAAGCACGAGAGAGAUGCUGGGUUUAUAAGAAGUGAUCCACACCUUAAUUGGCAAGACGCAUUUUGGGGUGUAUGGGCACCCCAAGAACAAAUCCGUGCGGGCCUUGUUAAGGCCCAAAGCGGACAAUAUCUUGCCAGGUCUGGGUUGGGUCAUGACACCCCAUAUUAUGGUAGCUAAAGUUGAAGCUAUGAUUGCAGCUUAUAAGAGGGUGCAUUCUUCAGUUGAGGCUUCCAGUGAAACAGAGCAGAGGGUACCUCUUCAGACAUGGAAUCCCCCUCAAGAUGGUUUUGUAAAAGUCAACAUUGAUGCAGCUAUCAACUUCAAAAAGAACCUUGUAGGGCUGGGGGCAGUGAUUAGAGAUGAUUCGGGGCAUGUUACAGCAGCUGCAAUCAAGAUUUCCAAGUUUCAUGGAGAUGUUUCUUAUGCUGAGGCAGCAGCUAUGGAAUGGGGUAUGUUGGUGGAGAGAGAAGCUAAAGUGAAAGUUGUAAUCGUGGAAUCAGAUUCUCAAGGUGUGGUCAGUUUAGUUAACAACAAGCAGGGCUGCAGAUCUGAGAUCUAUUGGGUUGUUUCGGAAAUUCAGAAGUUAGCGGAAAACUUCGAGUGUGUUAGUAUUAAGUAUACAGCCUAGAUCUUGUAAUGUUAUUGCCCAGUCUUUAGCUAAGUUAGCUCUAGAAAAACGCGAGACUGUUGUGUGGAGGGUUCAUACCCUUCACAAGUGAUGUAUUUCCUUUCAUCGUUGUUUUAAUUGAAAUCUAUUUUCAAAAAAAAAAAAUCACAAUCAGCAACUACAAUGAUCCAAAACCAACAUAGAAAGACCUAGAAAUAGUAAAAAAUAUUGCAAUAUAUUAAAGAAGAUUAAUUCAUCAGAGUGCCCACAACAUAUAAAUGGAUCUAAAGAAUAGAUUAUAUAAUAGCUUGUUUCUUAUGAAUGAUACAUGGGAUUCCACAGAUAAAAAGAAAAUAAGAAUCAAGUACGUGAAUUAAAAAAAUACCUAACCAAUAGGGGUUAGUGAGAUAUUUUAGCUAAAUAUCAGUUGACAGAAUCUGACCCACAAUAAAAAUUGCUAUCUUAUCACAAUGGGAAUCUGAAUUAUAAAAUUACUGAACAAAACUUUUAACACCUACAAGUCCAAAUAAUAUCAAAUAAAAUGCCUAACCAGCUAUUAAAUAUAAAAUGUCCUUGUAGGACUAAAACCUUGUGGCCAAUCCUUCAAAGUUCCAAGCAACAAUAUGAUAAAAACAUAAUGCAUAAUAUAUAAGGAGCUUAUCUGUAAAACUUCCAUACAGUACUUAUCAUAUUAAACAAUGUACCUAAUGAAAUAUUGGCUUAUUUCUACAGAAUAUUACAAUAUAAGUACACCAAUUUCUCAAGCAAUGCCAUAUAGAAAGAUACCGAAGAAAAAAGGAAAAUAAAAAAUCGAAGCAUGUUAGUUAUGAUUUCAACUUUUGAACUCAAAGUCUGUGACAAAUUUUGCUUCGGGAAAUACUAACAAACACUUGAGAAAAACUAAAGUGUAUCACACUUGAACCGUAUAUAAAGCACAAGAAUAAAAACAACAAUGGGCAAAAAGAGGCUAGAUGUAUCAUCUUCAUUAGUUAAACAACAUAAAUAGAAUCAAAAUAUUAAUGCAUACACCAAAACCUUCAAAAUUCUCUAAACAUUCAAUUUUUUUCAGAUUAAGAAAAUAAAUUUAUAAGAAAAUCGAGAACGCGUAUUUGUUGCGGUAUUUUAUCAAGCAAUUGGCAUGCAGCAAUGUAAAUGACAAUUAAAACAUGUAAAUCUCUGUACAUUGAAAGCUCACCUUCGUUAUUCAUCCAAAGAGAGAUAUAUAGGGCAUGUAAGCUCCUUCUUUGAUAUUUAUAUAUUUUGUCAUAAAAGAUUAUAUAUUGUCCGAAAAGAGCUAACUUUGGACAGGCUUUUUAUGCCAAAAAAAAAAAAAAAAUUCUUUUGUGACUAUUAUAAAGUUCGUCAAAAAGAAAUUGAAACAGGGACCAAGUAAUGUCUCAAAAAGAAAAAAAAAUGGUUAUCAAAUAUAAAAUUAUUCAAGACAAAACAUUCAAUGACUAUUGUUUAAUUUUGUCACUGUAGGUAAUUAUAUAUGAUAAAAAAAAAUGGUCUUAAAAUUAGCCAAAAGAACAAUAAUUUUGGCUACUAAUAUUUUGUGUCAUAGAUUGUGUAGUCAAUUUUACACCCCUCUUUUAGUUACCAAAUAAUUUGGUCGCCUAUAAUUAUAUUUCGUGACUAUUUAUUUUGUCAUAAAUAGUGAAAUAUUGUCUCAAAAUAAUCACUUUUGGAGGGAAGAUUUUGCGCCAAAAAAAUAUCUUUUGGUGACUAAAAUAAUUUUUGUCAUAAAAAAAAUUAAUUAAUGACCAAUGAACAAGUCUCAAAAUAAAAAUAAUUGGUUACAAAAAACAAUAUAAGUUAGGACAAGACUAUUAGCUACGAUUUUAAAAAUUUGUCACAAUAAAUACCAUUUUGUGACCAAAUUUAAAGUUGUAAAAAAUAUCAUCUUAAAAAAUCAAAUUUCUUAUAGUGGCCGAGGCCUAUGAUAGAGCAUAGCUCUAUGCCCAUUUACCUCUUCAACUGCCAUAGAGAACUAGAAUCCCACUUGCACCCAAAACAUAAAAACAAUGUACACUUGGCAUGAACUCUGAGAAAGCUACGUAAAAAUGAUUUGAUGGCCAAGGAUUACAACAAUUGUACAACCAAAAGAGGUAGAAAUCCAUGUCUAGUAUAGUGCCCUCGUUAACACCUCUAAAUACUGAGUCAAAUCAAUAGGAAUUUCAUUGUGGGAAAAAAAAAACUAUGCUACGAAUGGUCAGCCUUGCUAGCCUUUAUAAGCAACGCACACAGAUUAUAGAACGAUGCAGUGAUGCAAACCAAGAACUAUUAGGGUAUAGACAGUAAGAUUAAAUAGAAUAAUUUGAUUCCAUUUCUAGCAAACUUUGCCUAGAGACUUGUUAAAAUCUAAUCAGUAAACCUGCUAGAUUUGACAGGAAACAGGUAAUGUCAGGCAAAUCGCCUUCUCCUAUUUUAGGGCACUCAUGUAUAAUAGUGACUUUAAAAGUGUAAACAUAUUUUGAACAAUUUUAAGGAAAUUAAAACUAUAUUUGACACAUCACGAAAUGGCUAAGAUACAAGCUUCAAUUCCAGUACAACAAAUAUAACUUCAACUGUCAAUUGAAGGAGCGAGAUAAAGAGGAGAGACACGAAGCAAUAUACCAUUAUGAGAACAUUGCAGCAUACAAAAGUGUAAACGGCAGAGCAAUAUCUCAAAAUCAUGUCGUUUCCGAUGUGUGCUCAUUUGAAAGUGCAGAAAAACCACUCAAACAUGCCUGUACAAGGAAAGCCAUGUCAGCCACCAAUGUCGUAAUUACACCAAUUACGAGGCCCAAAACUCCAUCAGCAACAGUAGAAGAACCGAUGUCAACAUCAAUCUACAGAAAGUUUCUAGCAGUCACGAGCAUUAUCACGAUCAUCGUGCCGCAGAUUGCCCUAAAAACAAGACAAAUCAAUUUGAUCAGCUUGUUCUUCCUCUAGAGCUGCGAAUAAUUGAAAAAAAAAAGAUUAAUUCCAUAGAAAUCCAUUAAUGAGGACAUUAAUCCAAUAUAUAAAAAUGAAUAUUUAAGUUUGAAGCUCCUAGCUUGAAGCUUUCCAAAUAUAAAGUUACAUAGUGAAGGACAACAUUUGUCCAUGAGGUUUCUAAAAUGGCAACUUUUGCACAGUAAAAUUAAAACGGACGGCGGAAGCUCUAGAAACCUCGGAUCGGCUUCAUUCAAAAACGAAAAUCACGAGGAAAGAUUUAAGUUUAAUUAAAUCACUUUUAGUUUCAAAAACGGCUUCGUGAAGUAGAAGAAAAAGACUGAAAACAGCACGCUACGAACACUGUCCAGAAAAUAGAGCUCUGCACGAACAGCUUCUGUUUUGCCACGAUUUGAGAUCCUUAAAGCACCCCAAUUGUGAUGCCUCUAAUUAUUCCACACUUAGAAAUGUUCUAGGAGUUCAUAGGAUUUGGAAUCUCGAAAUUUCGUUUAGAAAUGAAAGAGAUAAUGAAAAAACAUGAAUGCUAGUUCAUGAUGAUUCAUUCCAUCAAAUAAAGCUACCAUUAUCUCUAAUAAUGGCACCAAACAUUAUCAUGUGCUAGACCCACCCACUUAGUUAUUAUUUAUUGAAAGUGAUCUUAUCACUUAAAUAAAUUAUUUAAUCAAAUAAAUAAAUAGCUAAAUUAAUUAAUUUCGUAAUUAAUUAAUUAACCCCAUUUUGAUCAAAUCAAAUGGUUAAAUGUGGGCUCAUUUUGUGACAUGUUCUAAUGCUUUCUCUUAAUCCAUAUUAGAUCUAAUAAAAGCCCAAAAUUCUAAACCCAAAAUUGGUCUAGAAGUCCAUAAUCAUAUAUGAACCGGAACAUGUCCAAAAUGGUCAUUUUACGUGCUUGAUAUUGCAUAAUGUUUAAUGGGGAUUUAUGAAAUUUAUUUUGUUCCUUAAACUAUUUAUGGAACAUCUAAAUUUCUAUCUUAAAUCAUAUUUAAGAUAUAUUUAUAUAUAUAUUCAUUCUUAAUGAAUUAUAAUAUAAAUAUUGAUUUUCCUAAAAUUAGGAAAUUUAACUUCUCAUUUUCUAGUAACUCCUUUUUCAUUUCUAUUUAGUGUGUGACCUUUCAGGUUCUUAGUUAUAAGGUAGUAGAACUAUUUUAAUGAUAACUCUUUAUUCAUUAAAUGAUGCUAAACUCUUUAGUAAUCAAUUAGAACUUUUCUAAUGACCUUAAGAUGCAUAGCUAAUAGGCUUUACCAAUAUUGAUCUUAAGGUUUCUAUAAGUCAUGAGUGACACCUAGCAGUAUAUCACAACUAUCCAAAUAACAAGAAUUGUUGGAUCUAUAAAACCUAUUUUAUUGUAUCUCUAUGUCUUGGUCUCUUCAUCAUCCAUGUCUAGAGAAAAGCACGGCUUAUGGUUUAUUAUGUUAAGCAGUUAUGAUUUAUCUCAAAAUAAAUCUAAAUGAACUUAACAUGAAAAUAUAAUUUGAACUCCUUCAAAUAUAUUUCACCUUGGCCAAGGAUUUCUCAUGCCAAUUCAUAUUAUCUCAUAGGGACAUCCUUUUUGUAUAUUACAAAGUGAUUAAUUCCAUAUUAGCCAUACACUUGUCUUCAUACAUAACCAACCAUGACAGCUAUUGCUAGAUCUCUUCCGUGAUUAGGAAUCCAUGAUUAUGCUUUCACAUAUCAGAGAUGUCUAUGUAUAAGACAUCUGUUAUGCCUCAAGUCUAAAGACCAUUAUUAAACAUAGUGUCUAUUACAAUGUAUAAUAAGCCAUUAACACUCAAAACCAUAUGACUUACUAUAUUUGGUCAUGUUCAGUAAACUCGUUCUCUCAACAAGUACCUAUGUGUUUGACUUGACAUGUCAUGUCAAUGAUAUGAAACUCACCAUCCAUUUUAGUAUCACAUACCAUAAGGAGUCAUAACACAUACUAGUGUUUAUAGGAAUUUAUAAUGUCCAAUCAUAAAUCCACCACUAGGAACUAUUUUAGAAGUAUAGUACAAAGGAUGCACGUUUCAUACUCUCGACAAACUCGAGAAUGUGUUCCUUAACUAUUUUACUUCUUGGACUAUAUUCAUUAAAUUAAUUUAUGAAUGUUGAUAACUUUGCCAUUUUAUAAAUAUCAAAAUGCUAUUCAAAUACAAUAAUUCCCUAAACAAACAAACACCAUUUGAUUGGCCUUUAGGGCAUAUUACUAACACAUAGCCCUUAGAAGGCCGAUUGCAAACAUCACCUUUCCCGGGGAUGGAGAGGAGGACGUCCUCAAGGAUAUUAUAAAGGGUUCUUAGUUUGAGUAGGUCAGUAUGGGUAGUGGCACACUUGAGGUAGUCAAUGGGAUAAGAAUCGGCCUCCAUCCUAUAGCCGAGGUUUCUUUUCUUAGAGGGUCGGCUCGGCUCAGAACUAUUCUCCUUGUUAUCACUUUCUUUUUCAGGGAUCCCAGCCCCCUCAGAACUGUGAUUCUCACCAGAAGCCGAUGCUUGUCCACCGCGAUUUCCCAUAGGUUCACAAUCAGAAGGAGGCAAAAUGGCCUUUGGACGGGGGUACUCAAGGGUAUCUCUAUUAUAAGAGGGACCUAUGUUACUGGAAGGAUUUUGGGGAUCAGUGGGUCUUAAUAAAUUGGGGUAUGAAUCUAUCUCUUCAUCACUCUCAUUUACAAUUAUUUUUCCCCUUCGUCUUGACAUAGUGAAGUCUUAAGAGAAAAAUAUAACAAAUUUAAGUAUAUGGGUACAAAAGUGUUGAGUGCGGAAUGCAGAAUCAAGCACACCAAAUAAUUAUAGAAAAAUAAUUGACACAAAAUUUAUGUGGUUCAGUAAUUAAACCUACAUCCACCGGAGCAAGAGAAAAAUAAUUGUAUUAUUAACAAUUAUUUGAGUACAAAUUUGAGUAAAGAAAUCUUACUUUCCCAUAACCCAAAUACACCCAGUACUCUCACACACACACUCUCCAAUUGCUCACACUUUCAGAACUCUCAAAAGCUUAAAAACUAAUAAGCUUAACAAAUUUUUUGGGAUACUUUAGAAUGAAGAAAUGACUUUAAUUUAUAGGCUUCAAGCUUGCACUAUUCCACUUAAUCCCUCUGCAAUUUGUCAAUCUUCAUCUCCAUCAAUUUGACAAAUUUUGCUAAAUUUUCCAUUUUUCUUCAUUUAGUGCAGGAUUGUCAAAUGCCAAAUAUUUUACAGCUUGCAGUUUUGGUGCCGACUUUGAAAAAACAAAAGCAAUGCAUGUGGCUCACUUUUCUUUUUCAACCAAUUUGAAAACACUCAUUGACUUUUCAACAAUUUUCCACCUCGGCGAAGAUUUGUUCAAAUAUGAGCCGACUCCCAACCAAUCAUCAUCCCCAAAGUGGCUGCAUCUCUGUGACUGCUACGUACACAAAAUUUGGGAUCAAGCCAACCGUAGUUCAAAAUUCCUGAAGGACAUAACUUAACAUAAUCGAAGGAUUUGAAUUAGUCUCAAGCAUUGUUGAAACUUAACUCCAGAAAUCACCUUUGUCAACAUAUCUGCUGGGUUAUCCUUGGUAUUGAUCUUUUUCAACAACACAUCACCACCCUCGAUAAUCUCUCUCACAUAAUGAUAUUUCACAUCUAUGUGCUUCGACCGAGCGUGAUAUGUUUGAUUUUUCGCGAGGAAUAUCGCACUUUGGUUAUCACAAAAGACCGCAAUGUUCUCUUGGAUUACUCCCAAAUCACAAAAUAAGCCUUUCAACCAGAUAGCUUCCUUUACAGCUUCAGUUACUACCAUAUACUCUGCUUCCAUAGUGGAUAGAGCAAUUGUCGAUUGUAGAAUCGACCUCCAGCUAACUGAUCCUCUACCCAAUGUGAAUACGUAGCCAGUUGUUGAUCUUUGCUUUUUAAGGUCUCCGGCGAAAUCAGAAUCACAAUACCCAACACAUUGUUGACCACAAUCCUUUUUUAACAAUAACCCAACAUCAACUGUCCCAUAUAGAUAUCGGAGAAUCCACUUUACCGCAAGCCAUUAAUUUUUACUCGGAUUGUGCAUGUACCUACUAACCAUUCUCACUGCUUGAGAUAUAUUGGGCCUUGUGCAUACCAUAACAUACAUAAGACUACCCACAACACUAGCAUAUGGAACACGAGCCAUGUAAUCGCGCUCCUCUUGAGAUUUAGGACAUGAAGAAGAGCUUAAUUUGAAAUGAGGAGUUAGAAGUGUACAUACCAGUUUAGUUUUGUCAUCCAUACCGAAUCUUUUUAGCACUUUCUUCAAAUAAGACUUUUGAGUCAACCAUAUGCUCCCAUUCUUCUUGUCUCUAUGAAUUUCCAUCUCAAGUAUUAUAUGUGCAUCACCCAAGUCUUUCAUCUCGAACUCAGAAGCCAGCUGCUUCUUUAAUCUUUCGAUCUCAUCUCUAUUCUUCAAAACUAUAAGCAUAUCGUUGACAUAGAGUAACAAAUAGAUGAAAGCUCCAUCUAUUAGUCUUCUAAAGUAAACACAAUGAUCGUGUUCACUUUUGGUGAAUUUCUGCCCUUGUAUAAAUUAAUCAAAUCUUUUAUACUACUGCCUUGGCGAUUGCUUCAGUCCGUAUAAAGAUUUAAUCAACCUACACACAUGAUUCUCCUUUCCAGUAACUUUGAAACCACAAGGCUGAAUCAUAUAGAUUUCCUCCUUCAAAUCUUCAUGUAAGAACGCCGUCUUAACAUCCAACUGAGCCAACUCUAACUCAUAUUCUGCAACUAAGGCAAGUAGGAUACGAAUGGAAGUAUGUUUUACAACUGGAGAGAAAACUUCAUUAUAGUCAAUACUUUCCUUUUGAGCAAAACCUUUUGCCACGAGUCUUGCCUUGUAUCGAGGAGUUGAUUGAUUUGGAGAUCCUUGCUUUUUGGUGUAGACUCAUUUAUUGCCAAUAGUCCUUUUCCCUUUUGGUAACUUUACAAGUUCCCAAGUCUGGUUUUGAUGGAGAGAUUUCAUCUCUUCCUCCAUGACUAACUUCCACUGAUCACUUUCACUGCUGCGUAAUGCUUCACCGAAAGUGUUGGGGAUGUCAUCAUCAAUAACUGAAAGUGCAUAGACUACCACCAUAUCUUUAGUAAGCCAUCCGGGUUUCUUUAUCUCUCUUCUUGGUCUCCUUGUUACUAUAAAAUCAUCAUUAUCUACAGCAUCAAUUGUUUCUUCAUUUUGUGGGACAUCAGAAGAAAUAACAUAUUCUUCAACUCUAGGUAUCACCUCCAUAGUUGAACCCUUAUUUGAUGUAGAACUAACUGGUACAUAUGGAGUUGUAUCAAACUUCACCAGCUGCAAUACCUCUUUGGUUUUGUUUUCCAUUUGCUGAGAACUUGAAGUUUUCAUCAUUGAAACUUCAUCAAAUGUGACAUCUCUGCUACACACAAACUUUUUGUCUUUGAGAUCCCAAAACUUAAAGCCAUUUACUCUACCUUUGUAUCCCACAAAAAUAGCUUUUCUAGCACGAGGAUCCAGUUUACCAUCUUUGACAUAAUAAUAAGCUAGACACCCGAAUAUACGAAGGGAAUUAUAGUCUUGUGCAUGCUUUCCAGACCACAUUUCUAUAGGAGUUUUACCUCCAAUUAUAGCAUAAGGCAACUAGUUUACCAAGUGACUUACGUAGUUCACAGUUUCAGCCCAAAACUUUUUAUCUAAACCAGUAUUAGAUAACAUACACCGUACUUUCUCCAGUAAAGUACGAUUCAUACGCUCAGCUACACCGUUCUAUUGCGGAGUAUGUCUCACUGUGAAAUGUCUUUUAAUACCGUCGUUCUGGCAUACUUACAAGAAUGGAUCAGAAGUAUAUUCACCCCCAUUAUCAGGUCGUAAUACUUUGAUUUUUCUGUCAGUUUAAGUCUCCACCAAUUUCUUCCAUUUCACGAAAAUCUCUAGAACCUCAACCUUUGCUCGCAUGGUGUACACCCACACACGUCUAGAGAAAUCAUCAACAAAUGUAACAAAAUAAUGGCUUCCACCAAUUGAUGUAGUCUUGGUUGGUCCCCAUACAUCACUAUGAACAUAUUCAAGGAUUUCACGAGUAUCGUGAUUAGCUGUACCAAACUUGACCCUUGUUUUCUUGCCUACUACACAAUGCUCACAGAAAUUUAAUUUAUAGGUUUUGGUACCUUUUAAGAGUUCGUGCCUCAUCAGAGUUUGCAAAGACUUUUUGCUAGCAUGUCCUAGUCGUACAUGCCAUAGCUUGGUGGUGUCACUAUGCGCCUCAAUAAUAUUUGCUUCAUCAGUUGUACCUCCCUUCAAAUAGUACAGAUUGUGACGCCGAACCCCUUGUAGAAUCACCAUAGCCCCAUGUGUAAACUUCAUUAUACUAUUUUCAAUGGUAGCCUUGUAGCCUUUAGCUUCUAGAGCACCCACAGAAAUUAGAUUUUUCUUUAAAACUAGAACAAAUCUAACCUCUUUGAGUUCUCUGACCAUUCCAUUAAACAUUUUGAGCCGAAUUGUUCUUAUCCCCAUUGUGCGACAAUGUUGAUCAUUCCCUAUCACAACUGCACCGGAUUUUAGAUUACGAGUAUUCGUAAACUAUUCCUUAAUAGGACACAAAUGAUAGGUUGCUCCAGUAUCAAGUAUCCACUUACUCGAACUAGCCACGUAUGCUGCAAGAGUAAUACUUAGUGAAUAAUCAGAAUCUUCAUCUUUCGUGCCAUGUUUGCUGCUGUUGGUUUUUUCCCAUCUCUGUUUUGAGCUUUUAGACAAUCUUUCCUCCUAUGAACCUUUUCAUGACAAAAGGCACACUCGUCUCGAGCUAUAUCUCUGCUUCUCGAUUUGGAUCGAGAAUUCUUUCCACCACCCUUUUUCUUUUUCUCCAUCGCCCAAUCUUUACUCACCAAAACUUCAGACGAUACUCGUUCAGAAUUUUUAUUAUUAUUCUGAAUCUCCAAGUUAGUCAAUGCUGUGCAAACAUCUUUGAAGAUGAUCACGCUUUUCCCAUAUAUCAAGGUAGUCACAAAAUGGCUAUCUUCCUCUGGUAGUGAGUGUAACAGAAUCAUAGCCUUGACUUCAUCCUUAAUAUCUUCAUCAAGAUUCUUCAAAUCAGCAAGUAACUUUUCAAAUCUCGAGACAUGAUCGUGCAUUGAUACCCCAGGCUUCAUUCGAAAGCCAUAUACUUGGCUCAUUGCAUGAAGACGAUUUUCAGGACUUUUCAGCCUAUACUUCUUCUCUAAUGUAUGCCACAAAGUCACCGCACACUCCUCAACUUUCACCAAGUAUUUUACCUCCUUGGUCAAAUAAGAUCUGACCUGACCACAAACUUUCUCGUUCAUACGAUCUCAAAUUUCUUCAUCAUACAAGUGUAUUUUAUUUUUCAAAACAAUAUCGAGAUCGAUUUGAAUAAGGGCAUCCAUAACUUCGCGCAUCCACAUGCCGAAAUUGAUUUUCCCAUCAAACUUUUCAACAUCGAUCUUCUGGCCUCCUAUAACAGGUGCUGAAUAGCGAUUUUACAAGUCUCGUCUCCCACUUGAAGUGUCUUCUAAAAUAGUCUCGAUAGAUCUCUCCUUAAUUCUGGAAGUUUCACCUUAUACCAUUUUCUCAACGAACUAUUUCCACUUGAAAAACAGCCUCUAUGAUGUUAAUUUCGCGUGAAUAAAUGUCCCAGGAAAGUUCCCUAAAGACUAGACGGGAACUCGGUCCUAAUUAAAAAUCGGAAUCCUUAGACUCUUAUCGCCUUUGUUGACAGAACUUUCAUAGACAUGUAAAAAUACACACUACUUACAAUAGACUGUCUCCCAAGUACAAAUGGCCGCCUCCACCGUAUUCGUGAAUAGUACUGUAUAUGUGAACAAUACAGUAUACUGGAAUAGUACUGUAUAUGUGAAUAGUACUGUAUCCCCCCAAGUACGAACCGUCGGCUCUGAUACCAGUUGUUGAGUGCGGAAUGCGGAAUCAAGCGCACCAAAUAAUUAUAGAAAAAUAAUGGGCACAAAAUUUACAUGGUUCGGUAAUUAAACCUAUAUUCACCGGAGCAAGAGAAAAAUAAUUGUAUUAUUAAUAAUUAUUUGAGUACCAAUUUGAGUAAAAAAAUCUUAUUUUUCCAGAACCCAAAUACACCAAGUACUCUCACACACACUCUUGGUAGUGUGUCUUUUAUGGGCACGAUCUGACUAGAAAAGAUACCGACCAGAAGUUCAUACUGACCAGGUACUUGUCACUCAAAGAGAGGACGUGAUCUCACAAACACGCGACAAUUUCACCACGCCCCAAACCGCUGGGAAAACACGACGCCCCACGAUUACCCACGUUCGGUUGUUGAAGACCCAUUAAGGCCCUUAACCACCCAAAUAUGACGAGCAUGGAAAAUACCCUGAAAAAGUGGGAUGAUUGCCUAUAAAAAGCGGAGAAAUCAAUGAAGAGGGGGAGAGACAAAAAGAGAGAGAGGGGAAACUCUGUCAAAUUGACUCCAGGCAUUGUUACAUAGCCACCUUAAAUACAUUUUAUCUUAAGAACAUCGCAAUGAAUGUGUGUGAGCAUAAAUCAUAUAGUUUUCCCGUAAAUUCCAUUUCCUGACUUAAGUAUCGGAGGGUUUAUGCCGGAAAAACCAUCAGCGUCUCUGAUUUGUUUUUGUGAAUGCAGGUUUAGAAAGAAAAGGGAGAGUGAUUCGGUUCCCAGGAGCUCGGGCAAUUACUAUAGCUGGUGGAGCGCAACCUCUUCUUCAUUGUCAACACACUUGUUGAUGAUCCCAUCUGGUCGGGCAAAAGGCGACUAGAUUUCAGCAUCAACAGUACGUUCAGACAAAACACCUACUCCUGUUUUAGAAACGGCCUCCUCUAUUUUACUGUUUGGUGAUUGCAAAAAUUUGUCUAAAUAAUGCAUAGUUGUAGAGUUAAGAAAAAAAGUUAUGUUAAAAUAAAGAAGCAUCAGAGAUCCCCCGAUAUUAUUAUCAUCCAGAACAAUAUGUUUAUUGGGCCAAAGUGGGCUAACAUACAUGGGUUCAAGCUUGCAAAAUCCACAUUUAUGUAUAAUUAUAUAGUAAUUAAAUACUGAAUUUGAACUCAUACAACUAUUCAAUCAUUUGGAUUUCAAAUCUGUGUUCAUUGAACUAAAUACUGUCAUGUAUUCGAGUGAACAGAUAAAGAAUUCACAAUCUGUUCUCAAUUUUGACUUCAUAAUAUUCCAGCUAUGGUCGCAUUUCUAUUACUGUAUGGUAAAUAUGACUUUUAAAUAAUUUUUUUGACAAAAUUAGUCAAGGUGCCAUAUGUGUAUCAAAUAAUAGUUGAUAAAAUCAUCUUAUAUUUUGAACUACAGAAGUAAGUAUUCAUCAAACACUUUAUAAUUGUCAGUCAAUGUUUAUGUGAACGUGACCGAAAAUGGUUACUAAGUGCAUGUUUGGGAGUUAGGAUUAAGUAUGGGAUUAGAAUAACUUUGGUAUUAAAUAUUUUAUCCCAUGUUUGGCUACUUUGCUUGGAUUGGAUUAAGGAGGACUAAAUUUAAAUUUAGGGCUUAAAUCAUGGGAUUAACAAUCGCAAUUUAUAAGUGGAUUUAGAUGGGAUUAGAAUAAGAGAAAAAAAUUUUGUUCAUGUUUCUUUCAUAAAUAACACUAUUUUUUAUUUGAAACCUAAAAUUUAAUUACUUAAUUUAUUAUUUUAUUCAUGAUUUACAUGAAUUUAUUUUUUAUUUUAUUUUUAUAGUCUAAUUACAUUGGUACUUUACUCCAACAAAAUUAACUAUUUAAUAAUUUGUUACAAUAAUUGAUUGUAUUAAAUUCAAUAAUCAACUAUGUAAUAUUAAAAAUAAUCAUAGAAAUUAAUAAUACAAAUAAAUAAUUGAUUUUGUAUAUACAUUAUUUGCUAACUUUUUGAUAAAAUAAAAUAUAUCUAAAAUAUCCGAUAAAAAUUAAUUAAAUAAUUAAAUAGUUUUAUUAAUUUAUAUUUGUUUAUUAUGAAUAUGACUACCCAAUAACUAAUUUACUACAUAUUUAAUGCUAUUGUUAAUUAUCUUUAAAUUAAUUUUAAUUAUUACUUUUAAAUAUUCUUAACUUUUUUUUUGUAUUUAAAUAUGAUUUAACAUUGUCUAAUUCGAUAUUGUACCAAACAUAGUACAAUAUAUAAUAUAAUCUAGCUUAAUCUAAUCUAACUUAAUCCAGUCCAAUCUUAAAAAUUAGCCCAAUUCAAUUCUACGUGUCAAGCACAACCUAAGAGUUCCUAGUGUUAAAAAUUUAACAUACCCACGAUCCAUUAAUGGGAUAAUUUAUUUUAUAAUAAUCAAAUUGAAGAUCAAUUUGUACGAUGAUGAGCUUUCAUGUUUCUGUCAAACAUGAAAUAAUUUUGUAAACAAUGGCCACGUGGAACUUAUAACCAAUCAUCAUUUGUUGAUAGACAAGUGAAAUAACAAAAAAGCAGCGGGUUUGGGCUUUCUCCAGGAAUCGGCUUAACACAAACAAUGUGGGGUUUCUUGAUCUUCUUAAAGAUCAAGCAUAUACGUAUACAUGUUCUAUACCUAUCAAUCAUUCCCCUAUUCUUCGGUUUGGUGAUUGCAAAUAACAUUCUUUGCAUCUACUCUUUAUUUAUUUAUUUAUUUUUAACUCAUUAAUUCUUGUUCUUCUUAAAGCGUUUAGUAAAUAUAUCAUCACCGGGUCAAAUCCCUAACAUUAACGUACACAUAAUCUAUUAAUGAAAUUUAUUAUUUUAUCAUAAUCAAAUUGAAGAUUAGUUCAUGCAGUUUUCUAUGAUGAGGAGUAUUCACUUUUCUGUUAAAUACAAGAACGAUUCGUAAAUAAUGUCCAUUUGGAACUAGUAAUAACGAAGCAUCAUUUGUGGACCGAAUAAAUGAAAUAACAUUUUAGUUUCUCUCUAAAAUGUCAUUCUUCAUUCAAGCUUUUGCUGCAUCUUUUAUCAGGCAUCUUAUAAAGCUUUUCCCUACUAAUACUAAUAAACUUUGUAAAUCAAUAUUCUUUUCAAUUUCACAGGACACAAGUAAUGCAUAUUCAAGCACAACAGGUAUUUAUUCGUUAGAAACUCCAACUUAAUUAUUUCAUUGGAAAAUAUGAAACGCAGAGCCAUAAACUAGUGCUUUCUUCAAUUUAAUUGGGUUGAACAAACUUUUUAAUGUAUUUUCCCCAAUCCAUUUCUUUUAUCUCACUGCAUGCUUUAUUAAAGCUUUGUCUUUGUUCUUGAUUGAUGACCUUCAAAAUUAAAUCUUAAAAAUCGGGUAUAAAAGGGGUGCUUGAUUUAAGUCUUCUUCUUUUGCAAUUCAUUGUUAUUGCUCUUUUCAGCUUUUUACUCGCAAAACUUCUUACUCACAAAUUCCUCUGCAGUUAACCGUGAUCUUUUACUCAUUAAAAUUGUUCUUAUUAAUUCUUUUUUAUAGAGAGAGAGAGAGAGACUCAAAGAGAAUUAAAAAAAAAGUAAUUCUAAAUUUUUGCUUGUGCAUUGUGUGAUUUUUACCAUUUUUAAAGUUGGUGAUUUGUAUUGAAUAAAUAAAAUAAUAAAUAGAUUUAUGGACUACUCUUUUUUGUUAUAAUAAACAUCAGAGGUCCUUUCCUGAUGUUUCAUUCCAUAAGAAUAAAUUAUAAUUUUAUUGAUAUAGUAACGUCAAUAAUAGAAAUCCUAACAAACAUACAAACUUUAGAUUAUGGAUUAAAGCACUACAAGGUGAAUGGAUCACAACAAAUUAUUUAUACUACAAGGUGAAUGGAUCACAACAAAUUAUUCUGACGAAAGCAUAAACAAGAUGAUUGAAUCAAGAGACUAUUACAUGGGAAACCAAUCCAGAUGAAGCCUGUGAUAAAGAAUAGCCGUACGCCCAUUUACCUCUUUAGCUAAGCUGCCAUACUGAAGGAGGCAAUCCCACCCGCACAAAACAUGAAAAACGAUGUACACGUGGCAUGAACUUUGAGAAAGCUACAUAAAAAUGAUCUGAUGGCCAAGGGAUACAACAGUUGUACGACCAAAAAGGGUAGAAAUCCAUGUCUAGUACACUGCCCUCUUCAAUACCUCUAAAUACUGAGUCAAAUUGAUAUGAAUUUCAUGGAUGAAACUAUGCAACAAUCGAUAAACCUUGCUGGCCAUUAUAAGCCUAUGCACACAGAUUAUAGAACGAUGCAGCGAUGCAAACCAAGAAUUACUAGGGUAUAGACAGUAAGAUUAAAUAGAAUAAUUUGACUACAUUACAAGCAAACUGUCACGGACCGCAAUCGUGGCACCCAAGAUAUGCGCUUGUACGCUAGUGUCGAUGAUGGUUGUUGAUGCUGAAAUCUGCUCGCCUUUUGACCGACCAGAUUCUUUCACCAACGUUUGUGUUAUCUACUGUUGCUCGUUCACUGGGAUUGGAUUCGUCCUCCUUUCUCUCAAUAGACCUGCGCUCACUAAAAACGGAUCAGAGACGCCGGUGGUUUUGCCGGCGUAAACCCUCCGAUGUCUAAGUUAGCUCAAGGUGUUUACGGGAAAACAGUGCAAUUUAGAUCUCAAAACGGUUUCUAAAUUAUUCGGAGUUUAUAAGAAAAUGGCCUGAUUGUAAUUUGGCAGCGUUUUCCCUCUCUCAAUUUUUUCUAUCCCCAUCUUCAUCGAUUUCUUCCUCUUUUAUAGCCGUUGUCCCCACGUUCCCAUUUGCCUUUCACCCUACCUUUUUCGGGUAGUGGCAGCCUCUCAUGGAACUCUAACCGCUGCAUUACGGGCAAACGUGGGAUCUCGCAUCCUCCGCAACGGUUCUGGGAACAGCGCAACUACCGCGAUUCUGUGGGAUCUGUUCCCGCUUUUUGGGGGACGGGUACCGGCUCGGUAUAUACCUCUGGUCGGUAUAUUUCCCUGGUUGGUAAUCGCCUCUGGUCGGUUCAUGCUUGUCCCCGUGUUCUGCUCGCACCAUUUGGCUAAGAUGAUCCAUGCCGGGGUGGAGAUUAGUAGCAUGGCCGACCUGGUGCUUUUAUUUACUUAACAAUGGUUGUGCUGAUUGUUGGAGACGUGCUUCAGGGGCGUGCGUGUUGGGAAUACAAUGCCCUAGACUCUUUGGAGUUCAGGCAGGCCGACCCGGUUGAGUUUGGGGAGCUUGUCGCUAGUCAAGGACUUAACGCUGAAGAGGGGUCUAGGAAAAUCCUGACGCACACUGGUUGGGAAUUGAAGCCGUUCUCCUGAUGAGCCCAAGGCAGGGCGAAACCAGUUGACAUUGUGUCACUUCCUCUAGGCUUACUCUCGUAGUAUGGGAUGCGGGAGUGCCGCACGGGCUCGAAACCUCUCGUCCCGUGACAAAUGGUAUCAGAGCCGCGCUUGUCAUCUCUCGAAGCCCUCGUCGCGAGCUCGCCAAGCGCUCCAAUGCCGCACCACGCGGGUCCCCACCCUUUCAGAUACAAGAGUUGACAAGCGGGACGAACAGGCGGGUUCUCACACCCCCAAGCGUUCGCACCAAGUGGAUGGUGUCUCCAUGCGGGUCCUCUCCAUGGAUUGAGGACGUGCAUGUAGGCAGGGAGUUCAUGGGUUGAGUUUGGCAAGUCGAUCUUCACAUUUUUGCGUGGAAGUGCACACUUGCGAGGCGUACUCCUCAUGCACGAGGACGUGCAUGGUUAUGGCGGUGGGAGAAUGUCACGGACCGCAAUCGUGGCACCUAAGAUAUGCGCUUGUACGCUAGUGUCGAUGAUGGUUGUGCUGAUUGUUGGAGACGUGCUUCAGGGGCAUGCGUGUUGGGAAUACAAUGCCCUAAACUCUUUGGAGUUCAGGCAGGCCGACCCGAUUGAGUUUGGGGAGCUUGUCGCUAGUCAAGGACUUAACGCUGAAGAGGGGUCUAGGAAAAUCCUGACGCACACUGGUUGGGAACUGAAGCCGUUCUCCUGAUGAGCCCAAGGCAGAGCGAAACCAGUCGACAUUGUGCCACUUCCUCUAGGCUUACUCUCGUAGUAUGGGAUGCGGGAGUGCCGCACGGGCUCGAAACCUCUCGUCCCGUGACAAAACGCUGCCUACAGACUUGUUAUAAUCUAAUCAGUAAACCUAUUCGACUUGCUAGGAAAAAAAUAGGGCUUUUUUGUUUUCAUUCCCCUUUGGUGAUUGCAAAAAUUUAAAUCUAAAUUUAUGGUGCAGGCUACAUGGCACCUAGUGGAUGAUUGUUAGGGUUUGUCUUUUGCUCUUAGUUAGGAAUUUAAUUAAGAAUUUAUAGUGUGCGCCUUAUCGAAGUAGGUUUCCUAAUAGUAAUUAAAUAAUCCAAAUUUAUGAUGCAUUAGCAUAUGAUUGUGAUAAAUAAGCUUUUUAUGUAUCCUGUAAGGCUAAUUACUGUUUUAUUAGAUUCUCUUGUUAGUCUUGUGAAUCAACGAGAUUUAAUUAGUAGUAGAUAAUACUUUAGGCUUCACAGGCGCACUAUUUUAUCCGCUAAAUCAAUUUUUUUUUUAAAUUAAAAACAAUUCAUCAAACACUUUAUAGUUCUAACUUUUAAGCUGGUAAACACUUUAAGCCACAACUUUAAAUUCAGUUUACGAGAAUUCCUAAUAGUCACAGUGGCUUGGGUGGAAAUGAAUAUAAAUAAUGAAAUACUAUCUAAGCAACUCAAGGGCGGUGAAUUGAGUUUCUAAAAAUUUUGUAAAACUUAAUUCAAAUAUGAAACGAAUUAAAACAACAGUAAGUAAAUCAACCAAAAUAUAAAAAGAUAGGGGAAGAGAGAUUCAAACACAGAGAUUUUUAUGUGGUUCGGCCAACCUCGCCUACAUCCACGCCUCCAAGCACACCGAGCUUGAGGAUUCCACUAGUCAUGCCUUUAAGGCUUCAAGAACACCUACAAUUGACUUCAAAGAUGUCAAUCAACCUUUACACCAAGAAAUUAUCCUCAAUCUCUUAACCCAAGUGUAUCCUAACACUUACAAUUUCUCAAUUUGAUUUAAAAAUAAAUACAAAAUAAAUCUCUCUCACACAAUGUGUUUGAUUACAAAUGAAAUUCUAAAGUGUGAAUAAAUGAGAUGUAUACAAGAAUUUAAAACUCAAUGAAAGUUGUAUGCUCAAUAAUUUGCUCAAUGAUAAUGGUUGGAAUCGUUGUUAUUUGAAUUUGAUUGAACUUAUUUAUAGUUGGAGCUGAAAUAUAGUCGUUAUUGACUUUUUGCUCAAUGUUGGAUUGCCGUUUUGACUAUGAGCAAGUUACCGUCGGACAAAAUUUUAAAUUCUCGGACCGUCGAUUUCAAGAUGUCGAAUCGCCGUUAAUGUCCAGAGGCUGCUCUUCAAUUCUGUUCAAUGUCGGCUAGCCGUUAUCAAGAGAUCGGUUAGCCAUUUGCUACAAUGACUGCUACAGUGAACUAUUUCUAAAAUUAUAAUUUGGCCCCAAAACUUUAUAAAAUUUACUAUGACCGAUAACUUUAUAAAAUUUUGUCAAAUAAGUCCAUUUCCAAAAUUUUAAGCAAUAUUUGCUAAUUUCAAAGUUCUCAAAACUUUUUCAAUUUAAAUCAUUAACAUGAAAAUAACUAAUAUCAUAAAAUUACUUUUCAUUGAAUAUAAAGCCUUAAUAUGAAAAAAAAAUAAUUUGAGCUUUUAAAUCAAGCUUAACCAAGUUUGUUAUCAUCAAAAUCAAUAUUAAAGAAAUAUUUAUGUUGACAAAUAAUGUUUAAUUUUAAUGUACAAAGCACUGGUGCAUUUAGAAGGUACUACUGUGUAAACAAAAUUUGUGCUUGCAACUCAUCUUUUCAUUCAACUUUCUAAUAAUAAUAAAAUAAUACAGAGGAGAAAUAGGGGCUCUCUUUCCGUUUCCCAGUGUUUGUGUUUGGUGAUUUUAACUUUAUCAUGGAAUUGUCAAUUUUUAGUUGAAAGUUAUCUAAAUCUUCUUCUCUAUAUAAGCGUUUACAAUGAUUUUGUGAAACACAGCAAAAACAAUAAUAAUAAGUAUAUUUAUUCAUCUAAGAGGUCAAACUCUCAUGCUCAGAUAUGGAUAGUCCCAUUUUUUGAUCAGGGACAUCUCUUUACAAGCGUUGAAUUAUGCAAGCAAAUCGCUCCUCAAAAUUACCAAUCUACCCUCAUCGUUACCUCUCAAGUACCCAUAACUAUAGUUACCCAUUACUCUCUUCGCCAAGGCACACAGAUUAAAGAAUGCUUAGGGUGAAGGCAGUAACUGUCCUGAAAUAUGACUUUUAAAUUUUUAUUUUUUUUUUACGAAAUUAGUUAAAAUGCCAUAUGUGUGAUCAAAGUUGUUAAAUAUCUUAUCUUUCAAAUUAUAGGAGUAAAUAUUCACCAAACACUUUAUAAUUUUUAGUCAAUGUUUAUGAAAACACGGCCGCAAAAUGGUUACUAAUGCUAGGGAUCAAUAAUCAAACUGAAGUUUGUACGAUGAUGGGCUUUCGUGUUUCAGUCAAAGAUGAAAUAAUUUGUCAAUAGUGGCCAUGUGGAACUUAAAACCAAGCAUCAAUUGUUGACAUAACAAAUGAAAUAACAAAAUGGCAGCGGGGUUGGCGAUACAAAAUCAAAUCUUUUUUAUUCUUUUGAUUUUUGAUUUUUUCUAUUGCAUUCUGCUUUCUUAAAAGUUUGGUCCAAUUAAAGAGAAUACGGAGCAAUGACUUGUAUCAUCUGUGGAAUAAUCCAUAGAAAUAUAUAUGUGAAGCACGCCAAAGAAAAUGGCGCUGAUGACAUACUCCUAAGAAUUGUUCAUACUGAGUCAUCCAUCAAUCAACGGGUGGAUUAUUAUCUCACUGUAGAUGAAAUUCAACUGCAGAAGUAAUCGGAUGUGGGAUCCCAAUUUUGGCGUGACCAAUUAGAGGUUAUCAAUAUUAUAAUGCGAAAUUGAUGAUCAAUCAUCUUAAUGUGGGGUACAUGAUUUCUGAUGAUCCAUCAAAAAUACAAAGUUGAUUCAAAAGGAUGAUACGGUGAGUGGAACAGACAGGCUGAUGGGAAAUCAAGCUAUUAAAAAACGAGCUCACAUGCUUCAUAUUGCAUUUGAUCAUGGCUGUCCUAGAAGUUCAGUGGCUGCUUCGGAUGCUUUCAAAGUUCUUAUUAACCAGAAAGCAGUUUAACAAAAACAAGUAUUGUGCAUAUUAUUAACCAUAUGCUUUCAAAGAUCAUGUAUAAGCAUAUCAGAGAUCUUGUUGGCUUGAAGAUCUUCUUUGGAUGCUUUCAAUACCUACACUUAUACUACCAUAUGUAAAGCCUUUGUUACUGAUUGCAUUCAAUUAUUCAAUUAAAAGUCUUACAAAGCAUCUAAAAUGGAAGAUGGAACAUCCUCCAUCCAAAAAACAAAACGGAAGUCAAAACGUUGAUAUUGUUUUAUGUUUAAUAUCAUGAUACUAGAACUUUUUAGGCUAAAGCACCUACCUGCUGUGAGCUUUACUACAAAAAAAUGAGACUAUUUAGUUGUGAGACAAAUAGAGAGGGAAAGUUUUUACCAUUUAGCUAAAUUUCGAUCUUAUGCAAAAUAAUAUAAUUCAUUUGUUAUUAUGACCUAACCAACUCAAAACAAAAAGGAUUAUUAUGGCCUAACACAGUUCAAAAUGCAUGCAACAAUGGUGUAUUUAAAAUGGAACUAAUGUACAAAUAAAAUUUAUGCAUCUCUUGGAGGAAGGCCUUUAGGCCAACAAAUGAAAAUAGUGAGCUCGCAUUUUCUAUUAUCAUUUUCACCACUUGAAAAAGAGAGGGAAAAAAAUUGAGAGGAAAAACAGGGCUCCCCUGUUUUCAUUUCCCAUUUUUUCAGUUUGGUAAUUGUAAAUAACAUUCUUUACUUCCCUCUUUAUUUUAUUUUUUUUUUAUUUUUAACUCAUUAAUUCUUUUUCUUAUUCUUGCUAAAGCGUUUAGUAAAUCUUAUGAUCAUCUGAUCAAAUCCCUAACAUUAACAUACCCAUAAUCUAUUAAUGAAAUUUAUUUAUUUUAUAAUCAUCAAAUUGAAGAUUUGUUCAAUUUUGUAUGGCGACCAAUUUUCAUUUUUCUAUUAAACAUAAGAAGAAUUUGUACAUAAUGUUCAGGUCGAAACUCGUAAUAACGACGCAUCAUUUUUCGACAGAACAAAUGAAAUAACAAAAAAGUAUAAAUCAAGUCAUUAUUGAUCCUACUUUGAUGAUCGAACUUUGGUUUCUUUCUAAGAUGCCAUUCCUCAUUCAAGCUCUUGCUUUUCUCUUUUAUCCGACAUCUUACAAAGCCUUGUCCCUACUAAUAAGCUCUGCAUAUCAAUAUUCUUUUCAAUUUCGCAGGAUACAAGUAAUGUAUAUGCCAAAAUUAUUCAAGCACAACAGGUAUUUAUUCGUUGAAAACUUUUAACUUGAUUAUUUCGUUAGAACAUAUGAAACGUAGAGCUAUAACUUAGUGCUCUCUUCAAAUUAACUGGGUUGAACAAAAAAUUUUAAAGUAUUUUACCCGAUCCAUUUCUUGUAUCUCACUGCAUGCUUUGUUAAAAGCUUCGUCUUUUGGUCUUGAUUCUGAACUUCAAAAAUUAAAUCUUAAGACUCGGGUAUAAAAUGGGUGCAUGAUUAAGUCUUCUUCUUUUCCAAUUCAUUGCUAUAACUCACACCAACAUUUUACUCAGACAUUCCUCUGCAGUUAACAGUGGUCUUUUACUCAUUAAAAUUUUUCUUAAUAAUUUCUUUGGAUACCCGUUCUCACUUAAUAUUCAAGGCGAAUAGAGAAGCUCAUCAACUCUUUGAUCCCAGACAAUUAAAGAAGUACACAUGUUCUAAAUCAUCUAAUAAUUUCUUUUAAUAGCUGUUCUUAAUUUCCAUCUACUUUGCAAGAAAAAAUUUAUCUUGUUUGUUUUCAUCUUGUCAUCUAUUUUGCUUGAGUUUUAAGUUAUUGUUCAUUUGUAAUGUCUGUGUUCUUAUUAUUAGCUUUGGAUAAUUUGCAUCCAUGUCUUUUCUUUGUUUGUGGGCUUUUAUUCAGACCCCCUGAAACCUUUCUGUUAAUAUAAAAACUCUAAUCCUUGAGCAAAAGGUUAAAAAAAGAAAAAGAAAGAAUUCUCUGUUUAGAUAUCAGUUGGGUUAAGAACAAUGUUGUUUGUCUCCUGUCUUUUCUUUGUUUGUUUGUUUGUUUAUUUUGUCAUUUUAUUAGAUUUGCUUUGUAUCUAAUUUUACUUGAAGAUUAAAGCUGAGCGAGAAAUGCCUUUUUUUUUUUUCUGAAGCAACCUACAAAUUUUAGAAUAGGGCCAAGAGUAUUAAAGAUUCAAUUAACCGCAAAAAGUUAUUUACAUGCAUCGCUUGCAAACUUAAGCUUAUCAUCCCAAAUUGAGUUGCUUGCAUUAGAAAUUUUCAUGCAUUCACGAGCAUUAUCAUCAUAUCACAAGAUAGCCUGAAAAACAAGAUAAAUCAAUUUGAGCAACAAGUUUCCUCUGUUUUCGUUCCUCUGUUUUCAUUCCCUGUUUAUUGAUAUUUUUUUUUUUUUUUGGCCUGAAAUUAAGAAGAAAAAAGUGGUAAAACAAGUCACCACUGUUUUUAUUCCCCUGUUUUUCGUGGAAAGAAUAAAUGAAAUUGAAAAAAAAAAAAGCAGCGUUGGCAAUACAACAUGAAACUUUAAAUUUUUAUUUUAUUUUUAUUUUUGAUUUUGAAUGUGCAUAAGUCAAAUCAUAUAUUAUUGAUCUUACUUCGAUUAUUUGCUGUUUAGUUUCUCUCUUAAAUGCUUUUUGUUUGUUUCCGGUAUUUGCUUUUAUAAAAGUUUUAGUCCUCAAUCAUUCGUUCAAGGAUUUGCUUUCUCUUUUAUUAGGCAUUUACAUUGCUCUGUCGAUCAAUAUUCAUUUGAAUUUCACAGUACACAAGCAAUGUAUAUACCAAAACUUAAUUAUUUCUUUAGAAUAUAUGAAAACGUAAGAGUUGUGAACUACUGCUUUCUUCUUCAACAUGCGUCAACAGGGCAACAAUAACCAAAUACAUGAUAUACAAAAGCGGUGCAUGACUAAUUCUUUUUCUUUUGCAGGUCAUUGUUAUUGCUCUCGUCAACUUCUUUUCUCACACAUUUCCCAGCAGUUACCAGUGAUCUUUUUUCUCCUUCAACUUGUUCUUACAUAUUAAAGGCGAAAUAGAAAAGCUCACCAACUCUCUAAUCCCAGAUAAUUAAAGAGGUGCACGUUUUCUAAAUCCUUUAACUUUUUUUUUUUUUUUUUUUAUAGUAGAACCCCUGAUCCUUGAUCUUGACAUUUGUUCCUUCAUAAUUUCCAUCUACUUUCCAAGAAAAAUUUCUCUGGUUUGUUUUAAUAUUAUAACUUAUUUUGCAUGAGUUUUAAGUUACUAUUCAUUGUUAAAGCUUGUGCUCUUAUUAUUUCCUUUGGUUAACUUGCAUGCUUUUCCCCAAAAAAAAGAAAAAAGUUUAUAAAAAGAUUAUAGGUUUUUACUCAGACCCUUGAAACCUUUCUGAUAAUACCAAAAACACUAAUCCUUUAACAAAAGAAAGCAAGAAAAAAAAAGGUCCUAUAUUUUAAUAUCUGUUGGCUUUGUAUUGAUAUUGCUUGUUUGUUGUCUUUUAUUUCAUUGUUUGUAUCUAAGUUUACUUGAAGAUUAAAGAUCAGUAGGAAAAGCCCUUUUUAUAAAGCUAACAUACACAUUUUAGAAUAGGGCUCAACCGCAUGAAAAUAUUUACAUUGUAGUAUCUCAUAUUAAUAAUCUAAAAAAAACCAAUCCAACAAGUUCAAAUUCACUGAAAUCUAAAAAAGAUUGCUUUUAAGGAGUACAUGAUAGCUAUUGAAUUUUGGUUAAAGAUCUUUUAGGCAGAAUUGAAAUUCACUCAGUCAUAAAUCAACCAAUCCAACGAGUUCAAGUGCAGAGUCAAUUGAACAAAUUCAUCACUUGCAGAAUUAAGCUUAUCUUCCGCAAUUGAGUUGUUUCCAUUAGAAAUUUUCCCGCAGUCACGAGACUAUCAUCAGAACAUGAUUAUUUAUAUAAGAACAAGAGUUAAGAGGAGAAAAAUAAGGCAAAACAAGAUUCUUCUGUUUUCAUUCCCUUUUUUUUUUUUUUGUUUGGUGGUUGAAAAAUUUUAUCUCUAAAUUUUUAUAAUUUUUCGUUAAAGUUUAUAUUUAAAUAAAGGGUUAAAAAAAUCUAGUUCUAAAUUUAUGCAUUGAAUGAUUAUUAUUAUUGGUUACGAUAUCAAUUAAAUAACAAAUAGAGCUACUAAUCACUUUGUUAAAAAUGAACAUGCGUUCUGUUUAUAUGACAGAGCAAAACACGGGGUGCACGCUUAAGUCUUGUUCUUUUACAGUUCAAUUGUAUUACUUACUCUCAUAAACUCUUUACUCACAUUCCUCUGCAGUUAACCGUGAUCUUUUGCUCAUUAAAAUUUUUCUUAUAUAUUCAAUGCCAAUAGUGAAGCUCAUAAACUCUGUGAUCCUGAAUAAUAAAAGAGGUGAACUUGUUCUAAAUGAUAGCUAUUCAACUUGGUUAAAGAUCUUUUAGAAAGAGUUCAAAUUCAGUCAAUCAUAACUCAACCUAUCCAACAACUCCAAGUCUAGAGUCGAUUGAGCAAGAUUCAUCACAUGCAAAAUUAAGCUUAUCAUACCCAAAUUGAGUUGUUUCGGUUAGAAAUUUUCCAGCAGCCAUAAGCAUCAUCAUUGUGUUUCCGUUAGGAAAUUGAGUUGCUUAUCAUACCCAAAAUAUUUAUAUAAGGACAAGAGUUAAGGAAAAGAUCCCUCAAGGAAAAGGUCCCUCUGUUUUCAUUCCCCUGUUCUUUCGUUUAGUGAUUGAAAAAUUUUAUAUCUAAAUUUUAUUAUUUUCCAUUGAGGUUCAUUUAAAACAGAAAAGAAUUAAAAAUGUAAUUCUAAAUUUACCCUAAUUCACGGAGUGAUUAUUAUUAUGUUAUCUCAAAAUUGGCCAUACGAAUUAAAUGACUAAUAGAGUUAUUGACAAUUUUGUUAAAAAUGAACAACCGAUAAGUCAUUAUCUUUUGCACUUCAUUCUUAUUACUCUCAUAAACAUUUUAAUCACAUUUCUCUGUAGUUAACAAUGAUCUUUACCCAUUAAAAUUGUUCUUACAUAUUCAUGGCAAAUGAAGAAGCUCAUCAACUCUGUGAUCCCAGAUUAUUAAAGAGGUGCACAUGUUCUAAACCCUUUAAUAGUUUCUUUUGAUACCAUAAUCUAAUCCUUGAUCUUGAUAAUAGUGCUUUCGCAACAUCCAAGUAAAAAUUUCUCUUGUUUGUCUUAAUCUUGUCAUUUAGGUUUCUCGACUUUUAAUUUAUUAUUCAUUGUUGACUUCUGUGUUCUUAAUAUUAGCAUUCGUUAACUUACUUAAAUCCAUCCUUUUCAACAGCCAGAAAAAUAUAUAUUGUUAAGCAACAGGAGAUGGCAGAAGUAUGUCUUGCUAUUUUUUCCUGCGUAUCAGAAGGUACAAAGACAUUGUCUGAACCGAUUAUAGGGCAGAUGUCUUAUGUGCUCAAGUGCCAGAGCUACAUAGAUGGGCUAAAAGACCGAGUAGAGGAGCUGGGACAAAGAAGAAAAAGGGUGGAAAUACUGGUUGAUCAGGCUCCUGGACAAGGAUAUAAGAUUUUUGGGGAUGUCACAGAGUGGCUAGGGAAAGUUGAGCAAUUCACUCAAGGGUAUGCAAAACACAUCAUUAAUGAUGAAGAUGAAGUUAGGAAGCCCUGCUUUAAAGGAUUGUCCCCAAAUUUGAUGUCUCGUUAUAAACUCAGUAAACGAGCAGUGAAGGCUGCAAAAUAUGCUGAAACUCUCUUGGCAACAGGCAACUUAUGGAUCAUGAGUAAUGUUUCCCACCCUCCUUCCCCAAAGAUGAGAGAAUUUGGCAACAUGAAAGAUUACGAUAUCUUUAAUUCGAGAAAGAAAAUAUUUCAAGAUGUUAUAGAGGCGUUGAAAGAUGAUAAGCUCAACAUAAUUGGGGUCUGCGGAAUGGGCGGCGUGGGUAAAACCACGCUAGUCAAGCAAAUUGCAAAGCAAGUUAUGGAAGAUAACGUGUUCGAUAAGGUCGUUAUGGCUGAGAUAACAAAGAACCCAGAUGCUCAAAAAAUUCAAGGAGAACUCGCUUCCGAUCUAGGCAUGAACUUUGACUCGAAUGAUCACAUAUACCACAGAGCAAAACAACUAUGUCAAAGAUUGAAGAAAGAGAAGCGAGUCCUCAUUAUAUUAGAUAAUAUUUGGACAAAACUUGAGUUGGACAAAAUUGGAAUUCCUUAUGGGGAUGUUGAUGAGAAAGAUAAAAAUGAUGAUCCGAGAAGAUGACGAUAAUAUUGACGUCUAGAAGUCGAGAUUUAUUGUGCAUUGAUAUGAAUUCUCAGAAAAUGUUCUGGAUCGAUGCUUUAUCAAAAGAAGAAGCAUUGCAGUUAUUUGAGAAGAUAGUGGGUGAUUCCACAAAAGCAUCUGAUUUUCGACCUUUAGCAGAAGAGAUUGUUGGAAAAUGCGGAGGAUUGCCUGUUGCACUGAGUACAGUUGCAAAUGCUCUGAAAAAUAAGAGUCUUGCCAUUUGGAAGGAUGCGUUGAAUAAGCUGACAAGUUCCAAUCUAAGAGAAAUUCAUGGUAUGGAUGCAGAUGUGUAUUCUUCUAUAAAAUUGAGUUACGACUUCUUGGAUGAUGAAGCAAAAUCUUUGUUCCUUCUUUGUGGUCUGCACCGUGAAGGUCGUCCUAUACACGUACAUUACUUACUGAGAUAUGUUAUGGGAUUGAGAUACGAUAAGGGUUUGGGUCUAUUUAGAAAUGUUUACACAUUGGAAGCAGCAAGGAAUAGAGUGGAUGCAUUGAUCGACAAUCUAAAAGCUUCAUGCUUAUUGUUGGACGGUGAUGCUGAAGAUGAAGCUAAACUGCAUGACGUCAUUCAUGUUGUUGCUGCAUCAAUUGCAGAAGAAAAGCUUAUGUUUAAUAUUCCAAAUGUUGCUGACUUUGAGAGAGAGAUGGAAGAGACAAUACAGAAAGGUCCAAUUGCUAUUUCUUUACCUUAUAGAGAUAUUCAAGAGCUCCCUGAAAGGUUGGAAUGUCCCCAACUCAAGUUAUUUUUGUUGUUUGCAAAGUACGAUAGCACUUUGCAAAUUUCAGACCACUUUUUUGAAGGGACGGAAGAACUCAAAGUCUUAGAUUUUACUGGAAUUCGUUUCUCUCCAUUACCUUCAUCACUCGGUCGCCUCAUUAACCUUCAAACAUUGUGUUUAGAUGGUUGGCGACUAGAAGAUAUAGCAAUAGUUGGACAGCUAAAGAAAUUAGAGAUUCUCAGCCUUCGAGGUGCCGAAAUUAAGCAGUUGCCACUUCAGAUUGGACAAUUGACAAGGUUACAGUUGCUAGAUUUGAGCAAUUGUAGCAGCCUUGUGGUGAUAGCACCAAAUGUCAUAUCGAAAUUAUCUCGAUUGGAAGAACUAUAUAUGGGUGACAGCUUUUCACAGUGGGACAAGGUUGAAGGAGGAAGUAACGCCAGUCUUGCUGAAUUGAAGGGGCUGUCAAAGCUAACUACUUUGGAGAUAGAUGUUCGGGAUGCUGAAAUGCUGCCGCAGGAUUUGGUCCUUGGGGAAUCGCUAAGAUAUAGGAUAUGAAUAGGAGAAGUGUGGGGCCGCUGGUCUGUUAAAUCUGAAACAUCAAGAUUGAUGAAGCUUCAGGGGCUAGAAAAUAUUAGCAUUCUUUUGAGGAAUCAUGGAAUGAAAAUGUUGCUGAAGAAAACUGAAGAUCUCUAUCUACAGGAACUGAAGGGUGUAAAGAAUGUUGUUCCUGAAUUAGAUGAUGGGGAAGGUUUUCCACGAUUAAAGCAUCUUCAUGUAGGAAAUUUUGCGGAGCUUUUACAUAUUGUCGGUUCAAUUCAUUGCAAAGUCUUUCCCCAGCUAGAGUCAUUGUCUCUUUUUGGUUUGCUUAAUUUGGAGAAGAUAUGUUACAGCCAAAUCACAGAUCAAUCUUUUAUCAACUUAAGAAUCUUUAGCGUACGUAAUUGUAACAAAUUGAAGCAUCUCUUCUCAUUCUCUAUGGCCAAAAGCCUAUUGCGGCUUCAACAAAUAAAAGUGGGUCUUUGCAACAACCUGGAAAUGAUUAUUGGUAAGUGUUGGAAGUAUUUUGAGGAAUUAUAAAAAGCUACUAUUACUUAAUGACAGAAGUUAAUUAUUAAUUUUGUUUCUAGGACUCAACAAGGAGACAAGUAAUUUCGGUUUUAAAGAAAUCAUUGCAGAGGAUGAUCCUGUUCAGAAGGUGAUAAUUUAUGAUCCUGUUCAGAAGGUGAUAAUUUUCUCUUUAAUAAUUAAUUAAUAUAUUAUCAUGAUUUAUUUCAAUCAUCAAAAGAAUAUUAGAGAGAUAGGGAGGGGGAAAAAAAAAAAAGCUUACGGUUUUGCUUUGCAGGUCAUUCUUCCAGGCUUAGAGGAGUUGGAACUUGAUAGAUUAGCAACCAUUGAAAAAGUAUGGCCGGAUCAGUUUGAGGGAAUGUCUUGUUGUCAAAAUUUAACAAAAGUGACCGUGGAGAGGUGUCAUCGCCUGAAGUAUCUAAUAAAUUUGUUGACAUUCUCAAUGCCUGAAAGUUUUGUGAAUCUUGAAAUAAUGAAGAUAGUUGAUUGCAAAAUGAUAGAAGAAAUCAUAAAAUCACAGGUUGGAAUAGAAGCGAAACAUUGUAUUGUUUUUAGGAAAUUGAAGUACUUGAGGCUUGAUUGUUUGCCAAGCCUGACAAGCUUUUCUUCGAGUAAUUACACUCUUGAAUUCCCCUUCUUGAAACAAGUAGUUGUGAGACAGUGCCCAAAGAUGAAGAUUUUCUCUCAAGGAGGACUCUUACACACACCAAUGUUGAACAAAGUGCAACUCACUGAAGAAGACGAUGAUGAAGGGUACUGGGAAGGCGACCUCAAUAAUACCAUACAAAAGUUGUACUACAAAGAAGUGGUGAGUAUUAAUUAAGCAUUGGUGCUAGGCCACUAGCUUUAUUUUAUGAAUAACACAGGAGCCCUAACCACAUAAAAAUUAUCUUAUAUAAAGUGGUGAAAUAAUAUGGUAGGUUGACAUAUAUAUACAUGUAUGUAUGUAUGUAUGUAUCCACGUAUAUGGCCCAUGUUUUGUUUUACAUUUAACCAGUCAUAUUAUGUUACAUCAAUUUUUAUAACAUUAUUUAGAUAAUAGUGUCUGAAACUGUAUCAUUAUUCUUGAUUUAAUUUUGUUAUUAGUUUUUUUUUCUAUUAUUAGUAUUAUCAUUAAAAGGUAAACGUUUUCUUACCCACCUCAUAAAUUAGCAUGCUUUAUUUUGUCUUUAACUUAUUGAAAACAUUAACCCACGCCCAUUUAGCGUUAAAAGUACAAAAUGUUUGCCGAAGAAUAUCAUCAACACAGGCCCCUAUUCACGCUAUUCUUUUGGAUAGUAAAUGGGGGUGCGUUGAUGUUAUCAUUAAUUUGGUAGACAUCGGGAAACUGUAAUAAUAUAAAAAACAAUUGUGUGUGUCUAGUGAAUUUUUUUUUGGUUUGUGCAGGAUAGAGUUCGUGAAAUGACGAAGUUGGAACUCUCAAACUUUCCACGUUUCAGAGAAAUGUGGCAUGCCCAAGCACUGCCUGUUAGCUUCUUCAGCAAUUUAGUAAAGCUAGUGAUGGAUGACUUCAAGAAUAUGACUACUGCUAUUCCAGCCAAUCUUCUACGGUGCUUGAACAAAUUAAAAAUUCUGGAAGUGAGGAAUUGUGAUUCAUUAGAAGAGGUGCUCCAUUUAGAAGAGCUAAAUGUUGAUGAACAUUUUGGCCCUCUGUUUCCUGUUCUUGUCCAGCUAGAGCUCAUUAAUCUUCCAAAACUCAAAAGAUUCUGCAGCUUCAUUGGGAAUGUUAUUGAACUGCCUGAGUUGUUGAAUCUGAACAUUGAGAAUUGCCCUAAUAUGGAAAUAUUCACUUGCAAUUCUAUAUCUAUAUUGCACAGGACAACAAAUAAAGAACCUCUGGAAAUAACACCAAAGGAGAACUUCCCGCUAGCUGACAUACAGCCUCUCUUUGAUGAAAAGGUGAUUGUUAUUAAGUUUUUUUUUUUUUUUUCCUUCGCUUUCAUUCACAUAGAUGUAAUUCUCAUUAGAAUUAAAAUUAAUUUUAUUUAAUGAUCUUUCUGUUGUCUUUACUCUUUAUAUCUAAUCUAACGGUUCUAAUGCAGUUAUUAACUAAAAUUUCAGUAUACACUCAUAAAAAUGUCAUCAAAUUAGUUAAAUGAUUGGUAACAAGGGGUGAACUCUAUCCAUAUUAUCUCUAUUCAGAUUUGAUUUAUGUGCUUCAAGGGUAACUAUUUGAAUUUUAUUUUUUGGUUCCUCCGCAACUAAAUACAAUUUGGAUAUAAAAUGCUGUCGUCAAUCUUUUCCAUGAAACUGCUUACGAAGACUGCCGACGUUAGAUAUAUGUUCUCAUUUACAACUUUUUUUUUUCCAGGUUGCAUUCCCCAAGUUACAUAUGUUGAACCUGUCUAGAAUACCCAAGGUGUCGCAUCUAUGGAAGAAAAUUUCCGAAUCCAACGAAGUUUCCAAGUUUUUGAAUACUCUAGUAAUAUCAGAAUGUAGUAAGUUACGAAAAUUAGUACCAUCUUUGUUGCAUUUGGAAUAUCUGGCGACUCUAGAAGUGUCGAAGUGUCACGGGUUGACAAAUUUGUUGACGAUCUCAACAACUAAAAGUUUAGAACAUCUUUUAGUAAAUCUUGAAAUAAUGAAGAUAGCUGAUUGCAAAAUGAUAGAAGAAAUCCUACAAUCACAGGUUGAAAAAGAAGAAGAAAUCCUACAAUCACAGGUUAAAAAAGAGGAAGAUUGCAUUGUUUUUGGGAAAUUGAGGUACUUAGGACUUGAUUGUUUGCCAAGCCUAACAAGCUUUUAUUCGGGUAAUUACACUCUUGCAUUCCCAUCCUUAGAAGAAGUAGUUGUGAGACAGUGCCACAAGAUGAAGAUUUUCUCUCAAAAAGGGCGCUUACACACACCAAUGUUGAACAAAGUGCAAUUCACUGAAGAAGAUGAGGAUGAAGGAUGCUGGGAAGCCAACCUCAAUGAUACUAUAAAAAAAUGGUACUACAAAGAAGUGGUCAGUAUUAAUUAAGCAUUGGUGCUAGCUUUAUUUUAUCAAUAAUACUAGAGUCUCAACCUCUUAAAAAUUAUUUUAUACAAAAUGAUGUGAUAUAAUAUGGUAGGUUGUGUGUGUGUAGCCCGCGUUUUGUUUUUUGUUUAACCAAUCAUAUUAUUUUAUAUCAGCUUUAUAACAUUAUUUAGACAAUAGUGUUUGUAACUAUAUCUUUACUCAUUAUUUAAUUUUGUUAUUAGUUUUGUUACUGUUAUUAGUAUUAUUAGUAGUAUUAUUAUUAAAUGGUAAAUGUUUUUACCCAGUACCCACCUCAUAAAUUAACAUUCCUUAUUUUUGUCUUUAACUUAUUGAAAACAUUAACCCAUGCACAUUUAGCUUUAAAAGUACAAAAUGUUUGAUUAAGAAUAUCAUCAACACAGGCUCCUAUUCACUAUAUUCUUUGAAUAGUAAACGGGGUGCGUUGAUGUUAUCAUAAAUUUGAUGGACAUCUGGAAACUGUAGUAAUCUAGAAAACAAUUGUGUCCAUAUAUAUAUCCACUACAGUUUUCCUCUUUUUUUGUGGCUUUUGCAGGAUAGAGUUCGUGAAAUGAUGAAGUUGGAACUCUCAAGCUUUCCACGUUUGAGAGAAAUGUGGCAUGCCCAAGCACUGCCUGUUCGCUUCUUCAACAAUUUAGUAAAGCUAGUGAUGGAUGACUUCACGAAUAUGACUACUGCUAUUCCAGCCAAUCUUCUACGGUGCUUGAACAAAUUAAAAAUUCUGGAAGUGAGGAAUUGUGCUUCAUUAGAAGAGGUGCUCCAUUUAGAAGAGCUAAAUGUUGAUGAACAUUUUGGCCCUCUGUUUCCUGUUCUUGACCAGCUAGAGCUCAUUAAACUUCCAAAACUCAAAAGAUUCUGCAGCUUCAUUGGGAACGUUAUUGAGCUGCCUGAGUUGUUGAAUCUGAACAUUGAGGAUUGCCCUAAUAUGGAAAUAUUCACUUGCAAUUCUAUAUCUAUGUUGCACAGGACAACAAAUAAAGAACCUCUGGAAAUAACACCAAAGGAGAACUUCCCGCUAGCUGACAUACAGCCUCUCUUUGAUGAAAAGGUGAUUGUUAUUAAGUUUUUUUUUUUUCCCUUUGCUUUCAUUCACGUAGAUGUAAUUCUCAUUAGAAUCAAAAUCAAUUUUGUUUAAUCAUCUUUCUGUUGUCUUUACUCUUUAUAUCUAAUUUAACGGUUCUAAUGCUCUUAUUAACUAAAUUUUCACUAUACACUUAUGAAAAUGUCAUCAAAUUAGUUAGAUGAUUGGUAACAAGGGGGAGAACUCCAUCCAUAUUGUCUCUAUUUAGAUCGGAUUUAUGUGUUUCGAGGGUAACUAUUUGAUUUUUAUUUUUUGCUUCCUCUGCAAAUAAAUAGAAUUUGGAUAUAAAAAGUUGUGAUCAAUCUUUUCCAUGAAACAUGCUUGUGAAGACUGCCGAUGUUAGAUAUAUAUUCUUAUCUACAACUUUUUUUUUUAUUUAAUUUUCAGGUUGCAUUCCCCAAGUUAUAUAAGUUAAAACUGACUAGAAUACCCAAGGUGUCGCAUCUAUGGAAGGAAAUUUCCGAAUCCAACAAAGUUUCCAUGGUUUUGAAUACUCUAGUAAUAUCAGAAUGUAGUGAGUUACGAAAAUUAGUACCAUCUUUGUUGCAUUUGGAAUAUCUGAUGACUCUAGAAGUGUCGAAGUGUCACCGGUUGACAAAUUUGUUGACGACCUCAACAACUAAAAGUUUGGUGAAUCUUGAAAUAAUGAAGAUAGCUGAUUGCAAAAUGAUAGAAGAAAUCCUACAAUCACAUGUUCAAGAAGAAGGGAAAGAUUGCAUUGUUUUUCGGAAAUUGAGGUACGUGGGACUUGAUUGUUUGCCAAGCCUAACAAAAGCUCAUGCCUUGUUGAUGGAUGCUGUAGAAGAAGGACUAUAUUGUUGUAGCAACAAGCCUGCAGAAAAUCACAGAAUACUUAUCUGUAUAUGAACAAAAACAAGUCUGAACCAGAGAGAAUGUUGUAGUAACUAUUGCAAAAAUCUAGAUCAAAUACAAACAAAACUGUCUAGAUUGUUCAUGUGCUAACUAAUAAAGUCUACUGCAGUCGAUACUGAACUACCACUAUCAUGUGCAGACAACAGAGUGGCAGGCAGCACAAAAGGGAAUGUGCUCCUAGGAUGCCAAAAAACACAAGUGUCCUAAUGCUUUUUAGUUGCCCAAAUCCCAAGAUAUAAAAGACCAUAUUUUAAGGAAAUACAUCAUCCACGACCGACACAUGCAAAGAGAACAGAAAGAGAGAUUUCAGAGUUGCAAUAGAGGCAUUUUUCGUGUUGAAAAAUGAGAGAUAAUAGAAGAUCAAAGCAUGACGUUUUGGGUCUUUUGUAUCUCAACGUUUUUUCUUGUAUUUGUUUAUUUUGUUCUCUCUCUGAUAAUGUAUUUAAUGGCAGACACUUGUGUUGUUACUGUUUCAAAGCUCAUCAUGAGCUAAACCUUAAUUUAGUUGGGUUUUGAAUAUGCUUAAUGGUUAUUUAAUUUACAUGUGUAUGUUGCUCAGAACCUGUUAUAGCAUUUUGUUUUAACUUUACUUAUUGUAAUUGCCUACCUCGGUUGACUACCUAUUUAGUGGAUAUUAGAUAAGAAGGAGCCUAAAAGGUUUGACUUAGUGGAAUAAAUUAAGAAAUACAUGGUUCUAGAUUAGGAUUCCCAAGUUGAGUUAAUCUCGAUUUGAAUAGGGCCAUGCUUAAUCUAAGAUUAGUGAAGAACUAGAUUUAGGGAUUCACCUUGUAGGGCAAAUAGAGUCUAAAACAUAAAAUGCUAUGUCUAAUGUUAGUUUAAUAACUAAUCACUAUUAGAUUACAUAUAGAUAUAAGAUAUCCAAAAAACGACAGUUGAAGACGCUAUAACAACUGUGUCUCAAUUGAAAGAUAUUCAAUAACCAAUAAGUGAGUUUAGAACCCGACUACCCUUUUGCCAUUUAGUAUAUUUUUUUGUUUGACUUUAGAUUCUCUUUAUUGCAUUCUAUUUGUUGCAUUGUUAAUUUCAUUAGAUCAUUAAUAUCAUCAUUUAUUUUCUUUUAUUUAGUUUAUUAAAAUUGCACUGUUAAGAUUGCUAUAGUAAGUCCUAUAACAUCAAUCCAUGUGGAGACGGUUUUGAUACUCAUCAUUAUAUUAUUUCUUGUGUACACUUGUAUAUUGACACUUUACCAAGUUUUUGGCGCCGUUGCUGGGGAUUGAGUGUAACACCCCAGUCUGAAAUCCAAGGGCAAAUAUGUCCAUAACUCACAUAUGAAUUUAAAUAACCCUUUACAAUCGAAAAAAAUUCAAACCUCCAAUAUAAUAGGCAGCGGAAUAAUUUGAAAAUUUUGUCAAACCAUCUAUCAUCCUCAAUUCAAGUCUACCUUCUCACUCAUUACGAAUCAUUCCUGACUUUUGGAAACUGAAUCACAAUAAACUAUAAUGAGUACAAAACUCAGUAAGCAAAUUAGUUUUCUUAUACUAAAAUACAUCCAUACUUAUACAUAAUGCAAAUGGAUGAUAUGUCAUGAUCUUUUGGAAAUACUAUAAAACAAAUUCAUAAAAGUCUCUUUCUGUCGCUUUCAAACUUUCUCAUUUUCUUUCAAUAAAAUACGUAUCCUACAAUGUGGCACUUUGUGCUGUGCGUGGCACUUUGCACCAUGCGUGGUACUUUGCGGCGCUCUGGCCCUCAAGAGGUGGCCCCCGCAUAGUCUCAAGAGGUGGCCCCCAAUGUAAAAUCUCAUAAAACAAAAAUUCUGUUUGCUAAAAUUCACUUGUUCAUUCAUAGAAAACUCAAUGCAUUUUCGUGCUCAUGCUAAUGAACCAUCACACAUACAUAUGCCCAUGUACAUAAUCAUGCCCAUUACAUAACAACACAUCACAUAAACACAUGAGCAGAGACAUAUAAAUCCAUAUUCGUACAUAUCAAAAUAGGUUUUUCAUACAAGUCAAACAUAUAUAUUAUUUAUUGUGAUUCGUUUUAAAGUCUAGUUUACUUACCUCUUGGUAUCCUCAUGCAACAAAUGCAUAUUGAUAUCAUCAACCUUAAAUCAUCAAUAAAUUUCUCAUAAGAUAUAAUCAAGUCUCAAUCAUAAACUCUAAUGUCCUGAAGUAUCUCAAUUUAAAUGUCCUCAAUAAUCGGCCCUCAAAACAUAACAGUCCAUAUUUCUCCGAUUUUUAAUAAACUAUUCUCUUAUUGGAAGAAUCUAAAAUUUUACCGACCAUAUGCUGACACAUUGAAAGUUCAUUGAUAAAUAUUUCGUAACAUAAUUCCUUCAAAAACUAUUGAAAAUAACUGACGUUUCAGACAUCAUCAAUACUGUCAAACAGUUUUCUAUUUUGAACACACUUGCUUUAAAAAUACAAAACAAUUUAUUGCUUUAUCAUAAAAUCAUGAACAUUUUUAGAAUCAUACUAUACAUAUAUAUAAAUCAUUGGUCCAAAUUUCGUAAUUGUUGAAGAAGUCUAGCUAUGGUAAAAAUAAUUUCGUAAUUUACGUUAUUCACUGAAAUCAUAAAUUUCCAGGUUUUCAGGCUUGAAUUUGAAAAAUCGUAAUUAAUUGAAAUCUUAUCUGAUUAACUUGAAACAAGUUUCAAAACAUUCUAAACGAUAUCUAGUUUAACAUACCCAAAAAUCAGAAUCAAAAUCAACUUGUACAAAUUACUAUGAUUUCCGUAAUAAUUCACUGUCAGCAUAUUUCUGCAAAAUCUUAGAUUUCUACUUCUAUUGCAAUAAUGCUUCUCCACAACAAUUUAAUAGAGACCAAUAAUUAAAACUUACCUCCAAAACUUCUCCCAACAAUAAAAACUUAAUUCCAUGUGUUGCCUAUGGCAGAACUAAGAAGAAGAAGAAGACUUCUUCUUUUUUUCUUUUCUUGAUUUUCUCUCUUGUCUCUCCAUCUCUCUCUCUCUCUCUCUCUCUCUCUUUUCUGUCGUUUUUUUUUUGCAACCGAUCCCUCUUUUCCUCUCUCUCUUAUAAUAAAAAAGACAUCUUGUUCUAUUUAUACUAGGGCAAAAAAGGAUCACUAAAAAUUAAAAAGAGUUAAAUACCCUUAGGAGAUUUGGAAUAUUACAUUGAGUGCAUAUUGUGAGUUUUUAAGUUAAUUUUUUUUCUUUUAAUUUGUUUGUUGUGUUAACAUAAUGCUUUAGCAACCCUUGCAUGCUCAAGUAUAAACCUGUUGAAUUUUAGUUUGAUCCAAAAAUUGAAAGAACUGCAAGGAGGCUAAGAAAAGAGCAUAGAGGUUUAGGAUCUGUUGCAGACAUGGAUGGUUUGUAAAAUGUGGGAGAUUUGAAUCCCCAAGGAGGAAUGAAUCCAAUUAAUGUUCAAAGAGAUAAUCCUCUUCCCAUUUUAGAUCUAGUUAAUGCACAAAGAGUUCAAGAAUGUCAGUACGGGUAGAUUGGUCAAGGGCAACUAGAGAAUAACAACAUUUUCUGCAUGACAGUUGAUAAAGAAAAUGUUGUUAGGGACUAUAUAGUGUUAACCCCUCAAACUAUAAAUCCUGGAAUAGUCAAACCCAAAGUUCAGGCUGCUCAUUUUGAGCUCAAACCAGUAAUGUUUCAGAUGUUACAGAAAGUAGGAUAGUUCAAUAGACUACCAUCAGAAGAUCUUCAUCUUCACCUUAAACUAUUUUUGAGGUGAGUGAUGCUUUCAAGAUUGCUGGAGCAUCACAUGAGGCAUUGAGGCUAAUACUCUUAAUUUUCUUUGAAGGAUCGAGUAAGAGAAUAGUUGAACUCUUUACUACAUGAUUCAAUCUCUACAUGGAAUACCUUAGCUGACAAAUUUUUGAUAAAGUAACCUACCAAGAAUGCAAAGUUGAGGAUGAGAUCACAUUUUUCCAUUAACUUAACGAUGAAAGCUUCUAUGAUGCUUGAGAAAGAUUCAAGGAGUUGUUUAGGAAAUAUUCUCAUGAUGGUAUCCCUUGUUGUAUACAGUUGAAAACUUUCUAUAAUUGUCUAAAUUCAAGCACUAGAUUGAUGGUAAACACUUCAGGAAGUGGGGCCUUGUUAUCUAAGUCUUACAAUGAGGCUUAUGAUAUUUUGAAAAGGAUAGCCAAUAACAACUAUUAGUGGCCAUCUACCAAACAAACUACAAUAAGAAGAAUAAUAGGAGUUUACAGUGCAGAUGCCUUGAUAGCAUUAUCAGCCUAAGUAACCUUAUUGAUAAAUAUGGUAAAGGAUAUAUCCACUGUUCCAGCAACUAUCAACAAAGUUGUUAAGGCAUCAUGUAUUUAUUGUGGAGAAGGAAAUUUAUUUGAUAGUUUUCUUAGAAAUCAUGCCUCAGUCAACUAUAUGGGCAAUUAUAACAGACAGAACCACAUCAACCCUUAUUCAAACACUUACAACCCUGGAUGGAGGCAGCACCCAAACUUUUCAUGGAGCAAUCAGAAUCAGAAUCAAUAUGUUGUAGAAUCUAGUGGACAAAAUAGACUUGCUCAACCAUUUAGAUUUCAUCAGCAAAAUCAAGGGCGAAGAGACACCAACAAUGAUCAACCCAACUCCCUUGAAGCCUUAAUUAAGGAGUACAUUGUGAAGAAUGAAACAUUUAUCUAAAGUCAAGCUAUUUCCUUAAGAGACCUAGAAAAUCAGAUGGGACAAGUUACUAUAGUAUUAGGUAACAGACCUCAAGAUAAUUUACCAGGCAAUACAGAGGACCCAAGAAGAGAAUGGAAAGAGCAUUGCAAAGUAAUUAACUUAAGAUCUAGAAAGGAUGUUCACAUUCUAGUUGGUGUACUAAAAAAAAGAGUUGAGCCCACUUCAAUCUAAGAAAAAACUCAAGUUGAAGAAGAUCCAUAACCCUCUACUUCACAGUACACAGGUGAAAACAGCAAAGCACACCAAUCCAAUACUUUACAAAAAAUGAUUAUCGAAUACCUAUUGAUGAAGAUCUUGCACACUAACCACACCAAUCCAGAACAUGGCAAAAGUGAAGCAGUUUGCACAACCUUCUACAACUCAGCCGUUUAGGCACCCACCACCCUUUUCUUAAAGGUUCAAGUGACAGAAACAUGACAAGCAGUUCAGUAAAUUCUUUGAAGUGUUGAAGCAAUUGUAUAUCAACAUCCUUUUUAUGGAAGGUCUAGAGCAAAUGCCAAAUUAUGUGAAGUUCUUGAAGGAUAUUUUGACAAAGAAAAAAAGGCUAGAAGAACUUGAAAUAGUUUCUCUAACACAAAAGUACAACCACAUGCAUCAGAAUAAGAUACCUCAGAAAUUGAAGGAUUCAGAAAGCUUCACAAUUUCAUGCUCUAUAGGCAAUAAAUACAGUGACAAGACACUUUGUGAUUUAGGAGCCAGCAUUAAUCUCGUGUCCUUAUCUAUAUUUAAGCAAUUGGGUGUUGGAAAGGUCAGACCAAUAAUAGUUACCUUACUACUUGCUGAUAGAUCUCAUGCCUAUCUAGAUUGAAGAUGUACUGGUGAAAGUAGAUGAGUUUAUUUUUGCAGUUGACUUCAUAGUAUUGGAUUUUGAAGCAGAUAAAGAAGUGUUUAUCAUUUUAGGUAGACCUUUCUUGUCUGCUGGUAAGACUCUAAUUAAUGUGUAAAAAGGAGAACCAACCGUGAGGGUUAAUGAUCAGUAAGUUACAUUCAAUGUGCUAAAUGCCAUGAAGAGUCCUGAUGAUGUUGAAGAUUGUAAUUUUGUUAAUGUUGUGGAUUUUACUAUAGUAGAAAGAUUAAACAGUUGCUGCAGCAGAAAGAUUAAACAGUUGCUGCAGCAAAGAAGAAAUCAAGGUUGCAAGAUUUAAAGAACUUGAUGAUAAACCUCAAGGCCUUGAAACAACUGACAUAACAUGGCUAGAAGAAAAACAACCCUUCAAAACUGAGAAGCAAAUUAAAUAUCUUGACCUUCAAAUAGGGAUAUAAAAUAUUCUAUUUCUUUUAUUAAGUCCUCAUAUUUUAGAAUUAAAACUUUUACCUUUACACUUGAAAUAUGCUUAUCUUAGUGACCGUGAUCAACGUCAUGUAAUCAUUUCAUCAUCUUUGAAUGCAGAACAAGAAAAUAGCUUAGUUUUUGUAUUAGGGAAACAGAAGAAGGCCAUUUGAUGGACCAUGACAGAUAUCAAAGGAAUCAGCCUCUCAAUAUGCAUGCACAAGAUUCUACUGGAGGAUAGUUAUGGCAAUUCUCUAAGCAAUUGAAAAGAUUAAAUCCUAUCAUGAAGGAAGUUGUAAAGAAAGAGAUCAUCAAAUGGCUUGAUGUUGGAAUCAUCCACCUAAUAUCAAACACCUCAUGAGUGAGCCCAAUACAAUAUGUUCCAAAGAAAAUUGGAGUGACAGUUGCAGAAAAUAAAAAGAACGAGUUUAUUCUUAUAAGAACUGUAAAUGGAUGAAGAGUCUGUAUAGACUACAUAAAGCUAAAUAAGACCACAAGGAAGGAUCGCUUUCCACUGCCUUUCAUAGAUCAGAUACUGGAUAGACUCGCUAGAAAGGAGUAUUAUUAUUUCUUAGAUGGAUACUCAGGAUACAACCAUAUUGACGUAGCACUAGAAGACCAGGAGAAGACAAAAUUCAUUUUUCCUUAUGGAACCUUUGCCUUUAGAAAGAUGCCAUUUGGCAUGUGCAAUGCUUCACCAACUUUCCAAAUGUGUAUAAUGUCCAUCGUUUCAGAUAUGAUUGAGCAAAUACUUGAGGUAUUUAUGAAUGAUUUGUUUCAGUUUUUGGGGAAUCAUAUGAUGACUAUUUGUAUAAUUUAAAAAAUAGACUUAGAAGAUGUAAAGAGACAAACUUAGUAUUGAAUUCGGAAAAAUGUCAUUUCAUUGUACAAGACGAGGAUAGUCCUAGGCUAUAAACUCUCUAAAAAAAUGAUAGAAGUGGAUAAGGUAAAAAUAGAGGUGAUUAAUAAACGUCUAUUAUCCACUUCAGUUAAAGGCAUAAGGAGUUUCUUGAGGCAUGCUGGAUUUUAUAGAAGGUUUAUUAAGGAUUUCUCCAAAAUAUCAAAACCUUUAUACAUGUUGUUGGAGUGUAACAAACCUUUUAAUUUUGAUGAUGAUUGCUUGAAGGCCUUCGUUGAGUUAAAGAGAGCUUUUGUUACAACACAAGUUGUUGUAACACCUAAUUAGAGUAUGCCUUUUGAGUUGAUGUGUGAUGCUAAUGAUCAUUCGGUUGGAGCAGUGUUAGGGCAAAGAAAAGGCAAGACUUUCCAUUCCAUUUAUUAUGCCAGUAUGACUCUAGCUAAUGCAAAUUCAACUAUACCACAACUGAAAAUGAGAUGCUGACAAUUGUAUUUGUAUUUGAUAAAUUUAGAGCCUAUUUGGUUGGCAGCAAAGUGACUGUUUACAUAGAUCACUCAGCCAUAAAAUAUUUGACUCCAAAGAAAGAUGUCAAACUAAGGCUAAUCAAGUGGAUUCUCUUCCUACAAGAGUUUGACUUAUAGAUCAAGGAUAGAAAAUGAACGGAGAAUUAAGUAGCAAAAUAUCUUUCAAGGCUUGAAGUAGAUGCAAGCACUUUGACCAAGCAGGAUAUCAUAGAAAUAUUUCCUUAUGAGCAAUUGUUCAUAUUGCAGCAUGCACAGAUGCUGCAGUAAUCUGAAUUUCCAUGGUUCACGGAUUUUGUUAAUUUUCUAGAAAGUGGAUUGCCACCACCUAACUUGAGCUACCAGCAAAAGAAGAUAUUAAUUUAUCCAUGAUGUCAGAAGCUAUUAGUGGGAUGAGCCCUACUUGUACAAGAUGUGUUUGUUAACAUAUAUGUUUCCAUAAUAUUGAUUUUGAUGAUAACAAACAAGAUUAAGAAUGAUUAAUCUUUUAAGCUCAAAUUAUUUUUAUACUUUUUAAAUAAAUCAUUAUUUUUACAUUAUAAAAGUUUUAUAUUUAAUGGAAAAAUGAUUUUAUGAAAUUGAUUGUUUUUAUUCUUUUUAAAUAAAUCAUUAUUUUCACAUUAUAAAUGUUUCAUAUUUAAUGGAAAAAAGAUUUUAUGAAAUUGGUUGUUUUUCAAAGUUUAUGGUUUAAUUGAAAGAAUUUUGAAAACUUUGAAAUAAACAAGUAUUGCUUGAAAUUUUGGAGAAGGACUUAUUUGAAAAGUGUCAUAGCUUUUUGGGCUAUAUCAUAAUUUCAAAAAGUUUUGGGAUUAACAAAGCAUUACUUAGAAAUUCUGAAAUUGGACCUAUUUGCAAAGUUUCAUGACGUUUUGGGCCAUAGUAUAGUUUUAUAAAGUUUUGGGGUCAAACCAUAAUUUCAGAAAAUAGUGCACUGUGAAGGUUACUGUAGCAUCCGGCUUAUCGGAUAUAAAAACCAAAAAACUGGAUACGGGGCAGAAUGUAUCCAGAACGUAAACGGCUUACCGGAUUUCGUAACCGGCAAGCCGGAUAGGCAAAAUUCAAAUUUUUGCCUUAAUGGUAACAUAAAUCCGGCUUACCGGAUUCCAAAAACGGCAAACCCGAUACGUCCAGAAUGUGCAUAACGGCUAGUUUUUGAGUUCAAACUAUAUAAACUCAAAACCAAUUCAUUUUUCGUAAUCCAAGCAAGCAAGAACAAGUGCACACAACAUAUAUUAAGCUUCAAUUUCGUAACUCAUCAUUUAUUAAAUCAUCUUUGUUCUUCAAUUUGUAUAUCCACUCUUAAAGAGAGAUUCAUUGUUGUAUUUUUCAUUUCUCAUUAAAUUGUGAGUGUACAAGUGUGAGAAACACUUGGAGUGAAGAGAUUGGAGAGAUAAUCUCUUGUUGUAAAGGUUCAUUGACACCUUAAAGUCAAUUGUAAACGUUUGAAGCCUUGGAAAGGCUUGGAUAGUGAAAUCCUCAAGCCCGGUGUGCUUGGAGGCGUGGACGUAGGCGGGGAUUGCCGAACUACGUAAAAAUCCUUGAGUUUGCUUUCUCUUCCCUUGCUCAUUUAUUAUUGUGCUUUCAUUGAAUUUAUUGUUUUCGAAUUUAUUAAGGAAUUAGAUUGGAUUUGUGUGUGGUUUGCUUAGCUUAAUUUUUAAAAAUCCAAUUCACCCCCCCUCUUGGAUUGCCUAGUUAGUAUUUCAUUUGGUAUUAGAGCGAGGUGCUCUUGUGUAAACUUAACCGUCUAGAGUUAAAGAUCCAUGGAAACCCAUAAUGACUCAAUCUUUAGGGAAGGACAAUCCACAAUUAGACCACCGUUCUUUGACGGUAAUGACUACCCAUAUUGGAAAACUAGGAUGAGAAUUUAUUUACAAGCUUUAGAUUAUGAAAUUUGGGAAAUUGUUUGUGAUGGUCCAUUUAUGCCUUUGACUAAAAAUGAAGUCGGGGACGAUAUUCCAAAACCUUCACAGGAAUGGAAUGAAUUGGAAAAGAAAAAAUCUACUCUAAAUUCCAAAGGUAUGAAUGCCUUGUUUUGUGCACUAGAUAAGAAAGAAUUUCAUAGAGUUUCUAGUUGUGAGAGUGCUAAUGAAAUUUGGCACAAACUUGAAGUUGUUUAUAAAGGCACAAAUCAAGUGAAAAGAGUCUAAAAUUAGUAGGUACACUCGGCAAUAUGAAUUAUUCCAAAUGGAACAAAAUGAGAGUGUGUAUUCUAUGUAUACUAGAUUUACGGACAUAGUGAACACUCUAGGAGCCCUAGGAAAGACUUUUUCAAAUAGCGAUAAGGUUACGAAAACUAUUAGGUCGCUACCUAAGGAAUGGAGACCAAAAAGGACUGCUAUUGAGGAAGCUAAGGAUUUAAAUAUCUUACCUAUUGAUGAUUUAAUUAGUUCUCUUAUUUCUUAUGAGGAAGACUUGGCAGCCGAAAGAGGCAAUAAGGAGAAGAAGAAAAACAUUGCUCUCAAAGCCUCGAAACAAGAGAGUGAUGAGGAAAGCGAGCUGGAUGAGGAGGAGAUGAAUAUGUUGGCUAGGAGGUUCAGAAAACUCUUUAAGAAAUCCGGUGAGCGAAGAAAAUUUAAAGACCUCAAGAACUGAAAGGAGAAGAAGGAAUUAAUCAAAUGUUAUGAGUGCAAGAAGCUUGGCCAUAUAAGAACGGAAUGUCCUCUUCUCAACAAGCUCAAGAAGAAAGCAAUGGUUGCCACAUGGGAUGAUAGCGAUGAGGAAACAAGUGAUGAUGAAGAGAAUCAAGAAAUGACAAAUCUAGCUCUCAUGGCAAUUGGAGAUGAAUCGGAUGAUGAACUUGAUGAGGUAAAUGAUCUUUUUACUUAUGAUGAAUUAUAUGAUGCUUUUAAAGAAUUGCAUGAUAAUUGGAUAAAAAUUGGUAAAAAGAAUGCAUGUCUUAAAAAGAAAAUGGUAGAGCUCAAAAAUGAAAAUGAAUCUCUAUGUGCAAAGAUUACAUGCCUAGAAUUAGAGAAUAAAACAUUGCAUGAUAGAGUUGCAUUAUUUGAGAAUUCUAGCACUUUACAUGAGCACUUAGAGUCACACAUGAAUGACUUGAAAAAUGAGAAUGAAAUGCUUAGAAAGAAGAGCAAUGAGUUAAAUGAGAUUGUUUUAAAAUUUACAGAUGGACAAAAGAUGUUGGAUAACUUGAUUAAUUCUCAAAAAUGUGUGUUUGAUAAAGGAGGUAUUGGUUAUAAGCCAAAUUUGAAACAAAAAUAUUAUAAAAGUUAUUUUGUUAAAACUACCUCCAUUAAUAAUCAAAUUGUAUGUCAUUAUUGCAAUCAAAAUGGUCAUAUGAAGAAUAGAUGUCCAAUUAAAAGAAAUGUGUAUUAUGGAGUAAAAUGUGUUUGGGUUCCAAAAGGAACCAUUGCUAACACUCAAGGACCCAAGAGCAUUUGGGUACCAAAGGGCACAACUUGAAUAUUCUUUUGUAUGUACCACAAACAAGGAAUGGUGGAGAGUUCCUUGAUGAAGCUUGUGAGGAUAAUCAUUUGAGCAUGAUCUAGGAGAAAAAGAUGAGGCAAGAUGAUUUAAUUGUUUUGGUAAUAAUUCUUGCCAUAUUAAUUUUGUUGAAUGGAUCAUGAUAAAUGGAUAAUAGCUUGAAUUUGUGAAAGUAUACUUGUAUGUUUACAUGAUAGAAUUAUCAUUGUGUUUAACAUUGAGUGCUUUAUCAUAAUGCAUGGUUAUAUAUAUAAGAUGAUAGCUUGUCAACUCAUCAUGAUAGCUUUGUUUGAUUUUGAUGAUUAUGUAAUGCCUAAGCUUGAUAAAUGAAUGAUAUGCUUGAAUUAUUAAUCUUUGAAUGCUUAUAUGUUUCAUGAUUGUGUAAAAUAUAUACAUGAUGAAUGAAUUAUAUGUGUAAAUUCUUGUGUCGUUAAUUGUGUUAUAUCAUCAUUCACUUAUAAAAUUGACAUCAUUGGUUGAUAUGAUUUCAUAUGUUUGGUCUUGUAUGCAUUUAUGUCUCAUGUAUUAAAUGACUUAUUGAAAAGUUUUAAAUCUCGAAAUGAUUUAAAAUUAAUCAAUUUUUAAAGCCAAAAAUAAAAUGGUGAGUGUAAUACAAGUAUAAGAGCUAGCCAAUAUUCAAUUAGAGCCAAAUAGAUUUCCAAGUCCAAACCGGUAAGCCAAAUCAUCUUUUGUUGCUCUCGGGUUAUCAUUCGGAUAACCGGAUUUUCAAUCCGGAAAACCGGAUUUGCUAAGCCUUCUCUCUGCCUCAAAACCGGAUAACCGGUUCUUAAAAUCCGGAAAACCGAAUUCAAGAGGAAACUUUUUGCCUCAAACCGGACUACCGGUUAGCAAAACCGGAAAGCCGGAUUCGCUUGAAAAGCUUACUGGAACAAAACCGGAUUUCCGGUUAUGCAUAUCCGGCACGUCGGUUUCGGGUUUCAUCUUUCUGCUCACAACCGGCUAGCCGGUUAGUGAAAUCCGGCAAGCCGGAUUCGUGAGCUUUUAGCUUUGUUCUUCCUCUUCCUCUCAUUCGGCUUUCCGUUUCUCUCUCUCUCACUAAAAGCUGAUUACUCCUCACUUGAUUUCAUUCCAAAAUCCAUCAAUCUCAUCCUUUUUCACUUCAAAUCCUUUAUGCUUGUAUUUGAACACACCAACAUUUACUAUUUUUUUUGGAUUAUAUGGAUGUUUGCUAUGAUUUUGGAUUAUAUGUCUAUUUUGAAUUAUAUGGAUUUGAUAUAGUUAUAUGUUAUGUUCUUUACUUAUGUUUUGGAUAAUAUGCAUUUUGAAUUUUUUUGUUGUCCAAAGGGGGAGACAAAAUAGUAUAUCAUUUCGAUGUUAUCAAAAGGAGGAGAAUAAUAUGCUUUUUGAGUAAUUGUUUUGAUAAUUGGUAUUUGAUUAUGAUGAUGAUUUUGAUGAAUUUGAGAUAAUGAUGAUUUGAUUACAUGGGUGUUUUAUAUGAUAAUUUCAUGUUAUGAGUUGUUGAUUUGGUAAUUAAUGGAAUAAUGGUUCAUGAUAUUUUAGUGUGAUUAUUUGUGUAUGGAGUUGGCUUUUAUCAUGAUUUAUAAUAAUUUGGAUGUGAUAUUACUAAUCUUGUAUUUGAGGUGAUGCUUGUUGUUAGGGAGAGAUUUUGUUGAAAUUUCUAUUCGGACAACAUUGGUAACAAAUUUGCUACUCUUAUUCUUUUCCUUUAAGUUUUAUUUUUGAUGAUGAAGGGGGAGAAGAAUACAUGUUUUUAAAUUUAUAAAAAUUUACUACUCUUUUUUCUUUGCCAAUUAAGUUUUCUUUUUGAUGAUGAAGGGGGAGAAAAAUCCAUGUAUUUAAAUCGUUAAUUUAGCUAAUUGGCAAAUUGUAAAAGAGGAUUAUAUUUAGGGGGAGCAAUUGUGGAAUCAUUCUUUAAAUACAUGAAAUGUUUGUCAUCAUCAAAAAGGGGGAGAUUGUUAACAUAUAUGUUAACAUAAUAUUGAUUUUGAUGAUAACAAACAAGAUUAAGAAUGAUUAAUCUUUUAAACUCAAAUUAUUUUUUAUACAUUUUAAAUAAAUCAUUAUUUUUACAUUAUAAAUGUUUUAUAUUUAAUGAAAAAAUGAUUUUGUAAAAAAUGAUUGUUUAAAUACAUGAAAUGUUUGUCAUCAUCAAAAAGGGGGAGAUUGUUAACAUAUAUGUUUCCAUAAUAUUGAUUUUGAUGAUAACAAACAAGAUUAAUAAUGAUUAAUCUUUUAAGCUCAAAUUAUUUUUAUACUUUUUAAAUAAAUCAUUAUUUUUACAUUAUAAAGGUUUUAUAUUUAAUGGAAAAAUGAUUUUAUGAAAUUGAUUGUUUUUAUUCUUUUUAAAUAAAUCAUUAUUUUCACAUUAUAAAUGUUUCAUAUUUAAUGGAAAAAUGAUUUUAUGAAAUUCGUUGUUUUUCAAAGUUUAUGGUUUAAUUGAAAGAAUUUUGAAAACUUUGAAAUAAACAAGUAUUGCUUGAAAUUUUAGAGGACUUAUUUGAAAAGUGUCAUAGCUAUUUGGGCUAUAUCAUAAUUUCAGAAAGUUUUGGGAUUAACAAAGCAUUACUUAGAAAUUCUAAAAUUGGACCUAUUUGUAAAGUUUCAUGACGUUUUGGGCCAUAGUAUAGUUUUAUAAAGUUUUAGGGUCAAACUAUAAUUUCAGAAAAUAGUGCACUGUGCAGGUGACUGUAGCAUCCGGCUUACCGGAUAUAAAAACCAGAAAACUGAAUAUGGGGCAGAAUGUAUCUAGAACGUAAACGGCUUACCAGAUUUCGUAACCGGCAAGCCGGAUAGGCAAAAUUCAAAUUUUUUCCUAACGGUAACAUAAAUCCGGCUUACCGGAUUCCAAAAACGGCAAACCCGAUACGCCCAGAAUGUGCAUAACGGCUAGUUUUUGAGUUGCAUAACGGCUAAUUUUUGAGUUCAAACUAUAUAAACUCAAAACCAAAUCAUUUUUAGUAAUCAAAGCAAGCAAGAACAAGUGCACACAACAUAUAUUGAGCUUCAAUUUCGUAACUCAUCAUUUAUUAAAUCAUCUUUGUUCUUCAAUUUGUAUAUCCACUCUUAAAGAGAGAUUCAUUGUUGUAUUUUUCAUUUCUCAUCAAAUUGUGAGUGUACAAGUGUGAGAAACACUUGGAGUGAAGAGAUUGGAGAGAUAAUCUCUUGUUGUAAAGGUUCAUUGACACCUUGAAGUCAAUUGUAAACGUUUGAAGCCUUGGAAAGGCUUGGAUAGUGAAAUCCUCAAGCCUGGUGUGCUUGGAGGCGUGGAUGUAGGCGGGGAUUGCCGAACCACGUAAAAAUCCUUGAGUUUGCUUUCUCUUCCCUUGCUAAUUUAUUAUUGUGCUUUCAUUGAAUUUAUUGUUUUCGAAUUUAUUAAGGAAUUAGAUUGGAUUUGUGUAUGGUUUGCUUAGCUUAAUUUUUAAAAAUCCAAUUCACCCCCCCCCCUCUUGGAUUGCCUAGUUAGUAUUUCAGUGUUCAGACUAGAUAAUUAGAAGAUAUGUCCCUGACGAAGAGAUUUCAAGCAUUUUAUAGUCUUAUCUUGCUGCAGUAUAUGGUAGACACUUUGGAGGACACUAAAUAGCAGUAAAAGUUUUUCAAUCAGGUUAUUACUAGCCCUCCAGCUUUAGAGAUGCUUACAAGUUUGUUAGUGCUGUGAUAGUUGUCAAAGAGCAUGAACCAUUUCUAAAAAACAUGAAAUGCCACUGACCAAUAUUUUAAAAGUUGAGCUUUUUGAUAUAUAAGGGAUAGACUUUAUGAAGUCGUUCUCACAAUCUUUUAGAAACUUAUAUAUCUUAGUUGUUGUGGACUAUAUGUUGAAAUGGGUAGAAGCUACAGCAUUGCCAACAAAUGAUGCCAAGGCAAUGGCAAAUCCUUUAUAGGAAUAUUUUCACAAGAUUUGACACCCCAGAGUUGUCAUCAGUGAUGAAAGAAGCCAUUUUUGCAACAGGAUAUUUGCUGUAGCAUUGGCUAAGUAUAAGAUCAAGCUUAAAGUUGCUACAUCAUAUCAUCCACAAACGAGUAGUCAGGUAACAUUGUCCAAUAGGGAGAUCAAAAAGAUUUUAGAAAAAGAAGCGAAUCUUAGUAGAAGGGAUUGGUUUACUAGACUAAAUGAUUCUCUAUGGGGUUACAGAACUACUUACAAGACAUCACUUGGCAUGUCUCCAUACAAACUUGUUUAUGGCAAAGCUUGCUAUUUGUUGUUAGAACUGGAGCAUAAAGUAUAUUAGGCAGUUAAACAACUGAACAUGGGUAUGCAUGCUGUAACAGAGCAAAGGAGGCUACAACUUUUUGAGCUAGAUGAGUUGAGGUUAUUCUUCUAUGAAAAGGCAAGAAUCUAUAAGGAGAGAACCAAGCAAUGGUAUGACAAGAAAAUCCAGUAAAGAGAACUCAUUACAGGCCAACAAUUAUUGCUUUACAACUCUAGACUGAAGCUUUUCCAUGAAAAUUUAAAGUCUAGAUGGUUAGGAUGCUUCAAACUCGUCAAGGUUUAUCUUUAUGGAGUUGUUAAUCUUAAAGAUGAAAGAACUGGUUAAGAAUUCAAGGUUAAUGGGCAUAGAGUGAAGCAUUAUAUGGGAGCUAAGGUGAACAACCUAAACGAGGAUCCGGUUUGAGUAAACAAGGAAGGUGAGAAUGAAGAACCUAAAACCAAGUGCUAAUUAGAAGGGAACUAAAUGAGGGGAAGUUUAUUUUGAAUUUUUAAUCACUUUAAUUUCACUUUUGUUGUUAUUAAGUUUAUUUCUCUAUUUUGUUUUAAUUUAUGCGACUAAUUUCUAUGUUUUUUUUGUCCUUCUCCCUCUCUUUUUGAAUGUUUAAAAUUUUUAAAAUCUUUAAAUUAAUUUUAUCUCUUUCUCUCUCUAUUAUCUUUCUUUAUAAAUUUAAGCUUUUCACUGUUUCACUUUUCACUACCAAUCUCUCUUCCUCUACUGUAAUUUUUAAAAUUAUGCUCUCUAUUUCUCUCUCUCUCUCUCUCUCUCUCUCUCUCUCUCUCUCUCUCUCUCUCUUACACACACUCAAAGUCCCAAUCUCUCAUUCUAACGAAACUCCUUUAAGUGUUGCAGCAAUACUGAGAGUCAAGGCACCUACUAAAAGGUUGAAGGACUAAAAAAGAUUCCAAAAUCACAAAGUUGAAGAGAAGUAUAAUAAGUCCAUAAGAUCUCGUAUAAUUUUAGAAGAGAAUGGUUUUGAAAUUUGUUGAACAACCCACUGGCCUUAUCAGCAUCAUUCUCAUAACUGCUAUAAAAAGGGGGUGGAUCAAAUGAUCCAAGUUGUAAAGGAAUUUUAUUCUAACUUGCUGGAGCAAAUCCAAAUUCCUUAAGACUCUAGGGUGAUAAAUGUCUUUUAUGGUUUGCCCCUACUAUUAAUUGUGAAUACGCUGAAUUUAUUAAGAGCAUAACUAUUAAGAAAUAGAGGGAGAUGUUUAAAGCAUUAAUUGUGGAAGGAAGUGAGUAGGUUAAUGAAGAAGCUGGGAUUGUUAAUAGGAUUGGCCUUAAAUUGAUUAUAAAGGUUUGGGUGAACUUUAUAAAGUCUAGGCUUAUGCCCACCACGGCACACCACAACAAUGUCAAUGCUAGAGUGAAAGGAUGGACAAUUGAUGUUGGGAAAGUGAUUGAGCAAGAAAUUAGAGACUGUGCUACAAAAAAAAAAAAAAAAUCAGCUGUCUUUUUAUUCCCCUCACUCAUCAUUGGGAUUUAUGAGGCCUUUGGUGUCAAAAUUUGUUGACAAUGAUGAGAGGGUUAAAAAUGAAAUGGCCCUCACAGUAAGAAGAAUAGAGAAGAUUGUAGGAGAAUCAACUGGUACAACAACCCAAAGCAUCCAGUUGUAAGAAAAUUAAUAAAAGCCACUACAUUUGGGAAGAUUCUGAAAGAUUUGAGUGACAACUUAAAUGCAUGGAGAGAAGAUCCAAAAGAGUUAAAUCAGAGGCUUUAGGCUUACUUGCUGCAUCAAGAAGCUCAAAAACACCAGUUUGUAGUUUAUAUACAGAGCAAGAAUGUAAACUUCCCAGAGUCUCUAUUGUAGCAGUACAAUUUCCACAAAGCAACAGAGACUGUUCCAGCAAAUGAUGAAAAGGAUGAAAGUGAAAAAGAGGAAAAAGAUGAAAAAGGAGAAAAAAGUGAAAAAGAUGAAGAUGAAGAAGAGACUGAUGAGAAGUAGGAAGAGGAGCUACCAGCAAUAACUCCUAAAAGCUAUGGCAAACAGAAGAUCUUGCUUGAUGAAAAUCAAAAUGAUAAUGAUGCGGCCAUUUAAGAGACCAUUAACAAGUCUGCAAUGACAGAAGGAGAAAAGAAAAGGUUAAAGGAGCUCAAUGUCUACAUAACUGCUAAGGAACUUGCAACAACACCUCGUUCAGCAUUAGCAACAAAGAAGUCUCCCAAGAAAUCUCUAGUCAAAAUUCCCACAAUCUCCAAUAAAAGAAAAAGAGCACAAAUCACUAAAGUAGAGAUAGUUUAUGGAUAAGGGUUGAAAUUCUAUCAUAACACUUAGAUUUGGAUUAAGUUUAAUGAAUAUGUUGUAGCAAACCAAGCUGGGUAGUUUAGAAAAAUUUUCAAGAAUCUAAGGAUAAAAAUAGCUCUAGUUUGGGGGAAAUUAGGAAAAUUUUCAAAGUUAUUGCAAAUUGUACUGGAAGUAGAAUAAUUUUUUCUUCAAUGACUUAGUUGCUGAGUAACCAGGGCUGUGUUUGUAACCCAUAUCCAAACUUGAGUAAAAAGACAGUAAGAGUUAUGAGCAUUGCUGUAGCAACCCAAAAAGAAGAAAAAUCCUCUAUUUAGGAAUCUGAAUAGCUAGGUCUGUUCAUGAACCUCAUAUUCAGCCUUGAGUUAAAGAUAUAUAAAGAUAAGACCAUGGUUGUAGCAUCUUAGAUGCUUUUGUUGUAGCAGCUCUGAUUUGUGUAUUGAUUAAGUAAUUGGGUUCCAUCAUUACAAGUGAUAGGCAUUCGCAUAAAAAGAUUGAUUUUACUCUGAUGGGCCUCAUAAUAAAAAAAAAUUGAUGAAUGUUGUAGCACAAUUUGUAGUUCUUUAUGACCCUUGUCCCUUAUAAAUAAAAAUGUUUUUAUUGUUGUUAUGUUUGAGAUGCAUUUGAUGCUUGAGUGAUUCUGAAGCAACUCUGAAACUUGAUCAAAGUGACACAGACACACACACUGGAUAGAAUGAAGCCUAAGUCUAGAACUAGAACUGUUGAUGGUAAUGUUUAAGAAUGAAGUCUGAGGGUUAAUGAAUUAGAGUAAUCUAAAUAGCAGAGCUAAGUAUCCUCAUGCUUUUUGGUCCUUAAUCCCAAGAUAUAAAAGAGCACAUUUUAAAUAAAUGCAUCAUCCAUGACCGUCACAUGCAAAGAGAAUAAAAAGAGAGAUUUCGGAGUUGUAAUAGAGGUAUUUUUCGUGUAGAAGAAAAAGAGAUGACUAAAGAUUAAAGCGUGACAUUUUCAGUCCUUAGUAUUUUAACUUUUCUUUUAUUUGCUUGCUUUGUUCUUUCUUUGAUAAUUUAUUUAAUGGUAAACACUUGUGUUGUUACUAUUUCAAAGCUCAUCAUGAGCUAAACCUUAAUUUAGUAGUUAUUUAAUUUACAUGUUUAUGUUGCUUAGAAUCUGCUGUAGUAAUUUGUUUUAACUUUACUUAUUGUAAUUCCAUAUUUCACGUUGACUAUGCAUUUAUUAGAUACUAGCUAAGAAGGAGCCCCAAAAUAACUUGACUUAGUGGAACAAAUUACGACAAUACAUGGUUUUCGAUUGAGUUUUCCAAGUUGAGUUAAUCUCGAUUUGAAUAGAGUCAUGCUUGAUUUAAAAUUAUGAAGAACUAGAUAUAAGGAUUCAUCGUAUACAACAAUAGAGUCUAAAAUGUAUAAUGCAAUGUCUAAUGUUAAUUUACCAAAUAGUCACUGUUAGAUUGCAUAUAGAUAUAAGAUAUCCAAAAUGCGACCGCUGAGGAUACAUUAUAGAUUCUGUCCAAUUGUGUAGUAGAUGUUGUAGCAACUGUGCCUCAAUUAAAAGAUAAUCAAUAACCAAUAAGUGAGUUUAGAUCCCAACUACCCCUUUGCCAUUGAGUAUAUCUUUGUGUUUGACUUUAGAUUCUCUUUAUUGCAUUUUGUUUAUUGCUUUAUUAGUUUCGUUAGAUCAUUAAUUUCAUCAUUAAUUUUUUUAUUUAAUGUAGUAAAAUUACACUGUUAAAUUUACUAUAGCAAGUAAUAUAACAUUAAUCUCUAUGGAGACGAUCUUGAUACUCAUUAAUGUGCUCCAAAGUUUUAUUUGUGCGUUUGAAAUGCAAGAAACCAAAGUCUCAACAGUUUAAGCCUGCCAACUUUUGAAAUAUGCAUUUUUAUCAAUAGUACGUCAAGAAACUAAAGCAUGCCAACAUUUGAAAGAUGCAUUUCCACAGUUAAGGUUGCCAGUAGUUCGACAAAUUGUCCGCUGGGCAAAUUAUUAACCAUUGUGUUAACUCCACAAAAUUCUUGUUGGACUAGAUAUGACGCCAGUCCUUUUGUUGACUCUUUCAAUGCAAUGUUGGGUCCUUUAGAAAAAAGCUAUUUCUACUUGUUAACGCAACUGUAGAAAGAAGUUUUUUGUUCCUGGUCUUGAGGUCCCAACAGCAGACAUUAAAUUAUUGCCUUUUCAAUUCUGAGUUGUCUUCAAUUAGAUGCAUUAUGCUAGACUAGUAAUUGUUUUAAAAAAGAAAGCUUCAUAGUGAGAAGCUGAUUUUUUAAGGAAGGAUAAGUUUAUUCUUACCUGAAAGUGAAUGUUCCACUGAAGAAAACACGGCUGGUGCCUGGAAGGAGAGCUAGUUCAGGAUGAAAGACAGGCAAUGAUUAUAUAUUUGAAAAGAGAGAUGAUAAAAUCAAGUUUGCAUGGGGCAGGUAAAGCAUGGCAUUAAUCAGGCUCUCUGCACUUUAGGAGUGUAGAUAAUCAAUCAAAGGCCAUCAAUCAACUCUAUUUUGUUUUUUUUAAUAUUAUAAUCAAACAAAUGUUAGCCUUUAAUUGGCAUCCAAUUGUUCAUUGUCUUAUAUUAGGAUAUAAGCUAAAUUCAUAAGAGGAUCCCUCUACAUAUAUAUUUCAUGUGCAUAAGGUGUAUGAAUAAUGUUUUCUGUAUGCUUUUGCUACUCUGUUAGUAGUCUGUUUAAGGCCCAUUUCUGAUUAUCUAAUAUCUAUGUUCAUGAUUUGUUUCGUGAUGUUGGUCUGUCAUUUGGUUUUUAGUUUUUCCCAGAGGCAAAUGAAGUCAAAUUUGCAAGAACAUCGGUCUUUGAAGGAGCAUCAUUUAAGUUGGACUCUCUAACAAAACCUUCAUUCUUUGAGAAUUUUGGAUUCACUGAGAAGGUCAAAAUGGCAGGCCGUGUGAAGCCGGAAGAUGAAUUGUUUCUAGUGGCCUAUCCAUAUUUUAAUGUCAAUGGUAGUCUUACACCUUGUCUUCUCAUUGAUAUUCAUUCCUUAAGGUCAUUAAUUUUGCUUUUCUUUUGUCUUGUAGAAAUGCUUGUGGUUGAAGAGCUUUACAAAGAAGCUAUAUUCAAUACUGCCCGGAAACUGAUUAUAUUCAAUGGAGAACUUGACCAGAUAAUGUCUGGGUGUAUUAUUCACCAUUCUUUCAUUCUUAUUGUACUUUCUGUAAAUUUAGUAUGAUUUUGAUGCUAUAUAAUAGUUUCUAGAUGCCCGCCCAUUGAAUUGCUUAUUUACAACUUUUUGGUAUAUUAUAGCAGAUUUGUUUUAUAGCUUAUAGCAGAUUUUUUUUAUAGCUUAUAAAAGAUCAACUUAUGUGCUGAGUUCAAUCAUUAUUCCAUAAACUUUUUCUGUACCUAUUUUCACAUGGUAUCAAAGCUAGACUCCCUUUCUUUUUGAUCUCUUUCCCACCAUGUCUGACUAAUCUUCUAAAACCACAGUCACCUAAAAAAGACUAGAACAAAAAAUUUUUGAUUCUGAAUCUCAUUCUGUCCAUAUUACAACUAUCCGGCUGAAUGAAGGAAAUUUUCAAAGAUGGUCUCAGUCAGUUAGAAUGCAUAUUAGGGGAAGAAGGAAGAUUGGUUAUCUUACUAGAGAUGUUAAGGCUCCUGAAAUAUCUGAUCCCUCUUAUGGUGUAUGGGAUGACGAAAAAUCCAUGAUUAUGGCAUGGUUAGUCAACUCCAUGGAUGAAGACAUUUGUGCAAAUUAUAUGUGCUACUCUACUGCAAAGAACUCUGGGAUAAUGUGAGUCAGAUGUACUCUGACAAUGGAAAUUAGUCUUAAAUCUAUUAGUUGCAGCUUGCUCUUGGAGAUAACCAUCAAAGAGAUUAUAGGAUAACAAAAUACUUCAAUACUCUAAAGAGAUUGUGGCAAGAUCUGGACUUAUUCAACAACUACGAGUGGAAGAGCACGGAAGAUUUUAAACACCAAAAACAAACUAUCAAUAAUGAGCGAAUCUUGAAGUUCCUAGCUAGGCUCAAUGUUGAAUUGGUAAGAGGAAGAAUUAUUGGGAGAAAGCCACUUCCUACUCUUGAGGAUGUUUUCUCUGAAGUAAGGAGAAAAAAAAUUCGUCGAGGUGUUAUAUUGGGAAAAAGGAACUCCAUUGUCUUUGUGGAAAAAUCUGCCCUUGUUACAGCAGAUGCUAAUGCUACCUGCUCCUUCACUCAACAGCAACAAAAACCUCGAGUAUGGUGUGAUUACUGUAAUAAACCAUGUCAUACUCGGGAGGCUUGCUGGAAACUCCACGGAAAGCCUACAUAAUGGAAAAACAGCAAGCAUAGCCGUGCGUCUACCAAUAAAGUGGAGGAUAUAGAAAAAAAUCUUAACGAGGAGCAAAUUGAUCAUCUCAUAAAGCUGCUGACUUCUAAUCCUCCACCUGGUACUCCUAGUGGUUCACUAGCCUAAACAUGUAGUAUUAUUAAUGCUCUAUUUAGCCACUCAUCUACUGCACCAUGGAUUAUUGAUUCGGGUGCUUCUGAUCAUAUGACCAUCAUUUCUAGUUUAUUUGAUUCCUAUUAUCCUUGUCCUAGUAACAAAAAGGUAAGAGUUGCUUAUGGAAACUUAUCUUCCAUAACUGGAAAAGGAUCAAUAAAAAUCUUUGAAACCAUUGAGCUUAAUAAAUGUGCUACAUGUCCCUAAACUUUCUUGCAAUCUGUUACUUGUCAAUCAAUUAGCCAAAGAUUCUAAUUGUUGUGCUGUCGUUUUUUACUCCCAUUGUGAAUUUCAAGACAGGGAUUUGGGGACGAUGAUUGGCAGUGCUAGUUUGCGAGAAGUUCUUUACUAUUUUGAUGACUACUUAUCAAGGAAUAAACAAGCUCAAGGUUUGAGCAAUAGGAUUAGUUCAAACUCUGCUAGGGAUCAAAUAAUGCUUUGGCACCUUAGACUAGGACACCCUACCUUUCCUUAUUUGAAAUAUUUGUCUCCAGAUUUAUUUAAAAAUGUUGAUUGUACUACUUUUCAGUGUGAAAGUUGUUUUUAAUCUAAAAGUCAUCGAGUUUCAUAUAAAGCACUUACUUAUUGUGCCUCAAAACCAUUUUAUUUAAUUCAUAGUGAUGUUUGGGGACCCUAAAAAAUCAUUACUUUAACUGGCAAAAAAUGGUUUGUAACAUUCAUAGAUGAUCAUACGCGGCUUCAUUGGGUUUAUUUAAUGAGAGAAAAAUCUGAAGUUGAGGGUUAUUCAAAGAUUUUUAUAACAUGGUUGAAAAUUAAUUUCAAACAAAAAUAAGCCUACUCGAUACAGAUAAUGGUCUGAAUAUUUUAAUAAUUAUCUAGAGGUGUUUUGUAAGGAAAAGGGUAUAAUUCACACAUCCACUAGUCGUGAUACUCCACAACAAAAUGGAAUUGCGGAAUGAAAAAACCGCCAUUUACUUGAAGUUAGUCUGGCUAUCAUACUCUCUAUGCAUGUUCCUAAAUAUUUGUGGGGUGAUGUUGUUUUAACAGCAUGUUAUUUGAUUAAUAGGAUGCCUACCCGUGUUUUAAAGUAUCAAUCACCUUUAGAAUACUUUACACUUAUAUAUCCUUCUAGUAGGAUUACCUCGAAUAUUCAGUUAAGAGUCUUUGGGUGCACUGUAUUUGUUCACCUUCCUAACCAUCUUAGAUCUAAAUUGGAUCCUAGAUUUGAAAAUUGUGUUUUCUUGGGCUAUGCUCCUAAUAAAGAGGCUACAAAUAUUUCAAUCCUCAAACAAAGAAAUUCCAUGUCAGUAUGGAUGUUAUAUUUCUCGAAAAUCAACCUUUUUUUGGCCAAAAUUCUCUUCAGGGGGAGAAAGAAAAUAGUGAAGAUCAUUUUUGGCAUACUUAUACACCUAUGCCUAAUUUGUUUUUACCUGAUCUGAGCACUUCAAUUCAAACUCAAAAAACUAAUAUUUCUAAUAAUGAAAACUUAGGAAACUUUGAACUACAAGAACCAAGUGUUAAUGUACCAGAGACAGGGGGAGAAAUAUUACAAGAUAAAAUUCCACCACCAAAGCUUCGUGUUUAUACUCGACUAAGGUAUCAUCACAGCAAUAAAGACCCUCCCAUAAACUUGGUACAACCUCAAUUGUCGCCUCCAAGCACUGAUUCCUCAUAAAAUUUAGGUAACAUUUCUUCUCCUAAAAAUUCCAGCACUUUUUUUUUCCUGAUCUUGACUUACCCAUAGCACAUAGGAACGAAACCCGAACCUGUACUAAGCACCCCAUUGCUGGAUAUGUUUCCUAUGAAAAGUUUUCCAAUAAACGAAGAGCCUUUACCACAAAAAUCUCUCAGAUACCAAUUCCUAAAGCCAUAAAAGAAAAAUUGGACAAUGGUUUGGUCUGCAUGCUGAACAUUCCUACAGAUGAGCAAAUUGCUAAUAUACUCACCAAGGGACUACCUAAGAAACAUUUCGAGAAAUUGGUUUGCAAGCUAGCCUUGAAAGACAUUUUUAUACCAGCUUGAGGGGGAGUGUUGAAAGGUUGACCAAAUCAAAUUGAUUUGGUUUCCUUAUAUAUUUAGGUGUAUAUUAGGCGUAAAUAUAGAGUUAUUGCUUCCUAGAAAUCAGUGUGUAAUAUUCUGCUUUAAUUUUUUCUUUCCUUUCUUAGUCUCUUGUAUCCCUAUAUUAAGACUGUAUACAGUCUCAUGAAGAUAUGAAAAAGAGAAUUAUUCCAUAAACUUUUUCUCUACCUAUUUUCACACUUCCACAUCAUACGGUGAUUAAUAUGUCAUCUCUACUCAAUUUAUUUAGCAUCAAAUUAUCAGAAGAUUUUGUUACUUAAAUAGAUGGUUUUCAUUUCAACUUCAAUGUUUUUUCAGGCCUAAAGCUUCAUAGUGCUUGUUUAUAUUGUUAAUCAAUAUAUAUAAGUUUACUUGCAGGCAAUAUCAGGCAUUUUCGAAAUAUGCGUAAGUAUGACAAGGAAAUCUCAAAAAGAAACAAAAACUUAUUGCUUGGAAAAAUUUAUUUAUUUGGGGGAAGCCAUUAUGAGUUUUGGGCUCCUUAAUAGCUUUAGUAAAUUUUGGACCAUUAUUUUGAACUAUGACCCAGUUUCCCUUGUUUACACCACAGAAAAUUAGCAACACUCUCUUAUGUCUCAACUCUCUCUGUCUCAACCAACAAAAUCAACUCUGUUAGUAGUCUGUUUAAAGCCCAUUUCUGAUUAUCUGAUAUCUGUGUUCAUGAUAUGUUUCGUGAUCUUGGACUGUAAUUUGGUUUUUAGUUUUUCCAGAGGCAAAUGAAGUCAAAUUUGCAAGAACAUCGGUCUUUGAAGGAGCAUCAUUUAAGUUGGACUAUCUAACAAAACCUUCAUUCUUUGAGAAUUUUGGAUUCACUGAGAAGGUCAAAAUGGCAGACCGUGUGAAGCCGGAAGAUGAAUUGUUUCUAGUGGCCUAUCCAUAUUUUAAUGUCAAUGGUAGUCUUACACCUUGUCUUCUCAUUGAUAUUCAUUCCUUAAGGUCAUUAAUUUUGCUUUUCUUUUGUCUUGUAGAAAUGCUUGUGGUUGAAGAGCUUUACAAAGAAGCUGUCUUCAAUACUGCCCGGAAACUGAUUAUAUUCAAUGGAGAACUUGACCGGAUAAGGUCUGGGUGUAUCCUUCACCAUUCUUUCAUUAUUAUUGUACUUUCUGUAAAUUUAGUGUGAUUUUGAUGCUAUAUAACAGUUUCUAGAUGCCCACCCAUUGAAUUGCUUGUUUACAACUUUUUGGUCCUUCAAUUGGUAUCAUUUUGCAAAAAUUGAAAGUAAAGUGGGUUUUUUGCUUUUAUUUUUUAAUACAAUAAUUUGAAAUUCACUCCCAGAAAUCUAAAGGGGAAUUAAUAAGGAUGAUCGUGUUAUAUCUUUCACUAAAAUGUCGCAAGGAAGACUUUUUUUAAAAAAAUAAAUAACAAUGACUUAACCAAACUAAUUAGUGACUUGGUUGUAGUAUAGUUGUUUUGGAAUGUGCAAUAAAAGGAUCAGAGAGGAUUUCCUUAAAUGAGCAGAAGAUUAUCCAUCGUUCUUCUACCCUAAGCUGGCUGCACUAUCCAGAACACUUUUUCCUGUGAUGGAGACCAUAUAUUACAUUCACAACUUUAAGGGUGGCAAUGGAGGAACCCUUUUCAGGUUUGCCAGCUAGUUACCGACGCGUUUCCUGUGGCAACAUAUUAAUGCUUGCCUAGUAUCACUCACUGUUUUCCUGCUGUUUAACUUAUAUUUUACAUGUUUUUCUUUUCCACUUCCUGUUAGGUGCUACCCAGGUUCCUGGAAGGUCCUGAAGAAAGUGAGUAAUAAAUAUAUAUGUUUGCAUCAGCAGGAAGUGAUGCCUUCCCUUAAGGAGGUUGCUUUGGAUAUCCUUCCCUCAGCUUGAGUUUCACCAAAAUAUUUGUCUGGUGAUAAAUCCCACUUUCUUAUGUUAUAGCAGAUUUGUUUUAUAGCUUAUAAAAGAUCAACUUAUGUGCUGAGUUCAAUAAUUGGUUCAUGAUUUCUAGUUUGUAGGUCUUAUGCUGAGUAUUUUGAUACUAAUCUGCCAGUGUUUGAAAGAUCUUAUUCUUAAGAUGAAUAUAAUCAUAACUUCCACAUCAUAGCGUGAUUAAUAUGUCAUCUCUGCUCUAUUUAUUAAGCAUCAAAUUAUCAGAAGAUUUUGUUACUUAAAUAGAUGGUUUUCAUUUCAACCUCAAUGUUUUUUCAGGCCUAAAGCUUCAUAGUGCUUGUUUAUAUUGUUAAUCAAUAUAUAUAAGUUUACUUGCAGGCAAUAUCAGGCAUUUUCGAAAUAUGCGUAAGUAUGACAAGGAAAUCUCAAAAAGAAACAAAAACUUAUUGCUUGGAAAAAUUUAUUUAUUUGGGGGAAGCCAUUAUGAGUUUUGGGCUCCUUAAUAGCUUUAGUAAAUUUUGGACCAUUAUUUUGAACUAUGACCCAGUUUCCCUUGUUUACACCACAGAAAAUUAGCAACACUCUCUUAAGUCUCAACUCUCUCUCUCUCAACCAACAAAAAUCAACUCCCUUUCCAAUCUAUAUCACAAUGCACGCUAUUUCAUCAAACCCAAGACUUACUUCAACUUAGAUUCAUAUAUGUUAUUUGAUUCAUGAUUAAGAAACUGUGUUUUUUUUCUUUUUUCAAAGUACGCUUGGAGAAUAAUAAAUAAAUUUACCAACCAACACAAAAAAAGUUUAUGUGAGGCUUGGUUGACAAUUUUAUUGUGGUAAUAUGUCGUUUAAAGAUAAAUGUUGUUGAUUUAUUGAUUCUUGUGUUGACUUGGAUGGAAGAUAUGUUGAAGAAAAAGAAACCCAAAAAUUACAUAUGCAGUUUUUUUCGUCAUUUCUGACUUUCAUGAUUUUGUACAAGAUAUAAGUUUUGUUUUCUAGACUUUGUUCUAAGUAGUAUUGGAAAACUUUGCAUUGCACAUUGUAGGUGUCCUCAAAUCUAUUAAAUUGGAUUAGGCAGUCUGAACACAUUAUUAGGGUUGUAAAGGGUCCAUGCAGUAUAAUUUUCUCUUGAUGCUUUCAUAUUUUUUGGCUGUACAGAUUUGAUGCAUCAUUGAUUCUUUGAUUCUGAUGUCUAAUGAAAAUGUAUGUUUAUAUUGCAUCGAUGAAUUUUUUAAUCCGGGAAUUGUAGUAAUUGUCUGUUGUAUUUCCAUGCAGUUGAAACCUUCUUGAUUUUUUGAAAAAGGAAAAUUACUUAAUUUGAUAAAGAAGAAUAUAUGAAUUUCUGAACAAUAAAAACUGUAGGAAGCAAAAAGAUAUCCUUGUGGCAUUAAUGAGUUGCUGGAAACAAGGUUUAAGAAUUUUGUAUGCUUUUGUUAAAGCUAUAAAAUGCUAUUUAUUAUCUGUGUUGUUACAAACUAAAGUACUUUUGUGCUUUAUGCAAAUUUAAAAAUGCUAUGCUAUGCGUUAGAGCAAUAAAGUUGUUAAGAAACAGUGAAGGCUUUUGUUGCUUUACUUAAGAUGAGGUUCAAGAAUAUUAUAUAACUUUAGUGAAUGUUUGCAUGGUGGCUUUGAUCUUGUUGCUGCCCCAAACUGACUGAUUGAAGGAGAGAAUUUUACAGCUAGAUCAAGCUUCUUUCCCCAGAUUAACUUCUGACAUGGACCAAUCAAAUGGCUGUCGCAUUCUUAAAAAAAUGGUUCAAGUUUUCCAUAGUUAUGGUCCACUUAUACAGAAUCUGGAGAAAUGAAUAUAUGAAUUGUGACUUAUAUCAUCUGUGAAGGCAAGGAAUAAUCCAUGGAAUUAUAUAAGAAGCAUUGAAACUGCUUUGUUGAUGGCCUGAGGCCAGAGAAAAUGCCGAAAACAUAUUCCUAAGAAAGUUGUUCCUUCUAGUUCAGUCCGGUCCAUUAAUUAAUCCUGGCUACAGCCCUCCAAGUAGUCGGGAUUGAGGGGCUUCUGUACGUGUAAGAAUGCUCUUGUAUUUUUUUUUAAUUCUUUUUAAAUUACUAAUUGUUGAAUUGAUCAAAUUUCGCGCCAUGUUUUCAGUUUAUAACAUGGAAGAGUGCUUGCAAGUUAAGUUGGAAAAAUUAUCACCAUUGCCCUCAAACUGCUGCAUCUACAGAGUUCCGGAGCGAUUACGUCAGAUAAAUGAAAAGGCAUAUACACCUCAGGUAGUCUCAAUUGGCCCUCUUCACCAUGGCAAAGCAAACUUACAGUUCAUGGAAGCUCAUAAACAGCGGUACCUGCGUUACUUACUUCAACGGACCAUAAUAAGCUUUGACGAGUUUGUUCAAUUUAUAAAGCUCAGAGAAGCAGAAUUAAGAGGUUCUUAUGCAGAAAAAGUCGAACUAAGUAGUGAUAAAUUUGUUGAAAUGAUUCUGCUGGAUGCUGCCUUCAUCAUUGAACUCUUAUUGAGGUAUCAUUUUCGUCAACUUCAAAAAAAAGAUGAUCAUAUAUUUCAUAAACCAUAUUUAAUAGAGGAUAUAUGGUAUGAUAUGUAGUUGCUUGAGAAUCAGCUUCCUUUCUUCAUUCUUGAGGAUCUUUUUGCUCUAGCUGCAAUUGAAAUCCCUGAACAACAUGAAAAUCCAACCAUCAUCACAGUCACAUAUGAGUAUUUCAAGGGUUUAGAGGCAGUACAAGGUAAUCGGCAAAAAUUCCCUCCUUACACUGAGGUUAGGGUACAGCAUUUCCUUGAUUUUCUAAGGAUUUGUCAUCUACCAUCAUCGAGGAAUCAGGAAAAACAAGAAGGUCAGCAAUACCACAAAGGUAAAACCGCACCAAGUGUGACUGAGCUCCACCAAGCUGGAGUCCACUUCAGUUUGAGCAAGAGCAAUGAUUUGUUCGCCAUAGAAUUCAAAAACAGGACAUUGCAUAUUCCGAAACUGAAGCUACAGCUGGAAACAGAAUCCUUAUUUCGUAAUCUCAUUGCCUUUGAACAACGGCAUUACUCAGAGAAUUACAUAAAUGAUUAUGUGUUCCUUAUUCAUCAUCUCGUGAACACAGCGAAGGACGUCGAGUUGCUUGUUCAGAACGGAAUCAUUGAGAACUGGUUGCGGGAUAAAGAGACUGCGUCAAUGCUUAUAAAUAACCUUUCUAGAGGUACUACUCUGCUGUCUGAUAGCUUCUAUUUUUCUGGGCUAUGCAAAGGAUUGAAUGAUCACUGCAAAAGAACGUGCUACAAAUGGAGGGCAAACUUGAAACAAAAUUACUUCAAUACUCCAUGGGCUGGCAUUUCGGUGUGUGGCGCCGUUUUCCUUCUUAUUCUCACCGUCAUUCAGUCUGUAUGCUCUGUUAUACAAGUGUUGUCUCAACCCAAAAAUAUCUCGUGACGAAAAACCUCUGUGCGGUAUUUGUAUGUCGUUUUUGAGUUGCUGUUUUCUUUUUUUUAUUUUAAUUCUUAUUCUCAACCAAUUUUAUCAUGGAAUUGUUAAUUUUACUUGAAUGUUGAACCAAGCCUUUAUUUUUUAAUAAUGAAAUGAAAUAAAAGGUGGGGGUAUACCCUUCACAAUACCCUCUUCACUCCUUAUUUAGUGUUGCAUUUACCGCAAUAAAAAAUAAUUUUUAAACGAUAAACAUAUUUACUUGAAAACAAAAAUUAGUUUAUGCUAUUUAUUUAUCUUAUAAUGUUGGAACUUGAAAGUUAAUUUAAAUUAAUGUAAUCCUACCAACUUGAUUUGGUUUUCAUAUUGGUUGGUUUCAUGUAUCAUGCGAAUUGUUAGGCACCGACUAACUCAAGCGUAUGUUACUCAAACAUCACGCUUGAAUAAUAGUUUAAGGAAUGUUGAUUUGGAUGGUAGAUAUUUAAUCAACUAAAACUAACGUUCUCAACUCAAAGCUCAUCUACUAGUAAAAGUAAAACCCUUCUCCGUCAACUUAUCUUCUUCAUUAUAUAACAAAAGAUGUUCAAUGAAAGAAUGAAAUAUAUAUAUAUAUAUAUAUAUAUAUAUAUAUAUAUAUAAUUAAGUCAAAGUAGUCAAGAUCCAGCCACUCGGCUUGAGGGCUUGAGUUCGAACCCACAAGAACUUAUUUCAAUCCUUAUUUUAUAAAUAUGAGAUUAGGGAUAGAUUUAUCUCUAAUUAUUUAUUUAUCGAGUAAUUAAUUUUAACAAUAUUAUUAAUUGUAGUUGAAACUGGAAUGAAUUUUCUGAAAGAUGCUCUCUCAUAACUAACCAACUAAAACUAACAAUCAAAUUAUCAAACUCAGAGCUCACCUACUAGUAAAACUGUAAAACUAAAACACUUGCUUCUCCAUUAAGUCAUCUCUUUAUAUAUAAAAAAGAGUGUUUUUAUGAAAUAAUCAGUAACAAUUAGGUAUCAAAUAAUUCAUAAAAGAUGUCAAGCUCCGUUGCUACUGCUGCUGAGGCCGAGAUUUGGAUUGUCCCAUUCUUCGGUCAGGGACAUCUAUUUCCAUGCAUUGAAUUAUGCAACCAAAUCGCUUCCCGUAAUUACAAAUCUACCCUCAUCAUUCCCUCUCACAUUUCCGCCACCAGCAUUAUCCCAUCCUCGUUUCACCAAUAUCCUCUCUUUGAAGUUACUGAAAUACCCUCCUUCGCCUCCUCACCCCCAUGUUGUCGUGCACAGCCAAAUGCUUCAAGGCCUUCGAAACCUCCUUUCAACCCGGGAACCCAAAAGCCGACCCGUUUGUGCAGUCAUCGACGUUAUGAUGGGCUGGACGGCUGAUGUUUUCAAGAUUUUUGAAGUUCCCAUUGUUGGGUUCUUCACUUCUGGUGCUUGCUCAGCGGCUGUGGAGUGUGCCAUGUGGCAGGCUCACAUCCAAGAUGUCAAACCAGGAGAGGCCCGUUUACUUCCUGGGUUACCCGAGGAUAUGGCUUUAUUUGAAUCGAAUCUUAAACACAGGCCUCAUGAGCCCCCUCCUGGUGGUCCACCACCUCUGAGAGGUGCACCCGGUUCCGAGAAAAUAGGUCCACCAGAAGCCGGUGAUCAACCACACUGGAUGAAGGAAGUGGAGGGAUCAAUGGCGUUGAUGUUCAACACGUGUGAUGGUCUUGAGGGACCAUUUAUUAAUUAUUUAGCCAAUGAAUUGGGAAAGCCGAUGUGGGGAGUGGGCCCACUGUUACCUGAACAAUUUUACAAAUCGGCCGGUUCAGUGCUUCAUGAUCAUGAGAUGAGAAUCAACCGGUGGAGUUCUAACAUGACGGAAGAUGAGAUCAUUCAAUGGUUGAAUUUGAAAUCAUGCGGAUCUGUGUUAUAUGUGUCAUUUGGUACUGAAGUGGAUCCGACCUUAGAUGAGUAUUUAGUACUAGCCAAUGCUUUAGAAGCAUCAAAUCGACCGUUUAUUUGGGUAAUUUAAGGUGAUGCAAGUAGAUUGGAUCCUCUAUGUCAUUUGGACAAAACAGUAGAAGGCAGUUAUUUUCGUUAGAUGAGUUUAGUGUUGUUGACGAGGCACCAUAUGCACAACAUAGUGAUAUUGUUUAGUGUUUAAUAUUAGAGUAAUGAUAUAGCCACAAACUCUUGUACAAAUUUAUUUUGUACAAACUUAUGUGGCAUGAUAAGAUUGGUUGAAUUAAAUAUCACUUGGCCCACAUGAUUUGUUUUCAUUAUUUUAUAUUUUCAUUCAACCAAUGAAUUAGUGCCACGUCAGUUUGUAUAAAAUAAGUUUGUACAAUAGUUUGUGGCUGUAUCAUUACUCUUAAUAUUAUAGGGAAGUUUUUAAUAGAUCUUCAUUUCCGUGCAUAUUGUGAGCUUAUUGCCAAAAAUGAGACUAUAUAGUUGUGGGACAAACAAAAAGGGAAAUUCUUUACCAUUCGGCUAAAUUUUGAUGUCAUGCAAAAUAAUAUAGGAUCUUGAAUUCACUUUAAUUGGAUGUCAGCCGGGUUACCAUUCAGAGAAACGGGUCUGAAUCCGACCCGUUUCAACUCCUCCCCCCAUCUCUCCACUUUCACCUCACCCGUCCUCUUGGGUCCACCAACCGCCACUAUGUUCCUAAUUUCACACCCAAACAACUGCUGCUCCACCGUAUGCCUCUCUAUACUGUCAGCACCCAGUCCGUCCCCCAGCACAGUGACGGAAAAAAAAAAAAAAGAACACUCAGAAUAAUAACAAUAUAUAAAACAAAAAAAUACAUAAAAAUAUUAAGAAAUGGAAAAAGAAGCCAACUUCUCUUGUUCGACGAGAUGGACCCUUUCGAUCAAUAAAUUGCAGUAGCCUUCCAUCAUACCAAAAGCAUCCAACAUAUUUUGCUCCUUCAUCACAUGCUCAACCUGCAAAAACCAAACCAGGUCAUUAGACAAAUGCAAUUGAACUAGUCAAUAAUUAUAACGAAUCAAACAGAAAAAGAGACCAUGCAUGAGCGACUUUGAUUCUUCAUGCAUGUGCAUAUGUCUUACGCGAGGAGAGCACGCUCUUGAAAGCCUUGUUGGAGGAACUGAACGACGUCGGAGCGUGCUUGGGAGCACUUGACUUGGCGUUGGUUUUUGAGAACGGCCAGGCGAGAGAUUGCAAGGUUGACCUGCGGCUUGAAUUUGUAGGUCUUGAAGUUGUUUUCUCUAAGAAGAAAAUCGAGUUUCUUUCCCAUGCCGCCGCCUGCUCUUCUGAUGAGUAACUGAGCUGAUCACGCUUCCAACUCAAUCACCCAACGCACAGUGACGGAGAGAAGGAGAAGAAACAAGCAAACGAAGGCUUGUUUACUCCUUUUAGAGAUGACGAGUGAUUGCGUUGUUAUUUUAUAGUUUCAUUAGCCUGAAACUUGGACUGAAGUUGUUAUUGCUGGACAAAAGGAAAAAGAGUUCAAUCACUUCAGUACCGUUAUUAUUGCUGGAUUCAUCUCCUCUCUCGGCAGCAAAAAUCACUUCCAUAUUUUGGCAACUACUCACUUCAAUGGACUGAAGUUGUUGAAGGCCUCCGCCAAUGACCAAUGGAAAUACAUUUUUCAAUUUAUCACACCCUUCCACCCUUAUGGUCUUUAGUUUGCAAAAAGACUCUGCUGUGAGUGGACCACGACAUAUUUCCUGUAGAUUCCUUAAAUCUCUCAGAAAUAAUGACUCCAAAAGGGGGAAUGCAGGCGUCGGAGCUGGCGUACAAUCCAUUGUGUCAACAACACAAGAAAGGUUGCCAUUAUGUUUGAUUUUGUUAAGGAAGUUAAGGAAGCUCAUAUUUGUAGUCAAGCAGAGGAUCACAGCAGCUUCUAUAAUCAGUUGCAAGUUGAUGACAUGUACUGCCAGCUGGCACCAGGUGGUUAUGUAGCUGCUUGUACUCAUACAUGUGAUAAGUUUGUUAAUCAUUUUUUAAUUAGUUAGUUAGUAUUGUAACCUUCAGCUGAGAAGCAACACUUGUAUAUAUAUGCUUGUAAUCAUUCAGUAGCAUUUUAAGCUUGAGAAAAUAAAAGAAGAAAGUUUUCUAGAUCUCAGUUUAUUUUCUUAUUAGCCAAACACUCAUUUUCUGUUUUCUAACUUGGUAUCAGAGCUAGUCAUGGCGUCUCUGAAUAUUGCCUCAUCAAAUCACACUUCGAAUAUUCAUACAAACUCAACAAACUUCUCAUUCACAUUCAAUACCCCUGUGAAACUGGAUCAGGCAAACUAUCUGAUCUGGAGGUCCCAAGUUCUAGCUUCCAUACACGGCAAUAGGCUAGAAAAGUUCAUUGAUGAAAAUGUCACUCCUCCUCCAUCUCAUAUUGCUCAAAGGAUUGACGAUGAACUUAGAUCUGUUGAGAAUCCAGAUUCAUCAAGCUGGAAAGCACAAGAUCAAGUACUUCUUGGCUGGUUGCUGUCAUCGAUGAGUGAAGGUAUUAUAAGCCUGGUGUUUAAUCUGGAAACUUCUCUUGAGGUAUGGAAAGCUAUUGAAACUCAAUUUGGAUCACAGUCAAAAUCCAGACUCUUACAUUUGAGAUAUUUGAUGAAUUCAACUAGGAAAGAUGAUCUGAAAAUCAAUGAGUAUUUCAUUAAAAUGAAGAAUAUUGCUGAUAACAUGGCUGCGGCAGGAAGUGCCUUAAGCAGUGAUGAUUUAAUUUUGCAUGUACUGUCAGGACUAGGACCAGAUUAUAAUGUUGUUGCUACUUAUAUUACUGGUCAAAUAAGUGGUGAUAAAAUGAAUUUGAAUGAGGCUUAUGCUAUGUUGUUGACUCAAGAAGCUAGAAUUGAGCAACAAGCACAUAUGCUUUCUGGAAUGGAUGUUAAGCAUAAUUUUGAAGCUAAUUUUGCUCAGAACAGAGGUUUCAAGAAAGGAAAUUUCUCAGGUGGUAGAGGAUCUGGUAAUCAUAACUAUUUUACUGGAUUAGAUAAUGCUGGAAAUUUUGGAAAUAAUUACAGAAGUGGCUAUAGAAGAUCUGGUUUCUUUGGCAAUGGUUUUGGAAAUAAUCAUAGUAACCAGUUCAGAGGAUUUCAAAGUGAUAAUCAAAGGGGAUCAGGCUCAGGAAAUUGGAACAAUGAUGGGGGUGGUAACAAUAAUUCUAUCAGGCCUCAAAUGAAUCCAAAACCUCAGUGGAAUGCUUCUAAACCUACUUGUCAAAUCUGCUUCAAAACUGGUCAUACUGCAAAUGUGUGCUGGAAGCUUGAAGAAUUCUUUACCUCUGGUGCUUACAAACCUCCUCCAAACAAAAAUCCCAAAGCUACAUAUCUAGCUGAUAUGGAUGGUGCAGCUGAUCCCAACUGGUAUCUGGAUAGUGGAGCUACACACCAUCUUACCAAUGACAUGAGGAAUAUGACUAUGGCAGAAUCCUUUGCAGGUAACUCUAAACUCAUCAUUGGAAAUGGUACUGGUUUACACAUAACACAUGUUGGAAAUGCUGUGUUAAGAAUGCAUAACUCUUCUGCUCAUCAUACACUCAAAUUAAACAACAUGCUUCUUGUUCCACAAAUAUCCAAGAAUCUUAUUAGCAUAUCUCAGCUUACCAAAGAUAACAACAUUGUUAUUGAAUUUACUGAUAAAUCCUGUUUUGUGAAGGACAAGGUGAGGAAUUUGAUCAUACUGUAGGGCAAAGCUGAAAAAGGUUUAUACAGAUUGCUAUUGUUUCCCUCUAAUAAAGUCUCUUCUCAAUCAUGUCAAAGGUCUCUUGAAGCCACUCAAUCCAAAAUUUCAGAUGUUCCUCUGUUUAUGUUUUCAGUUGUUCAGUCAGUUGUCAAUAAUCAAACAAGUCCCUGCUUGCAUACUGCAGCAGAAUCUUGUAUCGGUCUAAAUUGUAUGCUGAGUGUUUCUGUUUUGCAUCAGAAACUUGGUCAUCCUAAUUCCAAAGUUUUAAGUCAUGUAAUAAACUCUUGUUCAGCUUUCAAGAAUUUAAAUGGAAGUAACUUUCUUGAUUCAUGUGAUGCAUGUAAAAUGGGAAAAAUGCAUAGAUUACACUUUCCAGUUUCUACUACCAAAACAAAGCAUGUAUUAGAAGUUUUGCACACUGAUUUAUGGGGACCUGCCCCUGUGCUUUCAGUUCAAGGUUAUAGAUAUUAUGAGUUUUGUGGAUGAUUUUUCGAGGUUCACAUGGAUAUUCCCAUUAAAAACCAAGGAUGAAACACUAGUUGUGUUUAAAAUCUUUAAGAAACAAAUUGAGAAAUAGCUAGAUAGAUCCAUUAAGUGCAUUCAAUCAGAUUGGGGUGGAGAGUAUAGAUCAUUUGUUAAUUUUCUUCAUGAGGAAGAUAUUCAAUUCAGGCACUCAUGUCCCUAUACUCACAAUCAGAAUGGCUUAGUUGAGAGAAAACAUAGACACAUAACCGACCUAGGUCUCACCUUACUUGCUCAAGCUACUUUGCCUCUCAAAUUUUGGUGGGAUUCCUUCCAUACAGCCACCUAUAUUAUCAAUAGACUUCCCACACCCAUACUAUCUAUGCAGUCACCUUAUGAAUGUGUCUUCAAAACCAAACCUGAUUACAAAUUUCUCAAGGUCUUUGGUUGUUCAUGCUUCCCUUUCUUAAGGGAUUAUAAUACUCACAAAUUUCAUUUUCAUACCUCAAAAUGUGUAUUUCUUGGUUACAGCCCUUUACAUAAGGGUUACAAGUGUAUGCAUUCUUCUGGAAAGAUUUUUAUAGCCAGUCAUGUGUUAUUUGAUGAAACUUCUUUUCCUUACACAUCAAAUUCACAAUUUUUAACUUCAUCAUCCAAACCCUCUGAUUUCCAUUACAGUCUUAUUCAAUCUUAUACUGUUUCACUUCCCAAUAGCAAUCAAGAAACCUGUGAAGCUAGCUCUGCAGAAGAUGAAGCUCCAUAUCAUCAUUUCAGUGAUCAUUCCUCACCUGACAGUCAUAAUACAACCUUUGAUGUUUCACCUUCUCAAAUACAUCUUCAACCCUCUACCAUAGCUACUUCACAAACACAACAGCCAUCAUCAUCUACUAUUCAAUCCACACAACCAUCCCAACAUUCUCUGCCAAAUCAUCCCAUGAUUACUAGAGCAAAAGCUGGUAUAUUCAAGCCUAAAGCAUUCUUAACAUCACAUAACAGCCUGGAACCAUCCACUGUUGAUGAAGCUUUGUCUGAUUCUAAGUGGAAAGCUGCAAUGCAAUUAGAGUUUGAUGCUUUAACCAGAAAUAAUACCUGGACUCUAGUACCUAUGACAUCUCAGCACAAGUUGGUUGGUUGUAAAUGGGUCUUUAGAACCAAGUACAAUACAGAUGGUACAGUUUCUAAACACAAAGCAAGAUUGGUGGCCAAGGGCUUUCACCAGACAGCAGGAGUGGAUUAUAAGGAAACUUUUAGUCCUGUGGUAAAGUCUUCUACAGUCAAAACUAUACUAAGUUUGGCAGUGAUGAAAUGUUGGAAAGUCAGGCAAAUCGAUAUAAAUAAUACUUUUCUUAAUGGAGAUAUUUCAGAGGAUAUAUACAUGACACAACCAGAGGGCUUCAUCACCAAAGAGGGCUAUGUCUGCAAACUUAGCAAGGCUCUUUAUGGCUUGAAGCAAGCUCCUAGAGCUUGGUAUGACAAACUCAAAUGGUGUCUUACAAGCUGGAAUUUCUUCAACUCCAAGGCUGAUACAUCCCUGUUCAUCAGACAUGACACAAGAGGUAUCAUUCUUGUUCUUAUCUAUGUGGAUGAUAUUCUCAUUACAGGACCAAUUCUUCCAUGUUGGAAACAUUCAUCACUAAAUUCAGUAAGGCUUUUGCCUUAAAAGAUUUGGGAUUGGUAUCCUAUUUUCUGGGUGUUGAGGUGUGUUAUACUGAUAGUGGGAUGCAUUUAUCACAAACAAAAUAUAUUAAAGAGCUCUUAAGUAGAGCUUCAAUGCAGAACUGUAAAGGUUUUGAUACACCUCUCAGCACAGGUCAAAAGUUAGAAAAGGUAGCAAAGGGCUGUUUGGGGAAAGAAUUUGAAGAUCCAACUCUCUAUAGAAGUAUUGUUGGAGGGCUCCAAUACUUGAUACUCACCAGACCUGAUAUUGCAUACUCAGUUCAUAAGCUCAUUCAAUAUCAGAGUGCUCCUACACUUCAGCAUUGGCUUGCUUGUAAGAAGGUACUUAGAUAUCUUCAAGCAACUGUCACUCAUGGAAUAUAUAUUCAAAAGGAAGGAGAGCUUGAAGUUACAGGUUUGAAUGGAUACUCAGAUGCAGAUUGGGUUUGUGAUACAGAUGAUAGAAAGCCCAUUGGAGCAUAUUGCAUCUAUCUUGGCAACAAUUUAAUUUCAUGGUCCUCUAAGAAACAAGCUAUAGUGGCCAAAUCCAGCACUGAAAGUGAGUAUAGAGCACUAUCAUCAGCAAGUUCAGAAAUCUCUUGGCUUGAAUCUCUAUUUUCUGAGCUCAACAUUGUAAAGCUGCCAACACCAGUGCUUUGGUGUGAUAAUCAGAGUGCUGGGGAAUUAGCCAAAAAUCCUGUGUUUCACUCCAGGUCUAAGCAUAUCGAGUUGGACAUUCAUUACAUUCGAGAUAAGGUACUUCAAAACCAAUUAGAAGUGAGAUACAUUCCUACAGAUGAACAAGUUGCUGAUGUCCUCACCAAAGCUUUAUCACUUCCAAAAUUCAGCUACUUCAGGUCCAAGCUCAAUGUCAUUAGCAGACCCUUGAGCUUGAGGGGGGAUGUUAAGGAAGUUAAGGAAGCUCAUAUUUGUAGUCAAGCAGAGGAUCACAGCAGCUUCUAUAAUCAGUUGCAAGUUGAUGACAUGUACUGCCAGCUGGCACCAGGUGGUUAUGUAGCUGCUUGUACUCAUACACGUGAUAAGUUUGUUAAUCAUUUUGUAAUUAGUUAGUUAGUUUUGUAACCUUCAGUUGAGAAGAAACACUUGUAUAUAUAUGCUUGUAAUCGUUCAGUAGCAUUUUAAGCUUGAGAAAAUAAAAGAAGAAAGUUUUCUAGAUCUCAGUUUAUUUUCUUAUUAGCCAAACACUCAUUUUCUGUUUUCUAACUGAUUUGGAGACGCUUCAGUUUUGGAAAGCCUUCUCUGUCUGAUCCAAAAAGAACAUUCUUCAUGUCCGGCAAUCCAUCUAAAGUUAGGUCUUCAAUACCCUUCAAUUUCAUGAUAUGCGCCCCGUUCAAGCAAAUGUUGGCACCACUGGCGAGCUUCAGUGUGAACGUUCUAGAAAUCCCAUCCGAUGGGCCAUACCGCCGCCGCCGAUCUCCUAUCAAUAUUCUGUACCUUUGCAGCAUUUUGAAGAACGACAAGUCACUUGGUAGAUUCAUUGCAUCCGGGAUGAGUAUUUCUAAAGAAGUCAAUUUAGAUAAAUGAUUCAACUCAUGAAGGCUGGCAUUUCUUCUUCUACUGUUGUUAGGUCCCAGUCAGAGACAGCCAAUGAUCACGCAUAACACAAGUGAUAUUUUUCUGCUUAUGGCGAGAAAGGACUAAAUAAUUGUUGUUUAGAAUUCUCAAUACUUUUAUUCAUAUUCUGGAGCUUAUUUAUAAUAACAAGACUUUGGUUUCCAUCCUACAAUUACGGCUAAAUAAACGAGUAUAACAACUUAGCUAAAAAUUCGAAACCGAAAGAUAAUCGAAAACAACUUCCGUGUCUUAGCUUCCCUCCUUACUCGCUGCACAAUUGUUGACAAGCGUAUUCCUAGAUCACGGCUCCAGCUCCAGCACGUAUCUUCACGAUCUCAGCACAUGCAUGUUUCAUGCAUGGCUUGCAUGGGACUCAUGCCCUUACGUAGCAAACUUAGGAUUUGGCUUUGGCAUUUCCAGAUCUUCGUGGCUCAUGCAUUUGCUGUCUAUCAUUACCCCAUCCUCGAAGAAUACCCUUGUCCUCAAGGGUCAGAUUGGGAAACUGUUGGUGCAGCAUUAUGGUGUCCUCCCAUGUUGCUUCUUCAGCCAACAUUUUUUUUCCAACGGACUAGAUUCUGCUCGAUCACUUUACCUCCUCUCUUCACCCAACGUGUGUCAAGGAUAGCUUCAGGGUCCAUGAUCACCAAGCCUUCAUCAUCCACAGGUGGUAAAUCGACGCCGUUGCUAAGGAAAUCACCCACAGCUUUCUUAAGCAAAGAGACGUGAAACACUGGGUGAAUUCGAGCAUUCUCUGGUAAUUGUAGUUCGUAGGCAACGGCUCCAACUUUGCGAAGAACUAAAUACGGCCCAAAGUACCUGCAAGUUAAUUUCUGAUGUGCCCUUCUGAACACUGAAGUCUGCCGAUAGGACUGCAACUUUAAUAACACCAUAUCUCCCUGUUUGAACUCAACGUCGCGGCGACCCUUGUCAGCUGUUUGCUUCAUCCUGUUAGCUGUUGUGGCUAAGUUUUUCUUUAAUUGUAAGAGCAGUUCAUCACGCGAAUGUAAGGCUUGAUCAACCUCAUGCACCGGCGAGGAACCAAGUUGAUACAUGGGCAUGGCUGGAGGUGGUCUUCCAUACAAAGCUUGGAAUGCAGUCAUUCCGGUGGAGACGUGGAAUGUGGUGUUGUACCAAAAUUCUGCCCACGGCAAAAAAGAAUGUCACUUUCGCAGCCACUGGUGAACAAAACAUCUCAAGUAUUGUUCCAAGCAUCGAUUAAUUACCUCCGUUUGGCCGUUGGUUUGCGGGUGGUAUGUGUUGAGUGUUAGAAAAUGCAUAUUUAUAAAGGAGAAAACCGUCAUUUUACAUUUCAAGUCUUACUAACAACCCUUACUUUUAUGUAUUUAACCUUCUUGUGAUUUAAUUACAUGUGUUUUAUUUUAAUUAAGUAUUUUAUGUAUUUUAGGGGCAUUAUAGUCAUUUCACAAUAAAGGAGAGAUUAGACGGCAAAACGGACAUCACUUUUGAACUCAGGACGGUCGAAAACCUUAGGAGGAGCAUAAAAGGAAAAAUGGAACUAUUCACAUGUACGGUACUAUUCACGUGUACGGGACUGUCUAUGUUACUGUUCACGACACUGUUCACAUAGACGGAUCGAUGACGUGGCAUUGACCGAUGAUGUGGCAUUGACUGAUGAGGUGUCACGAUCCUGUUGGGCUAAAAUUCUUAUGUACUGUUGAUGCUGACGUGGCAGCAUAUCAGUGGACGAAAAAUCUCGCGUACGGUACAUGCAUCACACAGGAUUAUUUUCAACCAAACUGCGUUACUGUUCAUCCGGGUCAAACCGUAUUACUGUUCAUCCACGUUGUCAAACCGCGUACUGUUGACUGAUGACGUGGUGCAAUCCUGAGCGUCCAAACUGUUUUUAAUCUGAUGGCCAUGAUUUACUCCAUGUAUCUAUAAAAAGGGGGCCUCUCCCCCUUAAUUUGAUAGCUCUGAAUCCAUUUUUGGGAUCCAUUUUCUAUAAUUCCCUCUCCAUCUUGUAUUUUCUACGUAUUUUAAUAAAUUCCCAUUUUGCCCCUAGUUCAAUUAUGAAUAGCUAAUUUUCUUUCAAGCUUGGGUUGAAGGUGAAGUCUCAACAUGUGUCAUGGGCUUAAUUUGGUAAAUUUAUUUUCUCUUCCCCUUUAGUUUUUGUGGAUGUUUUGACUUCUCGUCGACAAAUAAUAAUAAUCUUGUCUAGAUAUCGUCUUGGUUACACCGGCUCUCUAGUAUAAGGUUAUUAUUAUUUGGCACGAUAAGCCCUUAGCACCAUAUUGAUUAGAGUGUGGUUCAUAAGGUGUGGAUUCCCCCCUCAUGAUUUAAUUGGUAUUAAUAAGGAAUAUUUAGCCCAUGGUGCAUGUUGAUACGGAUCCAAAUACCCAAGUACGUCAUUUCAAUAGAUUUCUCUUCAAUUUAUUCUCGCCAUUUAAAUUCCAAUUUUAGAAUUUAUUCUCGCCAUUUUAAUUUAAGUUUUAGCAUAUUCCAAAUCAUUUCCAUCACAAAUCCAAUCACCCAUUUACAAAAUUAAUUCUACACACAAUUAAAAUCCACCUCCUCGUGGGAUCGACACUCGUCACCAUUGAUCUAUACUACAAUAGAUUCGUGCGCUUGCGAGUACAUUAAAAUUUGCACAACAGUAUGGUGAGCUCAUUUUGAGUUUGGUGCCUGAUAAAUUAAAGAACUCUUGCCAAAAUUUGCUGAUGAAUAUGGGGUCACGAUCGCUGAUGAUUGACUUGGGCAUACCGUGCAGCCUCACUACUCCUUCACUUUCUUCUCGAACUGGCCGCGGUGAACCAAUGGUUUCGUUGGUGCCGUGGCUAGUGGUGUCUUUGGAUGCAUUGAAAGUUUCUGCUAAUUUGCUAAUGGUGUCUUCUAAUCGCUGAAGCUUGUCAUUGAUCCCAAUCUCCAUGCGUUCCAUUCGGCUCUCCAUGCUUUUCAGAUCAGCUUCAAUUCGCUCAAUACGUUCUUUGUUGGUCAUCAUUGUUAACCCGCUCUGAUACCAAUGUUAGGUCCCAGUCAGAGACAGCCAAUGAUCAUGCGUAACACAAGUGAUAUUUUUCUGCUUAUGACGAAAAAGGACCAAAUAAUUGUUGUUUAGAAUUCUCAAUACUUUUAUUCAUAUUCUGGAGCUUAUUUAUAAUAACAAGACUUUGGUUUCCAUCCUACAAUUACGGCUAAAUAAACGAGUAUAACAACUUAGCUAAAAAUUCGAAACCGAAAGAUAAUCGAAAACAACUUCCGUGUCUUAGCUUCCCUCCUUACUCGCUGCACAAUUGUUGAUAAGCGUAUUCCUAGAUCACGGCUCCAGCUCCAGCACGUAUCUUCACGAUCUCAGCACAUGCAUGUUUCAUGCAUGGCUUGCAUGGGACUCAUGCCCUCACGUAGCAAACUUAGGAUUUGGCUUUGGCAUUUCCAGAUCUCCGUGGCUCAUGCAUUUGCUGUCUAUCAGUUGGUCCUUUCACGCUUCCCCCACUCAAUGGGACUCUCACCAAUGUACAAUUCUUCUAAUCGUGAUAAGCUUGAUAUGACAUUUGGUGGAAUAACUUUUAGAUUGAAACAGUUGCUCAGAUCCAACAACCUCAACUGAGUCAGCCGGCCUAUUUCUUCAACCAGUUUCUGCAUAUUAGAACCUCGAAGUGUAAGGAUUUCUAAUUUCUUUAGAUCUCUAAUAAUAGCGAUGUCUCCGAGUUGGCAAUCAUCGAGAGACAAUGUUUGAAGGUUUUGUAAGAGACCAAGCGAUGGAGGCAAAGGCAACAAAUGCAUCGUAGUGAAAUCUAAAACUCUAAGCCCUGUCAUCCCAGUAAAAAGGUUAUCUGGGAUUCUCAAAGAUGGAACAUUAUCAAUGGUGAGGUAUUUAAGUUGCGGACAUUCAAAAUCUUGAGGAAACUCACUAAUAUUACACCUACAUAAGGAAAUAACUUUGCAAACCUUCAGUCUCUCCUUAUCUGGCCAGCUGGUCAGCGGAAUAACCUCGUUUUCCACCGCAAACACAUGUUGGUCUCUAGAUGCAAUUGAUAUGGCUACAUCACGAACAACAUCAUGCAUAGAAAACCAUUCACUUGUAUUGCCAUCAAGCAACAAACAAGAUUUUUUGAGUUUUUCAACCAAUUCAUGUGCUCUAUCCCGCGCCUCUUCCAACGUGUUGAUGUUUUGAAACAGACCCAAACCCAUUCCAUAAAAGAGCACGUCUUCAACGCAAGAGAUGAAGGCGUACCUUAUUAGCAAAAAUGUACUCUUGAGCUCCUCCCCGUUUAAAUGACUGUAACUUAGCUCUAUACUUUUAUAUGCCACCUCCAGUGUUCCACUGAAGUUCCUCAAGGAAGGCCUUCUUAAUUCUAGCAAAGCAUCAUUCCAUUCACACAAUCUCUUAUUUCUCAAUGCCCUUGCUACGGGUACAAUGGCAAUGGGCAAACCAGCACAUUCCUUGACUAUAUCUUUUGCUACCGAUCUCAAUUCAUCAUUUUCUAUGCAAUCACCUGUCGUCUUCGUAAAAAGACUACAAGCUUCUCCUCCAUUCAAAACAUCAACACGAAAAUUCUGUUGACAAUCAAUCUUACAGGACAACACAUCUACACUUCUUGAUGUCAGCAGAACUUUACGUCCGCUGUUAUCAUCUGCCAAUGGAAUUCCAAUCGCCUCCAAAUCAAGACUCCCCCAAAUAUCAUCCAAGAUUAUAAGGAUCUUCUUCUCUACUUUCAAUCGUUCAUAUAGCCUCCCUGCUCUUACAGUUUCAGUCUCUUUAACUAAUCGCAAGCCCAUCUUCUCUGCAAUUUCUUCACCAGCGUCGUCUUUCCAACCCCACCCAUCCCGUAGACCCCAAUCAUGUUGAAUUUACGGUUGCUGAGUGCGUCUAGUAUCUCCUUCAAAGUGCACUUCCUCGAUUGAAAGUGCACGAAACCCUGGGUAGACUUAAGCCAUGGCUCUUCUGGAAUGGUUCGAAAAGAAACACUGUCCAAUCUCCCUUUUUCAAGGAGUUCAACAAUAGCAUUCACCUCCCUCACUGCUUUCUUGCUAAGCUGGUACCGAGUCUUCAAAUCAGGGCAUAACCCCUUCAAACACCGGUUGUUUGAAUUCUCUUUGUAUCCAAUAAGUUCUCCGACUUCAUUGAUGAGCCUGUGCGCACUAAUCAGCCACUCCGCAACUUUCGGUAGAAUUCCAUCCCCAUUAUUUCUGGAAUCAUCAACUUUAUGCUGCACACUGUCUCUAGCAUUCUUUAGGUUACCAACUUCAUUCUUCAGCUUCUCGAAGUUGGUCUUGUAGCUGCGGCAGUAAGUAAAUGGGUGAAAAAUGGGACCAACCAAGUUCUUUGAAGCUUUUGUAACAAUGGAGAUAACAAUUUCCAUUAUCCUUUUUUUUCCCCCCGCUUUCAGAAAACAGGGAAAAGCAAAACUAAUCAAACUAAGCAGAGCUAAUCAAUCGGCUGGGAAUUUGGAUAAAUUGCUGAAAUAAGAAGUUGUCCGAAUGAAAUUGAUGAAACAAAUAUUUAAGGGAGAAGGAGGGGAAAGGAGUGAAAAAUCUAGAGAUGAAGCGAAGAGGAGACAAAUUAAAAAGUGAGUGCAAUGAAAGAUUUGCAAAGAAGGUAUGGGAGGACAAGGAUGAUUCAGACAAGGGAAACAGAAUAUGAAGAAAGGGAUUUCAGAGAACUCUAAAGAUUAGGGAAGAAUGAUGAUUAGGAAAAUGAAGAGGCAGACAGUUGUGAUCUCGAGACUCAAGGGGUAAACUGAAUCAUGCAAAAAUGCCAAACUAAAUUCAUACAAGGAGAAGACUCGUGCUUCCAAGUCAACUAGAUUCUCCAUAAGUAAAUAGCGUUAAAGUCGCAGGUUAAAUGCUAAAUGGCAUUUUGGCAUUUCGUUGAAUUUUCUUGUUACCAGUAAGUGCUGUGCUGCCGACAUUUUUCAACUUGUAAUUGUAAGACUUUCCAAGCAAUUUUUGUGGUAGUUUUAAUUAAUUUUAAUUGUAUAUCAAAUAUUUUAUUACUGUAAUUUAAAAAUCACAAUUGAUAAACAACAAUAGUAGAGAGAACGUUAAAUAGUUUGAGAAUGAUUUUUUAUUUAGGGCAUGUUUGUGAUUGCUUUACGAACAAUCAAAAUGCUAAUUCUAUUAGCCAAUAAACACAAGCGCUUUGUCAAGAACAUUACGCGAAGAACCCUUUAUAUAAAUAGCAAUCAUGUAAUUACGGAAGGCUUAUCCUAAUUACAUUUUAGUUACAUUCAAUAACAAAUUAACAACAAUAUUACUUAAAAAUUUUCGUUUGGCAAUGAGUAUAUUGGAGGUAGCAUAAAAAAAUCUGAAAACUUUGCAAACUUUUUAUGAAAAUGCAUUAGAGUUGUUAUGUUCUUUCACUGUUGAUAAUGGAAAUAUAAUGCAGGCCAAGAGACCCAAAGUGAAAGUGACCCAUGUGCUUUUCUAAUUACUCUGCUAUAAAGCCAAAGUUUGCGGACUUUAUGAUUUUUUUUUUCAGAAAUAGAUAUGCAAAUAAAUUGAAAAGAAAAAAAAAAACCCUGUUGCGUGGUCAUGUGGGUCCUCGAAAUCAUUUCGGCAUUUAAUCGAACAGUUGGAUGUACUCGGCAAGACGGCAACUAUACUUCCUCGAAGGUUCCUGGAUGUUGCAAGUGCUGCCGGCAUUUUCAAACUCGGAAGGUUUCAAUAAUUUUUUUUCUUUGAAAUAAAGGUUUCAAUAAUUAGCUUUGAUUAUUGUGUAAUAUACGAUAAUCUAGUGAUGAUGGUCACUUAUAUAUGUGAUUAAAAGCUAAGCUGGUUGAUUUGUAAGUAAGAACACACGGCAAAGUAUUUGAGCAAGCAUUUUUAUCUUCUUAUUACCACAUUCUUCUAACCAAUUUGCUUUCACCAACAAAAUAAUUAAUAAUUUGUAAAUAGUUGGAUCUUAAGCUCAGAUUUUGACAAUACAUGAAUGAUAAUAUAUACUUAUUUUCCAAGAGUAUACUCUAUUCAAGAGAGGAUCUCAAAUUUUUAUUAGAGAAGAUCAUAUUUAAAGCUCAAGUGCAAGAAUAAUAAUGGUUGCGUUGACUGGAGAACAUCAAAUACAAACAAAGACCAUGCUAAAGGAAAAGCAAAAGCUGGCGAGAUUGAUAAAGAAAGACUAAUAAAGCUUUCCUUUCAGCAUUAAUCAUGAUUAUUGGAUGAACUAGAGGUGAUCACUGUUUUAUAUUUUUAGUGCAAAAUAGAAUACACUGCAAGAGCUGAUGGCUUUCUUUGUUGUCCUCUUAUUGUCACGUAUUUUGUAGCUUUCUCAUUUUGAUUAGUUGUUCGCUCAAUAACCUAAAUGGGUCAGGGUUUUGAUGAAUUGAAAUUGACAUCAUUUCUGUUAAGAGUAGUUUGUUAUAGUUAGUUAUAGCUGCUGACUUAUGCUGACGUGUUAGAUGAGCUAAUAAUUGUUAGUUAUAUUGGUUGUAGUUUGUUAGUAAUCUUUUAGCACAUGUAUAAGCUAAGCUCAGCUCGCGUGAAUUGAUUCCAGAAUAUUCAAGAGCUUAGUAUAAAUACUCUUGUAACAAAUACAACAAUUAAUUCUAAGCUCUCCAUUCUUCUUUCAAACUUUCUUUCGUUUUCUCUGUUUUUCUCAGAUGCUAAACACUUUUCUUAUAUUUUAACUUGGUAUCAGAGCUUCAAUCUUCAAUUCUCAUGGCAUCAUCAAGCUCAAACUCAAACACAAACUCAAUUAUUUCAUCAUUUACUUUCAUCUCACCGAUCAAACUUGAUCGUUCAAAUUAAACAAUCUGGAAGUCUCAAAUUCUUUCAUUUGUUCAAGCCAAUGGUCUAGAAGAUUUGCUUGAUGGAUAAAAAACCUAUCCAGAUCAAUUUCUUCAAGGUGAAACUGAAAACGCCUCUGCUAAUACUCAGCUAAAUCCAGCAUAUACUACAUGAGAGGGAAAGGGUCAGUUGCUACUGAACUGGUUGAUGUCAUCUAUCAGUAUUGAGAUUCUGAGUCUUGUAGUAAACUCUGAAACUUCUCUAGAACUUUGGACUAGUUUGGAACAACAGUUUGGAUUUGAAACUUUUGCUAAGAAAAUUCAUCUAAAAAAUGAUGCUUAAUAACCUUAAAAAAAGUUCGAUGACAGUCACUGAAUUUUUUGGCAAGUUAAAAACAAUUACUGAUGAGUUAGUCAUUACUGGUAAUCCAAUAAGUUCUCUGGACUUUCUUACACACCUGAUUUCUGGAUUAGGUCAGCCUUAUUAUCCUGUUGUAGUUUAUCUUGAAGCAAAUCUUGUUAAGAUCUCUAUCAAUGAGGCAUAUUCUAUGUUAUUAACUCAUGAAGUUAGUCUAUAGGCAAAUCAGUUAAGUGCAAGCAAGGAAGUUAAGUUGAACUAUACUGCAAAUAUUGCUCAAACUGGAUCUAGAUCUAAUAAUAACAAGAAACAAGGUGGUCAAUUCAAUAACAAUUGGACUGGUGGUCAAUUUAACAAUAAUUGGAACAAGAAUGCUAGCUUUAGAGGUGGAUAUGCUGGAGGCAAAGGUGGUUAUGGUAGAAAUUUUUCACAAGGAUAACGAAGAGGAAACUGGAAUGGUGUGCCAUUUGGAAAUUUUUCACAAGGAGGCAAAGGAAGUAAUUACAAUGGCAAUCCUAGUCAAAAUGAGGGAUUUACUAGUGGAUUUACUAAUGGCACAGGUGUUAUGGAUCAGGCUACUGCCACUGUAAUUUGCCAGAUUUGCUUUAAACCUAAGCGCACUGCAGCUGAGUGCAGAAACUGAUUCAACAAGGAUUAUGUUCCUUUCAACAAUCCAUUUCAGAACUCAUCAAGAAUUGCCCAUCUUACAACUUCAGAAGGGGCAAUAGCUGAUCAAGGAUGGUAUAUCGAUAGUGGUGCCACAUAUCACAUCACUAACAACUUACAAAAUCUACAAAUUGGAAGUGAGUAUUCAGGUAAUCAGCUGCUCCUUGUAGGUAAUAGUCAGGGUUUACAUAUUUCACAUAUUGGCUAUGCAUAUCUUCAAACAUCAUGCAAUACAACUUUAUACUUAAGAGAUACUUUGUGUGCUCCUAAACUUACUAAAAAUCUCAUAAGUGUUUCGAAAUUGCUUGAAGAUAACAUUGAUGUAACCAUUGAGUUUGUUGCCAAUAUGUGUUUUAUAAAAGAUAAGAGGAAGGAACGACAUCUGGCUCAAGGGAUUGCUAGAGGAGGAUUGUAUCUGUUGUUGUCAAAGAAUGACUUUGUUUCGAAUUCUAGUUGUCUCACUUAUGCACCUAGCUCUAUGCUUUCUGUUUUGAAUAAUUCAGCUUGUAAAAUUUUUGAUACUGCUACAAAUAAAGUUUGUAAUCCACAAUGUCAAAUGAACACAACCAAGAUAACAAACUUGUUUCAUCAGAAAUUUGGUCAUCCUAAUAAACAUGUGUUGAAAUCCAUUUUAUCUUCUCUUUCUAUUGAGUACUCAUCUAUAUCAGCACCUGAUUUUUGUGAUGCCUGUCAAUAUGGUAAAGUCCCUCAAAUGCCCUUUUACACAACUAGAAUCAUAACUAAAGCUCCUUUAGAGCUUAUCCACACUAAUCUUUGGGGUCCAACACCCUUACCAUCUCUACAUGGCUAUAGUUAUUACAUUAGCUUUGUAGAUGACCAUAGUAGAUAUUGCUGGAUUUUUCCAUUGACCCUCAAAUUAGAAGCAUUAGGCACUUUCAAAUUCUUCAAAACCUUAGUCAAAAAAUAGUUUGGCUACACUCUAAAAUCACUGCAGUCUAAUUGAGGGGGUGAGUAUAGAAGCUCUCAAAGUUUCCUUGAAGAAGAAGGGAUAAGGUUUAGACAUAGUUGUCCUCACACACACCAUCAAAAUGGUGUGGUUGAAAGAAAACAUAGACACUUGGUUCAAACAGGACUUACCCUUCUGACACAAGCCAAAAUGCCUCUGUCUUUCUGGUGAGAAUCAUUCCAUACAGCUUCCUUGUUAACAUAUAUGUUUCCAUAAUGUUGAUUUUGAUGAUAACAAAUAAGAUUAAGAGUGAUAAAUCUUUUAAGCUCAAAUUAUUUUUUAUACAUUUUAAAUAAAUCAUUAUUUUUACAUUAUAAAGGUUUUAUAUUUAAUGGAAAAAUGAUUUUAUGAAAUUGAUUGUUUUUAUUCUUUUUAAAUAAAUCAUUAUUUUUGCAUUAUAAAUGUUUCAUAUUUAAUGGAAAAAUGAUUUUAUGAAAUUGGUUGUUUUUCAAAGUUUAUGGUUUAAUUGAAAGAAUUUUGAAAACUUUGAAAUAAACAAGUAUUGCUUGAAAUUUUAGAGAAGGACUUAUUUGAAAAGUAUCAUAGCAUUUUGGGCUAUACCAUAAUUUCAAAAAAUUUUGGGAUUAACAAAGCAUUAUUUAGAAAUUCUGGAAUCGGACCUAUUUACAAAGUUUUAUAAUAUUUUGGGUCGUAAUACAGUUUUAUAAAGUUUUGGGGUCAAACUAUAAAUUUGGGAAAUAUUUCACUGUAGCAGUUACUGUAGUAGCUACUGUAGAAAACGGCGAUCCGACAUCUUGAUAACGGCUCGCCGAUAUCUAACAGAGUUGAAGAUUAGCCUCUGGACCUAAACGGCGAUCCGACAAUUGUGAUAAACGGCUCGCCGAUAUUUAACAGAACUGAAGAUCAGCCUCUGGACCUAAACGGCGAUCCGACAUCUAGAAUAAACGGCGAUCCGACAAUUUGAAAAAUCAGCCCAACGGUCAUAUUGACCAGUCAAACGGCGAUCCGACAGUGUGCAGACAGUCUAUAACGGCUAGUUUUCAGCUGCAGCUAUAAAUAAGCUCAUUCAAAUUCAAACAAAGGUUAAUCACAACACGACUAUUGAGCUUAUAUCCGAGAAUACAAUCUUCAUAGAGCUUUAAACACAUUCUCUCUUCAUCUAUUCACAUAUUGGGCAUUGAUUUGUAAUCUUAAAUAUUGUGUGAGAGAAAAACAAUUUGUAAUCUUUUACUUUGAGUGAUUGUAAGUGUUGGGAUACACUUGGGUUAAGAGAUUGGGGAUAAUCUCUUGUUGUAAAGGUCCAUUGACACCUUGGAAGUCAAUUGUAAGCGUUUGAAGCCUUGGGAGGCUAGCUUAGUGAAAUCCUCAAGCCCGGUGAGCUUGGAGGCGUGGACGUAGGCGGGGAUUGCCGAACCACGUAAAAAUCCUUGAGUUUGCUUUCUCUUCCCUUGCUCAUUUAUUAUUGUGCUUUCAUUGAAUUUAUUGUUUUCAAAUUUAUUAAGGCAUUAGAUUGGAUUGUUGUGUGGUUUGCUUAGCUUAAUUUUUAAAUCCCAAUUCACCCUCCCUCUUGGGUUGCCUAGUUAGUAUUUCAUUUGGUAUCAGAGCGAGGUGCUCUUGUGUAGACUUAACGUCUAGAGUCAAAGAUCCAUAGCAACCCAAAUUAGCUCAACCAUCAUGGAAGGCCAAUCUAUCACUAGACCUCCAUUUUUCGACGGAAAUGAUUAUCCUUAUUGGAAAACUAGGAUGAGAAUUUAUUUACAAGCUUUAGAUUAUGAAAUUUGGGAAGUUGUUUGUGAUGAUUUACUCAUUCCUAGAAAGAAUGCUUUAAGUGAGUUGGAUAAGAAAAAGAUGUCUUUAAAUUCCAAGGCUAUGAAUGCUUUAUUUUGUGCCUUAGAUAAAAAGGAAUUUCAUAGAGUUUCAAAUUGUUCUAAUGCUUAUGAAAUUUGGAGAAAACUUGAAAUUGUGUAUGAGGAGACUACAAACGAGGAGAAUUUUCAUGAAGUGUCAAAUUUGGCACUUAUGGCAAUUGGAGAUGAAUCGGAUGAUGACCCAUGUGCUUUUCUAAUUACCCUGCUGAAAACUAUAAAGCCAAAGUUUGCAGAUUUUAUUAUCAAUUUUUUUUUUCAAAAUAGAUAUGCAAAUAAAAAGACAAAAGAUGAGACUUAUUAUAGUACCAGUGGCGGGCCCCCUGGGUCCUCAACUUCUUCAAAUGGGCAUUUUAAUAUAUUUACAUAUAAAUAAAUGAAUAUCUUAUGUAAUAUUCACUCCAUCAAGCAUGAAGUAUAUAAUUAAUUGAAUGUACAAGCAUCGGCAUUAGUUGACAGGAAAAGAGCUCGUUAAUAAAUUAUAUGAGUGAUAAUACUACUUGAAUCAAACUCACGUCCAAAGUUGGGACUCGCCUAUUGUGCAACAGUGGCACCAUGCCACCGUUUUUGUCUUUUUCUGUGUAAAAUUUCAUGAAGCCCUUUCACUUAUUCUUAUUUGAACUUUGCUUCACAAAUAUUAAGUUCAUUUCUCCCAAACUCGUGAAUCCUUCAACGGCCGAUCAACGGCAAAUCGGCUCCUCCAAUGGCUGUGGUUGGUCAGAAAAGACAAAGGGAACUGUGGAGAACAAAACCCAAGUGGUGGUGUCACCGGAAACCGGAGAAACCGCAGUGAAUUGAAGCGGGGAUUCUGUGACUUUUUGCGGCUUUGAUCAACAGCUUUCCGAAUGCUUUACGGCAACAAGGAUGGCAUGAAGAUGACCAGCGUCGCACGAGCUUCCGAUCGGUACCAACCUUGGCUGGUGGAGUAGGCAGAAACGUAAAAAAAAUUUGGGUCGGGUUCACGAGUCAGGUUGACUCAGUUAUUUUUGCGACAAGGAUGGUGUGGAGAUGACCGGCAUCGCAUGAUCUUCCGAUCGGUACCAACCUUGGCCGGUGGCAUGGACGAAAAUGGAAACGAAAUUCGGGUCGGGUUCGUGGGUAUUUGUGAUAAAGAGAGGGGUAUUGUGAUAAAAGGUGCAAUAUAGAAGGAAAAUGUAUAAAUAGGAAAUAGUAUAAGGUGCUAAUUAUAAUGUUUAUAUGGAUGCAAUAGAAAUUAAUUUAAUAUUUAUGAGGUAAAGUUUAAAUAAAAAUGAAUGAAAGUGGUUCAAUGAAAUUUUACAACAAUGCUGGCACAAAAGACAAAACCAGUGGUACGGUACCACGGUGGUACCGUAGCUGGAUCCCCAAAGUUGAUAAGAGUUAAAUUAAAUAAAGCUUUGAUGAUUUAAUGUGCAUAAAAUUAUAAAUUUAUAAUCAUCAAAUGGAUCCACCUAUGUCACAAUAGUUGCACCAUACCACACUUUUUGUCUCUAUUUCGCAGAGCCGUAAGAUGUUUUAUUGUUCAAUCUAACUAUUGAUGCCAAAAUCGGCUCGUCCUUGGACCGACCAGAUUCGUUCACCAACGUUUAAGUUAUCCACUGCUGCACGAACCGCUAAGGCUGGAAUUACCCUCCUUUCUCUCACUAGACCUGCGUUCACCAAAAACAGAUCAGAGACGCCGGUGGUUUUGCCGGCGUAAACCCUCCGAUGCCUAAGUUAGCACAAGGUGUUUACGGGAAAACAGUUAAAUUUUGAUUCAACAGUGGUUCUAAUUUGUUCGAAGUUUGUAAUAAAAUUGUCUGGUUUCAAUUUGGCAGCGUUUUCCCUCUCCCAGUUUUGUUAUCUCCAUCUUCAUCGAUUUCUUCUUCUUUUAUAGCUGCUGUUUGUCCCACGUCUUCCGCUUACCCUCUAUCCCCCCUUUUCUCGGGUUGUGGCAGCCCCUCAUGGGGCUCUGACUGUUGCAUUGUGGCAAACGUGGGAUCUUAUGUGUCCUUCAACGGUUCCGGGAAAGGCGCAGCAGCCGCGAUUCUGUGGGAUCGUGUUCCCGCUUUUCUGGGGAGUGUGUAUCGGUUCGGUAUUAACAUCUGGUCGGCAUACGCUCCCGUGCUCUGCUCGUACCCACGGCUGAGGUGAUCCAUGCCGGGGUGGAGGUAGUAGCAUGGUCGACCUGGUGCUUUUAUUAACUUAACACCAGUCCCCCAGUUUCUGGUCUUGCGAGUGAAAUGAGUUAGGAGUAGAAACUGAUAGUCAAAUCUUACCAACCUGGGGAGCGUCUCGCCUGGUCUUCCGCUUACCAGGACAGAUCUCAGGUACCAUUUUCCUUCUAGGGAGAUUCCGACCUGAGCAUGGGCCUAAAUGAGCCUGUCCGUUGCAUAUCUGGGCUUUCAUCUAACCCGGUCUCUUGUAACGGUUGGUGACGUGGUGCUUCCCGACUCUUCGUAUUUGAAAUUUGAAACGACGGGCUAUCCGUCCUCGAUAUAUGGGGGGGUGAGCUGGCAUAUCCCAUCACUUAAAUGCUUCCAUUUCCCCCUUUUCGUUUUAAAUCCCUAGACUGGAGUCUUCACCAUCUUGUUACUCGUUUCUCCGCCGUUAACCAAAUUUUCUCUGAACUUUGCUCACACUUCCAGCGUCCGGAGUAUCCAUUUGCUGGGUGUUUUCUCUGUUACGGCAGCGCUAUCAGUGUCAGUCUAUUCCAGGUAUAGCCUUUAACCUUUUCUUCGGCUGUUGUUGAUUGGGUUCUGUGUUGCCCCUUUGUGUCCAUAUACUCGAGUUUUCUCUGUUUUCUUUUGGGAUUCCGGUAUGUCAAAUCGGAAGAGGAAGUUAAUUGUUGAUGAGGGUGAUGACGAAUCAGGGGAUUCAGGCCUCAACGUGCCAAUACCCACCGAUUUUUUAGGUCCCUCCAGUAGUGUAGGUCCUCCCCAUGGUAGGGAUACCCUUGAUUACCUACGCCCCCUGGUUGUCUCUCCCUCUCCCGAAUUAGAGCUUGUAGGAAAUAGGGGUGGACCUGCGUCGGGCUCUGGUGAGAACCACAGCUUUGGUGGGGUUGGGAUCCCUGAAGGAGUUGGUGAUGGUGAGGGGGAGCAGUUCCGGACCGAGCAGACCUGCUCAGAAAAGGAACCUAGGCCAUAGGGUGGAGGUUGAUUCCUACCCUAUUGAUUUCAUGGCUUGUGCCACCACCCCCACCGAUCUAUUUAAACUUAGGAAUCUCUACAACAUCCCCAACGAGGUUCUUCUUGUAGUUCCUGGAAAAGGUGAUGUCCCUAGUCGGCCUCCGAAAGGGUAUGUGACGAUGCACUUGGAGAGUUUCAGACUAGGAGCUCGGCUGCCCCUUCAACCUUACUUUGCCAAGAUACUGGGCGGUAUGCACCUGGCCCCAGGUCAGCUACACCCAAAUGGGUGGAGGGUUCUCUCGGCAAUGUUUGUGUUGUGGGAGAGGUGCGGGUCGGAGGAGCCUUCUCUUGUUGAAGUGAAACAUCUGUACCAGUUGCGGAGUAGCCCGAAAGAGGCAGGCUGGUACUAUUUCAUGUCCAGUUCCGCAAAGAGGAAACCGAUCACUGGGUUUCCAUCUUCAUGUAAAAAUUGGAAGAAUAAAUUCUUCUUUGCUGGAGGGAACUGGUGUCCAGCGGUUCGGUCGCUUGGUGGGGAGAUUUAUCUUCCCACCCAUUUUGUCACCCCAGGUCGUUCAUUUUUUGCCUAUAUUCUUUCUCAAAUUGACACUCAUUGGGUUCUUUAACCUUGUUUGUUUUUUCAGAAUCGUGGGGUUUGGUGAAGGACCUUGAAGACCGACCUUUGCUUCAGGUGGAAACUGCUCUGUUGAACGCGUCUACUUGCCAAGACCUCCUGUCGCCAACAAACUUGGUCGGUUCCCGCUUAGUCGAUAUUGCCGCUGGAAUGGAUAACAAGAUCCUCAGCGCGUUGAGCAGAAAGCGUGGUCGGGCUCCGAGUAGCUCCAGCAACCCUCCUCCUCCUCCAAAGAAACCCAGCGUCGGUCCUUCCAAGGUGCCAGUUCCUGCUCUGCCCCCUCCUCCACCUCGUAAGAGUGGUGGGGAUAAAACCUCCGACAAGAGUCCUGAGGUCAGCUUGCAGUCUGGGGACCGCUCUUCUCCUCUUCCAUCUCGGGAUCAGGGUGACUACCUAAGCCCAUAUCAGAAGGAUUAUAGAAAAUCGGUUGGGCCCAAGAUGGUGAAGGACAUCGAGAGCAUGAGCCUCUCCGAGUUAACUGCUUCUGUUCAAAGAGUCUCCUUCAGGCUGGCCACAAUGGUCUCGUGCUACAAGACCGGGUCCGCGCGUCAUGAGAGGAAGCUUCAAGCUGAUAACCAGGAGUUGAAAAAGAAAGUUGAAUCUGCUGACCGCUCCAAGGAGAAACUGGCCGAGCUGAACAAGCAGCUUACGGAGCUUGAGGAGAAAGUUGCUGUUGCUGAGUCCACUUCCUCCAAGCUUGAGGGUGAGUUGGGUGAUCUGAAGUCCGAUCUUCAGGCUACCCAAAGUGAAAAGGAUACUCUGAGGAUCGCCCUUGAAGGAGAGAUCAACUUCCUGAAGGACAGCUGGCUGAGGAGAAAAGCAAAUCCGCUGACGUGGAUGAUCGGCUGGAUGCCGAGUAUGACUCCGGGGUUGCUUUCAGCUAUAAGUGCAUCAUGUCUGUGCUUAAGGAAGAAUACCACGAGCUCGACAUGAGCAAGCUGGAAUCUGGGGUGGAGAGGUAUAUGGCUGGGGCCGGCCAGGGAGAUAAGGAGCAGGUGGAGGUUCCUUUUGAUGAGGUGCGGGAGGGAGGAGCUGGUCAGUGUGUUUUUUAAGUGGGACAAGGGUCUGUGCCUCCUCCUCCCGUUAUUGCUGAUCUUCCACCUCCCGAGAUAGCCGACCCUUCUCCUACUGAGGCCGUUGACCUUCCUAAUCCUUAGGUCUAUUUUUGUAAAAACUCUAGAUUGUUAUUCGCUUUGUAAACAUUUGAACAUUUAUAAAUUUUUAAAUGCUCUCUAUUGGCUUUCUUGUCUGGUUUUGCUCACGGGUUGCUUCUGCAAAACAACUUGGCAAUUUAUCUGAUUUUGCCUGUUGGUUCUUUAGUGCAUUGAGCAGGAAUAGGCAUCCGUUUGCCUUAGCGAAAUUUUCGCAAAAUUGCCUGCUGGUCUUCGGUGACCGAGCAGGAUUGGACACUUAUUUGCCUUAGUAGAAUUGUCGUAAAUUUAACUGCUGCUUUUCGUUGACCGAGUAGAGGUAGGCACUUGCCUUAGUAGAGUUUUCGUAGCUUUAGCUGCUGAUCUUUUACUUCACCGAGCAGAAGUAGGCACCGAUUUGCCUUAGUAGAAUUUUCGUAGCUUUAGCUGCUGGUCUUACGUUGACCGAGCAGAAGUAGGCACUGAUUUGCCUUAGUAGAAUUUUCGUAGCUUUAGCUGCUGGUCUUACGUUGACCGAGCAGAAGUAGGCACUGAUUUGCCUUAAUAGAAUUUUCGUAGCUUUAGCUGCUGGUCUUACGUUGACCGAGCAGAAGUAGGCACUUAUUUGCCUUAGUAGAAUUUCCGUAGCUUAAGCUGCUGGUCUUUCGUUGACCGAGCAGAAGUAGGCACUGAUUUGCCUUAGUAGAAUUUCCGUAGCUUAAGCUGCUGGUCUUUCGUUGACCGAGCAGAAGUAGGCACUGAUUUGCCUUAGUAGAAUUUUCGUAGCUUUAGCUGCUGGUCUUUCGUUGACCGAGCAGAAGUAGGCACUGAUUUGCCUUAGUAGAAUUUUGGUAGCUUUAGCUGCUGGUCUUUCGUUGACCGAGCAGAAGUAGGCACUGAUUUGCCUUAGUGAACUUUCAAGAAUUUAGCUGCUGGUCUUUCGUUGACCGAGCAGAAGCAGGCACUGAUUUGCCUUAGUGAACUUUCAAGAAUUUAGCUGCUGGUCUUUCGUUGACCGAGCAGAAGCAGGCACUUGCCUUAGUGAAAUUUUUAUUGAUCUUGCUAGCAGGGGGAUUUCAUGUUGAAUUCAUCUUUAUUGAAAUUUGAAUGUAUUACAAAAAACAUAGAAUAUAUGCAUGUGCGACAGGCCAUCGGGCAUUGUAACAGAAAUAACUUGCCAGAGUGAGGAUUUAAUAGAGCAUUUUGCUUACUGGAAAUACUUCUUCAGGUGUUCGGCGUUCCAUGACCUCUUCACGUCUCGUCCGUCUUGGCACGCUAAUUUAUAUGCUCCUGGUCCAGUGGCUCGUAUCACUCGGUAUGGGCCUUCCCACUUUGGGCCAAGAGCGCCAUGGUUAGGAUUCCUGGUGUUCUGGUUCACCUUCCUAAGUACCCAAUCUCAUGCUCGGAACUGCCUCACGCGUAAAUUCUUGUUGUAAUAACGCAUGACCCUUUGCUGACAUUGGGCCACUUUCUGCGAGGCCUCUUCCCUUUUCUCCUCCAGCAGGUCUAGGCUUAAGCAGAUCUGCUCGUCAUUUUGCUCCUCAACGAAAUGUUCUGUUCGAUGUGUCCCCACUCCAAUUUCCGCUGGGGCUACCGCCUCAUGACCAAAAGCUAAAGCAAACAGGUUUCCCCUGUGGCGGUUUUGUGGGUUGUCCGAUAGGCCCAUAAUACCCCUGGUAGUUCGUCAACCCAAGCUCCCUUCUUCUCUCCCAAUCUAGUUUUCAAGAGCUUCUUUAUUACUUUGUUAGCUGCCUCCACUUGUCCGUUUGCCUGGGGGUGCGAGGGGGUGCAAAACUUCAGGUCCACCCCCAGAUUCCGACAAAAUUCUCUGAAGUUGUUGUUGUCAAAUUGCCUCCCAUUGUCGGUAAUAAUGGCAUAAGGGAUUCCGUAUCUGCAGAUGAUAUUCUUCCAAAUAAAAUCUGUUGUCUUUCUUUCCGUGAUUUGGCUGAGGGUCCCCACUUCUAUCCACUUGGUGAAGUAGUCUAUUGCUACAAUCGCAUGGGUUGCCGCUCAUCGGCCUUUCGGUAACGGACCAAUCAGUUCUAUUCCCCAUUGAGCAAAUGGCCAUGGGGAUGUCAUAGUAGUCAGCUUUUCUGGGGUUGUGUGGGAACCUCUGAAAAGCUUUGGCAGAUAUUGCACCUCUUUGUCAUCCAUUUUGCAUCCUGGUGCAUGGUCGGCCAGAAGUAUCCUUGCCGGAGUGCCUUGAAGGCUAAAGCUCUGGCUCCUGAAUGAUUUCCACAUAUCCCUUCAUGAAUCUCCCUUAGUACAUAGUUUACCUCCUCGUCAUCCAAACAUCUCAAAAGGGGUAAGGUGAACCCUCGGCGGUAUAACACUCCAUCUAGUAGCGUGUACCUCGCUGCUCGGCAUUUUAACUUUCUUGCUUGCCUUUUGUCUUUCGGUAAAACUCCGUCGCGGACAUACGCGCAAAUCGGGUCCAUCCAGGAUUCUCCAGCGCUUACUCUCAUCACCUCUACUUCCUCCCCUAUACUCGGCGAGGUCCUCACCUCUAGUGGAACCGACUUAGGUAAUUUUGGAUCUGCAAUUGCAGCCAUCCUAGCCAACAUAUCCGCUCGGUAAUUCUCAUUCCGAGAUAUCUGCUUUACUUCCACCUCUUGGAAAAGCCCGACCAUCUGCUUCGCUUUUUUUAAAUAAAGACCCAUCUUCUCUCCCCUUGCUUGGAACUGAUCAUUGAGCUGAUUACAUACCAAUUGGGAAUCUGCUCGGAUUUCUACCCUUUCUGCUCUCAAAGCGUGUGCAAGCCCGAGCCCGGUGAUAAAGGCUUCAUACUCAGCUUGGUUGUUUGUGAGCUGAAAUUCGAACUUCACCGCAUAUGUUAUCUCGGUUCCCUCUGGGCUUCGUAUUACAACUCCUGCUCCGGAUCCUUGCUCACUACAUGAUCCGUCAACCAUUACCAGCCAUAUCCCCUUUGAAUCAUGUUGCUCUGCCGGUUGUUCCUCUUGGACCUCUUCCCCCGGUUCAACACGGUCCACCAUAAAAUCUACCAGGGCUUGGGCCUUGAUUGCUCCUCGGGGCCUGUAGGACAGGUCAAAUUCGCUCAGCUCCAUGGACCAUUUUACUAACCGACCAGACACAUCUGGUUUUUGAAACACUUGCCGAAGUGGCUGGUCAGUCAUCACAACGAUCUGGUGGGCUUGGAAGUAUGGUCGGAGUUUGCGUGCUGCCGUUAUCAAAGCCAGCGCCCACUUCUCCAUUAGCGGAUAUCUGGUUUCUGCAUCCACCAGGGCCUUGCUUGUGUAGUAUACCGGGUGUUGCUUCCCUUCUUCUUCCCUGACUAAGACCGAGCUGGUAGCCUGCUUAGAGAUUGCCAAGUACAAGAGCAGCUGAUCACCCUCUCUCGAAGUUGAUAGUAACGGGGCGCGGGCUAGGUAUUCCUUCAGCUGUCCAAAUGCCCCCUCGCAUUCCGGUGUCCAUUCUAGCUUCUUCCCUUUCUUUAUGACUUGGAAGAAAGGGUGGCACUUAUCAGUGGCUCGCGAAAUGAAUCGGUUCAAUGCUGUCAAUUUCCCCGUAAGGCUCUGCACCUCCUUAACUGUUCGUGGGGACCUCAUUUCUAUUACCGCCCGUAUUUUUUCUGGGUUGGCUUCAAUACCCCGAUGGCUCACCAGGUAUCCCAAAAAUUUGCCCGAGCCGACCCCAAAUGCACAUUUCUCCGGGUUCAGCUUCAUUUCGUACCUCCUCAGCAAUUCGAAAGUCUCCUCCAAGUGCUUCACAUGAUCUCUCGGGUCUCUUGACUUGGUGAUCAUAUCGUCCACAUAUACUUCCAUAGUGUGACCGAUCAAUGGUUUGAAGACCUUGUUCACUAACCUUUGAUAGGUAGCUCCUGCAUUUUUCAGGCCAAAGGGCAUCACCCUGUAACAAAACAGACCCAUGUUAGUUAUAAAGGUGGUGCUUUCCUCAUCCUGCUCGUUCAUGGGUAUCUGGUUGUAUCCGGAGAAGGCAUCUAUGAAACUGAGCAGACUAUGACCCGCGGUUGAGUCCACCAACUGAUCUAUUUUUGGUAGGGGAAAUCUAUCCUUCGGGCAUGCCUUAUUAAGGUCCGUGAAGUCUACACACAUUCUCCACUUCCCAUUGGCCUUCUUUACCAGUACCACAUUGGAAAUCCACUCCGGGUACUUGGCUUCCCUUAUAAAUCCUGCUUUUAGCAGCUUUUCCACUUCGGCAUUUAUGGCCUCGUACCUUUCAUGAUUGAAGCACCUCCUUUUCUGCCUCACCGGCCUUGCCCCUCUCUUGACCGCCAGCUUGUGACAAGCUAUCCCGCGGUCAAUACCUGGCAUAUCCUCAUGAGACCAGGCAAAUAUGUCUGCAUGGGACUGUAGACACUUCACCAGCUCGGCCUUUAUUGCUUCGCCCAAUUCUGAUCCGAUCUUAACAACUCUGCUAGGGUCACUCCUGCUUACAACAACUUCCUCCAGCUUCUCAACAGGUUCCUGACGACCAUUUUUUGAAUCCCCUCGGUUAUCUAGAGAGGUAACCUGCAGCGUUUCCUUGGCCGCUGUAGCAUAGCAGCUCCUGGCCAUUCUCUGGUCGCCCUUUACCACACCCACAACUCCAUUUAUUCUGUACUUCAUCGCCAGAUAAUGCGUGGACAUUACACAUUGGCUUAUCCUCAUGAACGGUGUCCCCAAUAUCAUCUGGUAAGGACUUCUUUCCUCUACCACUACAAAGUCCAACAUCAUCGUUCUUUCAAAUGGCUUUGUCCCCACAGUAAUCGGGAGUUCAAUGACCCCCAUGGGAGUUAACCGUCCCCCUCCAAAUCCCUUCAAGGAUGUAUUCGUUCGCUCCAGCUUGAAGUCUAAAAUCCCCAUAUCAUCUAGGGCCGACUUAAACAGAAUGUCUACUGAGCUGCCCGUAUCUACCAGUAUUCGUCGCAAUUCUGUACUGGCCACCAAUGCUUUAAUCACCAGUGCAUCCUCGUGAGGGUACAAAAUGCCCUCUUCGUCGUCCUCUGUCCACAUAAUAGGAACUUGCCGCACUUUUGCCCUAUUGGCUACUGGCAAAUUGAGAAGCACUUCCUUGCCAGUCAUGGCAUAUCUCCUAUAGUUUUUUCGUGCUCUGUUUGAAUCCCCGGCCAAUGUUGGCCCUCCUGCUAUCACCUGGAUAGUCGGCUGUUCUCGUUCCAAACCCCUUUCAACUCCUUCAUCCUGUGCAUAUUGCGACUCACUGACGGGCGACACUCUAUCUACGUACUCACCCAAGUACUGGUUCCUCACCAAAUCCUCCACCUGAAUCCUUAGGUCACGGCAUUGGCUGAUGGUAUGACCGUGAGUAUUGUGAAAUUUGCAGAACCUGCUCUUAUCACGCCGGUGAGCGGGUUUCGUUAUAGGGGCCGGAGUAUACAGCAGUCCUCGUCCCUCGAUCCUUUCAUAUAGUUCCUCCAUGGAGAUUUUUAAUGGAGUAUAUUGUCUAUAUGCCGCGCUCUGGUCAACCAACUGAACUGCUCGGCUAUGAUGGAUGUCACCUCGGUCUGGUAUAGCCGGUAGCUGCUCUGGUCGGCCAGACCUGUAAUUAGUUGCAUUUACCGCUCUGGGGGUGCUGUGAUAAGGGUGAGCAGUCAUCUGCCUGAAUUCUCGCUGCCGCUCUGGGAUCGGGGGGCGCGGAGGUUGAGCCCGGCUGUGUUGGAACUGUUGUGCUCUCUGAGCUAUGGGGUAAGGGCGAGACCGAACUGAUAUUCCGCCCAUCCCUGAAGAUUCUCCAGUUCGCUUUCCCGACCCGCUCCCUUUCGGGGCUCUCCGUUCCCUUCGCCUCAGCUCUUCUAGCUGUUCACUUUUAAUUCUUGCUGAUUUCUCCUCUUCUAUUUCUAUAUCUCAUCUCGCCUGCUCAUACCCCGACGAGUAAUUCUGUACGAGGGGGCUUCUUAAGUUAUACCACAAUCGGCCGAUUCUUACACCUUCUUUUAAUCCCCUCAAUGCCUGCGGGUGAUUAAAAGCUCCCAAAUCCAGCACGGCUCGGUGAUAUCGUUUUACGAAAUCUCGAAGGGAUUCAUUCUCCUCCUGCUUCAUCCCCAUCAAUUCCAUCAUGUCAUCCUCUGGGGCCACUGCCCCUCGGAACUGCUCGGCCAACUCCUGGCACAUCUGCUCAUACCCCUUUAUUCCUCCUCGGGGCUGCUUGCGGUACCAUUCUCGGGCUCGUCCCUCUAGUGUCAACGGGAACACCCUGCACCUCUGAGCUGGUGUCAGCCCCUGCACACCCGUCAUGUCGUUGAAACGCUCAAUGUGCACCAACGGGUCACUUCGCCCGGAGUAUUUGAGGUCGGGGAAGCGGAAAUCUCUUGGGAUUAUGGUACUCAUGAUCUUAGUUGAUAACGGGGAUUCUUCAUCUAGCAUUAUCCUCCAGCUCGGGGGCUUUCUCUUGCCCUGCAUCUCCUCUAUCACCUGCGCCAAUCUGCGCACCUCCCCCUCCAAUUCUAUAGCACGAUCAGGAUCAUGUGCAGCUAUCUGGUCUCGCUCCUGCUCGACGUUCUGCAACCGCUGUCUGAGCUCUCCUUCAUCAACACUGGCCCCUCGGCCAUUUAUUUCCAGUACCCGUCUGGGGCGAGGUUGGUCUCUCCCUUCAUCCACGUGUUCCCCUGGGACCCGACCAGUACUUCGGUGAGGAUGCACUCCGUUAGGUUGGUCUGCGGGCGGGGGGAUUUCCCCGACCCUACGCCCCCGGAGGCUGGGUUCUGCUCCAACUCCAUCUCUUCCCACGGGGGUUUCACAAUCCCUUCUCUGCUCGUCCCUCAGCUCAAACAAUACAGCCGCGAGAGUCUCCAUUUGUUUCUCCAUCUGCUCCAGUCUAUCUUGCAUCAUCCUCUCUCGGGCUUCAUUUGCAAUCUCCCGGAGAGUGAUUGUCUCCACCGUUUCAUUGCCCUCCCUUAAAGUAUCCUUUCUUGACGCAUCCAUAUCCAAUCGUUCGCUGCUUCUCCGGUACUUACUAAUUUGGUGGUAGCUUUUUAUUCAGCUCCCCACAGACGGCGCCAAAAUGUUGAUGCCAAAAUCGGCUCGUCCUUGGACCGACCAGAUUCGUUCACCAACGUUUAAGUUAUCCACUGCUGCACGAACCGCUAAGGCUGGAAUUACCCUCCUUUCUCUCACUAGACCUGCGUUCACCAAAAACAGAUCAGAGAUGCCGGUGGUUUUGCCGGCGUAAACCCUCCGAUGCCUAAGUUAGCACAAGGUGUUUACGGGAAAACAGUUAAAUUUUGAUUCAAGAGUGGUUCUAAUUUGCUCGAAGUUUGUAAUAAAAUUGCCUGGUUUCAAUUUGGCAGCGUUUUCCCUCUCCCAGUUUUGUUAUCUCCGUCUUCAUCGAUUUCUUCUUCUUUUAUAGCUGCUGUUUGUCCCACGUCUUCCGCUUACCCUCUAUCCCCCCUUUUCUCGGGUUGUGGCAGCCCCUCAUGGGGCUCUGACUGUUGCAUUGUGGCAAACGUGGGAUCUUAUGUGUCCUUCAACGGUUCCGGGAAAGGCGCAGCAGCCGCGAUUCUGUGGGAUCGUGUUCCCGCUUUUCUGGGGAGUGUGUAUCGGUUCGGUAUUAACAUCUGGUCGGCAUACGCUCCCGUGCUCUGCUCGUACCCACGGCUGAGGUGAUCCAUGCCGGGGUGGAGGUAGUAGCAUGGUCGACCUGGUGCUUUUAUUAACUUAACACUAACGACUACAAAUUUUUUUUAAAAAUCAAAUAGCUACUGAUCAACUGUGCAAUUGCUUUAUACAAUUAGGGUUCUUGCCUUAAUGAUGUCAUGGAGAUGGGUGAAUCAAUGGCCACCAGGCACCAAAUUCAUGACCAAUCAAUGACCAACAAGCACCAAAGUAAUGCCAAGCACACCAACAACCACCGAUUAAUGGCAAGCUUAGUGUUUAGAAUUUGGAGAAGCACUUGGUACUGUAUCGAGGUAUUAAAUCAUCAAAAACCAAUUUGGUUUGGACUCUUCAAUUUCAACUUGACUCCUACACCAAAGCCGCCCAACAACAACUCAACAACCGAAUCACUCGUCCUAAUAGCAUAACAAUCCAGUCGUCAGUUGCCUGCACAUGAGAGACCAUUUUCUAAUUUAUGAUCGAAAUUGUUGAAUUAAUUUUACAAUUCUCUUGUACCAAUUUUCAUCAUAUAUGUUGCCUCAAGAAGUGAAGAUUGAUGUCGGAAUCACUUUCAGUUUCAAUUACAUGAUGUUUGCGAUCUUCUUAUACCAAUUCGGUUUACAGUUGCCUUAAGUAUCCAUGUCCGUCAAAUCUUAUCUAUAUUAAAGUAACCGCCUAAACUGUUAACCAGUGGCUGUUUGAUUUUAAAAAAAUAUUUGCAGCCGUUAGAUUGAACAAUAAAGCAUCCGACGGCUCUGCCAAAUAGAGACAAAAAGUGUGGUAUAGUGCAACUGUUGUAACAUAGGUGGAUCCUCAUCAAUAUAUCUCGAGACUUUGUAAAGUUACUAUGAAAAUCCAUCACAGCUGUAGUUAUUAUGAUUUAUUUGGUCCAAAUAGUCUAAUGCCAGUGGCGUGACCUCGUGGGUCCUCAAAUUAUUCAAAUGGGCAUUUCAUCGAAUAGUUGAUAUACUCGGCAUCUGCAAUUGGAAGACACGUUCAAAAACUCUAAAUCAUGUUAAAGUCAACCAGAAAGACGAAACAUAGAAAGCAACAAUCCAACAACUUGUUUAAAAUAUUCGCUUCAACAAAUGGUUGCGUUGACGUGUAUUUUGGGGGAUCAUCAAAUAUAAACAAAGACCAUGUUAAAGACAAGCAAAAGCUGGCGAGAUUGGUACUGAUAUACUAAAAGAAAGACUAAUAAAGCUUUCCUAGCGGCAUCACUCGUGAUUAUUUGAUAAACUAGCGGUAAUAAAUGAUUAUAUUUUUAGUGGAUAACAGAGUACGUUACAAGAGCUGAUAACUGAUCGCUUUCUUUAUUUUUUGUCAAUAUUCAAGCAAAAAUACAAGUCAAUCAAAAUAACGUACCAUAUUAACAUUAAAUAAACAGAGAGGGAUAAGCUGGGCCAAGUCUUUAAAUCAGCUACGUCAUGGAAGAUUAAAAAAAUAGAUCAACUAGAAUAUAAUAUAAUGCUCUCACAUUUAAUUAAUUAGGAGGCUAAUGCACUAUAACUCAGCAUUAAUCAAAAUUAUUUCAUAAACUAGUAUAUACUGGAUAUCUCGAUCGGUGCAAAACCGAGUACUGAGAGAUAAAAAUUAACCUGGUGUCUUUGGCAGGUCUUUAAUAUAAUUGCUAAGCUUGCCCCAUGCCAUUGCCAACUUUGGCCAUCGGCUAGCUGCUACUUAUGAAGCAACUCAAGGAAACAUAAAGCAGCCGUCGUAAGAUCAAGCACAACAAGUGUGAUCACUGAUCAUGCAUCCAGGACAAUUUUAUAUUUAUUCAAUUUCAAUAAUCAUAAUAUACUAUUGAAUUAUAGACCAGGAUUUCUAUUUUUAAGAAUAUAAGACACAAGCACGAGCAUAUUCGCGCAUCUUUAAUAAAUUUAUUGGGACACACUAUUUCUGCUUAUUGAAGAAAAUCAAGAAAUGCUGAUUCCACCGUGCAUGGUUUAAUGUUAAUUAAAGUUUAAAGGGAUCAGAUUCAUAUUCAUUAAUAUGCUUUUAUACGAAUCGUUCUGUUUGAAUAUAAUAAUGGUUUCAGAAAUGCAUACCUGUUAAUUCUCCAUUUCUUGUCUCCGAGGAAAGUUUGACUUCAAGCAAUGUUAUAAGAGGUUUAAUUGUGGGUCAAUUUCUUGCGAGCAUUUCAACAAACAGGUGAUAUGCAUGCACAUCUCCUACGCUAUCACUGCCAUACUUGCCCUGUAGUUGCUUCCAGUUGUAACAGGAUGCUGACAUGUCAUCAUACUUGGACAGAUCUUUAGAGGCCAUUCUUCGAAGCGCUUGAUGAUGCAAACACGUGAGGACAAAUCAUGCACGUAUGAUAUGUGUUUAUUAAUUAAAUAUAACUAUUAAUUACAAGAUUAUUUUUUUAAAUAAAUACAUACAUGUCAUGUAUCUAUUAAUUAUAUAGAAAUAGAAUACAACAAAAUAUUUUUAGAAUCUGUGGGUGAACACAAUGUAAUUAUUAUAAUAAAAGAAAAACUUUAGAGCCUUUGGUGUACUCAUUAGUGAAAUUUGAGCAAAAGAAAAAUUCAUGUUUGUAAACCUCGAAACCACAAUAACCUUAAAUUUGAGAUCAUUAAUCAUUGAAUGUUUUGUUUGUAAUAUCAGUGGCAACACGUUUAAUGAUUUGAUUAAAUUUGUGUUUUGUUCUAUGAAUGAUUUCAUUCAUUUUUAUGAUUUUUUUGGGUUGACUCAACGGAACAACUAAUAAUUACCCAGUUCCAUAACCGUAAUUAUAACAGCGGCAAUUAGAUUUUUUUAUUGUUAUUAUUUUAAUGUGUAUUUUAUAGAAUAUAGAUAUUUUAGGCUAAUGAUAUUUAAGGGUGUUUUAAUUUAUUUUUUUUUUUAAGUUUCAAAUCACUUAACUUUUUUACCAAUCUAUUAAGGGUCCGCCUAAGUUACGUUUAAUGUAACUUACGGCUUGGCCCUAAAAUUUUGGCAACUACUCACUUCAAUGGACUGAAGUUGUUAUUGCUGGACAAAAGGAAAAAGAGCGGGUUCAAUAGAUGAGUUGUUCCCAUUGAAGCUAUCAAAGAAAGAAAAGGAAAAAGAGCGGCUGCAAAAGGGAGGAAAGUGGGAGGAGUUGAAAGGCUGUCACAGUAAAUUGAUCGCCUUGUUGAUACUGUGGAAAUGGAGGUCGAAUUCAAGAAGAAGAUCAUGGUAUUAAUGUUCCUAAAGGUAAAGGUCGAGAGAUGGGGAGAUUGAGAAAUAAUAGUGCUGCAAGUUUAAUGAGUGGACAAUAUUGUAGUUAUAUAUAUAUAUUUUUUUACACACAUGUAUAAAAUAUUUUAUUUUUAUGAGCUACUUCGAUUGCAAUAGUUUUAUGUACAUAAAAGUUUACAUAAAGAUUAAAUUUUUGCAUUUUCUUUUUGCACUUAUUUAUCAAUCAAUUUAAUAAUAUGUUAGCAUUUGUGCACAUUACAAACUGCAUAACAAUUUUUUUAGUUAAAAAAAAAUUAAAGUUAGUUUUAUUGCAAAUUAAAAUAGUUAAUAAAAAUUAUAUAAGUAUGUAAUAAAGAAAAUAGAAUAUACUCUUUAAAAAUCCAGUAAAUAAAAAAAUGAUGUUAAUAAUAAUAUUCUAAAUAAACUACAAAUAAACAAACAAGUACAUUUUUAUUAUUGCACAUGAAUAUUACACUUUGAAUUUUCACUUAUCAAAUUUGUAUAGUAGAUUAUUUGAAAAAUGAUUGUCAAAUAAUCAUCAUUUACCAAACACCCUACUAAAUUAUUCGUGAAAUUAAUUAUUGGGAAGUAAAAGAAAUCCCCAAUGUACCCUCAAUCAAUCACAAGAAGUUAUUUAAGUUAUGAUAUCUAAUGAAUUCUAUUAAUAGUGAGCGUGUUUAUCAAAAAUAUAAAAAUAAAUAUUUUAGUUAUUAUCCACCUGUUUUCCUGAAAUCAUUCCCAAUUUUUUUUCGUUUGCCGAAAAUUCCAAGGAAAAUAUAAAAAGAAGAAGAGUUGGGGGAAAAAAGAAAAGGAAGGAAAAACAGGUUCCUCUGUUUUCAUUCCCCUGUUUUGAAAUUAUCUAUCAUCGAUAUAAUUUAAUCCCCCUGUUACUAAAGGAGAAUGGUUCAGAUUAGUUGCCUGGACUCGCUUAUCUUGAUCUGGGUGGUCAAACCCGCCCAUCAGGAGGAUUCAGAUUUUGAAUUACCUGUCAUAAUUUGUUUUCCCACCUAAGCAUCUUGAGCAUGCUUAUUAAAAGAAUUGUUGUUCCACUCGUAUAGUCAAUGGAUUCCCACCUACGCGUUUGCUUAUUAAAAGAAUUAAUCUUGCUUUUCUAGGAAAAUAAUGCAAUACGCAUGACGGUACGUGUCCAUGUGAGAAAGUUGAUGAAAUCUUCACUUUCAGUGUUGGAACUCCACAAUCGAAACAAUCAAUACGACAAUUUUUCUCCAUCGUUUCAAUCUUAAUUAAAUAGAAAACAAGUACGGUCAAAUAAAUUCUGGUCUACCAAUUUAAUUAGUAUAAACAUAUGGAUCCCAUCAUUAAUAUUAUAAAUAUGUGGGUAUUUUUAAUUAUUACAUUAUAUGACUAUUUACAGAUUGCUUUCAUUAUGUCAUAUUAGGUAAGGAGAUUCCCCUUAAAAAAACAAAAAGAGGGAGAGAUUCCCUCUUCGGCGAAUGAAAAUAAAAGAAAUUAAAAAUAAAAUAAGACUUGGUAAAUUUCGCUCUUUUUUUCUCUUUUUGCUGUUGGCAUUUUAUUCAUAAAAGAAAUGAUCACAAGUCAUUCAAUAAAUAUUAAGGGCUGCAUGAUUAAGUCUUCUUCUUUUCCAAAUCAUUGUCAUUACUCUCAUAAGCUCUCUAUAAUCACAUUCCUCUGCAGGUAACAGAAAUUUUUUGUUCAUUGAAAUUGCUCUUAAAUGUUCAAGGCGAUCACAGAGGCUCAUCAACUUUCUGACCCCACAUAAUUAAACAGGUGCACUUGUUCUAAAACCUUCAAUUAAUUUCUUUUAAUAGCAUAAUCUCUAAUGCUUGAUCUUUAUAGCAUUUCUUUCUUAAUUUCCAUCCACUUUCCAAGAUAAAAAUUAUGUGGCUUGUUUUGCUUGAGUUUUGUAGUUAUUGUUCAUUUAUGGUAAAUUUAUGGUUGUUUUUUUUUUAAGACGCUUGAAGUAGGUUUUGUUAAUAGCAAAAACUCUGAUCCUUAACAAAGAAGAAAAAAUGUUGCGAUACUGUUUACUGUCUUUUCCUUUUUUGUCUUUCCCUCUAGUUCAUUUUAAUUUAUUUGAAUUCCUUUCUUUGACAUUUUAUUAGAUUUGUUAAGCAGCAGGCAAUGGCAGAGGUGGGUCUUGCAGCUCUCUCCAGCAUCGUAUCAGAAGGUGCAAAUUCACUGUUCAAAGCGAUUAUACGGCAGAUAUCUUAUGUGUUCAGGUACCAGAGCUACAUAGAUGGGCUAAAAGAUCAAGUGAAGCAGCUGGGAUAUAAAAGAGAAAUGGUGCAGCAACCAGUUAAUCAUGCUAGGCUACAAGGGGAUGAGCUUUAUGAGGGUGUCACAGACUGGCUACAUAACGUUGAUGAAUUCAUCAGUGAAGGGGUUGCAAAAUCCAUCAUUGAUGAUGAAGAUAGAGCUAAGAAGUCCUGCUUCAAAGGGUUAUGCCCAAACUUGAUUUCUCGUUACAAGCUUAGUAAACAAGCAGCAAAGGCGGCAGAAGCUGCCGCUAGUCUCGUGGGAAAAGGCAACUUCUCCAAUGUUUCCUACCGUCCUGCUCCAAAGCUGGCAGAACAUAUGCAAGUGAAAGAUUUUGAGGCGUUUGAUUCAAGAAUGAAAGUAUUUCAAGAUGUUGUGGAGGCAGUGAAGGAUGACAAGGUCAACAUAAUUGGGGUCUAUGGGAUGGGCGGCGUGGGCAAAACCACGCUGGUCAAACAAGUUGCAAACCAAGUGAUGGAAGAUAAGUUGUUCGAUAAGUUCGUUAUGGCUGAGAUAACACAGACCCCAGAUUAUCAUAAAAUUCAAGACAAACUUGCUUUUGAUUUAGGCAUGGAAUUUGACUUGAAUGAGAAUGAAUUUCAAAGAGCUUCUCGACUGUGUCAAAGGUUGAAGCAAGAGAAGCGGCUCCUCAUUAUACUGGAUAAUAUUUGGACAAAACUUGAGUUCGAUACAGUUGGAAUUCCUUAUGGGGAUGUUGAUGAGAAAGAUAGAGAGGACGAUCGGAGAAGUCGCACAAUAAUAUUGACGUCUAGAAGUCGAGAUUUAUUGCGCAAUGAUAUGAAAUCUCAAAAGGAUUUCUCAAUUGAAGUUUUAUCCAAGGAAGAAGCAUUGCAAUUGUUUGGAAAGAUAGUGUGUAAUUCUGCAAAAGCAUCUGCUUUUCAACCUUUAGCAGAUGCGAUCGUUGAAAAAUGCGGAGGAUUGCCUGUUGCACUGAUUACACUUGCAAAAGCUUUGAAAAAUGAGAGCUUUGACACUUGGAAGGAUGUGCUGCGUCAGCUAAGAAGUUCCUGUGCAAAAGAAAUUGAUGGAAUGGAAAGAAAUGUGUACACCUCCAUAAAAUUGAGUUACGACUUGUUGGGAAAUAAGGAAGCAAAAUCUCUGUUCCUUCUUUGUGGUCUAUAUACUGAAGGUGAUGUCAUACACGUUUCUGACUUAUUGAGAUAUGGUAUGGGUAUGGGCUAUUUUAAAAACGUUUACACGCUGGAAGAAGCAAGGAGUAGAGUGCAUACGUUGAUCGGCAAACUCAAAUCUUCAUGCUUAUUGUUGGACGGUGAUGCUGAAGAUGAAGUUAAAAUGCAUGACAUCAUUCAUGCUGUUGCUAUAUCAAUUGCAGAAGAGGAGCUCAUGUUUAAUAUUCCAAAUGUUGCCUACGUGGAGAAAAAGAUGGAAGAGACAAUACGGGAUGGUCCAAUAGCUAUUUCUUUACCUUAUAGAGAUAUUCAAGAGCUUCCCAAAAGGUUGGAAUGCCCCCGUCUCGAGUUACUUUUGUUGUUUUCAAAGCGUUAUAGCUCUUUGCAAAUUUCAGACCUCUUUUUUCAAGGGACAGAAGAACUCAAAGUUUUAGAUUUUACUGGAAUAUUUUUCUCUUCAUUACCUUCAUCACUUGGUUGCCUCAUUAACGUUCAAACAUUAUGUUUAGAUGGUUGCCGACUGAACGAUAUAACUGUAAUUGGACAGCUAAGGAAAUUAGAGAUUCUCAGCUUCCGAGAUUCUGAUGUCAAGGAGUUGCCACUUGUAAUUGGACAAUUGACGAGAUUACAGUUGCUAGAUUUGAGCAAUUGUAGCAGCCUUGUGGUGAUAGCUCCAAAUGUCAUAUCAAAAUUAUCUCGAUUAGAAGAACUAUAUAUUGGUAACAGCUUUUCACAGUGGGAGAAGGUUGAAGUAGGAAGUAACGCCAGUCUUGCUGAAUUGAAUGGGCUGUCAAAGCUAACUACUUUGGAGAUACACGUUCGGCAUGCCGAAAUUCUACCGCGGGAUUUGGUCUCUGUGGAAUUGCAAAGCUAUAGGAUAUGUAUAGGAAAUGAGUGGUGGAGCAGCUGGUCCGUUAAAUCUGGAUUAUCAAGAUUGAUGAAGCUCCAGGGGCUAGUAAAGUUUGGCAUUCUUUUGCAGAAUUAUAGGAUGAAACUGUUGUUGAAGAGAACUGAAUAUCUCUAUCUAGAAGAACUGAAGGGUGUUCAGAAUGUUGUUCAUGAAUUAGAUGAUGGGGAAGGUUAUCCACGAUUGAAGCAUCUUUCUGUAGAAAGAUGUUAUGAGAUUUUGCAUAUUGUCGGUUCAGUUGGACGGGUUCGUCGUAAAGUCUUCCCCUUGCUGGAGUCAUUGUCUCUUAUUGAUUUGAACAAUUUGGAGACAAUAUGUGACAGCCAACUCACAGAAGAUCAAUCUUUCAGCAACUUAAGGAUUAUAGAAGUAAAAUCCUGUCACAAAUUGAAGCAUCUUUUCUCAUUCUCCAUAGCCAAAAACCUAUUGCGGCUUCAAAAUGUAGAAGUGGAUGAUUGCGAUGAUCUGGAAAUGAUUUUUGGUAAGUGUUGAAAUUAAGAAUUGGUGGGAUAAUGGACUUCGCCUCAAUUAUUUUGAAAAAAAAAAACAACAAAGAUUAAUUAUGUAUAUAUUGUUUUUGUUUGUUUAUAGGACCCGACAGGGAGAAACCAACAACUUCUUUGGGAUUCAACGAAAUCAUUGCUGAUGAUGAUACUGCUCCAAAGGUGAUAAUUUUCUGUUCAAUAAUUAAUUGAUUAAUUUAUUAUCACCAUUAAUCUUCGAUCAUCAAAAGAAUAUUAUACUGGACGGUUGUACUUGAAGGAACAAAAAUGUACGGGUUUUCUUUGCAGGUUAUUCUUCCGAGGUUAGAGGAAUUGAAUCUCGCGCAUUUAAGAAACAUCAAAAAAUUAUGGGCCGAUCAUAAUCAAGGAAUGUACUGUUGUCAAAAUUUAACAAAAGUGACUGUGAGAUGGUAUUAUCGUCUGAAGUAUCUGUUUUCGUAUUCUAUGGUUAAUAGUCUUUUGCAACUCCAACAUCUUGAGAUAAGUUAUUGUUCGUCAAUGGAAGGGGUAGUCGACACCACGGGAUGGUUAGGAAGGGAUGAAGGAAAGUUGAUUGAAUUGAAGGUUUUUCCUAAACUACACUCCCUCAAGCUCUCUCAUCUUCCAGAACUAACAAGCUUUGCCAAUACGGGACAUAUUCAUUCAGAUUUAGUUGUUGAAUUCCCUUCAUUGCUAAACCUGAAGAUCCAUUGUUGCACUAAUAUGUUAAGAUUUAUCUCUACAAGCUCACCAGAAGACACCAUUCAUUCUGAAAUGCAACCUCCUCCUCUCUUUGACGAAAAGGUUUUUUUUUUUAUAAAAAAAAUAAUUUUAGUCACAAUACUUAAUUUGUCUUUUCCUUGAGUCUUCGAAUUUAGUUAAUACCUGCCUCUAAUUUAGUUAUCAAUUGAUUAUGCCAUUAAUUGAUUAAUUAGUUAUUUAAUCUUUAACUGCCAGGUACGACUUCCUAGGUUGGAGGUAUUAGAUAUUAAGUGGACGGAUAAUUUGAGAAGAAUAUGGCACCACCAGCUUGCUUCGGAGUCUUUCAGCAAAUUGAAGAAUUUAGAGAUAUUUGAGUGUAAUAACCUAAAGAAUAUUUUUCCUCCAUUGGUAAGGUUGCUGUAUUCAUUUCGAAUCUUUUUUUUUUUCAAAUUACAUCCAACAAUAUUUUAACCAUUUUUGGGUUUACAAAUGAUAUUCAGCCACUAAUUCUUUAUUUCAAGUAUUGUACUUCGAACCACCACUCUCAAAUCUACAUUUUAAGUCCAGUUUUUAGGUUCGCCAGCAUUACAAUCAACAAUAUAAUUUUUUUAAUCACGAUUCAACAGCAUAAUAUAAUUCAAUUUAAUUGUUUCUGCUCAUAUCUUAAUAAGUACAAUUUUCAACAAUUAAAGGAUAGUCACUCAUCUUAUAGGUUCACAAAUUCAUCUAUAUAUUUCUCUUUUCCUUAAUUCAUCUAUAACAGUCCCAUGUUGAUGGCGUUGGGAAGUGUUUUCCAGAAAUGUUUUCCAUUUUUAAAAGCAUGAAUAUCGGGAAAAAAUGUGAAAUACAGCGUUUUAGUUUAGUUAUUUUAAAAAUAGGCAUGUUUGAAAAUUAAAUUUUUUUAAAAAACUAGAAUCAAGAUGAAAAAUGAAUUUAGAAUAUUUAAAAAUUACCUGAAAUUCUUUCUCCGUUCCUAAUACUAAAUAGUGUAAAUACAUUUUCAUUAUCUUUGUUUUUCUGGACUUCUAUUUAUUUGUUUUUGUUUUAAUUUUUUCCUUUUUUCUUUAACAAAAAAUAUCUAGUAGACAUUCAUGGUUUGUUAUUUUUCAUAAAACAAUUGUAUGAUUUUGACAUACUUUGAAUCUAGUUGAAUGCUACUCUUUAUUUUCAGGUUGGAAUUCCCAAUAGUCUGGUGAAUCUUAAUGUAUCGGACUGCAAAAAAUUAGAAGAAAUCGUAGGACAUGUUGGAGAAGAAGCGAAGGAGAAUCGUAUUGCUUUCAACGAAUUAAAACUUUUGGAACUUGAUGAUUUACCAAGGCUUACCAGCUUUUGUUUGGAGAAUUACACUCUUGAAUUCCCAUCAUUGGAGCGAAUUUCUAUGACAGGUUGCCUGAACAUGAAGACUUUUUCUCAGGGAAUCGUAUCCACACCAAAGCUGCACGAAGUGCAGGUGAGUAAAAAGGAAGUAUUAAGUUUUAUAUGAAACUGUGAUGUUGUUUGGUUACUAAGAAAAUAGGAAGAAAGAAAACUUCUGUAAGCUGAGAAUUCUGUUAUUAUUGAUCUAAUGAAUCUGGAAAUUACAAGCCUUUUUAUAUGUGCAUAGAAGAUUCUACACACAUUGCACACACGCACAGUUUACUACUAACAACCUUUAGCUGACUCAGCUGCCAUGUCAGCAUACUCAUUAACUAACUAAUUCUAUUCUUAACAGGAAGAGGGUGAAUUGCGCCGUUGGGAAGGCAACCUUAAUUCCACUAUACAAAAGUGUUACAAAGAAAUGGUAUGUGUUAAAUCGAUUCGUCGAAAUUACUUAUGCAUCUCCCUUGCACUUGCACAUUUGAACAUAUACACCUGCCUUGUAUAUAUAGUUUUAGAAGUUAAAACACAAAACAUGUAAGUUUAAUGUAUAUAUAUAUCUAAUGCCUUUCAAAAAAAAAAUUUAUAUAUAUCCAGUGCAAUUGUUUUGGUUUGUGCAGAUUGGAUUCCAUGACAUACAGUAUUUGCAACUCUCACAUUUUCCACGUUUGAAAGAAAUAUGGCAUGGCCAAGCACUGCCUGUCAGCUUCUUCAACAAUUUAUUUAAGCUGGUGGUGGAUGACUGCACGAAUAUGUCGAGUGCUAUUCCUGCCAAUCUGCUACGUUGCUUGAACAAUUUGGAAUGGCUGGAAGUGAGGAAUUGUGAUUCACUAGAAGAGGUGCUUCAUUUGGAAGAGCUAAGUGCUGACAAAGAACAUAUAGGACCCCUGUUUCCUAAGCUUUCCGACCUAAGGCUCAUUGAUCUUCCAAAACUCAAAAGAUUCUGCAACUUCACUGGGAAUAUAAUUGAAAUGCCUGAGUUGGGAUAUCUAACUAUUGAGAAUUGCCGAGAUAUGGAAACAUUCAUAUCCAACUCUGUAGUGCACAUGACAACAGAUAACAAGGAACCUCAAAAAUUAACAUCAGAAGAGAACUUCUUGCUGGCUCAUCAAGUACAACCUCUCUUCGAUGAAAAGGU